CCUUGUCUGUGGAGAUCUUGGAUGAUAGAGUUGAAGAAGGAAAUUUGACACAAUUUCUGCAGGCUUGUCACAAUGACUUUUAUAGAUUGUCUAUAGAUGGUGCACUAAGCAAGUUACCAGAUCCCAGCAAAUUCAAGCCAAACCUAUCCAAGUUAAGAUUGUCCAAAUCUAAACUUUUGAAUGAUCCAAUGACAACAUUGGGGAAGCUACCUCACCUAAAAGUUCUUGAACUAGGGGAUGCAUAUGAUGGAAAGAAAAUGGUUUGCAGCUGUGAAGACUUUCCUCAACUUAAUUCUCUUUUUAUUUCUGACUUUCCCAAGUUAGAGGAGUGGACGAUAAAUGCAGGAUCCUUGCCCAAUCUCUUCAAUUUAAAGAUUAGACAGUGUGAACAAAUGGAAAGAAUUCCAAAUGGAUUGAAUUUGAUCGCCACCCUCCAAAAACUGGAGAUUAUAUGGAUGCCAGAGGCAUUUGUGAACAUGAUUAAAGUUGAAGUCCAACAUGUGCAUUCCAUCUCUCUCUCUAUUGUUGAAUGAGACUUUUGGGAUCGAUUGUUCAUUUGAUAGCUAAUGAACUGCAAUAAGGUAAUUUAUUUUUUCAAGAGUUCCAUGCAUUGAUUUUUGUAGAGCAAUUUUUCUCUCAUCCCUCCCAUGCUUCCCAUUUCCUUUCCAUCCGUUCAGAAACUUUUCCCUUUUCAUAUCUUUUGGCCCUGGUCUUUUGUUAUUUUUGUAGGGAAACCUUUUUCAUCCAAUGGUUAAAUUAAAAAAAUUAUAAUUUGAAAACCAUAAUUUAUGGAAGGGAUUAGUCUGUUUUCAUUUCUAGUUCCAAUGUGAGGACCUCAGGUCCCGCAUAUGUUUCCUUGUAUAGAAGCUUUGAAGAUAGCAGGUACACAAAAGUAGGCUCUGCUUAUUUUUUUCUUAAAGCAAGAUUGCAGCCAGUGACCUUUUUGAUGUAUUGUUUUUAUUAUUAUUCACUCUAUUUUUAAUAUUUCUGACAGAUCUUUUGUGAUCAUUUACAGGAUAGGAGCAAUAUUGGAAGGUAGGGGUGUUUACUGUGCUUGGGCUCUUGUGGGGUUAUUUUUUUCCAGUUGGGGUUUUAGGCCAGAAUGCCCAUAAGCUGAGCCAUCAGAUAUAUCUCUUUCUUCUAAUGCAAAAACUAAGGUUAGAAAUUUCCACAACCAAUGAACAUACUCUUCAGAGAGAAGCAAUUAUUUAGAGUGACUACUAUGGAAAGGUGAUUGCUCCUAUUUAUGUGAUCAAACACGGUUUUUUUUUUAGGAGAAAUAAUCAUUUGGCUGUACAUGACAUUGAACUUCUAGUAUUGGGAUUUAAGAAAAUCUGAAACUGUGCUAGUUUCAACUUUUAAGAGGCAGUGUCUACUUCUCAAUGAUCUGCUUGAACAGGUUGUUUUAAAUCAACUCCAAUUGAUACUCUUGAUUUAUAAUGUCUAGGUGGCUAAAGUACCGAUUCUUGCUGGAGUAUGUGGAACUGAUCCUUUCCACUGAAUGGAUUACUUUUGAACCUGUUGGAGGCAAUUGGAUUUGUUGGUAUGCAAAACUUUCCAAAUGAUGGGCUUAUUGAUGGUAAUGUCAGACAAAAUCAGGAAGAGACAGGGAUUGGAUAUAGGUAGCAGCCUAGAAGGUUAAUUAUAAUUUACUCGUUUUCUCAUCAUAAUUAUUUACAUGUGCUUUCACAAAUUGUAUUUUAUACUUUUCUCAUUAUAAUAUAUGUCCGACUGUCAUAACAAAAAGGUGAAAUCCAUGAAGAUGAAAAUUAGAAACAUAUAGGGGCCGUAUAAGAAGCUGGAUUUUAGUUGAAUAACAUAUUCUACCAUCCCAUUCAAGGGGAAUAAGGUAAUUAAACGAAGUGGCCUUGCUUUCUAGAAAAGGAAAAUUGCACUUACUGUCACUUCCCAUGUUAACUUGACGUUGUUUCCAUUGGUUGAAGUGGACAAAUGAGCUUUCAUUUGGAGUGCACGCACUACACGCCUCAAUAUUGAUUUUCAUAAAUUGAAUUCCUAAAUAUUUCUCUAUUCAUAACUUCCAUCUUUUUUUGUUGGUAAUAGGUUUCUUUUUGUUUUUCAUUUAUUUUUUAUAUGUUGAUAAGAUUUUUGAAUUUGUUCAUAGAUAUGGUUUCAAAGGAAGAAAAUUGAAGAAGUAACGAAGAAGAGCUGAAAAAUAACUAGCUGCAAUUUUGAAUGUUCUAGCAAAAUGUGUGAAUUGGACCAGGGAAGGGGAAUUUGUAGUAGCUUAAAAAGAGGAUUUCCCAUCACCAUGCGAAAUUUUGCAUGAAGUUGCGAAAUGGUCCAAAAGCAUUUACAUUUGUUGCUAUUCACUUUGAAAUUUUGCAUGACAUUAGCAUGAUUGUGCGAAAAUGCCGGUGCUUGUGCAAAAUGACCAAAGCUCGUGUGAAAAUGUGUUUUUGGUGCCAAAUUCCAGAUUUUUGAAUUUGGAAGUUUUUAGAAGACCAAUGAGAUGUUGCGAGUGUCCACUUAACUUUGGCUUAUAAAUAAAAACUUGAAUUUCUUAGUGAGGACUUUUGACACUUGAUUUUGAAAUUUUCUAGAAACUCUUUCUUUUUCAAUUGAAUUCCCUAUUUUCUUUCAUUUUUCCUCAUUUCCUUGGUAUCCAAACAUGUCUCGUGAGACCAAAUCUCGUUUUUCUUGAAGGAAGGAAGAUUUAGAGGUAAGAUUUAUAGUGAAUUAGAGAAAUGAAGUUUAAUUGCUAAGAUAAUUUGAUUUAAUUGAUUGAUUAAUUGAAUUUUUAGGAUUUUUUUCAUCAAUUUGUCUUGAAUGAUUACUAAAAUGCAAAUUGGGUAGAUUUAUUAAAUUUUUAAAGCUAAAUUUAAUGAUAUUGAGUAAUUACAUUGUACGAAUCAUUGAAAGAUAAUUUAAGAUGGAUUAAAUAGAUGGUUGAUCUUUUGGAUUAAAUUAUCUCAUUUGAUAAAAAAAUUCUAAAUUUAAAACAAAAUAAAAAAUUAAUUUUGAUGAACAUUUAGAUUUUCAGUAUAAUUUGAUGAAUAAUAAAUCUUAAUAUAUCUUAACAUUUAUUCAUAGGGAUUGUUUUCUAAAAAAUCUUAACUUCAAGAGUUUCUUUUUAUUAAUCUUCUCUCAAAGUUUGAUUAUUUGACAUGGAAUUGAUUUUACCAAUUUAAAAUUUUUAUUAUUUUCAUUGUCAUUAUGAAUUGUGAAUCUAUUUUUGUUUGAUCACAUUUAUUUCUUUUCCUUUUAUUCAAACCUUAAUUACCAAAAAUAAUCUAUACCAGUGGAUGACAUCUAAAAUAGUAAUACUACCAGAAUUUUUGUUAAAAAUCAUUUUUGAUAAAAUAAAAGUUUCCUUAGCAUAGUUGGAUUAGGUUAUAAAUUUUAUUUUGAAAUAAUGAACAACACAAAAAUCCAUCAAUCAUGAGUUAGCAUAUAUACCCACUAAAAGUAUUCAUCUUUUUCCAACGUGGAUUGACAAUUUUGCUCUUUUUUUUCUUCUUUAAAACACAUUUACACACUCUUCUUCUACAUAUUUCAAAGGAAUUUGGUCGGAGACUGAGUAUGUUAGGAGUAUAUAUUGGCCACCAAACUUUUUUCUUCCAAUCAACCAAUGUCUCCCAAAAAUCCUUUACAUUCUAAAGUGAUGUAGGAAUUAUAGUAGAAUACACAAAAUCAUUCCCAGACUAUGCUGUAAAACUAGAUUUUUCAGUACUUUGUCUUCAAAAUUACUUUAAGUGAUACAACUGUAUGGGGGAUUUGUUCAAAUUGAUGGUGCUUCUGUAAUUAUUUUCCUUGGAUUAGCCCUUUUCCUCCUCCCAAUCCAACAAUAAUCAUAGCCUUCCUCUGGAUUCACCAAAAAAUAAGGUUUCCAACUCCGUUUCGGGGGUAUGCUGACAGGUUUGUCAGUAGUUUCUACAAGAAGCUUCUUAGUAGAAUGUUGAUCUAAUCUAUUCAAAGGAUUCCCGUCUAUAAAAGUGUCAUUCUUCGUCUGAGAAGCAUCAUUGCUGAUCAUUGACUUCAAAGAUUCUUCCCCAGAUGGACCAACUUCUCUAGGACAGACGAUAUCUUCCGAGUACAUUUUAGCCUCCUGUUCAACGAAAAAUUGUUUUCCUAUCAAAGAUGUUAAACUUAAGUUAUUUCAGAAAAUGUAAUUGAGAAUGAGUAAAUGCACAUUGUUAAAAUCUGUUGUCUUCUGUGGUAGUACUGUGCAGCCUCAGGUAGCUGGAUGCAUGCCAAUUAAAAGAUCUAGUCUAAAAACAUGACUGAAUUUGCACCCACUAAAACUUUUUUAUAUAGUAGUCGAUAAACUAACAGUAGUCAAAAGCAUGUACAAGUCGUUGAACAUGACUUCUUCACAUAAGAUAGAAUUAAUAUAGAUGUACAAGAUUAUGGGAAACAUAAAUCUAUUAGUGAUGGAGCUAAUAGAUGCAACCUAGUCCAAAUUCGUGCACUGGAAGUGAAACAAAAAACUAUGAAAAACUCACCAAAUGUUCCCGUGAACCACUGUCAUUGAGAUUAUUUUGUCGGGUAUUAGAUUCAUUUUGGUAAAUGGUAGCAACCGCUGGAGCAUAAUCACUUAAACGAGUUCCCAGGCAUUUUACCACUUCAAUGAGAUAGGGCCUAAGCUUGUCUGCACAGUUGGUUAUAACUUUCUCUCCCAACCUCCAACAAAUAGGUGAAACAUUCUGAACAAACAACAAAACAUGUCAAUAAAUAUUAUGAAGUUAAAAAUGAACUAAAUAAAAUCAUGCAAAAGAUGAUUAUUGCCUUAUUAUCCUUUCUCACAGUAGCUAGAAUGGGACUAACAAGCUCAACCAGAACAUAUUCACUUUCAUCCAUGACCAGAGUCAUAAUAGUCUCCAUGGCUGAAAAUACUUCUUCUGGGUGGUCAGACCUUAAAGUCAAAUAAGAGAGAGCAUCAAUUGAAUAUUCUAUCAUGAUCAAGUAAGAAUGCUUCCGCUCUUUGAUUUAAAGCUAUAGAAAUUUGUUUGUUGCUAGUUUGAUUUAAAAAAUUAUUUUUCUAAUUAUAAAGCCAGCAUUCACAUGAACAUAUAUAGACAGGUAAGUACAGUCUUUGCAUUCACUAAAUCAAGGGAAGAACAACAUAUAUAAUUAAAUCUCUCACCUAAUGACAUUUAGAAAAAGUUGGAACAUAUCAAUAAUUAUUUGGUCACAUUCAAGGUCCAGCAUCACCAGGCACCAUCUGUAGGUUGCAACACUCUUAAGAAUCAAAAUGGCCUUGGAAUAACAAGGACUCGUCGUAUCAGACAAGUUCUCAAAUGAUGCUACAGUCAACUGGAAAAUUUCCUGUGUGCCAAUGAAAUGAAAAGUUAUGAGCAUGUAGUUGAGUGUUGAUGAAACAAAAAAAAAAAAGCUUCUUGUCUGGCAUAUUAAGUACCGUCAUUUGAUUAUCAUUGUAAGGAGCAUCUGGUGCCGUUAUCCUUGUGAUCUCACUUAUGCAGGCAACAGCUGACACUUUGACAACACAAUUUCCAUGCUUCAAGAUUUGAUCUGUGACCAAUGCUUCCAUGAGAGGUGAAAGUGCAAUCUUUGUUGACAUACAUGGUUGUUGUUCCACCUUUGCCAAAUAAGACUCAGCCUUCUGAAAGACAUUGAAAGAAGAGGAUGAAUCAAUUCACAAAAACUUAUUGUUACACUCAACACAACUAAUAAGCAGAAAACAGUCAAGUCAUUGGAAAAGGAUUACCCAUAAAGAUAGAAUCAUUAUCCCACAGAUAGCAUACCCAUAUGAAACGAUCUAAUAGGCAAUUAAUUCAACAGAAGAAAAGAAAAAAAUAUCAACGAAUUCAGUAGGAUAAAAACAGGAUCCACUUAAUAGGCAUUUGAUGGAAAAUGAAAACGCAUAUGAAACGAUCACUUUAUAGAUCAACAAAGAAAGAUUAAAAACACCAUGCCACACACAAAAGUUGAUUGUACCACCCACAUAUAUAUAUGGAUAUAUAAAGCAAGAGAGUUACUUCAAGAAGAGGCAAGAGUUUAUCAGCAGAAGAUGGAGGGUGCAGAAGCCUAUUCCCAACAUCUCUUAGCUUUGCUUCAAACCCAUUACUUGCAGAAGCCAUCUCUAUACAAAUCUAAAGCCUAGAAGAUAUCGAAGAUAAUGCAAACAAAAUCUCUUAUAGAGAGAACCCUAGCUUUCGGAUUCUGCCCAAUUUAUAAAUUUCUCUUUAAUUCAGAAAUUUGAAGUUCGGCAUUGCUGUUCUCACUUGCCAGUGUGCCUCUACGUGGCUUUACUCUGCCAGUGCUGUUAUGAAUAGACUGUGGGCUGGCCUUUUAUGGUUUCCUGAAUUUACAUGCCUACCCUUUUUGUUUUCGCAUUCUUGUUUCUUUUACAUCCAAUGUCCGCAGAAACUUCUUUUUCUUAAUACAAUUUAAUAUUUUUUUUAACUGAAGAAUUUGAAGAAAAAUAUGAAGAAUUUGAAAACAAAAUAUGGAGGAACACCUCAAUUCAUUCUGUGAUCCCUUACUUUACAAUGAAUGAAAGCAUAAAUAAAUAGCCUACGGAUAUGAGACAAUUCCGGAAUGGAAUUUCCCUUACAUGGAAAGUGAAUAAACUCUUACAUGGGAAGUGAAUAAACUACUCUUACAUGGAAAGUGAAUAAACUACCUUGCUAGAAUUACUCCUAAAUCAAUUAUAAUAAAGGCUGUACAUUACACUAAUUAGGGAAGUAAACAGAGGAUGCUGGCUUGAUUUCCAACACUCCCCCUCAAGCCGCGUUGUAGAUGUUGAUCAUUCCAAGUUUUUCUGUCAGAUCUUCGAAGUUAACUCGAGCAAGAGCUUUUGUGAGAAUGUCAGCCAUUUGACAGUUUGUCGGAGUGUAGCUGACUUUGAAAACUCCUUCUUCAAUCUUUUCCUUGAUAAAGUGUCGAUCUAUCUCCACGUGCUUAGUUCGAUCAUGAUGAACCGGAUUCUUAGCGAUACUGAUGGCAACUUGAUUGUCGCAGUAUAACACCAUGGGAUGCUUCAAUGGAACCCGUAAUUCUUCUAACAGCCUGUUCAACCAGAUUCCCUCGCAGAUACCUUGUGCCAUAGCACGAAAUUCUGCCUCAGCACUGCUACGGGCUACCACUGACUGUUUCUUGCUUCGCCAUGUAACCAAGUUCCCCCAGACAAAUGAACAAUAGCCUGAAGUUGAUCUCCGAUCAGUCACUGAACUUGCCCAAUCUGCAUCUGAAAAAAUCUCAAUCUCUUUAUUUGUUGUUCUUUGAAAGAAGAGACCCUUUCCCGGUGUCAUCUUGAGGUAUCUCAAUAUUCUGAUCACAGCAGUCAUGUGUUUUUCGAUUGGAUUAUUCAUGAAUUGACUUACCACACUAACGGAGAAGCCGAUGUCUGGCCUUGUAUGAGAAAGAUAGAUGAGUUUCCCCACAAGACGUUGAUAUCUUCCUUUAUCAACUGGCGCACUUCCAUCACUUUCUUCCAGUUUGACAGUUGUAUCCAUAGGUGUUUCUGCCGGCUUGCAUCCUAGCAUUCCUGUUUCAUUCAAUAAGUCCAGAACGUAUUUGCGUUGUGAGACUGCUAUACCUUUCUUUGACCUAGCAAUCUCCAUUCCGAGAAAGUACUUGAGGUUUCCAAGAUCCUUGAUCUCAAAUUCCUUUGUCAAUAAUUUUUUAAGUAAGUCAAUUUUCUCUUCAUGAUCACCUGUCAAAAUUAUGUCGUCCACAUAUACAAUGAUAAUUGCCAGUUUCCCUUCUGGGAAGUGUUUCACAAAUAAUGUGUGAUCGGAUUGACAUUGAACGAAUCCGUACCCUUUCACUACCUUAGUGAACCGUUCAAACCAGGCCCUGGGAGAUUGUUUGAGACCAUACAAGGAUUUUCGGAGUCUGCAAACCUUGUUGAAAUUUGAUGUCGUCUCAAGUCCAGCAGGAAUGUCCAUGUAAACUUCUUCCUCUAAGUCACCAUUGAGGAAGGCAUUCUUCACAUCAAGUUGGUGAAGCGACCAAUCGAGAUUAGCUGCCAAGGAUAAAAGUACACGAACAGUAUUGAGCUUGGCAACUGGAGCAAAAGUUUCUUGACAGUCAAUGCCAUAAGAUUGGGUGAAUCCUUUGGCAACCAACCGAGCCUUAUACCUGUCCACAUUACCAUCUGCCUUGUACUUUACUGUGAAAAUCCACUUACACCCAAUUGGUUUCUUACCUCUUGGGAGGUCAGUAAUUUCCCACGUACCAUUCUUUUCCAGCGCCCGAACUUCCUCAUCGACUGCCGCCUUCCACUUAGGAUACUUGAAAGCUUCCUGAAUAUUCUGAGGAACUUGUAUCUCUAUGAUGCUAGAAGUGAAUGCACGAAACGUAUGUGAUAGCUUAUCAUAAGAAAUAAAAUUUCCAAUGGGAUGCUGAGUGCAUGAUCUAACUCCUUUCCUCCAAGCUAUGGGCAUAUUAAGAAUAUCAUUUUCUAACUCAGAAUCAACAGUACCAUCAGGAGCGUUGUUACCUGGAAGUUUGCUUGGAUUAGGACCCGGUUCUGCCUCAUGGGUUUGUUGAGAAAGUGCUCUUUCCUCCGUUUCCUCUUGGAUGUGCUCCUUAUCCCACAAGUCAACAAUGGACUCGGGUUGAUUAAAUGACUCUGGAGGAAUGUGAUUUUCAGUGGUGAUGGGUGACUCACUGAAUGACUCAAGAUCCCAAAAUUGAUAUUCCUGAGUUGAAUUCUCCCCCUGAAUAUCGUUUUUGGGAUAGUAAGGCUGGGUUUCAAAAAAGGUGACAUCCAUUGAAUUGUAGAAUUUUCUUGUGACCGGAGAGUAACACUUAUACCCUUUUUGAUUUGAAGAAUACCCAAGAAAGAUGCACUUGAGUGACCUAGGAUCAAGUUUACUUCUAUGUUGUUGAUUGAUAUGAACAAAGACAGAGCACCCGAAAAUUUUGGGUGGGACGGUGGAGAUGAGACGAGUAGUCGGAAAGGAUUUUAGGAGUGUUUGACAAGGUGUUUGGAAUUUUAGUACCCUAGACGGCAUCCUAUUGAUGAGGUAGGCUGUCGUAAGGACAGCUUGCCCCCAGAAUAAUUUUGGAACAUUCAUGGAGAACAUUAGUGAUCUAGCCACCUCUAACAAAUGCCUAUUUUUCCUUUCAGCGAUUCCGUUUUGUUGUGGGGUAUUAACACAUGAACUUAAGUGAACUAUCCCUUCUUGUGCUAGAAAUUCUCCUAGAAUGGAGUUGAAAUAAUCCUUAGCAUUAUCAGACUUUAGAAUUUGUAUUUUUGACUAGAAUUGGGUCUAAAUCAUAUUUUUAAAAUUUUUGAAAAUUUGACUCGUUUCAGAUUUUUCUUUCAUGAGGAAUACCCAAGUUAAUCUAGUGUGAUCAUCUAUGAAUGAGACAAACCACCUAGUACCAGUUACAUUUUUUAUUCUUGACGGACCCCAGAUAUCGCUAUGAAUCAUUGAGAAUGGACUAGACUCUUUAUAAGGUUGAAUGGGAAAAUGAGACCGGACUUGCUUUGAUAAUUGACAGAUUUCACACUCAAAGGAUUUUGGAUUUUUAUUAAAUAAUGAAGGAAAUAAAUGCUUGAGAUACAUAACAUUUGGAUGACCUAAGCGAUAGUGCCACAACCUAAUUGCACUAUCGUUAUUUUGACAUGAAACCGAAAAAGAAUUACUACCAACUGUCAUUUGAGGUUGUUCUUGUGGAUCGUGGCACUCCUUAAGGAUGUAGAGUCCAGAGCAUUCCUCAGCAUUGCCAAUCGUCUUCCCCGAAUCCAAAUCCUGAAAUUCACAGUGAGUGGAGGAAAAAUUAGUAAUACACCUCUUUUCCUUAGUGAGUUUACUAAUUGACAAUAGAUUACAGUCCAAGUUAGGAACAAGGAGAACAGAGUUGAGAGUAAGAUCCCUUGAUAGCACAACUGAACCUGUUCCGGCAACCUUUGAUAGUGAACCAUCUGCUAUUCGGACUGUUAAAUUAUUUGGACAUGAGCUAUAUGUAUCAAAAAUUGUCGCAUCUCCCGUCAUAUGAUCAGAUGCUCCUGAGUCCACUAUCCAAGGUUUUUUACGUUUCUUACCAGCAGUGAAGGCACUCAAAAAAUUACCUUUGUGAGCCAAGGUUCCGGAACCAAUGACCUGGUUGGAAGAUGAGCCAGUUUGUGACUGUACUGACAAAAGAGGAGACAGUAGUUUCUGAAGCAUCUCCAUCUGAUGAGAGGAUGAAGACGAUGAGAUGAUGAUAUCAGAAGUAGAGGAUGAUGAGUUGGUAGCCAUUCCAAAGGCUGGACCGUAUUUAGGCAUAAAUUAGAAGAAUAGAAUUGAGUAAAAAAACUGACUAAAGAUGAAGACGAUGAGACAGGAUUAAACCUGCUCUGAUACCAUGAAGAAUUUGAAGAAAAAUAUGAAGAAUUUGAAAACAAAAUAUGGAGGAACACCUCAAUUCAUUCUGUGAUCCCUUACUUUACAAUGAAUGAAAGCAUAAAUAAAUAGCCUACGGAUAUGAGACAAUUCCGGAAUGGAAUUUCCCUUACAUGGAAAGUGAAUAAACUCUUACAUGGGAAGUGAAUAAACUACUCUUACAUGGAAAGUGAAUAAACUACCUUGCUAGAAUUACUCCUAAAUCAAUUAUAAUAAAGGCUGUACAUUACACUAAUUAGGGAAGUAAACAGAGGAUGCUGGCUUGAUUUCCAACAUUAACCUUUUAAAAUUUUUAAUAAUAGAGUUAAAUAUAGAAGAGGUAGAGAGUUAGGUACAAAAUAUAUAUGAUUAAACAAGUCACAAGUAUGUUUAAAGUGGUUUGACUUGUAGCAGAUUAGACUAUGUAAUUGAGGUAUUAAAAGGAUUAGUUUUUUUUUUUUUUUUUUUUUUAACUUAAAACAAUUUAAAUUUGGUUUUUGAAAGAGAGUAGGACCGCUCAAGCAGCCUAGAGUGCUUAAGCAGCCUGGAUCGCUCAAGCACUGAUGAUCACUCAAGUGCUCGAGGCGCACAAGCAGUCCAUGAGUUGGCUCAAGCAGUCAUGCAAUUUCUACAGAGAUUUUCACACAAUUUCAAUCGAGAAACCAUCCAAAAUCAAGACUCUUCGGGCUUUUGUCUAUAAAGACCUCCCUAAUAACCCCUAAAGGGCAAAGAGAUUGGAGAAAUUGUGUAGAGAUCACAUUGAGAUUGUUUUUAGAAACAUUUUAUUCCUUGGAAAGGAUCUCCUUGAGAAAAAGCCUAAAGUGUUACACUAUUCUCGAUCUCUCAUUCAAGGAUUGUUCUUUGAAUCUUGGGUUCAAGACCUUUAUCCCUUCAUGGUGGUUGAAGGAUCUACCGGGAAGUAAUAAAAGGUUACUGCAUCAUGGACGUGAAUCAAGUUGUAGGUACUAGAGAGCAAGUCUUUAAGGAAAAGUGGUCAGGUAAAUCUGGGUAACUUGAUUUCAAAUAGUAGAUUUAGAUUAGUGGAUCUUAGAUCUCGUGGUUUUUUUUUUUAUCUCCAUAAUUAGUGUGAGGUUUUCCACAUAAACAUCUUGUGUCUCAUUUUCUAUAUCUUUUAUAUUUGAUAUUCUAUUUGAAUUGCCUGCAAUUGAUUGAAUAGAUUAUCCUUAAAAUCUUGUAAGGUAAAAGAAUUGGGUAUAACAUAUAAAUUUUUAUUGAAAAUUUUUAAAUCACCCAUUAACCCCUAUUGGACUUUCGGUUUUUCAAAUUUAUAUAGAAUAUUGGGUUUCAUCUACUAUUGAGUACUUACACAUGUAUUCCUUAUAAAUCAAUUGAUAGAACAAGCCUCAUGAACUCACAAAAAAAAAAAAAACAAAAAAUAAAAUAAAAAUGAUACAGUUAAUAAUUGUAGAGAUAGAAAGAUUCCUAAAAGAAAAAAUGUGUCAAAACUUAAUAUCGUAAAAGAUAGAGAGGUUUCAUGUAUGUGAUGAUUUUGAUGAAUGGCUGAAUUAUGAAAAAUAAAAGUUACAAAAAGCUACUUAAUAUAAUAUUAUGAAUUUUGAAACUAAAAAGAAAAUGAUUAUUUGUAAAAAUAAAAGAAAUUAUAAAAAAAAAUUAUGAAAAUCCAAUUAAAUUUUGGAUAAAAAAUUUUCAAUGAUACAAUUCAAACUAGUUCAUUUUAAUAAAAUAAUGUAUGAAUGUUUACAAUUUUGAAUUAUGUAACUAAAACAAUUACUAACAAUAUGUUAUUUUAUUUAUGAUAAAAAUAAAAUUUCAAAGUACAAUUUUAAAAUAUUUUGUGAAGUAAGAAGAGUAACCUUUGGCAUUGUCUAUUUUAGUAUUACCAAACAUCUUGCCAUUACUCAGCUUUCAACAAUAAAUAAAUGAAUAAUAAAAAUAAAUAUCUAAUAUUUGUACCUUUUCCCCACUAGCUUCAUGUUGUUGCAUUUUCAAUUCAAUAAAAGCAAACCUAUAUUAGAAAACAUAACAUUAUGAAAACCCAACUUCUAUAAAUCAAUAAACAAAAACUAAUAAAAUAUUAAAUAAAUAUGUAAGAUAUAUACCUUUUUCCGACUCCACUCAUACCAUUGCACUUGCAUUUCAUAAAAAACCAAACCUAAAUUAUAAGCAGAAAUAUGAAAAUUUAGCUUAACUAGAAUCAUAAAGAUUUCUAAUUUAAUAUAUUAAUAGAAUUAAGAUAAAUGACUGCCACAAAAAUUAUUGAAAGGAAGAACAUUUAAACUUAACCAAUGAUACUAAAAUAUCUUGUUAUGAAUUUAUACAUAUAUUAAUAUGAUAUGUGGUUCCUCUUUAAACAUUUCAAAAAUUGGAAUAACUCAACUUCUUCUAACUACGAUCAUUAGUUUUAUCUCAAAAACACUAAGAAUCUAUAUAUGAUUCUUUUUUAUAUUCAUCUUAUCAUGCAAUCUAUUCAUAUAUAUAUAUAUAUAGAUAGAUAGAUAGAUAGAUAGAUGAUGACAAAAAAUACUUUAAAUAAUUAAGGAGUUUUAAAAAUAAUUAUAAUAAGAAAAAUAGACUUUUCCCAUUAAAAUUUUAAUUUUUCAAAAGAUAAAAGAUAAAAAUUAAUUAUUAUUAAAUGAGAUUGGAAAAAAAAUGUUAAAUCUUAAGAUAAAUAAGCCAUGCUAAGGUGUGGCUUGCAGUUUAGUGUGUCUAAUCAUCUCUAAGAUCCAAUGGUCACUUUCUUAUGAUAGUAACACUUCAAAUCACAAAAAAAAAAAAAAAAAAAAAAAAAAAAAAAAAAAAAUUGUGAAUCAAACAAUGUUUUGUACUCUAUACAAAAGUUUAGAUACUUUGAAACUACACACUUGCAACUCACAUUUCAAAUAAAAUGGAAUAUCACACUUAGGAAUAACUUGAAAUGGAACAACACUACACUUGGUUGGAAUGGAAUACCACACAUGGGAAUGACUUGGAAAAGAAGGAGAGAUAGAUGAUUGUUAGAAUGGCGCAAUAUCAUGGAGGGGUUCCCUUUUUAUAGAUGUAGAUGUGUCUGGCAUGUGCCUUACAGAAAAGAUAACACUUCAUGUUGAUGGGCAUUUCAAUUAAACCUAUAGGCAUGUGGGUCUAAGUCAAGCAUAAAUCCAUAACCAUAUAGUUAGGCCCACGUGUAUUUGAGCCCAAGUUCAAGUCCAUGUUUCUUUUAAGCUUACAAAAUGCUUAUAAUCCUCUUCUAGCUAGUGACCUUCAUAUGUGGGAUACUUUCUUCCACAACAUUUUCCAUGAAUAUAUAAGUCAUUUUGAGCUCAUUUCUCAAGCACCCAUAAAUGGUUUUAGCAUAUCAAUAUAUUACAUUCAGCUACUUAUGGAGAUGAAUGCAUUCCAAUUUGGUCCCAUCUUAAAAUUUUCAAGGAAAUUUUAGUUCAAAGUUAUCCUUUUAUCAUUAUUUAAAAAACCAUUUUUUCCAACAAUCCCUCACAUAAAAGGAAAUUUACUUAUCAUAUGCAAAUGACAUGUAAACACUUGAGAAAGUAUUCUUUAGAUAGAAGUUGCAUUAGGAUAUAGGUAGCUUGUGGCUUUGGAAUUUCUUUAGUGAAAUAUUAUUGGAUUUACUAGAAAAUCAUCAAAUAGUGUGAUGUCUUGAACUUUUAAACUUUUAUAUUUAAACCAUGAUAAUAGUAUUCACAUAGCUACUUCUCAGACAUCAUUUAUUAUGAUAAUUAUGUAUAUUUUAGCCUUGAACAACUCCAAGUUUUAACGAGCGUUUUAGAGAAUCUCAACCCCAAAACAAUAUCAUUUAAAAGCAAGCAUAUCAUACUCCACAUGGUUUUUCAAAUAGAACUCUUUAUCAUCAAAUCUUAGCCUAACUCAUAGUGUAGAUAAAGCUAUUUCAUCAUAGGAAUAUGUAUGAGAGAUAAUAUCUCUAGUGCUUUAAUUUAUUCAUACCUAAGUUGUCCCUUUAUGCCUAAAUCUUGCUAUCUCUAGUAAGCUAGUUGGUUUAGUAUUAUGAAAAAUUUUCAGUCAUAGGCUUUAUCUCAUCCCCUUGAUGAGUAGUUAACUUGAUCUCUUAAUAAACCUAAGUGGAUCCACAAGCGUUUCAUUUGAAAGUAACUAUCUCAUAGUAUUGUGUUUUUAACAAAUGUUGAGAUUUACCAUUGUUCAUGUGAUAUUGUGCUCUUUCAAGAACAGAUUGAUUAUCACAAUAUAUGUUGAUGUUGAGCAUAGGUUUUAGCUAGCAUUAUAUGCCCUCUUGGAAAUUACAAAGUCAUUGUGCAUCUUCUAGACCUAGUUUGUCUAAUGUUAAAAAUUUAGAUCUCAUGGAGGAUCUAGUAAUUUACCUUUGUUUUAAGAACUUCUAGGAUAUCACCUCUCUUUUCAUAUCAAUGCAUAAUCACUAAUAGAUUCAAAGUCCUUUCUAUUGGAUAUCUAAUUUUCAUCAUUAACCCCCAUAGGGUUAGAGACAACUAUUCUAACUAAAUACCCCACUAAAUUAUAAAAAGGUCUUUAUCCUUUCCAUAACUCAUAUAUAUGGAGUUGUAUCUCUGUUCAAGCUAUAAUUUUGAAAAAAAAAAAAAAAAGUCACUCAAUACUUCUUUUCUACAUGUAUUCCUUGCAUAAUGCUUUGUUACUCUUGGACUUCACUCAUGACUAUCUUAGAGCCAAUCAUUUUGUAAUCCUAAACUUUUUUUACUAUGAAAUUCUUAAACCAACAUCCUUUGUCUUAUGCUUUUUCCUCAAGAAACUCUCAUAGUUCCUUUGUAGUAUUUACAUGACCAUACACAUUAUGUACUAUGUUGUCCAAACCAUUGAGGAUGUUGCUCUUGCAUAGGAAAUGAGAAUGAUUCCAAGCUUCCAUAAUUGAAUGUGCUUGCACAUUUCUUUCACCUCCCUUGAAACGAGGGCAUCCUUUUGUAACACUCUAGCAAGCUUUAGAGUUGUUAAGUAGAACAACCUUUUUUAUCGUCACCUCUUGAAUUAUAUUCUAAGGAAAUUCUCUAGCUUCAAUAAGAAUUGUUGUGCGAAUUAUUGAAAAAUAUAUAUGCACUAAUAACCAUGUAAACAAAAUAAAUAAAGCAAAAAGAAAUUAAAAAUAAAAAAUAAGAUUAAAUGAGGCUAGAGUUUGACUGUGUUCUUAAACUGAAUUUCUAUCAUUUAAGUGCUUCUAGUUUAGUUACAAUAAUGUCCUAGAAUACAAUUAUCACAUUCUUGUGAUAGUGGUACUUCAAAUUAUAAGAAAUUGUGAAUCAAAUAAUAUUUUGUACUCUCUACAUGAGCAUAAAUUAUUAAAAUGGGCAUAAGAUUAGAGAAAUUUUGUUAUGAACCUCUAAUCACUACUAUAAUCCAUAAUUAUCUCAUGUUGGUAGUCUACAUAUUGAAGGGUUUUGACCACAAAGAAAAAAAAACACUUUAAAAAAUAUGAUAGCCAUUAAAAAUAUUGAAAUUAAAUAUGCAUGGAGUUCCUAAGUGAAUAGAUUUUUUAUAUAAAAAACAAAAUGGAACUUAAUUUUCACCAUUUGAGCUAAUGUGGUGUCAAUUUCUCCAAAUGUACCUGCAAGAUUAGGAAGUAGACUUAAUCGAACAUUUGUUAGCUGUGUUUUAUGAGUUCCAAUGGGUUUCAAAUGUUAUGAAAAUUAUCUUUUCUUUCUUUUAUUAAUUUUUGGCUUCUUAUUCAUCCAAAAUAUCAUAUAUCGAAAACCAUAAUGAAACUGAAGAAUUUACAUCCACUAGUCAAAAUGUAAAAGCAAUGAAUUCACCAAUAAAGACUUAAACUCUUACAAUUUUUCAAAGCUCGUAAAUAUUAUAUUGUAUGAUCAAGAGUAAUUUAUCAAAUACUAAAAAAAAAUCACAACUUAAGCUAAAAAAAAAAUUGAAAACUCAAGAAAAAUUGGAUAGUACCUUAGUAAGAGACGCAUCCAAGUAGAGGAUAUGUGCAACUUCACCAAAGAGCCUACACAUUGCUCAUAAAGGUUGAAGAAAAAGAAAAAGAAGAAGAGGGAUUCACAAGCAUGAGGGAUAAUUUAGAGAUAGCGAAAUUGAGAGAUUGAGAAGAAUAUAUAGCGAUAGGGCGAUUGAGAUGGUUUAAUGGCCAAACAAUUAAGAAAGAAGGUGAUACUCAUAUUGAUUGAGAUUGUGAAAAUUUAUCUUUCGUUUAUUUGAUUUUCAUAGGAACCAAAUAGAAAAUUAGGGUUUUUGAUUUUAAGAGAUUUUGAGACUAGGUUGGUUGAAACAAUAGCCAAAAGUUUCAUUAUUUGGAGGCACAUUAUAAAGAUUCAUUCCUUAUAAAGCAAAACAUAAAAGGUAAAAUAAAAUUAAAGCUCUAAUUAUAUUUGAUUCUUAAGAGAUAUUUUGUGUUUUUCUAAGAAAAUUUAAAAAAUAAUAAUAACUUGAUUUUAUUUCUUUCAUUUUAUCCCAUCACAUUUACCUUUGUCAAUAUAGAAAUUUUGUUCAAGUGUUUCUUAAAAUAUUUCUACCAUAAACGAAAUUAGUGUCUCCAUUUUCUUGAUAAUUGAUGUUAUUGAACAAUUAAAGUUAAGAUAAUUUUACAUAUUUUAAACAUUUUGAUUAAUUUUAAGUUUUUUGGCAAAAUAUGAAAAAAAAAUUAAAAUAUAUUUUGAAAAACCAAAUUGAAUUUUAUAAAUAUUAAAAAAAAAAUCAUUAGAUUUGAAAAAAUUCAUAUUCAAAUAUUUUAAAGAUAAAAUAUUAUAAUGUUGAUUAUUUAUUACAAUAAUUAGAGGUAGAAAAAAUUUUAUUAUUUCUAUUAUUUUGCUACCAUGUCCAUUAAAAGAACAGGGCAUUAGGCUAAGAAAGGUAUUAACAUACCAUAAAACUAUUAUCAUUUUGCAUUGGUUGGUUUGCAAAUGAAAUAUGUCAAAUGAAGUAUGUUUGUAAACUUGCUUAGUUGUAUAAUCUUUAAAUGCUUAUUAUUAUGGUUUCAAGCUGACUUAGUUGUCUAAUCUUCAAAUGUUUUUUAUUAUUAUUAUCAUCAUUCAUGUUUGGCUCCAGUUAAAUCCCAAACUUAAAGUAUACUUUCCAACACUUAUAAAACUAGCAUAUAUAUAUAUAUAUGCAUAAAUGUGCAAAAAGUUCAAGUUUGUUAUAUAGAUAUGUUUUUUGUAUUUGUUAAACUGGAGCAUCUUUGACCAGCAUCCACCAUAAAUUCAUUCAUAAUUCAAUUAAGUCAAAACUAAGGGGGACCUCAAUACUAUAACUUCCAUUAGCAUCAUGUUAUUUUCUAAUGAACAUAAUCUAUCUAUUUGUUGUCAAAAAAUAUCAUUUUGAUUCAUCACCAGACAAAUCUACUAUGUGCUUUCAUGUGAUUGUUUUUAAUAUCUAUUUGUCAUCACCUAGUUGUAGUACAAUCAACUUAAUUUUUCGUUUUAAUUAAAAUCAUACAAAAAAAAGCUCUCAAUCAAAAUAAACCAACAUUUGCAAAAUGGAACAUAUAAGUUCAAUUUUGUAGGCCCAAUAUUAUCUCCCAUAUCAUGUUCGUGACAUACACAAGGAAAUAAGAAAAUCAUAAUUAAAGCCCUCACCCUAAUGAUAUUUACGAAAUGUUGGAGUAUAUAAAAGAUCAUUUGGUCUCACUAAAAGUCUAGCAUCACCUAGCUUAGAAUGAUAGUGACUCUUAUAUCAACUGGGAUCUUAAAUGAUGUAACACUCAGCUAGAAAAAUUCUAGUAUACUAAUGAAUGAUGAAGACAAGUUAUGAGCAUAUGAAUAUGUAAUUUUCUCAUAUCAACAUAAGAGAAUUUUUUAACUAAAAAACAUAAUUGCUUGAUUUGGAUUUUUUUUUUUAAUUAUAAGAAUGUGUUUAAGAGGUUGUAGGUACCUUCGAUUUGAUUAUCAUUGUAACAAGCAUCUAAUGUUGUUAUCCUUAUGAUCUCACUCAUGAAGGAGCACCUGAAUUAUACUAGUGAAAAUGAUUGAUGACAAGUGACGUGAUGUCGUUUGGAGGUUUAUAAAAGUUCAAGGCAUUCACACAUUAUUAUUAGCUAGGUUCUGACCUCUCUUCUUUUUGUUGUCUGUGGUUUAUAGCUCCAAGCAAAGACCAUACUUGUUCUUCAAUAUGGGCUUUGAGGACUUAUGGUUUGUUUCCCAUUCAUAGGCUUUGAGUAGGUCGAAGUACUUGGUUUUAGUUGUCACACCAUUGAAAAUAGCCACCAAUUUUUUUCCUGAGUGUGCAAUGCUAAGACACCGAUCUUAGCCAACCUUUCUGAAGGCCCAAAACAAAAGUAAUGCAAAUGUAACCAAGGCAACAUAGCAGAUACAUGAACCUUCCCAACUUCUAUUUGACUUUAAAACUAAAAGAUUACAAAACUUUUUAAGUAUACCAACACUUGUACAAUUUUGUCUAAUUAGAGAAACCAAAGACAAUGACAUAGUUUGCUUUCUUUCUAGAUUACUCACUCUUAGUCUCUCUCUACAAUGCAAAGGCUUUUAUAGAGGAGCCUUCUCAAUUGAAUUUUGAAUUCAAACCUUUGAAUUCAAAAUAGGAGCUUAACUAAUGGUUAUGCAACUUGUCACAACCACCCAACUAAGGAUACUCCUUCCUAAUAAAAGUGUCUUUUCAUGCAUCCAAUAAUGUUCCCUUUCAUGCUAAGCCCUGUCUUAUCCUUACAAAGUACCUUUUGCCAACAAGUGCCUUUGUAACCAUCUCAUGUCACUCAGCCACACAUAUCCUUCUUUGAUCCAAUUAGCCUAAGGUCAUGUCUGGUUCUCUUCUUCCGAGCCAAGCUCUUGCCAAUCUAGUCUUCAACCCUUUUUCAUGUGAGUUAGCCCACAUUAAACACCUUGUGUGCAUGCCACCAACCUACGUCAAUCAUCUUGCCUUGACCAUGCCCAUGUGUUCAGCCAUCUCUCUAAUGCAUCAGUGCACAUCGACACACUGAUAUCCACAGAGCACCCUUAUACCAUGUCUAAGUGCCCAUGAUACCAAGGUGGUGGUGUUCUUGCUUAAUGAACUAGAUUUUUGCAUGGCCCUUCCAUGCCUUAGCUGUGUCAGCCAUGCACCAACAUCUCUACAUUGGUCUGAUUGUUUUUCUGGCUUCUCGUAUGCCAUGCCUAAGUCUCUCUUGGUUGCAACUAUGUGUUAUAGCAUUGCAACCAUGGCUAAUCAUCCAUGUGCACAGGGCACUGCACCCUUAUGCCUUACUUUUAUAAUGCAUUUGAUACCUUCCUCAUUGUUGUAACAGCACCAUGCUCGUGUCCAAGACCCUUCUUGGUGUAACAACAUGCCAUGGCAUUGCAUGCCCAUGGCUUGUCUAUCCCAUGCACAGGGCAUUACGCACCUGUGUAACACAUUAGGAACCCAUCUAAGGCAUCCAUAUUACUACAGUAGCACCAUGCCAUGUUGAGGCCUUCCUUAGUUACAAUAGCAUGCUAUAACUUUGCACUCAUGGCCCAUUGACUCACCUCCAUGAACAAGGUUGACCAGCCUCGUGCCAACAUUGGUAAAGGAUAGGUUGCACCAUGCCUCAUGCCAUUGCGACCACGGGUUGCAUGCCACAUAUGUCGUGCAACCUGUGUGUGCGCUAACAUGUCAUUUAUAUGCCAUAUAGUUAUAUAAGUUUGGUUUUCUAUUAAUAUUAAACAACUUUGAAACAAGAAAACAUCUAUUUUUCUCCAUAUAACAUACAUGUUCAUUUCCUUCUUAAAUCUCUGCAACUUAGUUUGAAAGUAAUUUUAAAGAGAAGAAUGAGAUAUAGCUUAGUAGAAAAGGAAUCAACUUUAACAAUAAAAUUUAUAAAACAUCUUGUACACCAUAAGGCAACAAUUCAAUGUAACAUCAACUUUAACUCAAUAAUAGCAGGUAUAAUCAUACAAACCAACAAUUUUCAAAUCAUAUACUUCCCUUGAUAAGUUCAUUUCUAUGACCUAUAAAAAUUAUUAACUUAAAAGUAUUUGAGGCUCUCAGCAAGGUACAUGCAUCCAUACUCCCCCAUUAAUCCAUGCAUAGAUAUUCCUAGGGGAUGUUUUUAGGUCUUUCACUGUAGGAUACUCUACCCUUCUUCCUCUAAGGACUCUCACUCACAAACCAUUCCCUCUAUUUCUUUUUACCUUUCAUUUCAAACCACCCUUACUAAUGCCUUUGUUUUUUUUUUUCCAGAAGUUGUGUUAGUGCAUUCAGCAUGUGUCUAUGUAGCUUAGCUACAUCAAGAAGUUACUUCUAGUAAGAACAGAGCAUAUCUCAAUAAAAUAAAUUAUACUUCAAACAAGAGCAAUAAAUUUCAUAGAAUAAUUAUAGUAUUUGCACCAUUAGAAUUUCUACAUAUGCAUGCACCAUACCACUUAUUAAAUCAUUUUUAAAACUAGAUUUAACCAAACUUUUGAUCCAAGUUUUUUUAUAAAUAAUCACGUAUAAAAUAUAGUUUUCAAAAAAAUAAAAAAAUUCCCUACCUAUCCAACAACUUGAGUAACCUCAACCUUUAACUUUUCUCUUCACUUUCCUUUUAAAUUGCCUUUCAAAUUCUAUCCCAAAAACUUCCCUCACCACCUUCACAUUUCAACUUUUAUACACAAAAUAGAGGCUGAACUUCAAGGUGUUUUCAGAUUUUCCCCUUGAAAUCUCUCUUAGUGUCCUUCCCAUCUCUGGUUUCUCACACUUAGACCAACCCCUUUUCACUUGUACCACAAAACAAUAGCUAGAUCCCGUCACGACUAAGUAAAAUAAUUACCUCCUGUUGAAAUCUCUAUCACUUAGCUCAACUAGCUAGUUACUAAGCAACCAACCUACUUUUGACCAAUAAAAGCUUAGAAACAACACUUACUCUUUAACCGUCUUUCUCUUAACUUAACAAACUAACCAACUUCUUUAAUUAACCAACCAAAUGCUUUAGUUAACCAAGACACUAAACCUCAUUAUGGAAUUAAGCACUCUUAAAUUAUCCUUUAACAAAAUCAGGGUCAUUACAAUAAAAUCUAUAAUAUAUUUUUUAUAGUUUUUAUUAAGACUAAAUUCUAUAAUGUUCUACAAUAAAAUCUAGGUCAUUGUAGUUAUUUGGCCAAUAUCCAAACAUAAUUGAUUUUUUGCAAAAGAAAAAAAUGAAAAACUAAUCUAAGUACUAUUGGCAUAAGCGUUAUAAACUAAAAAUGCUAUAAACAAGAACAAUGUUUACCAUAAUUUUCUUGAAAAUGGUGCUAAAUGUGACCCCUUUGACACAAAUAAUAGAGUGAAGGGAAAAAAACAGAACAAUAAUAGAAGGAAAGUGGUAAGAAAAUAGAAAGCAAUAACGUUAUAAUAGCAGGAGUCCUAAAGUGCUCACACCUUGUCUAUUGGCUACCAAACUUUCUUCUUCCAAUCAACCAAUGUCUCACAAAAAUCUUUUACAUUCUAAAGUGAUGUAAUUAUUUUACACAAUCAUACUUAUGUUGUAAUAAAUACUUAUGUUGUAAGAAUUAUAAUAGAAUACACAAUCAUUCUCAAACUAUACCAUAGUACUAGAUUUUUCAGUAUCUUUGUCCUCAAAAUUACUUUAAGUGAUACAACUGUUUUGGGGAUAUGUUCAAAUUGAUGAUGCUUCUGUAAUUAUUUUCCUUGGAUUAGCCCUUUUCCUCCUCCCAAUCCAACAAUAAUCAUAGCCUUCCUCUGGAUUCACCAAAAAAUAAGGUUUCCAACUCCGUUUCUGGGUUAUUUUGACAGGUUUGUCAGCAGUUUCUACAAGAAGUUUCUUCCUAGUAGAACGUUGAUUUAAUCUAUCAAAAGAAUUGUAGUCUAUAAAAGUGUCCUUCGUCUGAGAAGCAUCAUUACAGAUCAUUGACUUCAAAGAUUCUUCCCCAGAUGGACCAACUUCUCUAGGACAGACAACGUCUUCUGAGAACACUUUAGCCACCUGUUCAAAAAAAAAUUUAUUUCCUAUCAAAGAUGUUAAAUUUAAGUUAUUUCAGAAAAUGUAAUUGAGAAUGAGUAAAUACACAUUGUUAAAAUCUGUUGUCUUCUGCGGUAGUACUUUACACCCACUAAACCUUUUAUAUAGCAGUCAAUAAACUAACAGUAGUCAAAAGCCAUCUCGUUGAACAUGGCUUCUUCACAGAAGAUAGAAUUAAUAUAGAUGUACAAGUCUAUGGGAAGCAUAAAUCUAUUAGUGAUGGAGCUAGGGUAUGCAACCUAGGCCAAAUUCGUGCACUGGAAGUGAAACAAAAAACUAUGAGAAACUCACCAAAUGUGCCCUUGAACCACUGACAUUGAGAUUAUAUUGUCGGGUGUUAGAUUCAUUUUGGCAAAUGGUAGCAACAGCUGGAGCAUAAUCACUCAAACGAGUUCCCAGGCAUUUUACCACUUCCAUGAGAUAUGGCCUAAGCUUGGCUGCACAGUUGGUUAUAGCUUUCUCUCCCAACCUCCAACAAAUAGGUGACACAUUCUGGAACAAACAAUAAACCAUGUCAAUAAAUAUUAUAAAAUUAAAAUGAAAACCAAGGAAUUAAAUAAAAUCAAGCAAAAGAUGAUUAUUGCCUUAUUAUCCUUUCUCACAGUAGCUAGAAUGGGACUAAGAAGCUCAACCGAAACAUAUUCACUUUCAUCCAUGACCAGAGUCAUAAUAGUCUCCAUGGCUGAAAAUACUUCUUCUGGGUGGUCAGACCUUAAAAUCAAGAGAGAGCAUCAAUUGAAGGAUCCAAUUUUGCAUUCACUAAAUCCAUUUUAUGCAUAAAUCAAUUUAAAUCUGAAACUGGGAAAAACAACAUAUAUAUAUAUAUAUAAUUAAAGCUCUCACCUAAUGACAUUUAGAAAAAGUUGGAACAUAUCAAUAAUUGUUCGGUCACAUUCAAGGUCCAGCAUCACCAGGCACCAUCUGUAGGUUGCAACACUCUUAAGAAUUGAAACGGCCUUGGAAUAACAAGGACUCCUCAUAUCAGACAAGUUCUCAAAUGAUGCUACAGUCAGCUGGAAAAUUUCCUGUGUGCCAACGAAAUGAAGACAAGGAGUUAUGAGCACGUAGUUGAGUGUUUCUGAAACAAAAGAAAACUUCUUGAUUUGGCAUAUUAAGUACCGUCAUUUGAUUAUCAUCAUAAGGAGCAUCUGGUGCCGUUAUCCUUGUGAUCUCACUUAUGCAGGCAACAGCUGACACUUUGACAUCACCAUUUCCAUGCUUCAAGAUUUGAUCUGCGACCAAUGCUUCCAUGAGACUUGAAAGUGCAAUCUUUGUUGACAUACAUGGUUGUUGUUCCACCUUUGCCAAAUAAGACUCGGCCUUCUGAAAGACAGAAUGAAAGAAGAGGAUGAAUCAAUUCACAAAAACUUAUUGUUACACUCAACACAAGUGAUAAGCAGAAAACAUUCAAGUCAUCGGAAAAGGAUAACCCAUAAAGCUAUAAUCAUAAUCCCACGGAUAACAUACCGGUAUGAAACGAUCUAAUAAGCAAUUAAUUCAACAGAAGAAAAGAAAAAAAUAUCAACGAAUUCAAUAGGAUUAAAACAGGAUCCACUUAAUAGGCAUUUGAUGGAAAAUGAAAACGCAUAUGAAACGAUCACUUCUAUAUCAACAAAGAAAAAUAAAAAACACCAUGCCGCACACAAAAGUUGAUUUUACCACCCACAUAUAUGGAUAUAUAAAGCAUGAGAGUUACUUCAAGAAGAGGUAAGAGUUCCUCAGCAGAAGAUGGAGGGUGCAGAAGCCUAUUCCCAACAUCUCUUAGCUUUGCUUCAAACCCAUUACUUGCAGAAGCCAUCUCUAUACAAAUCUAAAGCCUAGAAGAUAUCGAAGAUAAUGCAAACAAAGUCUCUUAUAGAGAGAACCCUAGCUUUCGGAUUCUGCCCAAUUUAUAAAUUUUUCUUUAGUUCAGAAAUUUGAAGUUCGGAAUCGCUGUUCCCACUUGCCAGUGUGCCUCUACGUGGCUUUGCCCUGCCAGUGCUGUUAUGAAUAGAUUGUGGACUGGCCUUUUAUGGUUUCCUGAAUUUACAUGCAUACCCUUCCUGUUUUCACAUUCCUCUUUGUUUUACAUCCGACGUCCGUAGAAACUUCUUUUUCUUAAUACAAUUUAAUAUUUUUUAUUUUAUUUUUUAAACCUUUUAAAGAUUUAAACAAUAGAGUUAAAUAUAAAAGAGGUAGAGAGUUCGAUACAAAAUCAGAGGCAGAGCCAGGCAUUCUGGUUAGAGGGGAGCCAGGUUGUCAAGGUUCAAAUAUGGACAUUGAGUAUGAUUCGGUUUGGAAAGUGUCGUCACAAACAGUUUUUAAAAAUUAUUCUUUGAAAUUUAAUAAAACAAAAGUUUAUUUAGGAUUCUAAAAUAUUUUUAAUCAUUUAUAAAUACGUUUUAAAAAUAAUUUUUACAUAUAAUGUUUUAUUUUUAAUCAUUUUGUAUAUUAAUUUGUAUGGUUAUUUUUUUAAACAAACCUAAAAAAUCAAAUGAAAAUAACCCAAAACCACUAAAAUUGGUCUUUGAAAUACAUGUUUUUUUUAAUGUUAAAUAUAUUUUCCUAUAUCUUUGUUUAUUUUUAAGAAUAAAAAACUAUUUUAAAAAAUUGUAACUAAAUAAAAUCUAGUGUAAAAAUCAACUAAAAGUAAUGAGAUUUUUUUCCUUAAAAUUUUCUAUGAUGUGAUAAGAUUAGAAUAUAACACUAUUAGUAAAGUAAAAUUUUAAAGCUAAAUAUAAAUUCUCAUAAUGUGAAUAAUUAAAUAACACACAAUCUAGUAUAAUUAUUUGAUUUAUUUCUAAAUUAGAUAUUAUUUAAUUAAUUCUCAAAAUAAAUAAAAAAUCAAACUCAAAAUUGAAAAGCACAUACAAUUUAAAAUAAUUAUUUAAUAAAUACCAAAUACAAAAUUAUCAAAAAUUUAAUAUUAUUAGAAAAGUUAUAAUAAAGUUUAAAAUUUAUGAAAGAAUGAGAAAUAAAUAAGAUGUUGUACGCAUGACAAAAAUUAAAUUAAAUUUUAAAAACUCAAAAUUAAAUUUAUCUUUUUGGAGUAAAAAGUUUAUAUUUCAUUUUUUUACUAUUUGAAAAUCUUUAAUUAUAUAUAUGAGAUUUUUUUGGCAAAAAAAAAAAAAAACCAAUUAAGGGGAGCAUGUUCCCGGCUCCCAUUGGCUCCGCAAUGUACAAAAUGUAUAUGAUUAAACAAAAGAGAAAGAAAUUAAUUUGUAGCAACAAUUAAUAUUUUAUUCUUACAUGUUUUGUUUUAAUUAAUUAUAUUUUUAAUAUUUUUUAUUAUUAAAACGAAGUUUUUAUUCAUUUUUCAUGGAAAUAGAUAAGAAGAUGAAUGCUUUGAAAAACAACUACAGAUUGGUGUAAUGAUAUGCAGGUGUAAAAUUAUUGUUAACCAUUUCAGCAUGGGAAGAUUUUUCUACGGGAAGUGAUAUGUGCCCUACAUUUCAAUUAUUUGUUAUUUAAUUUUUAAAUUUUUAAUAAAAUUUUGCUAUAUUUAAUUUUUCAUAUUAAGAGUUUGUGUUUGAUUUUAACCAUGGGAAAUAGUAUGCCUAAAUAAUACUAUAAUAAAUAAUAAAACUAAUCAAGUUCUCAUUGAUCACUUAAAUAAUAAAAUCCCUAUAAAAUAAUACUCGUGAAACCAAGAGAAAUCAUUAUAUUAACGAGGAUAUUGAUUUAUUAACAAGUGAAUAGUUUAUUAAUUUAUUAAUAAAUGAAUAUUUAUUAAUUUAUAUAGAAUAUUAUGUUUAAUCAACUAUUUGCUACUUAUACAUGUAUUCCUUAUAAAUCAAUGGAUAAAACAAGCGUCAUAAACUCAAGAAAAAAAAGAUAUAAUUAUUAAUUGUAGAAGACAAAAAGGUUCUUAAAAGAAAAAAUGUGUCAAAACAAACAUGUGAUGGUUCUAAUGAAUGAUUGAAUUAAGAAAAAUGGAAGUAGUAAAAACUUAAUAUAAUAUUAUGAAGUUGGUAACUAAAAAAAUAUUGAUUAUUUGUAAAAAUAAAAUAAAUUAUAAAAAAUUAUGAAAAUCACAUUAAAUUUUGGAUAAAAAAUUUCAAUAAUACAAUUCAAACUAGUGUAUUUUUAAUAAAAUAAGGUAUACAUGUUUACAAUUUUGAAUUAUGUAACCAAUUAAAUACUAAGAAAAUAGUUAUUUUAUUUAUAAUUAUAAUAAAAUUUUAAAAUAUAAUUGCAAAAUAUUUUCUAAAGUAGGAAGACUAAGGUUUGGCAUUGUUGUUUUAGUAUUACCAAAUAUAUCGCCAAUACCCAACUUUAAACUAUAAAUAAAUAAUAAAAAUAAAUAUCUAAUAUUUGUACCUUUUUCACACUAGCUUCAUGUCGUUGCAUUUGUCAUUCAUUAAAAGCAAACCUAUAUUAGAAAACAUAAAAUCAUGAAAAUCUAACUUCAUACUAUAAAUCAACAAGCAAAUACUAAUAAAAUAUUAAAUAAAUAAGUAAGGAAUAUACCUUUUUCCGACUCCGCUCAUUCCAUUGCAUUUGCAUCUCAUAAAAAACCAAACCUAAAUUAUAAACAAAAACAUGAAAAUAUUAGCUUAACUAGAAUCAUAAAGAUUUCCUACUUGAUAUAUAAUUAAAAUAUAUUAAUAUAGAUGAUGGUCACUAAAAUUAUUGAAAGGAAAACAUUCAAGCUUAACCAAUGACACUAAAAUAUCUUUUUAUGAAUUUAUACAUAUAUUAAUCUAACAUAUGGUUCCCUCUUCAAACAUUUCAAAAAUUGAAAUAACUCAACUUCUUCUAACUAAGACCUUAGUUUUGUCUCACAAAUACUAAGAGUCUAGAUAUGAUUCUUUUUUAUAUUCAUCUUAUCAUGCAAUCUAUUCAUAAAUGCAUAUAGUGAUGAAAAAUAAAUAAAUAAGGAAUUUGAAAAAUAAUCAUACUAAGAAAAAAAGACAUUGUCCAUUAAAAUUUUAAUUUUUCAAAAGAUAAAAGGAUAAAAAAUUAAUUAUUAUUAAAUGCAAUUGAGAAAAAAAAAAAUGAAUGUGUCAUGCUUAAGUGCUUGCAGUUUAGUGUGUCCAAUCAUCUACAAGAUCCAAUAAUCACUUUCUUGUGAUAGUAGCACUUCAAAUCACAAAAGAUGGUUAAUAAAACAAUGUUUUGUACUCUAUACGAAAAUUUAGAUGCUUUGGAACGACACAUUUGCAACUCACAUUUGAAUUGGAAUGGAAUGCCACACUUGGGAAUAACUUAAAAUGGAACAUCACACUUGGUUGGAAUGGAAUACCACACUUGAAAAUGACUUAGAAAAAAAUGAGACAUAGAUGAUUGAUGUAAUGACGAAAUAUCAUGGAGGGGCACCCUUUUUAUAGAUGUGGAUGUACCCCCUAAAGGUGUGCCUUAAGGAAAAGAUAACACUUCAUGUUGAUGAGCAUUUCAAUUAAGCCUAUAAGCAUGUGGGUUUAAGUCAAGCCCAAAUCCACACCCAUAUAGUUAUGCCCACUUGUAUAUGAGCUCAUUGAAGCUCAUGUGUCUUUUAAACAAAUGCUUAUAAAGUCCUCUUCUAGCUAUUGACCUUCAUAUGUGUGACUACUUUCUUCCACUACAUUUUCCAUGAAUAUAUAAGUCACUUUGAGCUCAUUUCUUAUGCACCCCAUAACUAGUUUUAGAUGUCAAUAUAUUACGUUCAUCUACUUAUGGAGAUGAAUUAAUGCAUUCCAAUUUGGUCCCACCUUAAACUUUUCAUGGGGCUCGCUCAAAUUUUAGUUCAAACUUAUCCUUUUAUCAGUAUUUAAAAAGCAUUUUUCCAACAAUCCCUUACAUGAAAGGAAAUUUACUUGUUAUAUGUAAAUGAUAUGUUGACGCUUGAGAAAGUAUUUUUUAGACAUAAGUUGCAUUGGGAUAUAAGUAGCUUGUGGCUUUGGAAUUUCUUUAGUAAAAUACUAUUGGAUUUACUAGCUAAUCAUCGAAUAACGUGAUGUCUUGAGCAUUUUAACUUUUAUAUAAACCAAGAUAAUAGUAUUCACACAACUCCUUCUCAAACAUCAUAGAUUCUAACAGUUAUAUGUAUUUUAGCCUCGAACAACUCCUAUUUCUUAUGAGUGUUCUAGAGAAUUUCAACCUCAAAAUAGUAUCAAUUAAUAGCAAGACUAUCAUACUCCACAUGAUUUUUUAAAUAGGAUUCCUUAUAAUCAAAGCUUAGUCUAAUUUACAACACAGGCAAAACUAUUUCAUCAUAGGAAUAGGUAUGAGAGAUAAUCUCUCUAAUGCUUUGAUUUAUUCAUAACUAAGUUGUCCCUUUAAGCCUAAAUCCUGGUACAUUUAGUAAGUUAGUUUGGUUUACUAUUAUGAAUAAAUUUUAGUCAUAGGCUUUAAUUUCAUUCCUCUUGAUGAGCAAUUAACUUAUUCCCUUGAUAAAAUUAAGUGGAUCCACAAGAUUUCCAUUUGAAAGUAGUUAUCCCAUAGUAUUGUGUUUUCGACAUAUAUAACGAGAUUUACCAUUAUACAUGUCAUUGUGUGCCCUUUCAAUUGAUUAUCACAACAUAUGCUUAUGUUGAGCAUAGGUUUUUAGCUUGCAUUGUAUGCCCUCUUGGAAAUUACAAAGUCAUUAUGCUUCUUUUAAACCUAGUUUGUCUAAUGUUAAAAAUUCAGAUCCCAUGGUGGAUCUAAUGAUAUACCUUUGUUUUAAGAACUUCCAUAAUAUCCAUUUUCUUUUCAUUAUGAAUACAUAACCUCUAAUAGAUUCAAAGUCCUUUCUACUAGAUAUCUCAUUGUCAUGAUUAAACCCCUUUAGGGUUAGAGACAACUAUUUUAACUAAAUACCCCAACACUUUCAAGAACUUAAAGAAAUAUCUUUAUCCUUUCCAUAACUUAUAUUAUAUAUAUCUCUAUCCAAGCUAUAAUUUUGAGAGAAAAAAAAAAUCACUCAACACUAUCUUUUCUACAUGUAUUCCUUACAUAAUGUAUUGUAACUCUUGGACUUCACUCAUGACUAUCUUGGUGUCUAUAAUUUUGUAAUCAUAAACUUUGUUGACUAUGAAAUUCUUCAAGCUAGCAUAGAGAAGGAGAACGAUUCCAAGCUUCCAUAGUGCAUAUACUUGCAUAUUACUUUCUCCUCCCUUGAAACAGGGACAUCCUUUUGUAAGACCCAAGCAAGCUUUAAAGUUGUGAAGUAGAAUAACAUUUUUUGUUGUCACCUCUUGAAUUGUAUUAUAAGGAAAUUCUCUAGCUUAAAUAAGAUUUUUUGUGUGAAUUAUUGAAAAAUAUAUGCACUAACAAUUGUGGAAACUAAAUAAAUAAAGCAAAUAGAAAUGAAAAAUAGAAAAAUGAGAUUAUGAGACUAGAGUUUGACUGUAUCCUUAAGGUGAAUUUACCUCAUUCAAGUGCUUAUGGUUUAGUGACAAUCAUGUCCGAGGAUACAAUGAUCACAUUCUUGUGAUAGUAGUACAUUAAAUCAUAAGAUCGAAAUGAUGAAUCAAAUAACAUUUUGUACUCUCUACAUAAGCAUAGAUUAUUAAAGUGCAUGGGCAUAAGAUUAGAGAAACUUUGUCACGAACUUCUAAUCAAUGCUAUAAUAAUCCAUAAUUAUUUGGUGGUGUUAGCCUACAUAUAGAAGGGUUUUGACCACAAGGAGAAAAACACUUCAAAAUAUAUAUAUAUAUAUGAUAGGCACUAAAAAAAAUUGAAAUUGCAUAUGUAUUGAGUUCCUAAGUAAAUAGAAUUUUUAUAUAAAAACCAAAAUGGAAACUUAAUUUUCACCCUUUGAGCAAAUGUGGUAUCGAUUUUUCCAAAUGUAUCUACAAGAUUAGGAAGUAGGCUCAAUAGAGUAGUUAUUAUCUAGUUUUAUGAGAAUGGGUUUCAAAAGUUUUGAAAAUUAUAUCUUUCCUUUCUUUUAAUAAUUAUUGGCUUAUUAUUCAUCCAAAUAUCAUAUAUUGAAAAAUUGAAGAAUUUACAUCCAUUGCUCAAAACGCAAAGGCAAUUGAUUCACCAAUAAGGACUUAAAAUCUUACAAUUUUCAAAGCUCAUAAAUGUUAUAUUAUAUGAUCAUGAGUAAUUUAUCAAAUACUAAAAAAAACAAAACAAAACUUAAUCUAAAAAAAAAAUUGAAAAUUCAAAAAAAAAUGAGGAAUACCUUAGUAAGAGACACAUCAAAGCAGAGCUUGUUGGAGAGGACAUGCGCAACUUUGCCAAAGAGUCUACACAUUGCUUGUAGAGGACAAAGAAAAAGAAAAAGAUGAGGGAUUCACAUACAUCAAUUUAGACAUAGAGAAAUUGAGAGAUUGAGGAGAAUGCGUAGUGAUAGAUGAAUCGAGAGGGUUUAAUUGCUAAGCAAUUAAGAAAGAAGGUGAAUAAUUGGAUUGAUUGAGAUUGUGAAAAAAAAAAACUAUUUCUUUGAUUUUCUUAAGACCCAAAUAGAGAAUUAGGGUUUUUGAUUCUCAAAGAUUCUGAGGCUAAGUUGGUUUAAACAAUAGCCAAAAGUUUCAUUAUUUGUAGACACAUUAUAAAGAGUCAUUCUUUAUAAAGCAAAACAUAAAAAGUAUAUAAUUAUAUUCGAUUGUUAAGAAAUCUUUUUGUGUUUUUCUAAAAAAAAUUGAAAAAAUUACUUAAUUGUAUUUCUUUCAUUUUAUCUCAUCACAUUUACUUUUGUCAAGUGUUUCUUAAAAUAUUUAUACUAUAAAUGGAAUUAGUGUCUCUAUUUUCUUGAUAAUAGAUGUUAUUGAACAAUUAGAGUUAAAAAAAUUUACAUAUUUUAAACAUGUUGAUUAAUUUUAAGUCUUUUGGAAAAAUAUGAAAGAAAAAGAAAAAAAUAAGAUAUAUUUUCAAAAACCAAAUUUAAUUUUAUUAAUAUUAAAAAUAUUUUAUUAGAUUUGAAAAAAUUCAUAUUCAAAUAUUUCAAAGAUAAAAUAUUCUAAUGUUGAUUAUGUAUUACUAUAUUUAGAGGAAGAAGAAAAAAAUUAUUACUUUUAUUAUUUUAUUACCAUGCCCAAUGAAAGAACACGACUUUAGGCUAAGCAAGGUUAAUAAAAUACCAUAAAACUAUUAUCAAUUUGCAUUAGUUGGUUUGCCAAAUUUUGAAUCUAAGUCUAUCAAAUGAAGUAUGAUUGUUGUUUGGGUACUCAUUCAAAAAUUUGAUUAUGUAAUAUUUCAAAUAUAAUGUAACUAAUAAUUUAAUUAUUACAUAUAUCCCUUAUUUAUAGAUAAUCAUAUUUACCUAAAUUGAAACUACUAACAACAAACCUAUGGAAACCUUUAGAAGUUAAUUAAUUUUUCAAAUUUAGAAACUAAAAUCUUCAUCCCAAAUUAAUAGAUAUUCUAAUUGACUUAUAGCAACCAAAUCUUUUUUAUUUUUUAUUUUUAAGUUCUUAAUCUUAAAGUAUACUUUCCAACACUUAUAAAAACUAGCACAUAUAUAUGCAUAAAUGUGCAAAAAUUUCAAUGUUUGUCAUAUAGAUAUGUUUUUUGUAUUUGCUAAAACUGAGAGUGGGGGUAUAACUUCCAUCAGCAUCAUGUUAUGUUCUAAUUAACAUAAUCCAUCUAUUUGUUGUCAAAAAUUAUCAUUUUGAUUCAUCACAAGACAAAUCUACUAUUUGCAUUCAUGUGAUUGCUUUUAGUAUGUAUUUGCCAUUACCUAGUAACAAUGUAAUCAACUGAAUUUUUGGAUUUAGCUGAAAUUAUACCAAGUGAAUAAAAGCCCUCAAUCAAAACGAACCAACAUUUGCAAAAUGGAACAUAUAAGUUCAAUUUUAUAGGCUCAUUAUUAUCUCCCAUAGCAUGCUCAUUACAUACAUAGGGAAAGAAGAAAUCCAUAAUUAAAGCCCUCACCCUAAUGAUACUCAUGAAAUGUUGGAACAUAUCAAUAACCAUUUUGUCAUCACCAAGCUUGGAAUGAUAGUGAUUCAUAUCAAUUGAGAUCUCAAAUGGCGUAAUACUCGAUUGAAAAUUUUCAAUGUACUAAUGAGUGAAGACAACAAGUUAUGAGCAUAUGAAUAUGUAAUUUUCGCAUAUCAACAUAAGAGUUUUAAACUAAAAAUAAUAUCUGCUUGAUUUGGCUUAUUUUUUCAAUUAUAGGAAUGCAUUCAAGAGGUUCUAGGUACCUUCAAUCUGAUUAUCAUUGUAAGGAGCAUCUGAUAUUGUUAUCCUUGUGAUCGCACUCCUGGAGGAGUGCAUGAAUUACAAAUUGUUGAGUUCCUUGUUGGUGAAAAUGAUUGAUGACAGAGUCAAUAUUGUCUAGAGAGCCAUAAAAGUUCCACGCAUUCACACAUUAUACUAACUAGGUUGUGACCUCUCUCUUUUCAGUUGUCAAUGGUUUGUAGCUCCAAGCAAGGACCAUACUUGUUCUUCAGUAUGGGAAGUUAUGGUUCAUUUCCUAUUUAUAGGCUUUGAGGAAGUUGGAAUGUUGGUUCUAGUCCUCUGCCACAACAAAAUGGACUCCAACAAUUCUCUCUCUUAAAUCAUUACGUUUUAGCCAUCAAGUGAGUUAUUUAAUUUCAGCAUCAGAAUGGAAUAUUCAAUCCCCUUGAACUUAAAAUCUUCUCACCACUACAUGGAAACGAAUCCCUUGGAGUGAAAUUGUUAGCCAAUUAAGUCUCCAUGCUCUUUUGCUUCUCUUCUAGCCCAUCAUCAUACUCCCAUCAAUAACUGCUUAUGUAGAUAUACCUAGGCUCGAGGAAAACCAAUCUUAGAAUCAUUUUCCAAAAAAUUCUUCCAACUUCACAAUUGAAUCCUAUGAGACAAAAAUCCUAUUCUUUAAGGAACCUGCCUUCAUGUUGUAGGCUAGUGAUUCAUUUAGAAGUGGUUGUUCCACCCAUCAAGUUUUUUUCCCAAACAAAAUCCUUCUAGCUUCAAAAGUUGUGACUCUAAACUAUCAAUUGAAUCCUACAAAAUAGAAAUCCCUUUCUUUAGGGAACCUACCUUUAGAUUGUAGGUUAGUGAUUCAUUCAGAAUAGGUUAAACAAUGUCAUUAUCUUGAUGAGAUGUCGUGCUUUCAGAGUUCACAUGCAUAUAAAUCUUAGCAACUAUAUAAUUUAUCUAAAAUCACACUAUGUAAGCCUUCAAAAUUUCUAGAAGAAAAAGCAUAAGACAAUAGAUCAUUGAUAUGUAGGUCCUCUUCCUAAAUAUGGAGGUCCUCUCUCAUCACAAUGAUCAUACACUAACAUAUAAUCUUCAUCCUCCGAAAAUACUUAAGUAUACACUUGAUUGUCAUCCAAUGCUCCAUAUCUAGAUUGGACUAAUAUCUACUCACCAUCCCUACAGCAAAGUAAAUAUUUAGUCUAGUACAUAGAUUUGCAUACAUAAGGCUACCCACAAUUGAAGUAUAAGGUACUAUCUUUAUGUGAUCUUUCUCCUCAGUUGUCUUAGGACAUUGAUCUUAAGAAAGAGGAACUCCAUGUAUAAAGGAUAGCAUACCCUUCUUAGAGUCAUGCAUCACAUACUUGACUAAAAGCUUGUCAAUGUAGGUUGCUUGAGACAAUGUAAUCUUCAUAUUCUUUCGAUGUCGAAGGGCUUUAAUCCCAAGAAUAUAUUGCACCCCACCUAAAUCUUUCAUUUGGAAUUGAGUAGAUAACUGGAUCUCAAUUGAUAACAAUAACCCUACAUCAUCCCAAUGAGUUGAAUGUCAUCAACAUACAAGACCAAAAACACUACCAGGCUUCCUUACGUUUUUUUGUACACAUACACAAGGCUCGUCCUUGUUUUGAUCAAAAUCAAAAGUCUUGAUAACCUGAUCAUAACUCUUGUUCCAUGAGCAAGAUGUUUGUUUUAAUCCAUAUAUAAAUGGAUUUAUGCAACUUGCACACAAGGUGAUCUUGGCUCUUUGCUAAGAAUUCAUCCAAUUGCAUCAUAUAGAUGUUUUUUUAAGAUCACCAUUCAAGAGCAUUGUCUUGACAUCCAUUUACCAUAUCUCAUAAUCGAGACACAUCACAAUGGAUAAGAGUAUUCUGAUAGAUUUGAGCAUGGCUACUAGUGAGACGAUCUCCUCAUAGUCGAAAUUAGGUUUAUAACCCUUCACUACUAGCCUAGCUUUAUAUAUUCCAACCUUUCCAUCUACCCCUCUUUUCCUCUUGUAGACCCACUUGCACCUAAGAGUUUUAUCCCUUUAGGUGCUUGUACAAGAUUCCAGACUUUGAUAGAAUACAUAGAUUCUAAUUUUGCCUCUAUAGCUCCUAUAGCAUCAUCAUUGCUCAUUACUUCAUCAUAAUCAAUGGGAUUGAUUUCAUGUUCUUCUAGAAUUACCUCAAAAGACUCUCCCAAGUACAUAAAACCUAUUUGGUUGUAUAACAACUCUCCCACUACAAUGAGGCACUGAUGUACUAGAACUAUAAUGGUAGGUGUAGUAACCUCUAGACCCAUUGUCCCAUGUGCUAAUGUGAGAGUGUCUUCAAGUACCCUCCAAUCUAUAUCACAUUUUGCCCUGUCACUCAUCAUAUAGUCCUUUUCCAAAAAUCUUGACAUUUGUACUAACAAAUACUUUUGGGUUGACCUGACUAUAAAAGUAAGGCCCUCUCGUUCCUUCAGAUAACCUACAAACCAACAUACCCUAAACCUUAUGCAACCACAAACCGAAAUACCUUUUGUGAAUAAUUUGUGUUAUUCACAAAAUAACCAUCAAAAUAAAAGCAAUGAUAUAAGAAAAUAUAAGAAAAUUUUUGAAAUCCAAAAAGCUCUAAAAUUAAGUUCAACCAUAUGCAACCACUGUUUUUAUCUCAUAGCCCAUUCAAUUUCCAAAGAAAAUAAAAAUAAUAAAUUUUCAUAAAGUUUAUAUUCGAAAACGAAAUCAGUAACACCAAAAUCAUAAAAAUUGAUCACAGAUGAAUUUAAUAUAACUUUUCAAAGUUGAGCACAUCAAAUGCAAUAAACUAAAAGAAUUCAACUAUCAUUUAUUUAAACAAAAUUUCUUCAAUUACAACUCUAAAGCAUAAUCCAAAAUCACCUAUGCAUUUACUAAAAUAAAAUUUCAACGGAUUUGGCAAAUCAACAAGUUAGAAUUUGGUGUUAGUUCCCAAAUUAUUAUAUUUGAAAAUUAGGGAGUUAAUCUCAAAUUUUCCAUGUAUUUACCUUCAUUACUAUAGGUAUCUAAUAAUGUAAUACAUGGAAUCAUAACUAAUAUUAAGAAAAAUAAUCUUAAAUAAAUAUUUCCUUUUUAUCAUUUUCUUACAAACUGAACAUUCUUAAAAAAACUUAAUUCCCAUCCUAUUUACUAAUUAAUUAUUUCAUUUACUCUAUUAAUUAAUAUAAUUGUAGACUUUUAAAGUUUACUAACUUUAUCUAAAGAUGCACUAACCUUAAUUCUUGACUGUCCCUCACUUUCUAAUCUUCCAAACACCUUUCUCUCUAAAACUAUAAAAGAAACACAACAAUUAGUGAAGCCAAAGCAUAUAUAUAUUUGAAAACAAAUUAUUUGAAACCCCCAUGAUUAGUUCCAAUUUAAUUAUUUCUAAUUAUUGUCUCUUGAUUUUAGUUAUGAAGUUAAAAACUUCCUAUGUAUUGUAAAUAAUAUCAAUAUACAUAUACAUAUAUCAAUGACAAUGUAUACUGCAAUGAUAUAACAAUGCACAUAUAUUUUUUCAAUUUUUUUAUAAGUAAAGCCAAAUUCAACUUCCUAUUAAAAAUUAUUAUACUAUUAUUUAAAUUGUAAAAGAGGUUAAAAAUGAUCACAAAAUGGGGAGAGAAGUGAAAUACUCCUAUAUGAAAAGUUACAUUACUGUAUCAAAAGUCAUAAUGAAAGGUAAAUAUAAUUUUUUUCUCACAAUGAAUAUUGAAGAAUUAUCAUUUAAAUAUUUUGAAUAGUCAUUGAAAUUAAUAGUGAUAAUUGGUGAAUAAAAAUUUUAUUUAAUAUAUUAGUUUUUUUUUUCAUGGGAAAACAAUGACACAUAAAAAGUUAGAACUAGAGAAAUGACUUAUAUAAAUAUAUAUAUAUAUAUAUAUAUAUAUCAACAUCAUAUGUAAGUACAUAUGCCUUGUUAGAAUUUAAAACUAAAAAUUUUAAAAUUUUAAAAUUUAUAUUUAUGGAUUUUAUGUUAAAUCUUUAUAUUAAACUCAUAUUUUGUUAAAUCAAACCUUUUAAAACUCAAGUAUUCAAGGUUUUAUAUGGAAUGAUAUAUUUUAAUUGUUUAAAUACUACCAUCCUCAAUGAAAUUGGUUAUAUAUUAUCUCAUACUCCAUGCUUCUAAUAUUUAUCCACAUAUAGACAUUUUUUAAUCUAUUUUGUACUAUAUAUAUAUAUAUAUAACCUUACAAUAUACUAUAUGGGAAAAUAGGAAAAUAAUACAUGAAAUAUUUUAUGAGUUAAAAACUAUGUUAUUAAUAUUCAUAUACAUAUCUUUACCUAUAAAAUUCCCAAAGUAAUAAAAUUUGAAAACUUAAUAUUUUUUUGAAAAAUAAAAAAUCCAAAAUAAUGAUUGUAAAGUACUAAAGACCAAGUAGUUUACCCUCAUAGCUCACUUAUAUUAUUAUUUAUAAAAUUAUAUUUUGGAUUUUUAUUUUUUUUGAAAUUUUAUUUAUGUGAAAAUUUUGUUUAUGUAUUAACAUAAAAAUUUUAAAAAUGACUACAUAAGUGUAGAAAUGAAAAUUUCCUAUGAGCAAAGUAUGUUUGGCUUUCGAGGAUAAAAUUAUUUUGAAAGAGGCUCCUAUACCAAAGGCUCCAUCAUUCGUAUGUGUGCCUUGCUUAUCUCCUACUUAGGUGCCUGUCAGGAAUUGCUGCAAGUUAUAGAUUAAUCACCAAUCAAAUAAGUGAGAAUUUUCAUAGAUUAUCACUUAUUCUCGUCCAUCUUAAAGUUAUAGGAUUGUUUAAUUUGAAGGACACAAAAUUGAUAUGUUGUAAUCCGUAGAAGCUAGUGGUGUGUUGCUGCUUGCAAGUGUUGAGGGACGAACCAACAAAAGGUACCAAUCACUACCCCAAUGCUCCUUACCAAGGAUUAAAAUAUCACUAUAUUUCAGCGAUAUAUAGCUGAAAUAUCGAGUAUCGGUGGACCUCAACAUAAUAUAUGGGGGAGAUAUAUCAGUCUCUUGAUUUUUUGACAAUUUAGCAUCCCUCACCAAAAGGUUUGUAAUGCGUUGUGCCAACCACUAGGCCAAGUUUACCACUUAUAUAUAAGUUGCAUCAAAUAUAUAUAUAUAUAUAUAUAUAUAUAUAUAUAUACUCAAAUUCAACAUAUAAACAUAAUAAAAAAAUGUUUCAAAGAACAAAUUAAUUAUAAUUAAAUGAAAAAAUUUCAUCUAUUUGAAUACCAAAAAUAUAAAAAUUAUCGUGAUAAUUUUCUUUAUAGUGUUUUUAAUAUCAAUAAUACAUUAAUUAAGUAUUAAAAAUUAUACAUAUAUUAUCAUUUAUUUUAUAUCAUUUAAUACAAUUGAACUAAAUGAAUUAUAAUUUUAAUAUUAAAUAUAUUUUUAAAUUUGACAUAUUAUAAUCAAAUAUCAUAAUAUUAUUAUUGAAUAAUAUUUGAUAUAAUUUAAUAAUAAAUAUAUACUUAUGAAAUUCAUAUUUUUUUAAUUAGCAUAUACAAUAUUAUUAUCAAAUAUAAUAAAUUAUAUUAUAUAUAUAUCAAUUACAAUUCUAUUAUACUUUUAAUUUUAUUUUUAAGAGUUUUUUCUUACAUUUUUAUAAUUUCUGAUUAAUUUUAGGUUCACAAAUGUUUUGUGUCAAAAUAUCGGUCGAUAUAUCUCCGAUAUAUCCAUAAUUAUCGAUAUUUUCAUCAUUGCUCUUGACAUGUGUUUGUUUCAAGAAUCACUUUUUGUCCCAUAAUUCGACUCUUUUUGGCAGUGCAUUUAAAAAGCAUUUCUAGUAUAAAAAAAUAUUUUAAAUCAUCUCUAGUAUAAAAGAUAUUUUAAAAAAUAAAAAAGAAUUUUUUGACAAAAUUUAGAAAGCAUUUUCAAAUAUUUGAAAAUAGUGUUUUCCAAAGAAAUACUCAAUAGGUAAUUCUCUAAAAACACUUUUAAAGAAAAUGUUUCCAUUAAAAUUACCUCGAAUAAAAAUACUUUCAAAUACAGUGUACAUUUCACUAGUAAGAACAUAUUUGAUAAUGAUUUUAAGAAACUUUUUUAAUAUUUCUAAUUAACAUUUGAACAAUAAAAAAUUUAAAGUAUUAAAAAUAUUAAAAGCGCUUCCUAUAAUCACCAUCAAACGGGCUCUACAUCUAAUAGUGUUUUUAUUUGAAGUGUUUUUAAUGAAAAUGUUUUCUCUAAAAAUGUUUAUUUGAAGAAUCACUUAUCAAAUACUUUUUAGAAAAUCCUAUAAGUGAUCUUCUAACUUUUUAAAAAUACUUUUUAAAUUUUGUUAUGCCUUUUUGACAAAAAAAAAAAAUCAUUUCCAAACAUAACAUUUAAAACCCAUUUGAUAGUAAUUUUAGGAAGAGUUUCUAAUAUUUUUAAUACUUUAAAAUUUUUAUUAUUCAAGUAUUAAAAUGAUUAAAAACAUUUUUUAGAAUUAUUAUCGAACACAUUCUUAAUUACCCUUUUAUUUUAGACCAGAGAGAAACAAAAACAUAUAUGGCUGUGUGCUACUUGAAUAUAACAUAUUCUGGAUCCACUUGCAACCUGUUAAGGAUCGAUACUUAUGAAAGGAAGAACAAUUUCAGCAGUACAAACUGACUCACGCUUGUUCCUCCAACCAGAAACACUGAAGUUCUUACACAGGCAUCUACUAGUUUAACAUGAACAACAUUCAAAGCGGAGAUUUACACAGGCCCCUUCACUGAAAAGCAAACAAGAAGGGAAAAAGAAAGAGAUAAUUACUUGUAAAGUCCCAUUUAGAAGGUCCUCAUCAACCACUGGUGCCUGAGACAACUUUGUCAGCUUCACCUAGAGGCUGAUCAAUUUUCAAAUCGUCAAAUCCUUAAAUAUUAAUCAGCCUUCCAUGAAACCCUUCCAAGCAGCUUGAAUCUGAGUCCUGAGAUCUACAAAACCAUUUCGAAGAGCAAGAAGGGCUUUCUCCUCUUUGACCUGACUGUUGAGCAAGCGUCGGCCCUCUGAGGCCUCAUCAGCUUCACGCUCCUCCAGCUGUUGGGCAAGCACAUGCUGUACUGCAUCCAUCUUGACCUGAUCCGCAGAAUGAGAUUUCUGCUUAGGGAGGUUUGCCUGAUCGAAAGCCUUGGGGGUGUCUCCUUGGAAUUCUGCUGCGGUGAAAGUAGCCUCUUCUGCAGAUGCAUCGUUAUGUGAACGGCCUUGAUGGUCCCUGAACCUCCCGAGUUCAAUCUCCAUUAGGCUAUUGCGGUGGGAAAUCUCCAUCAAACAUUCAGAAAUCUACUGAGCAAAUAAAAGUUAGGGCCAGAAUAAGCACACAUGCGGAAACAGAAUGGAUUUUAGAUUCAGGCAAGAGGGGAAACGCUCUAGUCCCAAAUCCAUUUGAAUUCCCAAAGAUGCUUUUUAGAUAGAAAUGCAAAAGAAAAGCCUUCAUAUUCCCAAUCCAUUGUUUCAUAUCCCUUAAAUCAGGUAGCCUGACAAGUAGAUCCAAGAAGAGACCGCUUACAGAUUGCAAGACCUCAGAGGUUAAAGUCAGAAGAACAUAAAUCACGAAUCUUACGUACACAUUGUAAUAGCUCAGUUGUCUCUGGUGGGUCAAGGGGUACUGUGGCCUGAAUCUUUUGAGAGGAUGUCUUCUGCUCCUGUAAUAGAGCCUGCCUCAAUAUUCUCUGAUGAAUAGAGUGAACUGAGAGGAUUUUCUGAUAAGAUUUCUGGGUAGGUUGAACAGGCUUCGACUUGAACUGGGCCUUGGGCGGAGCCAUCUCGGCUGCAGUUUGAGCUAGACGCCUCUUUCUUUGCAUUAGAACAGUGGGAACAGGUGCUUGAAAUUGAAAAACCUUCCUACAAAACUAUAUACAGAGGUCAAGACAGGCACAAGCUUUAUUCCUUCGUAAGGAGAAGAAAUUAAAUAGCGUUUGCUCAGGUUUAAUGCAAAAAAAAUAGAAUUCAAAGAUUGAGACACAGAGUGAGAGAGAAAGGAUGAAGCCACAAUGAAGAAGGGAUGAGGAAAGGAAGAGGAAAAGACUCAUUCAAGGAAUAAUCAUUCAUCAAAUGGUCUGUUGCCAUGUUUAGGAUUUACUUCAUGUAUAAAUAUUAGACGUCUCACUUUUCCAAGAAUCAAGUUCCUAAAAUUUUAGUUUUUCAAAAGCUGAUUUUUCCCCAUUAAUACUAUUAUUAUUAAUAUUAAUAUUAAUUAAUUAAUUAAAUUAAUUCAUAUAUAUGUUGAAAAGGGUGAAUAUAUAUGUAAAUAUAAAAUGAACAACUUGAUCAUCAAGGCAUAACAUAUAACAAAAAAGCUUGAAUUGGAUAAAAUAAUUGCACUUGUUUUCCUCUUUGGGUGAAAUAUGUAAAGAUAUGGUGUCUAAAAAACAUAGAGUUUUUAAGAACCUUUAUAAAAUAAUUCAAUAUGAUGCACUUAAAUAGUAACAUCGUUAAAAAUUCCAAAAUUGCCCUUCAAUUCUUUUCUCCCCUGUAAGCCAAUUAACCCAUUUGUUUUGUUUUUUUUUUUUUUUUUUAACCUUGAAAUGACGAGUGAAAAGAACUCUAUAUAUGCUUGUCAAUUAUUUUUAAGGUUAACAUAUGGCUAACAAACAUGUCACAAUAUUUUUCAUUUUUUUCUUUUUUUCUUCGUUUUAGCUAGAAAAUAAUACACCUUUUUUAAAAUUUCAUUUUUGUUUACUCUUUCACUUUUUCAUAUUUAUUGAUUUUAAUUAUUUAGAGACAUUUAAAACAUAAAAUAAUAAUAACAAUAACAAUAAUAACAAUAAUAUAUUAUAAAUAAUUAAUAAGAAAAAAUUAAUAUAAAAAUAAAUACAUAAUGCACAAAUUUUGAGGUUUAGAAUAUAAGAUUUUAUACAUUCAUGUCAAAUGAAAUAUUUACUUAUUUGAUAAAUCUUAUCAUAUAUAGAUUAAAUAAAAAUACUUUUAUCAUAUUUUUUAUUAUUUAUAUUUUUUAAAAUUUUUUAAUUUUCAUGUGAAAAUUAAAAUUAAUUAUCAUGAUUUUUAACUUUUUGCUUUUGAUUCUUACUUGAAUGUAGUUUUAACUUUUUUUUUAGUUAAAAUGUUUAACAUUUGUAAUUAAAAAAGAUAGAAACUUGGUUGUGGUUCUAGCAUUUUGCUUUAUUAAAGUUUUUAUUUUUUAUUUAUAUAAAUAAAAAUAAAAUAUAUUUUUCAUAAAAAUUGUAUUUAAUUAUUUAUGUUAAUUUUCUUUUAAUUUUAUUAAAAAUUAAAAAUUUUGCAUAGUGAAAUUGGGUAUUGAUAAACAUAACCCUUGAAAAAAAGGGUACCACUAUUUUAUUAAAAUAAAAAAAAGUAAUACUAAAGUGUGUUAUAAGUAUCACAAAAGUAUUUAACAUACUUUAAUGUUACUUUUUUCAUAAAAAAAAAUGUGGUACUGUUUUUUCUUAUGAUUGUGUUGAUAGCACAAUUUUCGUAUACAAUUAAAAAAAAAAUCAAGAAAAAUUAAUAUAAAUGGUUAAAUAUAAUUUUUUAUAAAAAAAAAUAUUUUUUAUCUUUUAUUUUAUAUAAAUAAAAAUUAAAAAAAUUAAUAAAGUAAAAUGUUAGAACCACAACUAAGUUUUUUUUUUGUCUUCUUUAAUUAAAAAUAUUUAAAAAAAAAAUAGUCAAAUAAAAUAAAAUAAAAUCAUGGUCAAGUUAGAUUCAAAAGCAAAAAACUAAAAUUAUAAUCAUCAACCUGAUUUUCACAUAAAAAAAUUAAAAUUAAAAAAUAUACAUAAACAAUAAAAUAAUAUUAAAAUAUAAUCAGAUUUAUAAAAUAAAUAAAUGUUUUAUUUAGCAUAAAUAUAAAAAAUCUUAUGCCCUAACUCUCUAAAUUUGUUCACCAUGUAUUUAUUUUUAUAUUAAAUUUAUUUUCAUUAAUUAUUUAUUAUAUAUUAUUAUUUUGUGUUUAAAAUUUCAUAAAUAAUUAAUGAAAAUAAAUAUAAAAAGAUGAAAUAUUAAAAAAAUUGAGAUUAAAAAAAUUUCAUCAAGCUAACUGUGGACCCCGCAUUUCGGCUCAAUGCGUUUCCCACUCGAAUGGCGAGCUCGAUUUUUAUUUGAAAAAAAUUGAUUUUUGUUGAUUAUUUGAAAAUGACUUGGAGUCGCCACUUAUUUUUGUUUUAUUUUUAAAGGGUAAACAAAAUAAGAAAGAAAAACCCUAAGUGCGACUUCUUGUUUUGGAAAAAGCUGGUCUGUGAAAAAUCGGAUCGGGUUCGGGGGUUAGGUUACUUAUCGGGAAGGUACGGUAAAGACCGUAGCACCCCUCUAAGUCCCUAAAUGGGUCUCUACUAAUAAAAUGAAGCAAUCAUGGCAAUUAAUUAAGAGAUCAAUGAAUACCCAGAGUGAUCAUGCACAUGUGGGAAUCUAAACAUGCAUACAGAAAAAUGACCCGAGCGGGUGUGGAUGCGUACCUAGACAGUGAUCCAUAAAGCGCUAUCAAGAAGUGAGGCUAGCGCACAAUUAAUGAAUAAUUUCGAGCAUGUCAUAGAGCAAAAUAAAAUCGAUCAUGCAUGGCAAUUUAAUCAAACAAACAAUCAAUCAUUCACGAGGAAAGCACGUAUGUUGGGCUCCACCAAAGCCCAUUCAUUUUUGCAGGAAUUAAUAUCACAAAUCCCAUUAUUCUUGAAUUAUGAAAAUAGCAUUCAUGUUUAUAUAAAAUCAAGAGAAAUCGAAGAUUAUUUGAAACCCGAAGAGAAUUAAAACUGUUAGAGAGGAAAUUGAAUUUUUGAAAUUUAUUUGGAAAUUGGAGUCUCGAAAAUUAUUUGAAGAUUGGAGUCUUGAGAAUUAAAUUUAAGAGUUGGAAUUUUAGGAUGUCAAACUUGAAGGAAAUUAGAAUUUUAGAAAUCAGAAAUUAAGUGCGAAAGUUGGGAUUCAAAAAAAAAUGUUUAAAAAUGGAAUUUUGAAAUAAAUAAAGGAACUAAUAAUAAUAAGGACGAAAAUAAUGAUUAAAUAAACGAAUGGGGAUGCUGGAAUUUUUGAAAUUGGAAAUUAGAUUUAGAAGUCAGAAAGUUUAAAGAAUUGUUUAAAAUAGAAUUUUAAGAUAAAUAGACAAACUAUUAGUGAUUAAAUUAAUGUGAAUAUGAGAAUUUUCAAGAUUAGGAAUUUGAUUUGUAAAUCUGAAGUUUUAAAGAAUUGAUUUAAAAUGGAGAUAAAAUACUAAUGAUUAAAUAAAUUAAUGAGAACAUGAGAAUUUUCGGGAUCGGGAGUUUAAUUCGGAAAUCAACGAUUUUAAAGAAUUUGAUUUAAAACGGAGUUUUGAAAUAAAUAAAUAAAUAAAAUACCAAUGAUCAAAUAAUUUAGUGGGAACAUGAGGAUUUUUGGGAUUAGGAAUUUGAUUCGGAAAAUCAGAAGUUUUAGAGAAUUUGAUUUAAAAUGGAGUUUUGAAAUAAAUAAUCAAAAUAAUAAUAAUUAAAUAGAUUAAAGUGAGUAUGAGAAUUUUCGGAAAUCGAAAUUGAGUUUUAAAGAUCGGAAUUUUGAAGUAUUAUUUGAAGGUUGAAUUUUUAUAAAUUGGGCUUGGAAAUUGGAAGUUAGGAAGUUUGAAUUAAUAAUAAUAUUAAGGCCUUGAAAGUUUGAAUUAAUAAUAAUAAUAAUAAUAAUAAGGUUUUGAAAGUUUUAAUCAAUGAUAAUAAUAAUAAUAAUAAUAAGACUUUGAAAGUUGAGGUAAUAAUAACAAUAAUGAUGAGGUUUUUGAAAGCUUGGAUUAAUGAUGAUAAUAAUAAUAAAUAGAUUUUUGAAAGUUGAGUUAAUAAUAAUGAUAAUAAUAAUUAAUGAUAAUAAUAAUAAUAAUAAUAAUAACAAUGAUAAUAAUGAUUAAUAAUAACAAUAAUAAAUAUAAUGAUAACCAUGAUUAAUAAUAAUAGUAACAAUCAUAAUGCCGAUAAUAAUAAUAAUAAUAAUGAUAGCAAUGACAAUAAUAAUUAAUGAUAAUGAUAAUAAUGAUUAACAAUAAUAGUAAUAAAUAUAAUGAUAACCAUGAUUAAUAAUAAUAGUAACAAUCAUAAUGACAAUAAUAAUAAUAAUAAUAAUGAUAGCAAUGACAAUAGUAAUUAAUGAUAAUAAUAAUAAUAAUUAUAAUGAUAAUAAUGAUUAAUAAUAAUAGUAAUAAAUAUAAUGAUAACAAUGAUUAAUAAUAAUAGUAAUAAUAAUAGCAAUGACAAUAAUAAUUAAUAAUAAUAAUAAUAAUAAUAAUUAUGGUAAUAAUAGAAAUGGGCUCAAGACAAAGGCCCCAUCUUCAGCAUAGGCUUAGGCCUGGGCUCCAAAUUCAAACCCAAGCCCGAAGCCUUCAUAAUCCAAACCCAAAACCAAACUCAAAACUGGGCCUAGCCUUAGCCCAAGCCCAAAAACCAAGCCUUCGUCUUCUCCACAGCUUCUUCUCACUUCAGGCGACGGCGACGGAGGAACUGGAGGCGAAAGGCUUCGCCGGAGCCCUUGAAGCUGGUCCGAGCUACCUGCUUUCCGCGCCGCGCCGCCGCGUCGCGCUGCUCCCUCCAGCGUCGAAAGCGUCUAGCUGCAGCGGCCUGGAGGCGGUGCGGAGCUCGCUACUGCAGCUUUUACAGGCGCGCGAGGGGCUUCCUCUUCCGGCAGCGACACCGCCUGAGUCGGGUACGAUGUAGGCGGGAUCAAAGGUACGUCUUGCGCGCGCGGGUCGCAUGCCUUCCCGUGCCUACGUCAAGCGGCUCUCCAUGCUUCCCCAGUUGGACUUGGGACCUCUCGCGGUGGGGGGCAAUGACUGCGGCGACGUGGUCCUGGAGCGAUGACAGCGGCGGCGCGGUCCCGGAGCAAGAGCAGAUGUGAGCGUAACCGGAGCGGGUGAAGGCGGCGGGUGAGGAGCAGGGGCCUUGUUGGAAUGUGGGGUGGCGACGAAAGGGAGAUGGUAUAUUGGUGCGUGAUAGUGUGGGUAUUGGGGGUGGAUGAUGAGCAUGGUAAUUGGUGUUGGAUGAUAAGGGAGUGGCAUGCAUGAAUGAUACGUGAAGGUUAGUGAGAGAAAGGUGGUGAGUAUAAAAAUGGGUGUGGUGAGUAUGAUAGAAUGGCUAUGGAAGGAUGGCCGGGUUUGUAUGGAUUCCAUGCGCGUGGGUGAGUAGAUUUGGAACCUCAGUGAAGCCUAUGGAUGAGUUCUGGAGGUUAUGCAAAGUGUAGGAAACGGGCUGUGGAAUUUCUGAUGUAGGAUCUCUGUCAUGCAUGCAAUGCCAGGGAGGAUGGGCUUCGGGUGGAACCAAAAGAAAGACACAGAAAUGGUCUCCAAAAAUCAGGUGCUAUGAUGAAUCCAAACUCAGAGCCUUCCCAAAACAGAAAAUAAAUUACACAAAUGGUCUUCAGAUGUCAAAGGAAGCUCCACACUGACUAGGAACAGAGGAGAACAGUUCCAAAUGGGAGAAGCAAAAUAGGUUAGAAUCAUACCUGAACCAAGAGAAAAUCCCUGGUGAGUAGGUCCAGUCCGGCCCCUCUCUCGAUCUCGGGCUCCUCUGCGGACGUCCUCUGCUCCAGAAAAGUCCCCCCUCCCUCUUUGCAGAUCUCCCCCUUUUUUCCUUUUCUCUUCCUCUUUUUCUCCGUUUUCAGUCUUCCUCAGCAAGCCAGCCGUAUCCUGUCCCCUCUGCCGCCUAAAAACUCUGCCUCCCCUGCAGCCUCAGAGCCCCCAAACACAGCUCUCCCAUCAUGUCGAGCCCCCGGGAAAAUAAAAAUUAAAAUUCAAAAAAAAAGUCCCUGCUUCCGGGGGUCUACAAAUAUGCCCCUCUUUGAUAGAGUUCACGAGUGUAAGGAAUGUGAACACUAGAGUGAAAAAGAAGUGUGAAAAGUGAGUGAAAUGAAGUGAACUCUAUCAAAGAACAAAGAAAGACCCCCGAACCCGAAAGGUACAAGUAGAACACAAAUUCACUCGAGGCUCUAAAAUUCUAAGAGAGGCUCAAGGCGCCUCGAAAGUUGCAUCGAGGACCCAGACUCCCUCUAAGACAUCUCUACAGGUGACUCAAGAGAUCAAUGUCAAAGAUGAGUAACGGUCGAACCACCCUGGAGUACGAGAUGAAUAUGGGAUAAGCACCGGGUAACGAAGUGAGGAAAACCGAGGACGAAUGCAAAACCCUGAAGGUAAGAUGUGCAAUGCCAGUGGACAUGAACGCCAGGAGUUGUGACUCUGGAUGACAAGACCGACUCUAGGCACUAAAUUGAGAAAAUAAAAGCUUUGGAAGCCAAACCGAAAAGCUAACUCUAAUCACUAAACCAAGAAAGUAAAAGCUCUGGAAGCCAAACCAAAAACUGACUCUAAAAGCUAAACUAGAAAAUAACAGCUCUGGAAGCCUAAACAAGACGACAAUGAUGGCUCUAGAAGCCUAAACGAGACGAUAGUGAUGGCUCUGGAAGCCUAAAUGAGAUGAUAGUGAUGGCUCUGGAAGCCUGAAUGAGACGACAGUGAUGGCUCGGGAAGCUUGAAUGAGACGAUAAUGAUGGCUCUGGAAGCCUAAAUGAGAAGACAGUGAUGGAUUUGGAAGCCCAAACGAGACGAUAGUGAUGGCUCUGGAAGCCCGAACGAGACGAUAGUGAUGGCUCUGGAAGCCUGAAUGAGACGACAGUGAUGGCUCUAGAAGCCUGAACGAGACGAUAGUGAUGGCUCUGGAAGCCUGAAUGAGACGACAGGGAUGGCUCGGGAAGCCUGAAUGAGACGAUAGUGAUGGCUCUGGAAGCCUAAAUGAGAAGACAGUGAUGGCUCUGGAAGCCCGAACGAGACGAUAGUGAUGGCUCUGGAAGCCUGAAUGAGACGACAGUGAUGGCUCUGGAAGCCCAAACGAGACGAUAGUGAUGGCUCUGGAAGCCUAAAUGAGACGACAGUGAUGGCUCUGGAAGCCCAAGGAUGAAAAUCCAUGGUGGUGAAAACUGAAACAAAUGCUCAUAGAUGAAAAUCUAUGAUGGUGAUAAAUCUGAAACAAAGGGGGAUGCCCUAAACGAACUAAAAACGGGGGAACGCCCUAAACAAGAUGAUGGUAGGGGGAUGCCCUAAACGAAAUGACAGUGGGGGAUGCCUCAAACGAAAAUGAUAGUGGGGGGAUGCCCCAAACGAAAAUGACAGUGGGGGGAUGCCCCAAAUGAAAAUGACAGCGGGGGGAUGCCCCGAACGUAAAUGACAGAGGGGGGAUGCCCCAAACGUAAAUGACAGCGGGGGGAUGCCCCAAACGUAAAUGACAGUGGGAGGAUGCCCCAAACGUAAAUGACAGUGGGGGGAUGCCCCAAACGUAAAUGACGGCGGGGGGAUGCCCCAAACGUAAAUGACAACGGGGGGAUGCCCCAAACGUAAAUGACAGUGGGGGGAUGCCCCAAACGUAAAUGACAGUGGGGGGAUGCCCCAAACGAAAAUGACAGUGGGGGGAUGCCCCAAAUGAAAAUGACAGCGGGGGGGAUGCCCCAAACGUAAAUGACAGUGGGGAGAUGCCCCAAACGUAAAUGACAGUGGGGGGAUGCCUCAAACGUAAAUGACAGUGGGGGGAUGCCCCAAAUGUAAAUGACAGUGGGAGAUGCCCCAAACGUAAAUGACUGUGGGGGGAUGCCCCAAACGUAAAUGACAGUGGGGGGAUGCCCCAAAUGAAAAUGACAGUGGGGGGAUGCCCCAAACGAAAAAGACAGUAGGGGAUGCCCCAAACGUAAAUGACAGCGGGGGAUGCCCCAAACGUAAAUGACAGUGGGGGGAUGCCCCAAAUGAAAAUGACAGUGGGGGGGAUGCCCCAAACGUAAAUGACUAUGGGGGGAUGCCCCAAAUGAAAAUGACAGUGGGGGGAUGCCCCAAAUGAAAAUGACAGUGGGGGGAUGCCCCAAACGAAAAUGACUGUGGGGAGAUGCCCCAAACGUAAAUGACUAUGGGGGGAUGCCCCAAAUGAAAAUGACAGUGGGGGGGAUGCCCCAAACGUAAAUGACUGUGGGAGGAUGCCCCAAAUGAAAAUGACAGUGGGGGGAUACCCCAAACGAAAAAGACAGUGGGGGAUGCCCCAAACGUAAAUGACAGAGGGGGAUGCCCCGAUAUGACAUCGGAUGUGUGAUAGGUCAGAAGAACCAAAUGAGCUCAGAUCACUCGUCAUCUAAUGCGCGAUCCAAAUCCCACGUGUACAACUGAAUCAGACCCAUAGAUCAAAAGGGCGUCCCCUGGAAGGAAAGCAUGAUGACAUCGAGGCGUCGCGAAGUGCAGCCCUAACUGGGUAACUCCUGAGAGGCUCCACGGAGGAAACAUCGUGUCCAUGUGUAUCUCGUGAGUGGGGAUGAGCAUGCAACUCCAUGAAGAUCCGUAAGUCUCAUCUAGAAUGGUAAUAUGCCCCAGUAUGGCAUCGAACGUAUGACAAGUCAGAAAUUGGCCGACAUGAAAUCAUCUAUCAUCGAGCAUGUGACCUCCACGAAGAUCCGUAAAUCUCACCCAAAACGGAAAUAUGCCCCAGUAUGACACCCGAUGUACCCGAUCUGUCCUGAUGACCCGAGAAUAACGCCAAUGGGACGCGUAACAGAUCGUAUCCCUCUGAAAUGAUGACGCGGGAAAUCCAGGCACCAGAGACAACUCCAUACGACUAUAUCAAAGGGUAUGAAUCUGGCUGAAUGACUCAAAAGAGGCUCAUCGGAGUAGCCGGACAAAAUGAGAUCAAACAUCGACCUGGCAUGUAUCUCAUAACCGUGGAUGAUCAUGUAAACCAAUGUGGAUCUACAAAUCUCGAUCAAGAUGGGGAAUGCGCCCCAAUGUGGCAUCGAGAAUGCAAUACGUCGAAAAAUCAGAUGAGCUCGGGUCAUCCAUGCCUGGCUAGACGGCUCUCGAUAGGCUCCACUAAGGAAUCAUCGUGAGGAUAGCAAAUAUAUCAUCAUCUCUGCAUACAUCUCGCCAAAUAAGGAUAAGCAUGCGACUCCCUCAUGAUCUGUAAAUCUCAUUCGAAUCGAAAUAUGCCCCUGUAUGACAUCGAAAUGUAUGAUAGGUCGGAGAUCAGAUAGCAUGGAAUCAUUUAUCCUCGAACCUAUGACCUCUGCAAAGAUCCAUAAAGAUCCUCCGAAACGGAAUAUGCCCCAGUAUGGCAUCAGGUGCGCGACAGGUCCGAAGAACAAAUGACAUGAAAUCAUCAAUCGUCGAGCAUGUGACCUCUGCGAAGAUCGGUAAAUCUCACCCAAAACGGAAAUAUGCCCCAGUAUGGCAUCGGAUGUGUGACAGGUUAGAAGAACAACAUGACAUGAAGUCAUCUAUCGUCGAACAUGUAAUACUGGUCAUCCGAAUCCAUAACUGAAUCAUGCACAUAUAUCCAAGAUGUACCUCCCAGAUGGAGAGGCAUGAUGGCAUCCAAGUGUCGAGAAGUGCGGACCCGGCUGGGUGGAUCUCAGAGGCUCCGUAAAGUAACGAUCAUGUCCACGUCUCGAUGAGCAUCCAGUAAGUGAUGAUCGCGCAAGUCCGUGAGGAUCCAUGAAACCUCCAAAUGAAAUGGGAUAUGCCCCAGUGUGGCACCAGAGGUAUGAUAGGUCAAAAAAACAGGUGAUACCAAAUCAAUCAUCAUCAAACUCACGAUCCUGGUAAUCCGAACACAACUGAAUCAGACCUACACAUCGAAGAGGCGACUCCCAGAAGAAGAAGCAUAACAAUAUCUAAAUAUCAACCAGAUCUCAAUCACCUAUCCAAGUAGAGGCUGCUGAAGACGACAUGUGAUCCCAUGGCCUCAGGGUGGUCUUAAGACGCGGGACGUAAUGUAGGCCAAGGUGAUAGGGUGAUAGAAAUGAAAGGAAACUAGGCUCAAAUACCCAAUGAUCAAAACUCAUGCCCUCAUAUAUGAAACGCAACAUGUAUAGUGAACCCUAUGAGCCAUGGACCUGAGAAUGCCUAACGUGAAUAUGAUAUCGAUAAGGAGACAAAUGAAGCAAAAUGAACUGGUAGUGAUAUGUGUAAUGAUGAUGCGAAGUAUCGAACCCGAGAUGGGUCGUUGUAAGGGGAGAAUAAGAUGUGAAGGGAAUGAGAUGAAUCACGAGCAACGAUAAAAACGACAGCGAAACAAUGGAUAUGUGAAGAAAGGUAGUGAUCGACUCAGAUCAAACAUGAAGUGAAGUCACAUCAAUAAUGAAUGUAAUGAUGGGAAGGACAAUGACUUGGAGUCCUAAGGAGAAGGUCACUCAUCUCUCUCACAAAUAGAUAUGACGAAGCAAUACAAAUAACAUGGGAUCCCAGAGAGCUCACAUACGAACUCCCAAUAACGAACAUACUCGAUAAAAAUGACCCCCAGACAUCAAUAUACAUACCCAAUGAUCGAGAACACUAUGCACAUACACACAUGUGCUAAUAAUAAUAAUAAUGAUUUUUUUUUUUUUUUUUUUUACAUAUAUACAAAUAGGCGUACCCUGAACGUGAACAAAUGAACCCCAAAGAUGAUAUCGAUAACAAAUGAACACACCCCCAAGUGAUAAGGUAACCCAAAACUCUCUCUAACGAGAUGACCUUCUCAAACUAAGGAUCUCUAAACCAAUGUCCAUGAGAUAGAUGGUGGAAAUGAUGUGACUAUCCUCCAUGUGAUGAACUGAGGAGGCUCACCACUCAAGGUGGAGAGAAUAUGAGACAAACAAAUAGUAGAUAGGAUAAAGAAGAAGAGAUGAAUAACACAACCAAUAAGAUGAGAUGAAAAUGCAGAGGUGUAGUGAUAGGAAAAGAUGAUGAGAAAAACAUGCCCCUAGGUCCAAGGCUCAUGAAACUACCAAACAAUGCAUGCAUACAUUAAAGGGCCCCUAUCUCGGUGUGAAAAUGUGAGCAAGGCGAUAAGAAAGAAAGGCUAUAAUGCGCAUGCGAGGCUCAAUGGGCUAGCAACGGACUAUGUAUCAAAAGGGAAUAACAAGGUAAUGGCUAACCGAAAUGAUGGCCACCCAUCCUGCGACCAUGGUCUCAAACAUAGUACCUCUUUAGCCGAUCCACAUUGGUUGGCUCUGAGAAUCGGUUUCCAUCUAAAUCCAUCAACCAUGCAGCGCCCUCUGGGGUCAACUCCCUGAUGAAAUAAGGUCCGCUCCAGUUGGGUCUGAACUUCCCUCUAGGAUCUCUGAUCAAUCCCCUGAUGACUUUUAGAACUAAGUCACCUAUCCGUAAUGGUCUAGGCUUGACCCGCUUUUUGAAAGCGCGGGCCAUCUUCCUCUGAUACGCACGAACAUGGUCUGCUGCUCUCAAUCUCCUCUCAUCUAGGAGAUUGAGCUGAUCAAAUCGAGCCUGAGCCCAAUCUGCCUCGGGAAUCUGCUGCUCUAGUGCUACUCUCAACGAACCUAUCUCAAUCUCAACGGGUAGCAUCGCCUCCAUGCCAUAUACCAAGGAGUAGGGUGUGGCGCCUGUAGAGGUGCGAAAAGAAGUCCGAUAAGCCCACAAUGCAAAUGGGAGCUUCUCUGACCAAUCCCGAGAAGUCUCGACCAUCCUCCGUAAUAUCCUCUUGAUAUUCUUAUUCGCGGCCUCUACUGCCCCAUUCAUCUGCGGCCUGUACGCAGACGAUCUAUGAUGCCGGAUGCUGUAUCUCUGUACUAAGGUGUCAACCUCUGCUCUGAAAUGUACCCCUCUAUCCGAAAUCAACUCAUGGGGGACUCCAUAGCGACAGAUAAUGUGUGAUCUGAUAAAACUAGCAAUUCCAGCUGAUGUCAAUCUCGCAUAUGAGCCGGCCUCCACCCACUUAGUGAAGUAAUCGAUGGCGACCAGGAUAAACUCGUGACCACUGGAAGAUUUCGGUGAAAUCUUCCCGAUGAUAUCAAGACCCCAGACGGAAAAUGGCCAUGGUGAAGUCAGUGCGUGCAACUCUGAAGGUGGUACGUGAAUGAGGUCCCCAUGUAUCUGACACUCGGGACAUCUCUGAACAAACUGGCAGCAAUCCGUCUCCAUGGUCAACUAGAAGUAACCGGUUCUCAUGAUCUUACGGGCCAACAUAUGUCCUCCCAUAUGUGGUCCGCAGACUCCCGCAUGAACCUCUCUCAUCACUCGAUCGGCAGAGGUGCGGUCUAAACAUAAUAGUAGCAUCCCAUCAGGCGAUCGUCUAUACAAUGUCUCGCCACAGAUGACGAAUCGGGUAGCCAACUGUCUCAAUGCUCUCUUAUCCUUGACCGUGGCAGCCUCAGGAUAUACGCCAAGUCUCAAAAAGUGAUAUAUGUCAUGAUACCAUGGCAAACCAUCAUCUGGCUCUGCAUCAUCGAUCAAGCAACAGUAAGCAGGAGCAGAUCUCGACUCGAUCAACAAAGGUCGAACAGUGGCAUCAACGGGAAUAUCGAUCAUGGAAGCUAGAGUAGCUAAAGCAUCAGCAAACUGGUUCUGCGCUCUAGGCAGAUGGGUAUAUCUCAAAUCAUCAAAUCUCCCAACCAGUAGCUCCAAAUAUGCAUGAUAAGGCUUAAGCUUCACAUCUCUAGUCUUCCACUCGCCCUGAAUCUGUCUCAAUACCAGAUUGGAGUCACCAAACACCUCCAUCUGUAUAAUCCCGAGCUCGAGGGCCGUCUCUAAUCCCAAGAUACAAGCCUCAUACUCAACAAUGUUGUUCGUGGCAGGAUGUCGAUCCGAGAAUGCCAAAUGUACAGAUCUGGGAAUGUGAUCACCGUGAGGGGAUAUCAACAAGACGCCUAUCCCAUAUCCAGAAUGGUUGGCCGCACCAUCAAAGUACAUGCGCCACCCCGACAGACUAGUCACAGCAGCGACAUCCUCGUCUGGAAAAUCAUCAUCAAUAGCUCUGGCAUCAGAAACUGGUAAUGAAGCUAGAUGAUCUGCUACAAUGCUCCCCCUGAUGGACUUCUGAGUGACAUAAUGGAUGUCAAACUCAGUCAGAAGUACCAACCAUCUCAUGAGGCGACCGACUAGGGCGGGUCUAUCAAACAAAUAUCUCAGAGGAUCUAGACGGGAUAUCAAAUGCACGGAAUACUCGGUCAUGUAAUGUCUCAAUCAACGAGUGGCCCAAACCAAUGCCAAGUAAUAGCGCUCAAUCAUGACAUAUCUCGUCUCAUAGUCUAGCAUCCUCUUACUCAGAUAAUAGAUGGCUCGAUCCUUGCCCGAAUCAUCGAGCUGAGCUAACAUGCAUCCUAACGCUACGUCUGAGACUGAUAGGUAUAGGAGUAGAGGACGGCUUGGUGUAGGAGGCGCUAGAACUGGAGGCGACAACAAGUACUCCCUGAUCCUCUCAAAUGCGCGCUCACACUGAUCAUCCCAAACAGUAGGUUGACUCUUCCUCAAGAGUCAGAAAAUGGGCUCACAAAUGUCUAUCAAUCUGGCAAUGAAUCUGCUAAUGUACUGAAGUCUGCCCAGGAAGCCUCUGACCUCUCUCUCUGUCCUCGGUGCAGGCAUGUCAAGAAUGGCUCUAAUCUUGUCCGGAUCUACCUCUAUGCCUCGCUCACUAACCAUGUAUCCCAAGAGUUUCCCAGAAGUCACUCCGAAAGUGCACUUCUUGGAAUUCAGUCUCAAUCUGAACUGUUUGAUCCUCUCAAAGAACCUCCCAAGAGCUGCCAAGUGAUCUGAUCUAUCUCGAGAUUUCACUAUCAUGUCGUCUACAUAAACCUCGACAUCCCGAUGCAUCAUGUCAUGGAAGAGUGUGGUCGCCGCUCUCUGAUAUGUGGCUCCUGCGUUCUUCAAUCCGAAUGGCAUGACUCUAUAGCAAUAAGUACCCCACUCGGUAAUGAAGGACGUCUUCUCCAUGUCCUCUGGAGCCAUCAAGAUCUGACUGUAUCCGGAAAAUCCGUCCAUAAAGGACAACAUCGAAUGACCUGCCGUACUGUCAACUAGCAUGUCGAUGUGUGGAAGAGGAAAAUCAUCCUUAGGGCUGGCCUUGUUGAGAUCUCGGAAAUCAACGCAGACUCUCACCUUGCCGUCCUUCUUAGGAACAGGGACGACAUUGGCCAGCCACUCUGGGUACUCAACCACUGAUAAGAAUCCUACACUGAGCUGCUUCUGGAUCUCCUCUUUCACCUGCAAGCUCCAACGAUGGUGCAAUCGUCUCAACUUCUGCUUAACCGGUCUGGCCUAGGGCAGAAGUGGCAAACGAUGCUGGACGAUAGAUGGAUCAAGGCCUGGCAUGUCCUCAUAGGACCAUGCGAAAACGUCCAAGUAGGAUCUGAGUAGCUGGAUGAGGCUAUCUCUCUCAUCUGUAGACAAACCCGAUCCGAUCCUCAACUCCCUAGGCUGAUCUGCCGUGCCAAAGUCAACAAUCUCGGUGUCCCCUACAGCAGGUGAAACUCUUUGAUCAACGGGGUCUGAAUCGGAAGCAGAAGACGAGUCAUCGUCUGAGUCGUGCUGCGCAAUCUCAUCAUCAAUGUCAAAAAUCUGUGAUGUGGGUGAAGAUGGUGCAGAUAAAUCAAUAACAUGAGAGACAGACAAAUACUCAAAGGUGCUCAAAUCCAUAGAUGAAAAGUCAGAAACAUAGUCAUGACGGGAGACAAAUCCCGAUAAAACAUCAAAGGUGAGAGGUGGGUCCACAAGGUCGGACGCUCCCUCAACUAGGCCAACAGGGCCAUCAAACAAAUCAACAUCAACUAUAACAUCCUCGACGACCUCUGGAGUGGGGGCACCCUGGAUCUCCUCGGCGAUCUCGAGGACGGACACCCCAAAGAGAUCAAAAGGUGAAGCGAGCUCCGGCGGGUCCAUCUCCUCGGUCUGGCUCAAGCUCAUCGCUAGCAUCUCAUCAACGUACUCGUCACGCGGCACGGCUCCAUCCACUACGUCUCCAAUCUCGGCAAAAGUCCCGUGAUCAUCGAUCUCAUCCGGGAAGCAAAGCGUCAUAAGGCUCGUGCGAUCUGGGGAGGGAGGAGCAAUCAACACAGAAGUCGAAGGGCCAGGGGCUCCGUCACUCAACUGUAACUGCUGGACGAGGCGCUGAAGCUCGGCCUCCUAAGUGGUGCUGAGUCCUCCGAUGAUCCCAUCAGAUGGUGCAUGUGGCUCUGAUGCCCUCACAAAGUAAUCGGCUAGGCUCAUGGUGUAUGGGCGGACAGGAUAAUAAAAGGGGGUAUGAGUCAAGCGAGCCCUCACCCUCUCCCUGCGCAGCCGCGCCAUAUGACGAUAGUCGGCCUCAGUGGGAACGAACCCGAGCCCAAAUGGUACGUCAUGAUCAGGAAUGGUGAUGAACUCGCUCGGUCCAUGCUGACGUCGGCCCAAUCCCAUGCCGUGUAGAUAGGACAUGCCUCUCAUGAUAUCAAGCACCACUGUGCUCCCAUGCUGGUCAAAGGACAUAGCGAUGAAGUCCCGACAAAAGUCUCCCAGCUCAAGAGUCUGCACCUCAUCAAAAGUGAACCCGGUCAGUAGUAAAUCAUCGUCACUGUGGCUGAUCUGGAGCACGGGCUCAGCGGAAAUGAACAUGUCCCCUGCCGACUGUACGACGACUACCUGGCCCUCAUGGAUGAACUUCACUUUCUGAUGAAGUGAAGAAGGAAUGGCUCCAGCUCGAUGAAUCCACGGUCGGCCCAAAAGCAGGUUAAAGGAUGUAGGAAUCCUCAAAACCUGAAAGAUAGUGAUGAAUGUGGUCGGACCUAUCAGGAGCUCAAUCUCCAAUGUACCCAUGACCUCUCUACGGGUGCUGUCAUAAGCUCGAACGGUCUGAGUGGAUGGACCGAAAUCGGAUGGUGCGUACCCAAGAGCGAUGGCGGUGGCCAGAGAACAUACGUUCAGGGCCGAGCCAUUGUCCAAAAGGACAGAUGGAAAUCGGCGACCUGAACAGCCAACAGAUAUGUAGAGAGGACGCGUGUGGCCAGAACCCUCUGAUGGCAAGUCGUCAUCGGAAAAGACGAUACAAGUGGCUCUGCCAGCCGUCAUCAUAUGAAUGAGUCCCUCAGGAGUGGUCGUGGUAUCAACUCUGAUCUGGCUCAGAGCUCGAGUCAGUGCAUCCCGAUGAGUACUGGAAGACGCUAAAAGGCUCCAGAUAGAAAUACGAGCCUGAGUGCUCUGCAACUGCCUCAAAAUCUUGUCAUCCUCUACUCUGACCUCCUCCUGGGAUGACGUACCCCCUAAGGGUCUAGCGGCAGCAGCUGGAGGUGGCUGUCUCAUCACUCUACCUCCUCGAAGAACAUACUGAAUGUCCAGAGUCUGAGAAUCAUCAACGUACGGAGCCUGAACCCCCUCAACAUCUGGGACUAAGACGAAUGGCGUCUGAAUGCUAUAGCGCGACAAGAUCAAUGGCUCAACGGUGGCAGCCUACACUGACGCCGCCUCGGGAACUAAUCGGAAUGGAGCAGGCGUCCGAGGACCCAGAGUCACCCCACUCAUCUCAUAAAUCACAUCUGGCAUGAUGGGCUCCGGGUCUGGAUCAUCAUCACUCAGCAUGUGGAUGUGGUCAUCGAUCUCAUCAAACUCCAAUAAAUGAAUGCCAUCGGCUGGUGGAGGGACUGCAUGCGUGGUGUGAGCAGGCAACGGGUUCGUGGUCACACUCGGCUGACCCAAGUGUACCAAACCCUGGUCGAUCAAAUCCUGAACGGCGUGCCUCAAAGCGGUGCAUCGAUCGGUCUCGUGUCCAGGCCCCUGAUGGUAUGCACAGUGUAGAUCCAUCCUGAACUGGGGUGGAAUCGGCUGAGGCGGUGGACGAGGGGUGAGAGUAGUCAAUAACCCAGCCUCUGUAAGCUUCCGAAGAGCCUGGCUCAACGGCAUGCCUAUCUGUGAGAACUGCCUCUGCGUCCUCAAAGCAAAAGGAGCAGAAGUCUGCUGAGCUCUGGGUCGGGGAUAAGGAGAUGCGGGUCUCGCAGUGAACUAAGCAGCAUAGCAUGGCUGUCCUGUAGCCGUGUAAGAAACCGGGGGUCUCUCAAUGCCCUGGGAAGCAUAAUAAGGCAAAGCCAAAGUCUGCGGAGUAUAUGUCUGAUCAUAAGCUGGACGAGGUGCCCGUGGCCUGUACUGAUGAGAUGCAUAGGACGAAUAAGGCUCGAAAAACUAUGGAAUCGACUGAUGGCGCCUGAGAGGCCUCAGACUGGAAGAACUGAUAGCACUCACAUCUGCUGGCCUCGGUCCUACGAAGGGCUUCUUCCCCUUGAUAUCACUAGGGGAAGAAUCUGUCCAUAAACCUCUCGAGAUACCGUCCUCGACAUCAUACAAAGCCAUAACUAGAGACCCAAAAUCCGUGAACGGGGCCCCUACCACAUGUUUGGCGAUCCGCGGCUGUAGGCUCCUCAAAACCAUCUGAAUCUGGUCCCUCUCUGAUGGUCUAUCGAUAAUCUCAGCUAUCUUCCCACGCCAGCGGGAAAUGAAAGAAGAAACAGACUCCUCCACCCUCUGUCUCAAAGCCUCGAGCUCCCUCCUCGAUACAUCUACGAUAGUGUUAAACGAAAACUGUCGUAGGAACUCCUGGGCCAAGUCAUCCCAUGUGCGGCGCCUCGAGGCCUCCAGAGAUGCAAACCAACGCUGGGCCGCCCCACUCAAAGAUAGUGGGAAAAGAGUAAUCAUCUGAGGCUCGUCCAGUCCAUGAGCCCUCAUCACGGUGCUGUAUAAUCGGAGAUGGAGGCGUGGACAACCAAUGCCAGUAUACCUCUCAAUGUCAGGCAUCCUGAACUUAGCCGGCAAGCUGGCUACCGGCACUCCAUCAAAACCCUCCCAAGUAAUGGCUCUGUCGGAAGUCCUCAACUGCCUCAACCCCUGCUCAAGCCUAUCCAUGCGAGCAUGUGGGUCCUCUGAGGUCGGGGUAGGCGCGGUGACGGGAGGCGGAGCAACCUCAGUCUGGCUAUGUAGGGUGAACGGCAUGGCCUGUGGUGCUGACUGACUGGGUGGAGGGGGUGGUGGCACUGUAUGGUCAUACUGGGCACCAACCAGGGGCGGGACCUGUUGGGCCUGCUGCCCAUCUAUCCUCCGGCCAAGGCUAGUUAUAGCCUCCUGAAUCGAAGCCAUGGCCUCAGCGAACUAAUCGACGGUAACUAUCUGUGAAUCCAUAUCCCUCUGAUCUGAUCUCUGGUCUGACUGAUCCGAUACCCUGAUCAAUCUACCCCCAACUCUAAUCCAAGAAGUCGAACCCAGACUGAACGUAUCGGUACUCCUACAAUAGUGGAAAUACUAGAUAAGGUGCGGGAUAAAGGAAACUUCACAAAGAAUGUCUAUCACAUGUGUCAAAAGGUAGCCUGGAAGCAAACAAACUGAUAUCUAAUCCUGAGCAGAUAUAUAAGAGACUACUGCGAAGGUAACCAAACCCGUUACUACUAAACCGGCUCUGAAGGCUCACAGAUGCACCCACGUGUAGGGAGGGAGUCCUAAUCGGAGGAUCUACGGCUCAACCUACAAGGUGAAGGUGGCUCUAAAUGGAUAUGGGUGGACUUUAAAAGAUCCCUAGCAGAAGCGAUCGUACCCUCCGAAGGUACGCAACCAUCUGUACGCCUCAAAAAGAGACGGGGUGCUUCCAUGCAAGGUGGUCAUCACCUCCACACAUGCACUACCUCGACAACCCAGGGGGUUUCCUAUGGUGAAACCUCUCAAACUCUCAACGCUCAAUGGUCAACUAAAGUGCACAGUGAAUGGUGUGGGUGCAUCCGAAAACCCUAAGAAUCUAGAGCAGAAGAGGAAACACACUGGUCGCACGACUAUCCAUGAAACCUAGCUCGGGGCUAUACAGGUCUUCAAUGAUCGGACUCCAAUCGACACCAAAGUGUCGCUCUCCUUUAGAAUGCUCCCGUGCAUCGAUAUAGCCCGUCGCUAGACCCUACUUCUAAUCUCUGGCUCGGUCAGAGAGCAAGCACACAGAAGGUCUCACACUUGCAAUAGUGAGAACCGAGAUGAAAAGAAUGACCGAGACCAAGAGAUUUGGAGGUAGGGGGAUAGAAGUGAGACCCACAUAGACAGACGACAUGCAAUCAUGCAGAGGGAGGGCAGUCAUGCAUCAUAUAGUCAGGCAGAGCAGGAUAUAUCACUCAUAUACACACAAGAUAAGCGAGAAUACGACAAUCAAGACGAAUAGUGAUACAAACAUCAUGCUCAAAGACGGUCAAAACAAUAUUACAAGUCAGAGAAUCAACAUGUCAAGUCGAGUGAUAUACAGUGGUGAGUGUAUGCAUGUGAAGUAAUCAGAACAAGCAUGGCAAAAUCAGAAUCAAUGUGCUAAUCAAUGCAAUAAGAUCAAUCAUCAAUAAUCCAGCAUGUCAAAAUCUCAAAUGAAUACGACAUCUAAGCAUGCAACAAGAAAUCCUCAAUGUACAAUCAAGAGAUGAGCAUCCACUGAUCGUCCAAUCAAAUGCCACGUUUGUUUCACUCUAACUUCAAGCUUGACCCUCUGAAAAAAAAUCCCCAGCGGAGUCGCCAUUUUGUGGACCCCGCAUUUCGGCUCAAUGCGUUUCCCACUCGAAUGGCGAGCUCGAUUUUUAUUUGAAAAAAAUUGAUUUUUGUUGAUUAUUUGAAAAUGACUUGGAGUCGCCACUUAUUUUUGUUUUAUUUUUAAAGGGUAAACAAAAUAAGAAAGAACUGGGCACUAGGUCCAAUGUGAGUAGGAUCGCUUAGCCAUGCUUCAUAAUUGGAAAAACGAGCACCGUGGAAAUACAUGCCACUCAGCCAAAGAAAGAUGAUGGACGGGCUAUUAGCUCAGUGGUAGAGCGCGCCCCUGAUAAUUGCGUCGUUGACUGGAGUGAAGUCGUAACAAGGUAGCCGUACUGGAAGGUGCGGCUGGAUCACCUCCUUUUCAGGGAGAGCUUCCAGUGGCGGACGGGUGAGUAACGCAAACCCUAAGUGCAACUCCUUGUUUUGGAAAAAGCUGGUCUGUGAAAAAUCGGAUCGGGUUCGGGGGUCAAGUUACUUAUCGGGAAGGUACGGUAAAGACCGUAGCACCCCUCUAAGUCCCUAAAUGGGUCUCUACUAAUAAAAUGAAGCAAUCAUGGCAAUUAAUUAAGAGAUCAAUGAAUACCCAGAGUGAUCAUGCACAUGUGGGAAUCUAAACAUGCAUACAGAAAAAUGACCCGAGCGGGUGUGGAUGCGUACCUGGACAGUGAUCCAUAAAGCGCUAUCAAGAAGUGAGGCUAGCGCACAAUUAAGGAAUAAUUUCGAGCAUGUCAUAGAGCAAAAUAAAAUCGAUCAUGCAUGGCAAUUUAAUCAAACAAACAAUCAAUCAUUCACGAGGAAAGCACGUAUGUUGGGCUCCACCAAAGCCCAUUCAUUUUUGCAGGAAUUAAUAUCACAAAUCCCAUUAUUCUUGAAUUAUGAAAAUAGCAUUCAUGUUUAUAUAAAAUCAAGAGAAAUCGAAGAUUAUUUGAAACCCGAAGAGAAUUAAAACUGUUAGAGAGGAAAUUGAAUUUUUGAAAUUUAUUUGGAAAUUGGAGUCUCGAAAAUUAUUUGAAGAUUGGAGUCUUGAGAAUUAAAUUUAAGAGUUGGAAUUUUAGGAUGUCAAACUUGAAGGAAAUUAGAAUUUUAGAAAUCAGAAAUUAAGUGCGAAAGUUGGGAUUAAAAAAAAAAUGUUUAAAAAUGGAAUUUUGAAAUAAAUAAAGGAACUAAUAAUAAUAAGGACGAAAAUAAUGAUUAAAUAAACGAAUGGGAAUGCUGGAAUUUUUGAAAUUGGAAAUUAGAUUUAGAAGUCAGAAAGUUUAAAGAAUUGUUUAAAAUAGAGUUUUAAGAUAAAUAGACAAACUAUUAGUGAUUAAAUUAAUGUGAAUAUGAGAAUUUUCAAGAUUAGGAAUUUGAUUUGUAAAUCUGAAGUUUUAAAGAAUUGAUUUAAAAUGGAGAUAAAAUACUAAUGAUUAAAUAAAUUAAUGAGAACAUGAGAAUUUUCGGGAUCGGGAGUUUAAUUCGGAAAUCAACGAUUUUAAAGAAUUUGAUUUAAAACGGAGUUUUGAAAUAAAUAAAUAAAUAAAAUACCAAUGAUCAAAUAAUUUAGUGGGAACAUGAGGAUUUUUGGGAUUAGGAAUUUGAUUCGGAAAAUCAGAAGUUUUAGAGAAUUUGAUUUAAAAUGGAGUUUUGAAAUAAAUAAUCAAAAUAAUAAUAAUUAAAUAGAUUAAAGUGAGUAUGAGAAUUUUCGGAAAUCGAAAUUGAGUUUUAAAGAUCGGAAUUUUGAAGUAUUAUUUGAAGGUUGAAUUUUUAUAAAUUGGGCUUGGAAAUUGGAAGUUAGGAAGUUUGAAUUAAUAAUAAUAAUAAGGCCUUGAAAGUUUGAAUUAAUAAUAAUAAUAAUAAUAAUAAGGUUUUGAAAGUUUUAAUCAAUGAUAAUAAUAAUAAUAAUAAUAAUAAUGAGAUUUUGAAAGUUGAGGUAAUAAUAACAAUAAUGAUGAGGUUUUUGAAAGCUUGGAUUAAUGAUGAUAAUAAUAAUAAAUAGAUUUUUGAAAGUUGAGUUAAUAAUAAUGAUAAUAAUAAUUAAUGAUAAUAAUAAUAAUAAUAAUAAUAACAAUGAUAAUAAUGAUUAAUAAUAACAAUAAUAAAUAUAAUGAUAACCAUGAUUAAUAAUAAUAGUAACAAUCAUAAUGCCGAUAAUAAUAAUAAUAAUAAUGAUAGCAAUGACAAUAAUAAUUAAUGAUAAUGAUAAUAAUGAUUAACAAUAAUAGUAAUAAAUAUAAUGAUAACCAUGAUUAAUAAUAAUAGUAACAAUCAUAAUGACAAUAAUAAUAAUAAUAAUAAUGAUAGCAAUGACAAUAGUAAUUAAUGAUAAUAAUAAUAAUAAUUAUAAUGAUAAUAAUGAUUAAUAAUAAUAGUAAUAAAUAUAAUGAUAACAAUGAUUAAUAAUAAUAGUAAUAAUAAUAGCAAUGACAAUAAUAAUUAAAAAUAAUAAUAAUAAUAAUAAUAAUGGUAAUAAUAGAAAUGGGCUCAAGACAAAGGCCCCAUCUUCAGCAUAGGCUUGGGCCUGGGCUCCAAAUUCAAACCCAAGCCCGAAGCCUUCAUAAUCCAAACCCAAAACCAAACUCAAAACUGGGCCUAGCCUUAGCCCAAGCCCAAAAACCAAGCCUUCGUCUUCUCCACAGCUUCUUCUCACUUCAGGCGACGGCGAAGGAGGAACUGGAGGCGAAAGGCUUCGCCGGAGCCCUCGAAGCUGGUCCGAGCUACCUGCUUUCCGCGCCGCGCCGCCGCGUCGCGCUGCUCCCUUCGGCGUCGAAAGCGUCUAGCUGCAACAGCCUGGAGGCGGUGCGAAGCUCGCUGCUGCAGCUUUUACAGGCGCGCGAGGGGCUUCCUCUUCCGGCAGCGACACCGCCUGAGUCGGGUACGACGUAGGCGGGAUCAAAGGUACGUCUUGCGCGCGCGGGUCGCAUGCCUUCCCGUGCCUACGUCAAGCGGCUCUCCAUGCUUCCCCAGUUGGACUUGGGACCUCUCGCGGUGGGGGGCAAUGGCUGCGGCGACGUGGUCCUGGAGCGAUGGCAGCGGCGGCGCGGUCCCGGAGCAAGAGCAGAUGUGAGCGUAACCGGAGCGGGUGAAGGCCGCGUGUGAGGAGCAGGGGCCUUGUUGGAAUGUGGGGUGGCGACGAAAGGGAGAUGGUAUAUUGGUGCGUGAUAGUGUGGGUAUUGGGGGUGGAUGAUGAGCAUGGUAAUUGGUGUUGGAUGAUAAGGGAGUGGCAUGCAUGAAUGAUACGUGAAGGUUAGUGAGAGAAAGGUGGUGAGUAUAAAAAUGGGUGUGGUGAGUAUGAUAGAAUGGCUAUGGAAGGAUGGUCGGGUUUGUAUGGAUUCCAUGCGCGUGGGUGAGUAGAUUUGGAACCUCAGUGAAGCCUAUGGAUGAGUUCUGGAGGUUAUGCAAAGUGUAGGAAACGGGCUGUGGAAUUUCUGAUGUAGGAUCUCUGUCAUGCAUGCAAUGCCAGGGAGGAUGGGCUUCGGGUGGAACCAAAAGAAAGACACAGAAAUGGUCUCCAAAAAUCAGGUGCUAUGAUGAAUCCAAACUCAGAGCCUUCCCAAAACAGAAAAUAAAUUACACAAAUGGUCUUCAGAUGUCAAAGGAAGCUCCACACUGACUAGGAACAGAGGAGAACAGUUCCAAAUGGGAGAAGCAAAAUAGGUUAGAAUCAUACCUGAACCAAGAGAAAAUCCCUGGUGAGUAGGUCCAGUCCGGCCCCUCUCUCGAUCUCGGGCUCCUCUACGGACGUCCUCUGCUCCAGAAAAGUCCCCCCUCCCUCUUUGCAGAUCUCCCCCUUUUUUCCUUUUCUCUUCCUCUUUUUCUCCGUUUUUAGUCUUCCUCAGCAAGCCAACCGUAUCCUGUCCCCUCUGCCGCCUAAAAACUCUGCCUCCCCUGCAGCCUCAGAGCCCCCAAACACAGCUCUCCCAUCAUGUCGAGCCCCCGGGAAAAUAAAAAUUAAAAUUAAAAAAAAAAGUCCCUGCUUCCGGGGGUCUACACUAACAUAUUUAUUAAAAUAAAAAAAGUAAAAAGAAAGUGGAUAUAUUAUAGGGGAGGGGAAAAAGAAAAAAGAAAUAUCAGCGGUAUAGUAAUUGCCAAGUGUCAAAGUUUAAAAAAAAAAAAAAGAAUGCGAUAGUUAGCAGCAGAUGAGAGGAGGGUUUAAGGGUAAGUUUGGAAUGUUAAUUAUUUUCAUUGUUUGAGUACAUGUUUUGAGGAUAAUCCCAAAAGUCAAAGUUCUAAAAAAAUUGUAAAUUUUUUUUAGAUGAUGGAUGAUUACAUGAUUCUCCCUUCUUUUAAAUCACAUUCAAAAUUAAAAUAAAAAGAAUAUUUUUUCCCCUGUAUUAAAGCCUCCACUUUUCAAAAUUAAUAUUCUUAAAAGGUUAUGUCUAGUUCCCAAAAAGUAUUAAGAAAAGAAAAAAAAAUGUUAAAGCUAUAUUUUCUUCUCAAAUAAUUUAAGAAAAAUACACGAAAAAGAAAAUAAAGAGGAAAAUUAUAAGAAAAAAAAAAGUAAAAAAAAAAAAAUUUAAACUCAAUGAAUUAUUUUUAUAUGUUUUUUUGAACUCAUUUCAUUUAUUUUCUUUCAUUAUAUAAGAAUUAAAUAAUUGUAAAAUGUAUACAUUUUAAAUUAAUUUUAAUUAUCUUUGAUUUCCUUUUUUUUUUUUUCUUAGUACUUUUGGUAACUAAUCAUAGUUUAAGGAAAAAAAUUAUAAUGUUUGGUUAUUUUAUGGAAAAUAGGAAAGAAAAUCAAAUAUAAUUAAAACUAGUUAAAAACCUAAGCAUUUUCAAAUUAUUUAAUUUUUAUAAUGAUGAAUAAAAAUAAGUGAAAUAAGUUUGAAAUAGUAUAUAAAAAUAAUUUAUUUUUAUAAGGGUCUUUGGCUCCUAAUCGGUGACUUUUGUAAGGGCUUCUGUAUUUGCACAAAAAUAUGCCUUUGCUUUAUUUUCAUUGAAAUAUUAUUUCUCUUUUAUACAAUUUUUAAGAGUAAUUUAAACUACUUUUUCCAUUUUAUGUUCACUCAAAGGUUUUUAGGAUUUGUAUAUCUUUUAGUAAUUCAAUACAAUGUGAAAAAGAUAAAUGAAAAUGUCAAAGAAAUACUGUAACGUGGAUGUAUUUUUCAUUUCUAAUCAAAAUUCUUAAGAAUUUGAUUGGAUCAUGAAAAUGGAGGGAAAAAAAAGUGAAUAAAUAUAUGAAGUGAAGUUUAAAAGUCAAUAAAAUUAAAUUUUUCUCCUUUACUUUUGAAAAUUUAUGAUGUUUUUUAUGUAAAUAACAUGAAAAUUUUGAUUCCAUUUUCAUAUGUAUUUUUCAAUUUGAAGCUGAUUCAGGCCAUGAAUUCACAAUGAAAGAUAGAGGUCAAGUUAAGGGGAUCCAUGUCAACAUGGCUCAUACUACGCUCAAGUUUACUUGACUUUCAACCCUCGCAACUCGUGCUGCAAUACAUACCUCUUUUAGGAUUCCUUCAACUUUAGAUAAGCAAUUUAGGCCAUUGGAGGACUAUUGCAGCUUCACUCACCACUUGGUGCAUUAAAAGAUUUAGCCACUCAUGCUAAAAUUAAAAAGAAAGCAACGAACAAGAAGGCUAAGCGUGAAAAUUAAAGAAAAUAAUGAACUGGAACAAGAAUUGAAACUGCUAAUCCGACUCCUAAAAUCCUAAAAUCCUGAGGUAGCUUCAUUAACCUUACUCCUACCCCUAAAAUUCUCCUUUUUGGAUCUUAGAAUUUUCUUUUUCAUCCCCAAAGCUGCCUAAAAAUUUCCCACCAAUGCAUUGCUGCCCUUCCAACCAAAUCACUCCUCUCUAUUUCAUAUUAGGCCAUGUCACUAUCCUCCAUACCAAACUCCAACAAGUGGAUCCUUGGAAAGCUGAAAUAAUGAGAAGGAUGGUGUGGACCCCACAUUUCGGCUCAUGCGUUUUCCACUCGAUGAUGAGUUCGAUUUUUAUUUAAUUUGAAAAAUGAUCUUUAUUGAUUAAGAAAAUGACUUGGAGUCACCACUUAUUUUUGUUUUAUUUUUAAAGGGUAAACAAAACAAGAAAGAAAAACCCUAAGUGUGACUCCUUAUUUUGGAAAAGGCGGUCUAUGAAAAAUCGGAUCGGGUUCAGGGGUCAGGUUACUUAUCAAGAAGGUACGGUAAAGACCGUAACACCCCUCUAAGUCCCUAAAAAUGGGUCUCUACUAAUAAAAUGAAACUAACGUGGCAAUUGAUGUGUAAAUCAGAGAAUACCUAGAAUGAUUAUGCACGUAUGAAAAUUAGAACACUCAAUGAAGAAUGAUCAAAGUGAGAGCGGUGCGUACCUUAGCAUCAAACGAUCAAUGUGCUAUCAUAAAAAAUUGGGUCAAUGUACAAUAAAGAGCAUAAACAUAGCUCACAUAUCACUAAAUCGAGCACAAAAGUCAUCACAUGUCACAAUUCAUUUAAAUUGAUUUUUAUUUUAAAGAAAAUUCUUUGAUGUAGGGCCCCCACCAAAGCCCGUUUGUUUUUGCAUGAAUUAAUUCCAUAAAUUCCAUUAUUUGGAAUUACAGAAUUUAAAUUCAUGUUUAUUUUAAAACGUUUUAAAAUCAUGAAAAAUUCGAAAGCGGCUCGCCGAAAAGAAAAUGGCGGCCAAAUUUUAUUGAAAAACAUAUUUUUGGAACCUAAAAGAAAAAAACUAAGGAUGAAAAAUUAAAGAGAUGAAAUUAUUUGAAAAAAAAAGGAAUUUGAAAAAUUAUUUGCAAACUAGAGUUCAGGAAUCUAUUUUAAAAAAAAUAAAAGAUGAAGAAAUAAAAAUAAAUAAAUAAAUAAAUAAAUAAACAAAAGAAAGGAACGUGGCUUAAUGGUGGGCAUACAAAGCUUUUGCCAAUGAGGUUUAACUGGGUGCUCCCUCAGAAUCUGCCAUCCUCUUCCAAUCAAUCCCAUCAAACCACUUAUGGCUUUGAUUAUGAACAUUCACAUUAGCCCCAGAAACUAAAGUUGGUGUGGUGGAAACAGCAGCUGGAUUUCCUGAAACUGGAGUGACUAGCAAUUCAAUCAGCGCGACUGCAGCAUCAACCUUCUCAAAUGUCUCGGCUGAUAUAUGAAGAUAUAAUUCUUCAUGAGCAGCCUGGAUUCCAUCAGAUGGAGUAAUUUCAGCGCCUGUAGAGGCUCCAAUUCCCUGACGGUCUCUGAAUUUUCACACGGGGGAGCAAAAGCUUGUCCAAGAAUAUUAAUUCCGAACUUCCAUGAAUCAUCACCCGUAAUUUAGCUAAUACUCUGCUUCAUGAUUAUCUCUCUUUGACAACCAAGCCAAAGUUGAUCACAUUGUUCUGUGAGUGAGAUAAUUCCUUGGGUGAUUGUGCCUUUGGCUUCGUGACUCUCCUACUGGAACAAAACUCAGAUUAAGAGCAACUUUAACUUGCUCAUAGGUGGCAAAAUAUGGGAAGGAAAACCAUAGAGGACAUAGGUUAAAUGGGAAGGAAGGCAGUAGCAUUAACCACUACUAAAAGUCUCUCCUCUGGCAGGGUAACAAGCCUUGAACCAAUUUCUAUGAGUAGGACCUCAAAUUCACUAGCCAAAUGGGCGUGCUUGUUUCUAAGAGCCUCUAGGAUAUCCUUGCCAACGUCAAAAGCACUGGCAGCAGAAGAUACCAAACAAAAAAAAACACCAUUGCGCCUUAAUGCAUUUUGACCACCUUCAUUAAUGGUUGAAGAAUUCUGUUGCAUAGGUUGGUCAUUCCCAACAUGUGCACUGCCAUCCACAGAUGAUGUUCUUUCAGGUUCCUAUGCAUGAGAGUUUCCGUCAUCAUGAGAUCCAAUUCCACCAGCAGAUUGACUCCCUUGAUUAACUUGACCAUCUGAGGUUAAAGCACCCCCUCUAUGAUUCUGCACUCUUGCGCUUCCAUACGAGAUCAAUGUCGGGCAUCUAUGGCACCUUGAUGAACACUGGAGUUAGAACAUAUAUCUCUUCUAUAAUCAUCAGACCGCGUCUCUAUAUUUGAAGGUAAAUUUGAUGACUGACUAGAACUCAUGUGGGAGCCUUGAUCUUCAAUAUACUGGGGUUUAACAAGACACUCAUGUUUAGGUAUUCUGGGCUGAACAUAAACACCUGAGCUAUCCUCAAAUACAGAAGAUUCCCAUUGCUGAUCAUUCAAGACAGCUGAAACCUUGGCUAAAGCAAGGUCAGGAAUACUCUCUCCCAGCUGAGAAUCUGUCUUCUGUAAUUCCUUGCUUCCAUAGGCAGAGAUGGGAAGAGAAAUGCACCCCAAGUACGGGUACCAGAAACAGGGUAGACAACAAGAACAGAGUGCAAAUAAUGGAAAUAAAAAAUGAACUCAUACAAGCCUCAUUUCAUAUAUCAAUCAAUGAACUCAUACGAGGGUGGGUGAAGUCAAAUGAAUACCAGAUAAAAAUCAGAGCAUAGUAGCAGAUAUAUCAAUGGGGAAACCAAAAUAAGGGCGAAAUAACCUUCAACAAGAACCAUAAAAGAGAUAUAUGGACAUACUUGCCCUCAAUCCACAAACAUCACCCAAGAAUGAGCAGAAGAAGAAAAGAAAAGCAUACCUGAAAAUGAUUGCCUCCAACAAGAUCGACCAGAACUCAGCAAACACCUUUCUUCUUCCUUGCCUCUCUCUAUAGAAAAUGCUCUGUUUUCUUUAGCUUGCUUCUCAAGAAUAUCUCCCCCAAGCUCUCAAAGAUUCACCUCUCUGCAACUCCUCACCCCUUUCCUCCCCUCUCACGUCUCUAUUCCUAUCCUCACUCUCCGUAGUAGCUUCCCAGCCUCCCAAAAUGCUUUUCUUUCCCAGCUCCAAAAAUAUCUUCCAACGGCAGCCUAAGCACCUCACCCAGCUGCCAGCCAAAAGUAUCCUCUAGCAGUCCAGGCAUCUCACCCCGCUGCCAGCCUCCACUACCCCACUCAAAAAGCAUCCCCCUUAACAGAAAAAGAUCCCCUCAAAAUAUCUCUCAGCCGGCAGAAAAAGCACCCCUCUCCUACGCUCCUCUCAACUGCCAAAUAUUCUUCUGAUUCCCCUUUUCCAGGUGUCGACCCUUGAUUGGCCUUCAAAAGCACUACUCUGAUUUCAUGAUGGCCAAUCAGGGAUUGACACGUGGAUGCUUAGGAGCGUGACACUUGGCCAAACAAGCUGCAGCAAAACAAGCCCCACAUGGGGGUCUACAAAUAUGUCCCUCUUCGGUAGAGUUCACAAGUGUAAGGAACAUGAACACUGGAAUGAAAAGCAAGUGUGAAUAGUGAGUGGAAUGAAGUGAAAUUUACCGAAGAACAAAGGAGACCCCCACAAGGACACAAGCAAAACACGAAUUUGCUCAUGCUGACAGACUAACACAAAGGCUCUGAUCCUAAAACAAAAUGUUGUCUCAAAAUGCCUCUGCAGCCACAUUAAGGAUCCAAGCUCCCUCUAAGACGUCUCCAAAAGUGACUCAAAGAACUAUGUCAUGUGCAGUGGAAGAGGAAGUCUAGAAGAGCAAUGAUGAAUGGGCGAUAAGCACCAAGUAACCAGGUGAGGAGAACGACUCUGAACGCUUAAAAUGAAGGGAAACAAGGUGACUCAAAAAAUGUCUGGAUGAGUAUGCACAAUGGCUCUAAAUGCCAAAUCUGGAAAUGUGACUCUGAAUGUCAUACUGAAACAAAGACCUGGACGUCGAACUGACCUGAUAGGAAGAAUGAAUGACCAAUCUAUAUGGGUGCGGUCCCGACUCAAACUAAACACAAACUAAUAGGAAAAUGGUCGAUCGAUAUGAGUGCGGCCUCGACUCAAACAAACAUGACAAGAUAAAUGAUAAGAAGAUGGCCAAUCGAUAUAGGUGCGGCCCUAAAAACGCAAACUAACAAGACGAAAGAAUAACCGAUCGAUAAAGGUGCAGUCUCGAAAACACAAACUGACAAGAAGAUGACCGAUCGAUAUAGGUGCAGUCUCGAAGACACAAACUGACAUGACAAGGAGAUGGUCGAUCGAUAUAGGUACGACCUCGACUCAAACUGACAGGAUAAUGAUCUAUAGAUAUAGGUGCGGUCCCAGAAACUGAACUGACAUGGCAAAGGGAUGGCCGAUCGAUAUAGGUGCGGCCCCGACUCAAACUCAAACUGAUAAGAUGAUGACCAAUCGAUAUAGGUGCGGUCCCGACUCAAACUGAACUAAUAUGACAAGGAGAUGGCCGAUCGAUAUAGGUGCGGCCCCGACUCAAACUCAAAUCGAUAAGAUAAUGAUGACCGAUUGAUAUAGGUGCGGUCCCGACUCGAACUGAACUAACAAGAUAGGAACAUGGCCUAUCGAUAUAGGUGCGGCCCCGACUCAAACUCAAACUGAUAAGAUGAUGACCGAUCGAUAUAGGUAUGGUCCCAGAAACUGAACUGACAUGAUAAUGACCGAUCGAUAUAGGUGCGGCCCCGACUCAAACUAACACGAUAAUGACCGAUCGAUAUAGGUGCGGUCCCAGAAACUGAACUGACAUGGCAAGGGGAUGGCCGAUCGAUAUAGGUGCGGUCCCGACUCGAACUGAACUAACAUGAUAGGAACAUGGCCGAUCGAUAUAGGUGCGGUCCCAGAAACUGAACUAACAUGACAAGGAGAUGGCCGAUCGAUAUAGGUGCGACCCCGACUCAAACUGACAUGAUAAUGACCGAUCGAUUAUGGGUGCGGUCCCAGAAAUUGAACUGACAUGGCAAGGAGAUGACCGAUCGAUAUAGGUGCGGCCCCGACUCAAACUGACACGAUAAUGACCGAUCGAUAUAGGUGCAGUCCCAUAAACUGAACUGACAUGACAAGGAGAUGGCCGAUCGAUAUAGGUGCGGCCCCGACUCAAACUGAACAGAGAAGAAGAUGGCCGAUCGAUAUAGGUGCGGCCCUGACUCAAACUGAACAGAUAGGAAGAUGGCCGAUCAAUAUAGGUGCGGCCCCGACUCAAACUGACAUGACAGGGAGAUGGCCGAUCGAUAUAGGUGCGGCCCUGACUCAAACUGACACGAUAAUGACCGAUCGAUAUAGGUGCGGUCCCAUAAACUGACUGAAAUCGAAUUGAUAAGAUGAUGAAUGACCUGAUCAAGUGACCCAAAACCAAAGGAUGACUCAGAUAAUGAUGCAAACAAACUCGGCCAGAGGCGAUAUGCCUUAGUAUGACAACUCAUGAGAAUCGACAACCAGGUCGAAAGAUAAUGAAGCCUGUGAAAGGUCCGAUACUCUCGGAGAAAGGGGUAUGCCCCAAUAUGACCACUCGGAGGGGUCAACAACUAGAUCGAAAAGUGAAUGAAACCUGUGGAAGGUCCGAUGCUCUUGGAGAGGGGGUAUGCCCCAGUAUGUAAUGAUGAACAGAUAGAGAUGCAAAAUGCCUCAAAACUACUAUACUAUGAGAUUUGCUCAUCCAUCAUGUAAUGAAAAUGUCCAACCUCAAAUAAGUAAUGCCAAACAGGACCAUGUAUCGUGACACCAUGUCGACAAAACAAAACUAACUGAUGAAUAAAACAAUGAUGACCAAUGCUCAAAAUGCAAAGAGCAAACAAAAUCAACAAUCAUCGUACCAACUGUCAAAAUGAAAGCAUCAUCACUAAUAAGUCAGCAAUCUGUCAGGCCCUGCCAUCAUGGAAGAUGUUGAACCUAAAGUCCGAAAGAUGUAUGAAAGCACAACCAAGGUGAUCGAGGACCAAUCUACAUCUCCUCUUAAUCGAGAAAGGGGUGAGGUCAUGUGUCACGGUGGGAUGUGUAGGAUAAAAUAAGGUGAUGAUCAGGCUCCGGUAUGAUAGAAGGUAUGAAAGUAUCAAGGGUGAAAUGUCUGAGUAUGAAGUGAAAGGUAGGGAGAUAUCCGAGAUCAUCCAAGUAUUCCAAGAAGACUAAACCCGAGGUGUCAAGAGCUCUAUAAUCCAUCGAAAGCAGCAAUCAUAAACAAAAAGUCAAAUCUCGAUGUCGAAACAUCCAACUAGAUGGCUAUGCCCUAGUAUGCAAUGAAGACAACAUGAAACACUCCAAUAAUCUCCAUAUCAUUUGGUAGAUGCUCCAAUGUAAAGAACCAAUCUGAUCUCUCUCCAAAAGAUGGAUAUGCCCCAGUGUACAGGAUCCAAAUAAGGUGGCUAUGCUCCAAUGAAAAAUGCUCUCCAUCCCGUCUAUGCCCCAGUAUAAACCAUUUGAGGUAACUACGCUCCAAGAUAAAUCAUAGUCCAUCGCCAACUAGAGGGCUAUGUCUCAAUACGUGCAAUCUCUGAAGCAACUGUGUCUCAAAAUGAACCAUCAUCUCAAAAAUCAAUCAUCAAUUAGUGGAGUGUGUCCCAAUGCAGAAUAUCAAGUAGAGUGACUAUAUCUCCAAUAAAAACGCCCUCUGAAAUGGCUAUGCCCCAGUGUAGGGUCGUCCCACAACUCCCAAUCCAUCAUAAGCCGAGCGAAAAAAACCAACUGACUAUGCCUCAGUGCAAAGCGUCAUCCCAUUAAGAAACUGUCAUCGAUGAGCGGGGUAUGCCCCAGUCCAGAUAAUGUCACCUCUGAAAAUCCAUCACUGAUAAGAGGGGUAUGGCCCAAUGUAAACCAUCAUCUCAACUCCCCAUCCACCAUGCUCUGAGGAAUAAUCUCCGACCAAGCUCGAGUAUUGCCCACGUGGGAGCUGUCAAACACGAUGUAAAGUAAUGGCCUCAGGGUGGUCUUCAGACACAGGACGUAACGUAGGCUAAGGUAAUAGGGUGAAAGAAAUGGAAGGAAACUAGGCCCAAAGAUCCCAAUGAUAUAAUCCUCAUACCCCUCAUGCAUGAAAUGCAAUGCAUAGAAAACGUCAUGAGUCCCGAAUCUAGGGGUCCCCACACCAAAAGUGAUGAUAAAGGGAUGAACAUAUCGAAUAAGCAAGAAUAAAGUGUAGAUGCUGAACUCAAGUCAAACAUCAAGAAGAAUGAGAAAAGAAAGAAAUCAGAUGAGGUAGAGUGGAAUGGAGGAACAAAAUAAAGAUAGAAGAAGAUGAAGAGAUAGAAAAGUGAGUGAUGGUCAACCUGCAUCAAAGCAUGGAAGGUAGUCACAUCCAAAAUAGAUGGGAUGAUGGAUAGAGCAAGGAUCCAGAGAUACUAAAGAAAGGUCGCUCGCCUCUCUCAGGAAAAUCGAAUGAGCGACUCAUACUCUCACCCAAAAUAUACCAAGAUGGAAUCUUAGAAAGAAGCUCUCAUACGAACUCUCUCUAACACAUGAACUCAAUGAAGCAACCUAGCACGUCCAUACACAUGCCCAAUGGUGAAUGAUAAAAUGAAUAAUGCGCUAUCAUUUUUUUCCUUUUUUUGUUUUGUUUUUGUUUUUUUGUGCAUACUCUGAUCAAUAAUGAAUGAUCUCCCAUGAAAUAGAUAGCCAAAUGAAUAAACUAUCCCCAUGUACUAAUGUAACAUGAAUCCUCACCAACAAGACAACCUCUCAGAUAAGAUCCUUGGACCACUGCCCAUAAGGCGAACGAGGGAGGAACGUGACAAUCCUCCAUGCAGUGACGUGUGAAAAACCACCACUCAAGGUGAAACACGGAUAAUGUCGAGUAAGCAAUGAUGAAAGAAAAGACAGAGAACGAAUAUCACAAGUAGUGAUAUAUGAUAUUGGAAAAUAGUGAUGAAAUGAUGUCCAAGUGGAAAAUAUCACAAUGAAGAGUGAAGAAUGAGGCUCGAAUAUGUAUGUCAGGUCUGGAACUCAUGACGUAUCUAAACAUAGCAUGCAAGCACUACAGGGUCCCAAACCCGGUGUAAUAGGUAAAUGAGGUGAUGAAAGAAAAGGCUAUGUGCUCGUGUGAGGCUCAAAAGGGCUAGCAACGGGUAACUCUAUAUGUGAGGGUGAUAAAGUAAAUAGGCUCAUGAAAUGAUGGUUACCCAUCCUUUGACCACAACCUUGAACAUCGUGCUUUCGAGAUCUCACAUGACCAAUACUAAAGACUGGCAUCCAUCCAACAUAGUCAUAGCGACUCCUCUGAAAUCGUGCGAAAGCUCCCACUAAUGCUCUAUGAUAACCAUCAAUGUCCUUUGAAAAUCAACUCACUCCAUCAUCAUAAGUCACUCACCACCACCUCAUAACAUCACCAUCUCUAAUCAUCCCGACUCUCUGAAGUCAUGUGCAAUGGCUCAACAACAUUGUCAAGUAGUCAAACCACUCUCUCAUCAUGAUCCAUAUAUCAUCGUGUAGAGCUCACCUCAGGUCUAACCAUCUCGGACUCUACCUAGUCAGGUCAAGGAAAUGAUGGAAAUGAAAGACAAUGGCACUAUAGCAUGAUAAGGCGAACAAGGGUAGUAAAGGCGUGUAAUGGUACCAAGGGGUGGUGUCAUGGCAGGCUCAAAAUGGGUAGGUCAACAAGUCCACAGAGUCAGGGUAUGGAUAUGGAUAUGGUACUGCUCUGAUCAGAAGGUGAAAUGAGUCACAAUCUCGAACUCCCUAGGUCGAUCUCCUAAUCCUAGGUCAAUAGGCUCAAUAUCCUCCAUGAUAGGUUAGGCCAGAGUGAUCAUGACGCGCAAAUGAAUAGAUGUCCUAAGUCAAAAGUACAACACAUCAUUUGAUAUAUGGUCCUGUGAUGGCAAUCUAUAACUGGAAAUAUGACAGAAACUCUAAGGUCAUAAAGGUAUCCACUGCGAGAUGGCUACAAAAGUGACCAAAGAAUCUCCAUCAAUAAUCCGAGAUAAAAGAGGUGCGAAAAAACACACUAUCACGAGAUCGGUACUCCAUCAAUAAACAUAUAUCUUUAACUCAACUUUCGACUCGAGCUCAACUCAAGAAUUCUAAGGGAUGUGAAAGCAGUUCCAAUCCAUGCUAGAAUAUUACCCCAUAAUUUGUUGUAACUGAGAUCAAGGAUUUCCAACAUUGACAGGUUUUGGAAAGAUGAAGGCAGUUUCCCUUAAAGCUUGUUCUUGCUUAGGUGAAGAAGUGAUCGAUCUUGCUUAGGUGAAGUGAUCAAAGCCAUAUUAACUGGCCAAAAGAUUUUGGAAUAGUCCCGAAUAAAUUGUUCUCUUCGAGGCUUUGAAAUAUCAGGUAAGAGCAAUUACUUAUGGAUGAAGGAAUGCUUCUUGUCAAACUAUUCCUUGAAAGAUCAAGGAUUUCAAGACUGCUCAUAUAUCCUAUAGACUCUAGGAUGAUUCCUGUUAUUUGAUUGCCUGAAAGAAGAAGGAAUUUCAAGUUUGACAUGGAUUCACCUAUCUUGGUUGGGAUAGAACCAAAAAAUUUAUUCUUGGAUAGAUCAAGUAUGAGGCACCCAAGGUUUGGUAGAAGAAUUGAACCCUCAAAGAGGUUGGCGCUAAAAUCAAUAAAUGUCAAAGAGAUCCUACUCAACUGAUUUGGUAAGUGACCUUGUAACGGAUUGAAAGAAAGAGAUAAAAAUCUUAAUUGAGAAGAAAUAUUCCAAAACCAAUUGGGUAUGGAACCUGAGAUGCUAGCAUUUGAUAGAGCGAGAGUGUUGACCUCAUUUUGAAACUUAAGCCAAGUCGGAAAUGAAGGUCCUAAAUUGCAUGAACUCAUAUUCAGAUCAGAGAUUUGGAAGGGGAAGGGGGACCCAGGUGGAACUAACAUUCAAAACAAAAAAUGUUCUUCAGAAAGAAUUCUAGUCAAGCAAUUCCCAGUAAGUUCCAAGAUAACCAAGUUAGAAAGUUGUCCAAAACUAGUUGGGAGACUCCCAUUCAGUUCAUUCAAUCCAAGCAGCAUCUCAUUCAAAUUUUUGAAUGUCCUAUAAGAAGCAGGGAUAAUGCCUUGAAGCUUGUUGUUAGAUAGAUCCAGAUAUGUAAGUUUUUCCAGCUAACUCAAGCAUUCGUGAAUUGUACCUGCAAUCAUCAUCAAAGAGUAUAAAAAUAAUUACUAUUUUUUAUUUACUUAUUUUGUGAAAAAUAAGAAAUUUCAAGAGAAAUGUAAGAAACUUUGCUUUCUUAAUGCAUUAUCAAAUGGGUGGAGAAAAUAUAAUUUAAAAUAUUUUUAGAAACAAGUGUCUACAUGGAAUAAAUUGAGAAAAUUGUUUUUAGAAAUUAAAGUUUCCAAACAAAAUUUUGCUUCAAAAUAUAAUAUAAUAUUUGUAAAAAUUAUUAUAAAAAACUUAAAAUUUGAUUUUGAAAAAAUAUUUUUAAAAUGUUUACACGAAACAAAAUACAUUAUAAUAUUUGUAAAACUAUUAUAAAAAACUCGAAAAUUGAUUUUAGAAAACUAAUUUAAAAAUUGUUUACAACCAAAACCUAUAUUUUGUAGUGUAAUCUUUCAAAUACAUUAAAAGCCCUAAAAAUUCCCCUUUAUUGGUCAAUUGCGCAAUGAAUUUAUGACAAAUCAUGCAUCAUCAAGAGUUAAAGUAAUUUAAUUUAAAAUAAUUUUCUAAAAAAAAAAUGAAAAGAAAGAGAGAGUUUAUGAGAAAAUAAUUUAAUGAGUGGUGAGAAGAUGAUUGAAGUUGCCUUGAUGGUUUAAUGAUAAAAGUAAGAGAUUAUUGGAAAGUCAGAAUAAUUUAAUGCGAAAUAUUUUUUAAAAACAUAUUUUGAUGUAUCAAAAUAAUUAUUGGAAAGUCAGAAUAAUUAUUAGAACUACUACAUUAUUUUGAUGUAUCAAAAUCAAUAAGCAAUAAUAAUUUUUCUAAGCGAAAAAUGUACCAAGAAAUUUAUUGUAUGCCAAAUUCAGAAAUUCUAUCUUCUUCCAACUUCCACUUAACAGUUGAGAGCAACUACCUAUGAGAUUUUCAUUCUCAGAUAGAUACAAGUGCUGCAAGUUAGGUAGUUCCCCAAGGCCAGGUGAAAUAUGCCCGUAUAACUUAUUAGAGCUUGCAUCAAUGUAUACAAGGCUACUAAGGUUUAGAAGCCAUAUUAGGAACUUUGACCGAAAAGAGUUGCCACUAAUGCUUAUGACAAAUAGUGAAGUAAAAUUGAUAGAGUUUAGAGAUGAAAUUGAACCAGAGAGCCCACAAUCUUGUAGGUGCAACUCUGUUAAAAAUGAAUUCUUGUUGAAUACCUCCAUCCAGUGAGAUCCUCCCAUUGACAGGUUGACAUAGUUCAACUUGAGAUGCCUUAAAGAAACAAGAUUAGUCAUUCAUUCAAGGUCCUUAACAAAUAAUUGAGAUUCAUCGAAAGAAAGAUCAAGAAAUUGCAAAUUAGAAAGAUUUUCCAAGGUUGGAGGAAUUGCACCUUUGAAUCCACAAUUUGAUAAGUUUAGAUAUUGUAAAUUUUUCAAAGAUCCAAAGAAUUUAGGAAUUGGGAUAUGCUCAAAUGAGUUGCCACUCAAAUCUGAAGAUCUCAAAGAUUUGAGUUCUAUCAAAGAAGGUCGGAUCUCCCCGCUUAAGUUCAUUGAGCUCCAAUUUUCAUAUGCUUCUUCAGGAGAAUAUGAGUUAUGAAGAUUGAUUGAAUAAGAACUCCUGUGUUAUUUUCACAACCAAUUCCCUCCCUGUAGACCCUCAAUUUUGUCCCUUUAGCACAUGUCUUUAAAAUUCGUUUUCAAUGCUCCACAAUAGUUCCUUGGUGGCCCAUGGCUACUCAUACCACUUACCUUUUUCUGAGUCACCUCAGAGACUUUGGUUGAGGGAUUAUUUGAUCCUUUAUUGUGACCCUUGGCAGCCCUAACUUAGACUUAGGCUUUUCUUGUUUUUUUUAGGAUAGCUUUUAGAUACACUUGGCCCAUUAGGCACCACCCUAGGCCCACUUAGUCUCAUCAUAGGCUGUUUAGGCACACUUGGCCCAUUUGGACAUUUUUAGCGUGACUUGUAUGACUUGCAUGGUUACAUGGCUUUUGGGCUCGGCUUUUGUUUAUUGGUUUAUUUUUAUUUUAUUUUAUUUUAUUUUUUAGUUUUAGUUUUAUGAUUAUCAUUCACUUUUUAUUGGUUAUCUUCCUCUUUAUAUUAUUUUCCUUAACUUAUUUAUUUAUUUAUUAUUUAUUUUCGUUUAUUUAUUUAUUUAUUUUUACCGUUUCCUAGUUUAUUUACUUGCUUAUCUAUUCAUUCAAUUAUUUAACUUAAAAAAUUUCAUGUUUUUGUAAGGAAACUUACCAUUGGAGUUUAAGGAAGGUGGGACUCUCCUUGGAAGGUUUUGGUGGGGAAUUUGAAAUUGGGAAGAUUGCUUUUGAUUGGAAGAUUUAAAAAAAGAAGAGAAGAAGAAAGGAAAUAGGAGAAUUUUCCUUUUUGGAAACAAAUUUAGGUCUUGAGGGGUGAUAUAUAUAGGAGAGAAAAUGAAAAGAAUAAAGAAGGAAGCACGUAUUGGAGUUUUGGUAGGGAGAAGAAGGAAGAUAGCAUGAAAAAGGAGAUUUUUUUUUAGAAAACUUGCAGCACACGUUGAGAAAAGGAGGAGAAAGGAGUGAAGAAGCAACAAAGGAUUGGGAGGAUUUUUUGCGGAGAAGCACAGCGGAAGCAGAAAAAGAGCAAUUGCAACCAAGGCCGUUCGGGUAUGUUUCUCGAUGUUCUUGAAAUUAUUACCUAUGCUUGAUUUCUCCAUGUAUUUCGUUUCUGAAUAUUUAAUGUACUAUUGAUUGGUGUGGACGCAAAGGGCCACAAAAUUUUUUAGUCGAUAUUGGUUGCUGAUGUGUUCACCUCAAACCUGUUUGUGAUCCUCGCCACUAGCCUGAGCCCAUUGAAAAAAACAUGAGAUGUGGCUUUAUUUGAUUUCUUUUAUUAUUAUGCCUGUUUGUUCUCUCCCCGUCUUCUAUGGUUUUACACUAUACAUGCUUUGGAUCAUUCCUCUUAGUUUCCUGGUCACUAUUUGUAAGCGUUUAAUAUGAGUCGAAAUUUUGGGAGGAUAAAGAUAGAAAGGACCCUCUAUUUCAUCCAACAGAAAUCAGUUCAGAAAUGUCCUUAUAACAACUAGAAAUUGAUUCUGAAAUUGAAGUAUCGUGGUGGAGUAGAGUGGGAGAACCAGAGCCAAAGAUGACCCCUUUAUUCUCUCCCGUGUUCUAGUAAUUUUGGUUUUCCGGCGCCAGAGUUUGUCGGACUGCCUUCAUUGGGGUUAUCUUCUUUUGAGGUUCAGUGGAUUCUGAUCUCUGGCGUCAAGCUUUCUCCAAAGUGUAACUCGUCCUCAAAUUCCAGCAAGAAUGACACCGCUGAGUAUCUGAUCGAGGGAGAAGAGGGCACCAAUGAUCACAGCGUCAUUCAUAAAUGCAUUGAGAUACAAAAUGUUAUCUCUAAAGGAGCAAUAUUUUUUUCCUCUUCGCCGAAUAUCUAUAUAUUGGAAUCUUCAUGGUUGUCUAAUCUUGAUUUUCGUUUUCCUUGGCUCUGUGGAGGGUUUCAACACAAAGAGUCAGCCUCGCUCAUACAACAAAGGAGAGAUUUGCUUUUUUUUUUUUAUUGGGGAUUUACUGCUUUCUGUGACACGUUUGAUGUUUCCCCCUUGUUUCUGAGAUUGUGUAUCGAGAUAAUCUGGAAUCAUCUUAGACGAGAUGUUUUCAUUACAGAAGGCUGUAAGAGAAGCAUUCUGCAUACAGAUUAGUUUCUCCCUUGAGGAUUUUGUUUUGAAUUGUUUAUUUCUCGAUGGUGAGGCAUCAGAAUAUAAAACUUAUGGCUCUUCCCAUGCAUGCGAUUGAAGAAGAAUCACUCUAGUCUGAAGGUCUCUCUGUUUUGCACUUCUUCAUUGAGCAGUUGGCUAAAGUAUCGUCAUCCAGCACUAAACAUGUAAUUUCUCAAGCUUUUGUUGCUCUUAGCCCCUCUUGAAGAGAGAGAAAGAAAAUCUCUCCAUUCAUUUGAAUAAAAUAGUGGAGAUUCUAGAAGAACUCACGUUUGAGAACAAGGCUGUCCUAAAGUAGCAUAUCCGUUAGUUCCCUUCAUUGCCCUGCAUUCCUGCUUUAAAAAUGAGGAGAUUCUUCCAAAUUGUCGUGUUCAAGUGGCUUGUCAGCCACUUAUACACCUGCUGAGCUUGGUCACAGUGAUGUAAGUUUGUGGGUUGAUAUGGUGAUUAGAGACAACUUUUCUCGGAAUUUGAUCAUUUUAGAGUGUCUACACUGAAGAAAGGUUGAAGAGCACAAGAGAUGUUUUAAGAAAUGCCCACAAAGGGAAUUGAGAGCAAUUCUGUUCACAAAGAUUCGUCAAUGAGACCCUUGUUAUGGGAGACUCCAGUCGCCAUGCACGUGCUUUCUAGUGUGCUCAAAAGAGUGACCCCAGAAAAUAUCAUCAGUUCAAGCAAUCUGGAUUUGGAACACUAAAUCGUCUGCGAGUAGUUGUUGUAGAAAAGUUGUUCUAUAGGAAUAUCAUAAAAAGAUGUGAGAGUGCAUCUAAGAAGCGGUCCGAAGCUUGUUGUCUUUUGCAGGAUAAUAUACUGUACACAACCCAAGAAUCUGACUCUCACUCUGUAUUCAUGGAGCUUUCUUGUUUGUUAUUUGAUAGCACUUUUGAACUUUAUUUGGCAAAUUUUCUUCGUAUGAUCACAACCAUGGCAGAAUCAGGCUCCAACGAGGAGCAAACCGUUAUGUGGAAAUUAAAUGUUGCAUUUGGACCCUUGUGGCAAGAGCUGAGUGACUGAAUAAACACGACUGAGGUACAGCUUGGGAAACAACUGAACAUUCCAGCCAAACCCCAAUUCAGUCUACCAGACUGAACAUCUUUUCCUAUUUUAAAUUCGUGGGUCGAGUGGUUACAAAGGCGCUAUUUGAUGAUCAGCUUUUGGAAAUUUCUUUCACUCGGUCGUUUUACAAGCAUAUUCUUGGUGUGAAGGCGACUUUACCAUGAUAUAGAGGCUGUUGAUCCUGAUUACUACAAGAAUUUGAAGUGGAUGCUAGAGAAUGAUGUGAGUUGCAUACCUGAAAUGACAUUUAGCAUGGAUUUAGAUGAAGAAAAACACUUUCUUUAUGAGAAAACUGAGGUUACCGACUAUGGGCUUAAACCUGGAGGGAGGAAUAUAAGGGUCACAGAAGAAAUAAAGCAUGAGUAUAUAGACCUUGUUGCUGAGCAUAUCUUGACAAAUGCUAUUCGUCCUCAAAUCAAUUCCUUCCUUGAAGGCUUCAAUGAAUUGGUUCCACGAGAACUUAUUUUGAUUUUCAAUGAUGAAGAACUUGAGCUGCUUAUUAGUGGACUUUCAGAAAUUGAUUUGGAUGAUUUGAAGGCCAGCCCUGAGUACACAGCGUACACUGCAACAUCUAGUGUUGUUCAGUGGUUUUGAGAGGUGGUCAAAGCUUUCGACAAGGAAGACAUGGCUAGAAAUGCUGGAAUUUGUUAUUGGAACAUCAACAAGGUCUCCGGUGAGUCUAUUUGGAGCCCCCAUUCCACCCAAUCAAAUCAAGUAUCUUGAUCUUCUGGCACAGUAUUAUGUCUUGAAGAGGCAACAUGUAUCACCAAGAUUGGCAAAGAAGCGCUCAAUGGAUGCAGGAGAUGUCCCUACUUUAGAGCAGAGGCACCAGUACCUGAGUAAUGCAAUUCUGCAAGCAAAGAAUGCAAGCGACAGUGACAGUCUAGUAGGUUCUGUCCAGGGUACCUCUGAUAAUGGCCUGCUGGAUUUGCUUGAAGGGAAGCUUACUGUUCUCCGGUUUCAAAUAAAGAUCAAAGAGAGAACUGGAGGCUAUAGCUUCCAGGCAGUAUUGCUGAAGCUUGUUCAGCCCUGAAAGAGGGUUGAUUCCUACAUUUAUUCUGGAGAUGGAGCGAAGUCUUCUAGAAGUAUAGAAAAUCAAACUGGUUUGAUCAACAAUUUGGAAAGCCAGAGUAUCCUAAAUGAUGGAAAUUCAGAGUCUUCAAAAUUGAAGAGGAUAACAUAUGUGAAGCGCCAGUCAAACCAGUUAGUUGCUGCUUCAAAUGCACAGGAUAUGUCUGUUCAAAAUGUAGAUAAAAUCCCAGCAUUAUCCCCUGAUGGUUACUACAAGAGAAGGAAAAUUUCAAAGUGAGUGCAAUGAAAAGUAAUAUGAGGCACCUCCAUGAAUGACAAAAACUAGGAACUUUUGGGGAUUUGAAUAAUUCAUUUGAUUGUUAUGGAAAAUAUUCUCAUGGGAAUACUGAAGUUGAGGAGAAAGAGUAUGAAUCUGACCCUGAAAAUUAACGGUUAUGAAGCUGUUAGUUUGAUCAAAAUGGAAAUUAAGUACCUUAAUUACGUUUAUGUCUCCUCCAGUGCUUGUAUCACUACAGGUACAAGCAGUUCGAAGCAAUUAUGUUCUGCGGUUCCAAUUUAAAGAAGUUCAACAGUUGGGUCUGGAAUACCCGAAUUUAUUAUAUAAUUGUCUUGAUAGUCAGUUUCUUACUUUGCAAUAAGAUGAAGCACGUCGGAAAAGGAAAUUGGUGAGAAAGGUGACCUGCAGCCUGAAGUUUUCUGGUCAAUUGAACUCAAGCCACUUGAUCGCCAGAUUGCCGAAGAGCAAAUCCAGUUCAUUUCUUUCCUUCUACUGGUUUUCUGGCUCAUCCCUACCUCAUGAAUACACCCAGUUAGGUAGUAUUACUGAAGUACCAAGGGACCUUAUUGAUCCCUACAUCCUGGUCAGCAUCCUUCAACACGAGAAAUGGAAGUAUCAACUAGUUUUCAUGUAAGACAAGGUCAACGAAUAGAUCAGAUUCUGCAGUCAUUUUUUUUCUUAUCAAGAUGAUAAUAUCCAAGCAAUUUCUCUCUCAAUCCACAUACCAGUAGCCACUUCCAAUGUGCACAAAUAGAGGACCUAUAGCUAAGAAUGAAACUCUGCCCGUCAAUAACGUUGAAAGCACAAGGAAUAACCGUGUUGUGAAUAUAAUUGGACAUGUCUGGCCGAAGUGUUGAAUUAAUUCUAUGGUGAAAUUUCGGUAACGCGGAAGGAAUAAUAGCUGCAGAAACUAAAUAUGGAAGGAGUAGAGCAACAUUGUUUUUAGACCUCUUAUGAUCGUCAUGCAGAAAAACAACUCAGUAGCUGAAGUUGAGUAUAUUGACAAAUCUGAGAAUGCACCUCCAACUGAUGGAACUGAGUAGCAGCGCAGGAAAUCUGAUAUGGAAUUAAGACCUACUGCCACACUACAAGCCCUAGUUGAUGAUUCAAAUUGUGAUCUCGAGAAACUAAAGUUGAAUCCGAACGAGAUUGAUGAUGAAAUCAUGUAUCAAACCCUAUGAGCUUUGACUCUAAAAUGAAUACUAAAAUGAAUACGAACAAUUCUCUUCUGGUCAUGCCAGCAAUAUACGGAGAUCUCUUCACAUAACCACCAGCAACGCAGUCACAGCCAAACCCCCAAACCCCACUCGCCAUGACCAGUUCGGUGCACACUACUCUCUUCCCUUCGCACCCCUCUUGUUUUCUUCAUGAUUUUACGUGUUUUGAAUUGUGUUUUCAAAAUCGUUUUCAUCCAAAUAAUACUGAUUUUAGAGAAUCAUCUUUAGACCUUCUCUAGGCAAUAAAAUCCAGAUUUCAGCACCCUUUUGCUGCCAUUUUCCUUCCGGCACGCGUUUUCACUAUUUUAUUUGAUUUUCAACUGAUUUUCUUGAUUUUCAAUAAGCAUGAAUAAACUUCAUGAUUCCAAAUAAUGGAAUUCAUAGAAUCAAUUCAUGCAAAAUUAAUUAGGGCUUUGGUGGGGGCCCGACAUUCAUGAUAUUCUCAUCAACAUUGUUUGCUUGAUAUUUGAUUGAUUGUGCUUCCUCUUUAUGGUAUUGAGAUUAUUUCGCACCUGUUACUAAGCAAACUUUGUUUCCCAUAGAGGAGUAUUAGCUUGCUAUCCAGGUACACUCUUCUUGCCCUCAAACUCAAAAAUUCUAUAAAUGUGUAUGUUAUCAUGAGCCAUGUCCAUGUCUGAUGCCAUGAUUGAUUGCCUUGAUGCUUGUUUGAUCAUCUUUGAUAAAAAUGCAUAUUAUGCAUCGUAUUUUCAAACUAACCAUCGAUGUUUUAUGAUAGCGCUUGAGAAGCGAUUCAGGUACGCACUUCGAUUCUCUCUCAUGGUUUGUUUUCUUGUUAGGCAUACAAUAUUUGAAAUCACCUAACCUACUUAGGUAUCCAUAAUUAAUUGAUUAAUGGCCACACUUCCCUUAACUUUGUCAGUAGAGACCUUUAUAGGGCUUAGAGGGGUGCUACCUUUCAAAGGUACCUUCCCAAUAGGUAACCUGAUCCCCGGACUUAGACUCGGUUUUUUUCAAAGACACGCUUUUCCAAAAAUUAUGGAGUCAUUUUUUUAGGGUUUUAUUUCUUGUUUUAUUUUCCCUUCAAAAAUAAAAAUAAAAUAAGUGGCGACUCCAACUUUUUUUCAAAAAUCAAUUUUUCACAAAUAAAAAGCGAGUCUCGCCAAUCGAGUGGGGACGCACGUGAAAAAUGCGGGUCCACACUCCCAUUGACAACAAUUGCCUCAUAUCCAUGAUGAAAUUCGGCUGCUAGAAGAAUCUUUGAGACCAUUUUUGAAGUCAAGAAGAGAUUCUCGAUGAACUCUUAAGCAAUUUCCCUCAAGGGUUUCACCCUUACAAGCAAGAUCUCUUGUUAUUAAACAUAAAAUUACCAAAAGGAAACCAAGAAUUGAAAUUUUCUCCAUCUAAGAACACCUAUAAAAACAAGUAAUUAAUAUUAAGUUUUGAUAGAAGAAUCAAAAUAAUGAUGAAAUUUGGUAAGUAAUCAGAACAUCAAGUUAUUAGAUAUUAAAUAACACAUUUAUUUUAAUCAAUCAAAAGUUUAAUAAGAUUAAAACAUGUCAAGUAGAUGGAAUACUUGAACAUUCAUAUCAAAUAUGGUAUGAUGAUUGUUGCUUAUCAAAACAAUAGAAAUCACCCACAAGAGAAGCUUAGAAGCAUUAGGUAGAGGAAAACACUAGAGACAACUUGGCAUUAUUGGUAAAGUAAAACAAGACUAGUGAUCCAUUCAAGAUCAGUAACAUAUAAAUCAUAGGAUUCAAAAUUAACAAUUAAAUCAAAAGAUUGAUGGCUAGAAAGAUCGAGAAAUUUCAAAUUAGAGAGGUAUCCCAGACCAGGAGGAAUUGCACCAUUGAACCCAUAAUUUGAUAGGUUUAGAUAUUGUAAAUUCUAAAAAAUACAAAGAACUCAAGAAUUGGAAUACAUUAAAAUGAGUUGUCACUCAAAUCUAAAUAUCUCAAGGAUAUGAGUUCUAUUAAUGAAGGUCCAAUCUCUCCACACAAGUUCAUAGAGGUCCCAUUCUCAUAUUCUUCUUUGGGAGAAUAUGGCUUAAGAAGAUCAAUUGAAAUAAUAGUUCUUGUUUUAUUUUCAUAAUCAAUUCCUUCCCAUUGACAACAAUCAAGCCCUCUCCAUGAUGAAAGCCAAUUGUUAGAACUUUUGAGACCAUUUUUGAAGUAAGAGCAUCUCUAUCAGUUUUUAAGCAAUUUCCCAAAUUGGUCUCACCUUUACAAGCAAGUUCUCUUAUUAUUAAACAUAGAAUGAUCAAAAGAAACUGAUAAUUAAAAUUUUGUCCAUCUAGGAGCACAUGUAGAAACAAGUAAAAUUAAGUUCCAACACAACAAUAAAAAUAGUGACAAAAUUCAAUUAGUGAUGGAAUCAAGACAUCAGACAAUUAAUAACAUAUUUAACUUAACCACUUGUUUGUUUAGAAAGAUUAAAAAUUGCCAAGUAAACAACAUACUUGAAGGCAUGUUAAAGAAAAUAUAAUUGAAAUCAUCUCAACAAAUAUCAAAUAUGCUUUGAUGAUUUCUAUUGAUCAAAACAUUCCAACUAAAGAAAUCACAUACAAAAAAAAAAAAAAAAAAAAAAACUUGCAGCAUUAGAUAGAGAGAAACCAUGUAAAUAACUUGACAUUAUUAGUGGAGAUCUUACCAAUUAUCUUCCUUUUUUUUCUAGUGUAGUGAUUCCUUUGGAUGUAGAAACAUAUAUAGAAGAUAAUUCAACUAGAAUCCAUAUGGAUGAUAGUGAUAGGCUCUUUUUAUUUCUUUUUAGCAAUAUUUUGAAAAAUGGACUGUACCAACCAAUUGAACCAAAUCAAUUGCUAACCAAUUCACUUUCCAAUUCAAUUGACCAUUUCUAACCAUUUUGAGUUUAAAAAGAUGGGAAACCGAUUACUACUACUUGAUUAUGAUCAAAUUGUGUAUAUGAAGUAAAUAGCUAGAUUUGCAACUAUCUUUCUAAAAAAAAAUUUCCAAGAAAAAAGAUUUAGGUGAUGUUUGUCUUUUUAACUUAAUAUAAAAUGAAAUUUAAUUUCAAACUUCAAUUAUUUGUUUUUAUUUUAUUUUUCUACUUUUAACUUAUUUAUUAAUAUUUUUAAUUAAAUAGAAAAAACUAAACUAUGUAACUUUUUACUUAAUUUUAAAAGUUAACUAAUUCAUACUUCUAACCCCUCACACCUAACUCACAUUCUGAAAAAAAUAAUUAAAUUAAUACUUAAUACAUUUAAGUUGUAUUUAAAAUUGAGCUAAAUUAAGUUCUACUUAUAUUUAAGAAAAAAAGCACCAUCUUAAUCUAUUAGCUCUUAAUUUUUUUUCUUUUUAAAUGAGAGAGACUUAAUCUAUCAUGUUCACCCAAACUUUAACUUUGCUUUAUGUCAAUAAUAAUAGUAAUAAUAAUAACAAUAAUAAUAAUAAUAUGCACAUGUAGAUGAUAAAGUCAUUAGUUCUAUGAAUUGAGUCAUGGAAAAACCUUCCUCAAAAUAUCACAAUCUUCAUGUUGUCCUAUACAUAUAUAAGGAAUACCAAUAUGUUUAUAAGUAAUAUUUCACAAUCUUAUGAAAAAUUAAGGGAAAAUAAAUAAAAUAAUCAAUAAGACAUCAACAAUCUUAGCAUACCAUCCCAAAAUAAAUAAAAUCUCUUAAAAAUUUGAAAAAUUAUGUCUUGAGGUUAUCAUUUAUGAUAGAAUGACCAUGCCCAUCAAAGUUGGCUCUGCGUUAAUCUAGUCCAAUCAAUCAAAUCAACUAUUUAAAGUAAACCAAAGAUUGGGACCACUUUUUAAAGACAUUUUUGUCAUUUCAUGUCUUGGGAAAUUUAAGGACAUUAUUUUCCUCAUUCAUAUAUUCAAGGUUUAUAUCGUGUCUACCAAGGUGGCCAUUUUUCCUUCAAUAAUUUUUAAUAUAUUUUCUUUCAUGUCUUGCAACCUUAUCAAGAAAAUUUUGCAUUACCUUGACUUUGACUCCAUGUUUGGGUCAUCUAGAUUAGGGCCUUGUAACUGUUGUGACUUGUCAAUUGCGUUUUAAAUUUUAUAGGACUUUGGUGAAUAUUUACAAAUAAUAGAUAUUUUAUGUAUUUUAAUUUUUAAUUGAAAAUAAUUUUUUUUUUGGUAAAAAAAAAUUUACGCUACAAUUCAUUUCCUCACAUGGAAGUGCUAGAAGUUUUUUUUUUUUUUUUUUUUAAAUAACCUAAUCCAUUUGGUGCUUUUACAAAGUAUAUAUGAUUUAGUUGUGCGUCAAUGAAUCAAUUGCUUUAGAUUAAUUAAUUUCCAACCAACUGAAUUAUACAUCCAGAUAUAAGGUAAUUUGGGUAACUCACAUUUAAUAGCUUCAUAAUUUCUUUAUUUAAAUCUUAUAAAUUAAAUAUAUAACUUAUUAUAAACAAGUUGGAAGCAUAUAGUCAUUCAAGUCUUCAUUUUCCUUUUCGAUUUGCUAUAAAGUUGAUUUUUUUCCCUAAAGAAUAAAACAUUUGAGAAGAAAAUAAAAAAGUUACAAAUUCAAACCACAAUGAAAAAUAAUAAGAAAACAAAAACAAAAAAAACACAUGAAACACGAUUUAUGUAGUUUGCCCUAAAGCCUACAUUUAUAAAUGAAGAUAAAAAAGAACUUCCACUAUUGUUUAAGAAGAUUAUAAUCCUAUAACUCUUAAAUCCUAAAGUCUAAAUUAAUUAUACCAAGAAAAAUGAUUAUUUCUUAUUCGCUAAAAUGUCUUCUCAUAUUUUCUUGGUUGGAAUAUUUAAUAUAAGGAACUAAUUAUCUAAUUAUUAGAGAUACAUAAUAUUUGUAGAGAUAUUACUACUAGUUUUCCUUAUUUUAUAAAAGGAAUCUAAUUACAAUCACAUGAUAUGAAUUUAUGAAAUAUUUUAUAUAAGGUGGUGAGGACUAUACAUGGUAGAUAGAGAUAUGAGGAAGAGGGAGAGACACUUGGUGGAGUAAGAGGGCUCACUAGGGUGUAGAUGUGAGAAAGAGUAAAAGAUAUCUAGUCGAGCAAAAUGACUCAUGAUUCAGGGUGGGGAUAUGAAGCGUAGGGAAACUUGAGAUGUUUUGACACCCAAUAGUUGUAUCUAUUUCUAUUCUCUGUACUGUUUUAUAUGACAUAGUAGAAUGUUAUUUCUCAUCUAUUAAGGUAGACAUGGUUGGUUGAACCUUUGUGUGUGGUUUGCUUUAUUUUUGUAUUUUUUUCUUUAACAUAUCUACAUUGAAGUUAAAAUAGUUUGUUUCAUUGAUAUUUUUUAAAAUCCCAAAAACUCUAGAGAAUAUAAUCAUUCUUAAAGUUUGUAACUCCAUCUUUUGAACCUUUUAAGAUAUUUCUUGAAAGAACCUCUGUCUAUAAUAAAGGUUAAAGACUCAUACAACAAAACUUCAAUAAAGGCUUCAAGAGAUCUACUAAAGAGCACAUUAAAUAUUGCAUCAAGAAUUUGGAAAAUGAAUGUAAGUACUAUUGGUAUAAGACCCUAUAGAAUAGGUAAUGAAGUAAAAAUAUUAUAUAUACUAUUUUCUCAUAUUUAGUAGGUCAUUUAAUGGUUAAGAGACCACCCGCAGUUUUUUAUAUUUAGGCCACAGGUUGGUUUUUCCAUAUUACAUCCCGUGUUUAUUAUGUGAUUGGAAAUCUAUGGGAUUCAUUUAAUUUUACUUAAUAUCAAGAUUAUUUAAUGGUUGAGAGACCACCCACGUUUUUUAACAUUUAGCUUGCUAGUUGGUUUUUCCAUAUUAUAUCUCGUGUAUUUCUAUGGGAUUCAUGAAAUUUUACUCAAUAUUGAUAUUAUUGAUAGAGAAAACUAUAUUUAGGGUUGAUUGCUUCAACUACCUAUUAAUACCUUCAAGGUAACUUUAUAUAUUAAGACAUAACAAUUCUUUCAUUAUUAUUCAUAUGAAAGGAUGAAUCAUGCAAAAUAUAUUUGUCUCAAAAAAUAAAUAGUAGCUAUGGCUCAAAAUAGAAUAAUUCCCUCAUUUUAUAUAAUAAAUAAAUUAAUAGCUACAUUCAUGUUUGAACAAAAGUUCUAUGGUAUGAACGUUAAAUAUUUAAAAUGAAAAAUGAAAGGAAAUGAUGGUUUUCUUCUAAGCUUAGUUGCCAUGCUCCAAUCUAUGUUUUAUCAUGGACAACUUUACAAAGAGGAAACUCCAAUUCAUUUUGGGUUAGUUACCAUAAAGGUAAUAAAUAUUACACCCAAUCAUUAAGAAAAAAUAUACUAAUUUCAUAACCACGGACCUUGUAUAUGUGUGACACCUUAAAAAAAGUGUAAUUUUUCUUGAUAAAACUCUAAAAAUGAUAAUAUAUUUAUUUUUUAGGCCAUCUAAUUAUUUGGAAGAAUGACCAAUACUAUAACUAAAAUUUUUCAACUUUGUUCUAAUUAUAAUUAAUGGAAUUUAUGAAAAAAAAAAAUAGGACAAAUUACAAAAAUCACCCAUAUACUUUCACUUAUAUAUCAAUUUAGUCUUUUGAACUUUAUCUAUCUAUCUAUCUAUAUAUAUAUAUAUAUAUAUAAUAUCAAUCAUAAAUUAUAUCCAAUUGUCAAAUAGGGCCUUUUUCUAACAAUCGAAUAAAUUUUGGUAUGAGUUUUUAUAUCAUAUAUUUGAAUAUUUUCAAUUUAUCUAUGUACUUUUCAUUUUUUUUUAAACAAAAAAUCCUAAUCAAAGGGCCUAAUGUCAACAUAUAAUUUAUGAUUGAUAUUACUUAAAGAAUGAAAAUUAGAGACUAAAUUGAGAUAGAGGUAAAAAUUAGAAAAUGAUUUUUGUAAUUUUCUCUUAAAAUAUGGAUGAAGCAUCUAAAACAUAGGAUCUUAUUUGUAAUAUAACUUCCUUUAAAUAUAAGUGAUGCAUAUAAUGGCUUCAAUGUGCUUGCUAAGUCAUACACAUGGAAGCCAAGUUAUGUGGAAGAAGACCCGUCUUGUUUGUUUUGUUUCAAUGUUCCUUUUGUUUUGAAGUAUUUAUUUUUAUUGUUAAAGGUGAGAAUGUGUAAAUCGUUGGUUUUAUUUCUUUGGUAGUUUGUUUCUUAUUUGUAAGGGAAAUUAGUUAUAGAAUUAUCUAUAUUUAAGUCUUUAUUUUGAGGGAAUAAGAUGUGAAAUUGAUAUCUUAUCAAUUUUUAAGUUGUUUAAUUGGGAGGAGUUGACCCCUCAAAGUGUUAGUGAAUUUCUUUUUAUCUUUUAAUUUGUACCUUUUUCUUGAGCCACUUAUGAGUGUAUCAUGUAAACUCCAAAAAUUAAGCAAGUUGAGGAAUGAUUUAAAAUGAAAGAUGGAAGUAGUUUGAUCUUAGAGGGUCUAAGGUUUAGGCUUUUGUCAAUAACGUUUCUACCAGAAAGCUUUUAUGAUAACCCAAUUAAUAUUUAAACAUGAAAUAAAAAAUGGUUUUUGAUAAUAUUAUUUAUCAUGUAUUAUUACACAUUAAACACACACACACACACACACACACAUAUAUAUAUAUAUAUAUAUAUAUAUAUAUAUAUAUAUAUAUAUAUAUAUAUUCAGAACUUUAAGCUUUAUUUGGAUAUAUUUUUGUUUGGGUUUUUAGUAAAAAAUUUUAUAUAUAUAAAAAAACUUUUCUAUAAAAAGUAUAGACUUAUCUUAUGGCUUUAACAAUUACUUUAAAAAAAAUUAAAUUUGAGAUGGUAAAAUUUUUUUAAUACUUUAAUAUUUUUUAAUCAAUUUUUAAGAACUAUUUUAUUUUCAAUGUAACCUUUUAAGAAUUCUUGUAUAUUAUAUGGAAGAUAACAAGAAGCAUAUCCAAACAGCCCCCUAAGUUGCUUUUAAGCAUUUGGAAAUGUUCUUAAUACUCUCAAGCUAGGUUACUUUUAAAUACCCUCUUACUAUAAAAGUCUUUAAACAUAUGAAACAUGUAAGUCAUUAAAUCAAGAAGUAUACUAUCCAAUUAAAAGAAUUAACAUUCGUUAAAAUGUUUGGGCUUAAUGUUGGGCCUCCAUUAGGACAAGGUAUGGAAAACGUAAAAUAAAAAAUUUGGACCAAGACCAACAUUGAAAUGUCCUUGUGGGCAUUUAAAUGUUAUGACUUUUAAAUUAGUUUUCUAUACUACUUCUAAGGAAAUAAAGACUAAUUUACCCUUAUUUGUAAACAGAAAGAAUUUUUUUUAAUAUAGUAACUAAAUAAAUAAGAGAUGUAGUAACUAAAUAAAUAAAUAUAUAAUAACUAAAUAAAUCGCUACAAGGAAAAAGAUAUAUGGUGACAUUUAUAAUGAGUCACCCUAAACAUAGGAUGUCGCUACAAUAUAGUGUCACUUUAUCCACUGACAUCAUAAUGGAUACCAAUUGGUGAUGUAUUUGGAAGCAACACCAAAGCAGAUAAAUGGUGACGUAUUCAGAAGUGACACCAUAUAAUUUUAGUGAUGCUUAAUUUGAUAUAGAGUUGUGUGAGAUAUAUAAGGUGUCAUAUUAAAUGCAUCACCUUUGAGUUAUGGUGUCACAUCAUUGUAAAUGAUUAUAGAAGAUAUGAUUGCUUUUUGUUGAUUAACCUGUAGAUUUUUGUAAUGCUUAUUAAUAAAUAAGAUCAACUUGUGUAAAUUUUGUCCAUAAAUAUAAUAAUUAUAUUACAUUUAACAUAUAUUUUCAUAAUGCUUAUGGAUUAACCUAUAAUACAUUACAUCAUCCACUAAUAUUUGUCUAUCAAAUGUUCACAAAACGAUAGUACAUCAAACACAUCAAACCCACCAAAACUUAAAAAAAAAAAAGUGAAUACACAUUAAAACAUGAUUUAGAAAUGUUAAGCAUCCCAACAUUCAUGUAUAUCUCCAUUUCAUAUGCAUAAAACCAGUUAACCAUAAAAUGACACAAGAGUUGCAUCCAAAAACCUAAAAUUCUCAAUUCCAAAUAAAGUAACAUUUAUGUCGUAUAAUGUAUAGCAUAAGAGUCACAUCUAAAAACCUAAAUCUUGUUGUCUCUUUCUCCUUUCUUUUUAUUCUUCAUAUUGUCCUCUCAAGAGUGUAUGCCUGUAUUUCAUAGUUUAAUGAGUUUUAGAGUUCUUAUUGAACAUAAAAAUGUGAUGUUAUAAAAGAUAAACAAAUCUAAGUACUAAUGUUUUCUUUUUUCUUUUUCCCAUUUUCAUAUAAAAAUAGUUCGUAAAGAAUAAGUAAUGCUAUACAAUACCAAUAGAAAAUUCAUAUAACAACUAAGGGACUCACCAUGCAUGAUCACAAUACAUCAACAUGAUUCAUGAUUAGUUAUAACACAAAAGCAAUCCAUUCUCCCCUAAUUUCAUCAAAUUCUACUUGAGAAUACGUUUUUUUGUCAUCAAACUGAAAUCAAAUGAGAAUAACAUUAAUAUCACAAUAAUUGGAAGUAUGAAACUAUGUACAAUUCAUUAUAUGAGUAAAACCUUUAAUGCAAUAAUUGUAGAAUCAAUAAUUAUCUCUUUAAUGAAUCUCAUAACAAAGUAGUCACAUUUGAACUCAAAUAAAACAAUUCAAGAAAAUAAAAAAUAAAUCAAAACUACAAAAUCAAAAUAUAAAUCUAAAUUUUAGAAAAUACUAAUCUUCCACUUAAAAUCUACACUUUUUAAAUUUAUUUUUUAUAAUUCAUUAUGCUAUUAAAAAUAAUUUUUAACAUUAAUUUUUUUUAUAUAUAUAUUUUUUUAUUUCCUAGAAUGAUUUUCUUAAUUUCAAUAUUUUUUAAUGUUCAUUUUAUGAAAUAAAAAUGUCCAUUAAAGUUCAUCUCAAUUAUAUAAAAUAAAAUUUUAGUAAUAAAAUAUAAAAAUGUCUUCGACUACUAAUAUGAUAGGACAUGAUAUUAUAACAAACAUAAAAGUUGUGUAUAUAAGACAAAAAAACCUAAUUCAUUAUUAAGAAAUGUUAAGAGAAAAAUUAGUUUGAGAAAUAAUUAAAGAAUCUUUCAUAAAAAUUAUUGAUUUUUCAAUCAUAACAUCAAUUGAUAUAUUUUUUUUUCUAAGUAAAAUAAUUAAUAAAAAAUUUGGAUAUGAAAAAUAUGUUCAAAUAAAAAUAAUAAAAAAAUAAAAACAUCAAAGGAAAAUUUAUUCAAUAUUUUAAAUUUUUUACUUUUAAUAUUCUUUAGAUCAAUAAAUUAUCAAACAUUUUUUUUUCAAAAAAAAAAAAAGAAAAAUGAAGAAAAUGAAGAGUUUUAUGGAAGGAAUUGGAAAAUUUUUUGUAAUAAAAGGAUUUUAUAGAAAUUUCCUAACCUUGAAAGGAAAAUUUCAUCAUCAAUCUCAAAUUACUCCAAAGUUUGGUCAAUGCAUAUAAAAACAAUAAGAAAAAAAGGCAAAAAAAAGAAAAGAAAAAAAAACAUGUUUUUAGAAUCCUUUUGCGGGAGAUGACAAUAUUGAGAAUAAUUUUGUCAAAAAUUAUUUUCCAAAUAUCACCAACCAAUAUCUUUAUGAAAACCAAAAGAAAAUUAUCAAACAUCUAAAAAAAAAAAAAAAGGAAAAAAGAAGAGUUUUAUGGAAGGAAUUGAAAAAAUUAUGUAAUAAAAGGAUUUUAUAGAAAUUUUCUAACCUUGAAAGGAAAAUUUCAUCAUCAAUCUCAAAUAAAAACAUUAAGAAAAGAAGGUAAAAACAAAAAACAAAAACCACAUUUUAAGAAUAUAAAAAAUAUGAAUAGAACAAGAUGAGAUAUUAACUAUACGUAAAAUAAUAGAAAAAAAAUAUCAAAAUAUAAGAUUUGAUCAUUUUUAUAAUUAUUAAAAUUUUCAUUCCUAUUUAAAAUUUAAAAAAACAAUGCAUUUACAUGAAUAAAUGAAAAAUAAAAUUAAUUUCUCAUUGUUAAGUCCAACAUUCCAAAUUGACUCCAACAUGAUAUCGAAACUAUUUCAUUUUUACUUUUGUAGGAGAUGAUAAUAUUGAGAAUAAUUUUCUAAAAAAUUAUUUUUCAAAUAUCACCAAUCAAUAUCCUCAUCACAAUAUACUAUAAUAUUAUUUGAAAACAAACAGAAUAUCCCAUCAAAUGAAAUUUCCUACAAAAUCAAAAGAAAAUUUCAUGUUGUAAAAUGUUUGUCUCUCAUUCUAAGUAUGAAAGAUAUUAAAAAAAAUCAUUCAUUUUUCUUAUUUUCAUUCAUUUUGGGGUUUAUGGGUUUAAAAAUGAAACAGAAGAUAUGAUGGAAUGUUAAACCUAUUUUUUACUUUCCUACAACUCAAUAAAAAAACCACUAUUUACACGAUCCAUAUUACAGAUAUACUAAAUCAAUGAAUAUAAAUCAAUUGUGCUAAUAAAGAUUUUGACAUUAAUACCAAAAAAAAAUAUGAAAAUAAUAUAUCUAAGAGAUUUUGGGUUACUUGGAAGUCCACGAAGUAGAGAAGUGCAGUUGUGUGUUAAUUAUGGAUGUGAGAAGAGGUAGAAGAAAAUUUUGGUUAGGGUUAUGGAAUGAGAUUUUUUUGGAUUGUGGGUAUGUGGAAACAAUUACCUUUUUAUAUACUAUCAUUAUUCUCAAAGUUGGCCCAUUAAGUUAUAAUAUUUAAAAAAAAAAUAUUUUAUGUGGUGUCACUUUUCGAAAACUAACACUAUAAACCUAAAAUUAAAAUCAUUGAUCCUAAUUGAAAAUUUUUAUAUGAUGUGUCACCUUUGUGGAUUUUAAGUCAUAUGGUGUCAUUAUUUUAAAAGUGAAACCAUAACUUAUUUUUGCAGUAGUAGUGAAUUAAUAACUUUUAACAUCUGAAACAAAAGAAAAUUGCAUGAUUUAGCAUAUUAAGUAGUUCAAUUAUGAGUACCUUCAUUGGAUUAUCAUUGUAAUGAGCAUCUAGUGCUAUAAUCCUUAUGAUCUCUCAUAAGGAGGCAACAACUGAAACUUUCACAACCACAUUUCCAUGCUUUAAAAUUUGAUAUGUUAUCAAAUGCUUCGAUGAGAGGUAAAAGUGCCAUCAUUGUUGAGAUACAUGGCUGUUGUUCCACUUUUGGCAAAUAAAACUCAGCCCUCUAAAAGAUAUAAUGGACCAUGACAUGUAUUAAAUCAGAAAACAGUCACAAAACCUAUUACUUGAAAAAGCCAUCACUAUACAAAUCUAAAGCCUAGAAGCUAUCGAAGAUAAUGCAAACAAAGUCUUAUAUAGAAAGAACCGUAGCUUUUCGAUUUUACCCAAACAAUAAAUUUCUCUUUAAUUUAAAAUUCUGAAUUUUGGAAUAGUCGUUGCACUUGCCAGUGGGUUUCUACGUGGCUUUGCUCUGCCAUUGCUAUUAUUAAUAGAUUGUGGGCUGGCCUUCUAAGGUUUUCUGAAUUUACAUGCAUACCCCCAUGGUCACAAUUAAGAAUUGUUAUUGAUAUACAAUCGAAGAAGGUGUUAUUAUUUCCUCCUGCAAAAGCCUUCAAAACUCGUAAAACUCCUCUGGUAUUUUAUCAUGAAAUUAACCAAAAGAAAUUGAUGAGAUUGAGGGAGUUAAACCCAACCUUUAUGAAAAUAUGAAAAAUAUCCUAAAGUUCUAUAUUAUGUGGUGGAUUAUCAUCUAGCCACCCCUUAUAUCUUAGCCAACAUCGUUCAAGAUCGUCACAAUAUUUUCAACAAAUAUUUUCUAUUAAAUUCUUUGAGGAAAUUGAUUGACGUUGAUUAAAUUAUGAAGGUACAAGAUUAGCAUAAGGGUUCACUAGAUGACUCAUGAUAUAUCAACAAAAAUUUAAUUAAUGCAACCAAAUCUAAAAAUUAUACCUACAUUAACCUUAGCAACAACCCUUAUUUCUUGACUGUUAAUCUCUAUUAUAAUAUUACUAAAGCCUAAAAUACAUAGCAAUUUUGGCCAAGAAAAAUCAGAGAUAGGAUGACUAUGGUAGUGAAAGUUAAUGUUUGUCUUUAAUUAAAACAUUAAUAUUUAACUAUUAUUAGUUUAGCUUAAGUAAAAUACUAUUAUUAAUUUGAAUUAGAGUUGGAGAUGGUGUUUGAAUUAGAGUAAAAGUUUAAGUUCACCCCCUUAAUGUUAUUUGUAUAUAAAUAUUCAUUAAUUAUCAAUGAUAACAUCACACCUUAUGAAAGUGUAAUCAUUGUUUUGAGAAAUCAGGUUUAAUAAAAAGUUCUAUUUUGAUAUGCCAUUUUUAAGUAAUCAUUCUUGUUAUAAUAUUUACAAGGAAGGUCACAGAAGCUAUGUGAGAAAUUAAUCAACUUGACAACAGAAAAUAGGGAAUAUGCCCAAGUAUAGCAACUAGUGCAUCCCACCAUGCAAGUAACCAAAUGGCUCAAGCCGAUCACCUCUGUAUCAAAAAGUCAAACUAUCAACAACUCAAAAAGCACAGGCAUACUGGUUUGCCUUGGUGACUAAAGAGGAACCCAAUGAUGACCAAGAUGAUCAAACUAUACUAUCUCAUUGAGGAUCAGCGUGUGGGAGCCUAUCCGUCAUUGGCUUAAAAGUGCUCCAUGUGAGUAAAUAUCACUCAAUCAAAUAAAGAAGAUCGUAAAUACUAAGUGAGAAAUCAAUCAUCUACACAAUAGAAAAAGGGAAAAUAUGUUCCAAUAUAACAACUGAUGCAUCCCGUCAUGCAGGUAACCAAAUGGCUUAAGCCAAUCACCUCUAUAUCGAAAAGUCAAACUAUCUACAACUCAUAAAACAUAGGCAUACUGGUCUGCUCUAGUGACUCAACAAUGAUCCACUAAGGUAACCAAUGAGAGAAUUUGUCAUCAACCCAAAUGGUCCACUGGGGGUGAUGAAUGUAUGUGAGUCUGUCAUCAACUCAAGAAUGAUCUACUAGGGAAUGAAUAAGGAGUCUGUCAUCAGCUCAAAGACACUCCACUAGGGGUGAUGAAAGUGUGUGAGUUUGUCAUCAAUUUAAAAAUAUCCCACCAGAAAUGGUGACCAUGAGCCUGUCUAUCGCUGACUCAAGAAUACCUCAAUGGGGAUGUAUAGGAGAUCUGGCAUGUACUCCACUGAAAUGAUGAUAUGGGAGUCUAUGUGCCUAAGAUAACUCCAUCAGAGAAUCAUGGCAAUAUCAUAAAGUAUGAGCAUGAUUGAAUGACUCAAGAAAGGCUCCACUGGGGAAUCAUCAUAAAAUAAAAACAAAUCAUCAACUCGACAUGUAUCUCAUAAAUAUAUAGGAAGGAUCAUGCGAAUUAAUGGAGAUAUACAAAUCUCAACCAAAAGGGAAUUUGCCCUAGUACGUCAUCAGAUGUACAGUAGGUUAGAAAAUCAUAUGACAUCAAAUAAUCCAUCAUCAAUGUGUAAUCCUAGUCAUCCAUAUCCACAACUGAAUCAGAUCCAAAAAUCAAAGAGACUUCUCCCAGAAGAAGAAGCAUAAUGAUAUCUAAAUAUCAACCAAAUCUCAAAUACUUGUCCGAGUAGGGGCUGUCAAAUAUGACAUCGGAUCCCAUGGCCUCAGGGUGGUCUUAAGACACGGGAUGAAACGUAGGCUAGGGUGAUAGGAUAAUAGAAAUGAAGGGAAACUAAGCCUAAAUACCCAAUGAUCAAAACCCAUGCCCUCAUGUACAAAAUGCAACAUGUAUAGAAAAUAAUUUAAGUCGUUGACCUAAGAGUGCCCUAUGUGAGUAUAAUAGUAAUAAUGAGGCAAUGAAGAAAAUCAAACUGAUAAUGAGAUGUGUAAGAAUGAUACAAAGAAAAUAACAAAUUGGGAAUAGGUCACUAUAAGAAAAGAACAAGGGGUGAAUGAAGGGGAUGAAUCAAAAGCAAUAGUGAGGAUGAUGGUGAAACAAUGAACAUAUAAAGAAGAAUGAUGAUCAACUCAAAUCAAAAUAUGGAGUGAAGUCACAUCAUCAAUGAAUGCAAUGAUGGAAGGGACAAUGAUCUAGAGCCCUUAGGAGAAGAUUGCUCGUCUUUCAUUCUAAAAACAAAUGAAGUGAAUAUAAAGAAUGGACCCUCGAAUAUCAAUAUACAUGCUCAAUGAUGGAAAAUACUAUGCACAUACUCACAUGCGUUUAUUUUUUUAUUUUUUAUUUUUUUUAUUUACAUAUAUACAGAUGCAUAUACCCUGAACAUAAACAAAUGAGCCCCAAAGAAAUAAGAUCAAUAAUGGAUGGACAUGCUCUUAAGCGCUAAAGUAUCAUAAACUCUCUUUAAUGAGAUGACCUUCUCAAACUAAGGAUCUUUGGAUCAACGCCUGUGGGAUAAACAAUGGAAAUGAUGUGACUAUCCUCCAUGUAAUGAACUAAGGAGGAUCACCAUUCAAGGUGGAGAAAAGAUGAAAUAGAACAAGUAGCAAAUAUAACAAAGAGAAAAAAGUGAAGAACACAACCAAUGAGAUAUGAUGAAAUAUGGUAAUGUGAUGAUAGAAAAAUAAUGAGAAGAAUGCACCCAUAGGCUCAAGGCUCAUGAAAUUCCUAAACAAAGCAUGCAUACACUAAAGAGCCCCUAUCGUGUUGUAAAAGUGUAAGGAAGGUAAUAAAAAAGAAAGGUUAUGAUGCACAUGUGAGGCUCAAUGGGCUAGCAACGGUCUAUAUGUCAAAAGGGGGAUAAUAAGACAUGUGGCUAACAGAAAUGACGACCACCCAUCCUGUGAGAAUUGGAUGACUCUAAGAACUGGUUGUUGACUCUGAGAAUUGGUUCAUGUCUAGAUCCAUCAACCAUGCAACACCCACCAGGGUCAACUCUUAAUGAAAUAAGGUCCACUCCAAUUGGGUCUGAACUUUCUUCUAGGAUCUUUGAUCAAUCUUCUAAUGACCCUCAAGAUUAAGUCACCCAUCUGUAAUGGUCUAGGCUUAACCCGUUUCUUGAAAGUGCGAACCAUCUUCCACUGAUAGGCAUGAACAUGGUUUGCUACCCUCAAUCUUCUCUCAUAUAAGAGAUUGAGUUGGUCUAAUCAAGCCUGAACCCAAUCUGCCUUUGAAAUUUGCUGCUCCAAUGCUACCCUCAAUGAACUCAUCUCUAUCUCAACUAGUAGCACUAUUUUCAUACCAUAUGAUUCAUGCCCAAUUGGUGUCUCAGCUGAUUCGUGUCCAGCUGGUGCUCCUUGAUUGAGGGAGUAAUCAACAAAAUUUAUAACCUAUUACACCAUUUACUAGGGUAGCAAAGACAAAGCUACUAUAGCGUAGUGACUCUAGGAUCGUUCGCUGGGAAGGGUUUCCAAAUUACAAAUGAUACCAAUUCAAAGUGAAUUGGUAUUGUUUCAUUUCAAGGUUAGCUCAAGAAAUAAAAUACAAACUUUGAUUGGCAAAGAUUUAGAUUUAAAAUGACUACCAAGCAAGUGAUGGAAAUUACUUAGGAAGAAAACAUUCCUUGAAGGGUUAGGUCCACUGGGGAGGUUCCUCAUGCAAAAGACAUAACUCAGGUCAGUUGGUUCAUUUCCUCGCGUGAGAGAAUCAACAUAUAGUCAAUUCUCUAACCGGUGUUGUACAGAUACAUCCUUUAAUUAGAUUUCAACUUUAAUUCUCUCACUGAUGCAACUUGCAAUGGUUCAAGCCUCUCACUAAGACUUAACCAUUCAAGGUGAUCUUUAACCUUGGACUUCCCUUCUCAAGCUCGCAAGAGAUAACUAAUGGAUGUCUCCUUGGAGUCCAAAAGCUUACCAAGUGUUGGCAAUUCCAGAAAAUCCUACCUUAAAGUCACCUCCCAGAGGCUCGCAAGGGGUAAACUAGUGCAUCUCCUUGGUUGGAGAUCACUUGCCUUACCAAGUGUUGGCCCAGGUGACUCUAAGGUGUUUUAAGUUAACUAAAAACAUAGAAAUCACUAAAGGAUUUCACUUCCUCUUCAUUGAUGGAUGAAACCACAAAGCUUUGCAUUCUUGCACUUGGAACCUUCCCCGGCAACCUUAGCUCCAAGGAACUAGAGGUUUAGUUACUCAUUCUCUGGGGAAAAUUCCUCAGAGAGUGCAUAACUUAGUAAGAAAUAAAUAAUACAAAGUGAGAAGGUAAGGCAAAACAAAGGGCCUAAACUUUACUUGCUUUUCAAAACUUUACAAAGGGUCUCCUCUCUUCCGAAAAGGCUCUCGAAGAGUAUGUAUAUGAACAUAAUACAAAACUAAUUAUUACAUAGAUAUUUUCUCUUUUUACUAACUUAAAAGCUAAGGAAUCUUGUAAUUGGUGGCUUACAAGGAGUAUUUUGGGAUUUAGACAACAAAAAUCUGAUGGAAAAUAUCUCCCAAUGUCGGUAGCAAAUAUCGGGAAGCACUACGGACCAUUUCGCAAGAGAAAAUGAUGUCUGCGAGAUUUCGCAGACACACAAAAGGGUUGCGAAAUCACUUCGCAGCAAAAGGUUAUUCUCGCAGGGCUGCGAAGUUGACUUCCAUCUUGAGGUUCUCAGCUUCCAACUUGCGGCAUAUAUUGGGCAACUUCAGGAGGAAAUACACCACACUGUACAAAAAGGCUGCCAAAUCACUUCGCAACAAAAGGGUGAUUUCGCAACACUUUGCAAAAUGCUUCCUUCAACUUGGAGUGAUUGACUUGCAAUGGCUGUAACUUCUUCGUUUCAACUUCGAAUUGCACACUGUUUGAAGCAUUGGAUUGUUGACUUCCUGAGCUUUGAAAUGGUAUAUAGCAUGCAUCAAUUGGACUUCAUAAAUUUCUCCAAAAGUGGCUGCCACGACUGUCAUCAAGAAUAUGCUUCAUGGCAGAUUCUCUUUACUUUUUCUCCUUGCACUCCGGAUUUACUCUUGGCAAAUGACUUCCAAGCUUUGCCCAAGAUUCCUCAUAACUCUCCUCAAUCUUGGAUUGCUUUGGUGAUCAAAUUACUAACAAAAACACCAAAACUUACACAAAGUGAUUAAAAUUGCUUUCAAGGGUCCUUAACAUGCCAAUUGAGUUAAAAGGCCAAAACUACUACUCAAAAGUGUUUAAAAGGGUUUAAUACAAGCUACCAAAGAGCACUUUUUGAGUAGUAAUCACUCCCCCCAACCGACAUAUUGCUAGUCCCUUAGCAAUAUAGGAGAGAAAAAUAAAAAUAAAAAGCAAACUAAACUAUAAUUUACAACAUCAUGCUGAAAAAACAAUUUUCAAAAGGCAUGAUGAUCUAACUCUCACAUGAGACAUCAAAGAAAUACAAACCCAAAUUUUAACAAGAGUUAUAACACUAUACUAAACACUGUCAAUCAAGGGAAUGCAUUAUGCAAACUGAAGUUUUAAAAUCAUUUCCACUUUCAAAGAAUCAAUUUUAAUCUUCCACAAAAAUCUAUGUGUAUUGGUUCCUUAGCUUCCGAAAAUAAUAUGCUAAACUAAUCUCUCCUCCCAACCUAUCUCUUUUCAACACUUAGCAAACUGACCAAAAUCAAUAAGAAAAUAACACACUGUCUUCUCUUUUAUUGUUUUUUAUUUUUUUAUUUUUUUAUUUUUUUUUUACACAAAGGGCCUUAUUGGGGUAUUCUUUCUGAAUUGUCCAUGUAAUGGGGGUCCAUCGAUGACUCCCAACCAAUUAAGGUUUAGGGCAUCAAGCUUUAAGGAUCUUUCAACCACUAACUCCUCGGAUUUUUCCCCGGACUUUUGAGAAUGAAUUUCUAAUACCCAAGCACCUACCAUAUGCUAACUCCACCUAUCCACCCUUGUAGCGAGCAUUGAGGUCGGUGACUCCCAACCAAUUAAGGCUUAGGGCACCAGGCUUUAAAGAUUUUCACCAUAUACCCCUCAAACCUUGCUCGGGUUUCAAGGCAAGCAAACAACUUUCUUUCUUUAUUUCAAAGGCUCAUUGGCCUUUCAUAAGGUGUCUCAACUUUAUCAAAUGAGGUCAAAUGUACCAAGUCCCAAAAUUAUCCUAAGUCAAGAGGGAAAUAGCUUUUCAUCUUAUAAUCAGAAUCUAUUGUGCACAGUGUGUGGAUAGUUUAAAGUGGAAGAACUAAAUUUGAUUUCAAUAGAAGCUUCAACAAUUGAACCACUUUAGUGAGCAUAAUCCAUACUCUAAGUCAAGUGAAAAGCAACAGUUCAAUUUCUCCUGUUUUAAUUUGAAAAUUUUUCCUCAAAAUCCAUGGAGAAUAGAAUAACAAAAAUAAAAAGCAAAAACUACAAUUGAUUUAUCAACAUAAUUGCAUUACCAAAAUGACUUAGCAUACUUCCUUUAAGUUAGCAUACUUCCUUCCUCAUUUCUCCCCCCCCCCCCNNNNNNNNNNNNNNNNNNNNNNNNNNNNNNNNNNNNNNNNNNNNNNNNNNNNNNNNNNNNNNNNNNNNNNNNNNNNNNNNNNNNNNNNNNNNNNNNNNNNUUUUAAAAGGGGGUAAAAGGUCCCAAGUCCCAAAUUUUUCUUAAGUCAAGGGGAAAAUAGUUUUUUUUUUUUUAUUAAAAUUUUUUUGGGCCCGGGGUGGGGAUAUUUUAAAGGGGAAAAAUAAAUUUUGUUUUCAAUAGAGGUUUCAAAAAUUGACCCCUUUUGGGGGGCUUAUUCCUUUUUUUAAGUAAAGGAAAAAGCAACAGUUAAUUUUUUCUUUUUUUAUUUUAAAAAUUUUUCCCAAAAAUCCGGGGGGAAUAGAUUAACAAAAAAAAAAAAAAAAAACCCCAAUUUUUUUUUCAAAAAAAUUCCUUUCCCAAAAGGGUUUGGCAUCUUUCUUUAAAUUUAGCAUAUUUCUUUCCUUUUUUUCCCCCCCCCCCCCCCCCCCCCCCCCAACCGAACUGAGCAUUGUCCUCAAUGUGAUAUGAGUGAUUGCAUUUAAAGGGAUGAAGUGGUACCUCCUGAGUGAUAUCAAUUUCGAAUAUUGAUUGGAGAAACCACAUGUUUCAAAAAAAAUAAAAGCUGUGAGAAAAGGAAAUAAGAAUAAAUUAAUGCUAACGGUUAACAAGAAAUAUUAGACUUGUAUUACUUUGAAUCCAUUUGAGUACAAUGAAAAAGAAAGGCAAUACAAGCAAUCCCAAAUAUGGUACCAAAAUAAUGGGAUUUCUUACAAACUAAAAAACGAAUUACAUAAAAAACUUAAGCAGUAGAUAUAUAUAAUGAUCUGAUGAGUCGGUGGUGUUGGGGCUAGGCAGAUGGGUCUGCCUCUUCAGUUGGUGCUCCAGAUGGGGCCUGAGGCUCUGUGGGAUGAGAGUGUGGCACUGCUGUGGUGGAGGUGGAGGGCUCAACAGCUGGUGGCAGAUCGAAAUGAUGCUGGAACUGCCUUAAGAUGGCAGUGUGCUGAGCCUGGGUGGCCAACAUCUGCUCUUGGCAUGCUCGAAUGGCUGCCAUCUCAUGAGCAAGGCUGCUCUGAGAUGCUGUGAGGGUCUCCAAUGAACGACAUAACUCUCUGUAUUCAGAAAUGGGAAUGGCCAUCCUUGGUUCAGUUGAAGUGGAUGGCUGAGAUGAAGCUGGAGCAACUGGUGGAGCUUUGGGAAUGGCAGGAGCAGCAAUAGGUAUACCCUCAGGUAUGUGUCGUGGGGAUGCUCUCCUAGCAGCUGGCUGUGGGUGCUCUGGAUGGUCAACUUUAUAGGGUGUCAUGUUGUUCCAUUUGUCGAGAGUAAAUACCUCUUGGCAAAUGCGCUUGCGCUCCAACUGAGGCUCAGAAGGAUACCCCAAGUGCUCCAGAAUUUGGCACAGCAGCCUUGGAAAGAGAAGAGGAAUGGUAUCAGCUCUCUGCAGCUUCUUUUUGUGUACCUUCUCUUCGAAAUAGAGAAGGGCUGCCAUAAUUAGAUGGUGAGGGCCAAAGAAAUAUCCCUCAGACAUCUUGAACAGGGCUUCUAACAGGACUCCUCUCCUUUGAGUCCAAUGCUGCAGUGGGUAGAGGUUAUGACGCAAAAAUGCAUCAAUCAGAAACAUGAUUGGAGGAAGCUCUCCUCUCAACAGAUGCGGACGUGUGGAAGCUCCUCUGGAUAGGAUAUGCACCAUUUCCAACUCAGUAGGACUGGUCCACGCUCUAAAAUGAUCGAAAUGGCUCAGCUCGUAGGGAAUUUGCAAGGCCUCAGCUAUAUGGCGAGCUCCCAGUAUGCCAUGCCUCCCAUCAAUGGUAAAAUGAAUUAAAGUUGGAUCCCUGACCUGUUUGGUAGUCAUGGAUUGAUAAAAAUCCAUGGCUACUCUGGGGUAGAAAAAGUCUCUCGGAGUCAGCAGAUGCUCCAUGUGGUAUCUUCUCAGCAGGUUGAAUGACUAUGCAAGCUCCGACCGUAAUUUGAAUGUGGCUAUGUCAAAGCAUAGCUCGGAGUGGAAUGGUCGAGCUCUACAGUCCAAAUUUCCCUCAAUUGGAGGCUGAGUCAGCAUCGGCCGCCUGAUUAUUUCUUCCGGAGCUAUUUCAGAUGGAAUUUGAGGCUCGGGAAGUGGUGGCUGAGGCUCUUUAGGCUCUGUUGGCGGCGCCGGAGAUGGCACCGGAGAUGGAACUGGAGAUGGAACCAGCGAGGGUUCUGGGGACUGCUCCGUUAAAUCAAUGGGCUCUGAGUUUUCAACCCUUGCUCUCUUUUGCAGUGGCCGACCCCCUGACCUGGUAAGAUAACACCUCGCCGGAGGCUUUGGAGGCGCGGGCUUCACCGGAGGAGAAAUUGCUUUUGGCCGCGGAGGCUUAGAAAUGGGAUCUGGAAUGGGCUCCUCUCGCGGGACUUUCUUGCGGCUUGAAGGAGAGGAAGUCUUGGCCCCUCUGGUUUGCGCCAUUUCGGGUUGCCAAAAUUUGGCCGGAAUUGAUGACCGGAGAAGAUGACCGGAGGCUUGCGCGGUGUCGGGCUCAAGGAAGGAGAUGAACAGUCUGCGAGAAUGGCGCGCUCUAUUUUGAAACCCUUUUCGCAGCUUAAAUGACCGGUAUAAAUAAAAAUAAUAGAAGAUUAAGGGUCAUAUUGAGUUUCGCAGAAAAGGGCCAAUUUCGCAGCAAAAAGUCAUUUUCGCAGCCACUUCGCAAUUCGUUUCGCAGCUGCGAAUUGAGUGUCACUGUGCUGCGAAGUGGCACACGUGUGCCAAAAUCGCUUUCGCAAUUGCGAAAUACCCUGCGAAAUGGAACUUUGGUUGCGAAAUCAGGGAUUUUCACGCUUUAUCGCUUCGCAGCCGUUUCGCAGCUGCGAAAUGGGGGUUCCUGUGCUGCGAAGUGGCACACGUGUGCCAAAGUCGACUUCGCAGCUAUGAAAAUUCUCGUAGAGAAUUCCAAUGUGUUACGGAAUGGUUUGGCAACAAAGUGCUCUUUUCGCAGAAGUUUUCUUCAGGCUGCGAAGUCUCGCAGAGCCCUGUUUUUACUCUGUUUUUGCUCCAAUUUCGCUCCGAUUUUUUUUCUUUCAAUUUCCUUGCAAUUUCUUCCACCUGGGAUCAUUCAAAAAGAUUAAAACACACAUAAAAACAUGAUUUAAGAUAAAAAAAAAUAAGAUCAAAAGUAUGGAAAAAACUUGGAAAUUUACAAAAUUUACAAAAAUUUUGGACUAUGGUAAAACCACGUCCACCAAACCCCUUUUUGCUUAGGAUUUUUGUGGCUCAAGGAGGUUGAUUUCCUCCUUUUCUGGUUUGAAUGGCUCUAUGAAUGGCUUGAGACGAUAUCCAUUGACUCUAAAGGUGUCCUUGCCAUUGGAAUUCAAUAAUUCCACAACUCCAUUAGCAAAUACUCGGUGAAUAAUGAACGGGCCUAUCCACCUUGACUUGAGCUUCCCAGGAAAGAUAUGGAGUCUUGUGUCAUACAGUAAAACUCUUUGCCCUUUGUGAAAUUCCUUGUUGGAGAUUAGUUGAUCAUGCCACUUCUUCAUCCUCUGUUUUGCAACUUUGGAAUUGAUAUAAGCAUCAUUUCUUAAUUCCUCCAUCUCAUUAAGGUCUAGAUAUCUCUUUUCUCCGGCUCUAAUCAAGUCCAUGUUCAGCUUUUUUAUUGCCCACCAAGCUUUGUAUUCAACUUCCACAGGGAGAUGACAUGCUUUACCAUACACAAGACGAUAGGGAGACAUGCCAAGAAUAGUCUUAUAAGCUGUUCUAUACGCCCACAAUGAAUCAUGAAGCCUAAUAGACCCAUCUUUUCUGCUGGAAUCACCACUUUCAUCAAUAUAUUCUUUAUUUCCCUGUUUGCUAGCUCAACUUGCCCGGAAGUCUGAGGAUGAUAAGGUGUAGCUACCUUAUGCUUCACUCCAUACUUGGAUAACAGAGCUUCAAAAGGUUUGUUGCAAAAAUGAGCACCUCCAUCACUGAUUAUGGCUUUGGGCACCCAAAUCUCGAAAAAAUGUUCUCUUUAAGAAACUUGAGAACCACCCUGUGGUCAUUUUGUUUACAGGGGAUUGCCUCAACCCAUUUAGAAACAUAAUCCACCCCCACCAAGAUGUAAGAAUUACCAAAAGACAUUAGGAAAUGUCCUAUGAAGUCAAUGCCCCAUACAUCAAAUAGCUCAACUAUUAGAAUGGGGUUCAUAGGCAUUUGAUUUCUUUUUGUUAGUUUUCCAAGCCUUUGGCAUCUAUCACAACUCCUACACAUGAUGUGGGCAUCUUUGAAAAGAGAUGGCCAAGUAAACCCUGAUUGCAACACCUUCAUGGCUGUUUUCUGAGAGGCAAAGUGGCCUCCACAUGCAUUCUCAUGACAAUGAGAUAGAAUCCCUUGCUGCUCAUCUUCAGGAACACACUUCCUUAUGAUCUGAUCUGCACAAUACUUAAAAAGAAAGGGCUCUUCCCAAUAAUAAGCAUGAAUUUUUGCAAAGAAGUGCUUCUUGUCCUGUGCAUUCCACUCACUUGGAAUUUCACCAGUUACUAAAUAAUUAGCAAUAUGAGCAUACCAAGGAGUUUUUACUAGAAACAUGAGUGAUUCUUCAGGAAAAUCAUCAUUAAUAGGCAAGGGAUGGGAAUUAUGUGCUAUAACUAACCUUGAAAGGUGGUCAGCUACCACAUUCUCCACUCCUUUCUUAUCUUUGAUUUGGAGAUCGAAUUCUUGUAGCAAAAGAAUCCAUCUAAUCAACCUUGCUUUUGCAUCUUGCUUUGUCAAUAAAUACUUCAAGGUUGAAUGAUUAGUGAAGACAAUGAUGAAAGACCCCACUAAAUAAGCACGAAAUUUUUCCAAAGCAAAUACCACAGCUAACAAUUCUUUCUCUGUAGUUGUGUAGUUCCUUUGAGUUUCAUUCAGUGUUUUGCUCGCAUAGUAGAUCACAUAGGGCUUCCCAUCUUCUCUUUGGCCAAGCACAGCUCCUAUAACAAAGUCACUGGCAUCACACAUCAGUUCAAAAGGUAGUUGCCAGUUAGGGGCCCUCACUAUUGGAGUUGUUGUUAAAAAUUUCUUCAGUUGAUCAAAACUAUUUUGACAUCUUUCAUCCCAUAUAAACUUAGCAUCCUUAGCUAACAGCUCACAAAGAGGUUUUGAAAGACUUGAAAAACCUUUUAUAAACCUCCUAUAGAACCCUACAUGGCCAAGGAACUGUCUUACUCCUUUUACAGUUGUUGGAGAUGGUAAUUUGACAAUAAGCUCCACCUUUGCUUUAUCAACUUCAAUGCCUUUUUCAGAGAUGAUAUGGCCAAGGACAAUUCCUUGACGUACCAUAAAAUGGCAUUUCUCCCAGUUGAGCACCAGGUCUUUUUCAAUGCAUCUGUGAAGAACUGCUUCCAAAUUGAUUAAGCAUUCCUCAAAUGUACCUCCAUAUACGGUGAUGUCAUCCAUGAAAACCUCCAUAAUUCACUCCACCAUAUCACUGAAAAUACUCAACAUACAUCUUUGAAAUGUUGCAGGUGCAUUGCAUAAACCAAAAGGCAUUCUCCUGUAAGCAUAUGUUCCAAAUGGACAUGUAAAAGUGGUCUUUUCCUGAUCUGCCAUAUCAAUUUCAAUCUGAAAAUACCCUGAAUACCCGUCCAAGAAGCAAUAGAACGGAUGUCCAGAGACUCUCUCCAAAACUUGGUCAAUAAAUGGCAAUGGAAAAUGAUCUUUCCUGGUUACAACAUUCAACUUUCUAUAAUCAAUACACACCCUCCAACCUGAAAUGAGGCGUGUAGUAAUAUCUUCUCCUUUUUCAUUCUGAACUACUGUGAUCCCUGACUUCUUUGGUACCACUUGAGUAGGACUCACCCAAGGGCUAUCUGAUAUAGGGUAAAUAAUACCUGCUUGAAGUAGCUUCAUCACCUCAGCUCGCACCACCUCUUGUAAAUGAGGAUUCAAUCUUCUUUGAAGUUGACGAAUUAGCUUUGCUUCCUCCUCCAUAUAUAUAUGAUGAGUACAAACUAAAGGACUAAUGCCUUUCAAGUCGGAUAUUUUCCAUCCUAUUGCCUUCUUACACCUCUUGAGAACUUCUAUUAAACAAUUCUCUUGAUGACUGGUCAGAGAUGAAGAUAUCACAAUAGGACAUUGAUUAUUUUCUUCAAGAUAUGUAUAUUUCAGCUCCACGGGUAGAGGCUUCAGAUUGAGUUUUGGAGUCUCUUCUUCUUUAUUGAACAAAGGUAGAAUCUCUUCUAUCCUUCUCCAACUUUGUAGAGUAGCAAGCACAUUAGGGGGUUCAGACAAACCUUCCUCAGAAUCCACAAGACUUUCAUUCAGCUUGUCCUGCAUAUUUUGAUUACAGUGCUCCUCUACUAGAGUGUCAAUAAUGCACACCUCUUCUGGACCCUCUUCUUCUUCCGGAGUGGUUUGCUUUUUAGACAUAUAGAAAAUAUUGAGAUCAAGUGUCAUGUUACCAAAAGUGAGUUGCAUAAGCCCAUUCCUACAAUUGAUGAUUGCAUUUGAAGUAGCAAGAAAUGGCCUUCCAAGGAUGAUAGGAACUAAAUUAGCUUCCUUUACAGUAGGAUCUGUAUCAAGAACAAUAAAAUCUACUGGAUAGUAGAAAUUAUCCACUUGCACCAAGACAUCCUCAAUUACCCCCCUUGGAAUUUUUACUGAUCUAUCUGCUAGAGAUAGAGUGAUUGUUGUUGGCUUCAACUCUCCAAGUCCCAAUUGCUUGUAGACGAAAUAUGAAAGCAAAUUCACACUUGCUCCCAAGUCUAACAAGGCUUUCUCCACUACCUUCCCUCCAAUCAUGACUGAAAUGGUAGGACUUCCCGGGUCUUUGUACUUCAAAGGAGACUUACAUUGUAAGAUUGCACUUACUUGCUCAGUCAAGAAGGCUUUCUUGUUUACAGUCAACCCUUUUUUGAUAGUACAUAAGUCCUUUAGGAAUUUUGCAUACGUUGGAACUUGUUUAAUCAUAUCCAGCAGUGGAAUAUUGACUUUCACUUGUCUCAAUACUUCAAGGAUUUCAGCUGCAUUUCUAAUCCCCCUUUUCCCAUGUAAUGCUUGAGGAAAAUGAGGAGAAGUUGACUUCUUCAGCAUUUCUUCCUUCAGAAGUUCCUUCUCCAACUUUGCAUUCAUUGUUGAAUCAGAGUCCUUCUUCUUUUCACUGAUCUCCUUCUCUUUAUCUUCCAUUUCAUCCCCUUUCUUUAUCUCUUCUUCUUUCUCAACAUGUGGCUUGGGUGUUGGCUGCUCAAUUUUUUUACCACUCCUUAGAGUGAUCAAGGCUUUGACAUCUUUCAUCUGUGUUGAUUCUCCCUCUUGGCUUUCCACUUCAUGGACACCUUUGGGGUUUUGGUGGGGUUGAGAAGGAAAUCUUCCCUUUUCUUGCACUGUGUUCAAAUUUGUAAGCCUUGAAAUUGAAUAUUGGAUGUUAUCAAACUUUUGGGCUAUAUCAUUUUGCAUUCCAUCCAUCCUUUUAUUCAAAGUACUCUCCACUCUGUCAAUUCUUUGAUUGAUUUGAGCAUUGGUGGCUUCUUGGUUUCCAACAAAAUCUCCCACUACCUUGCUGAGAUUAGCCAUUGCUUGUUCAAGACUUGAAGAUUGUUGAGAUGGUGGAUCCGGCUGUUGGUACUGAGUUGCUCUGGCCUUCCAUGAGAAAUUUGGAUGAUUCUUCCAACUUGAGUUGUAUGUAUUUCCACAAGGCGCAUUGUUAUUGGGCUUGAAUUGUCCAACAACAUUUGCUUGAUCUCUAAACAUUUCCCUUUCAGCUGAAAUUGCAGGGCAUUCCUCCACCAAAUGUUCAUAUGAUUGACAAUUGGGACACAGCUUCACUUGCACUGGUGUUUCAGCAACAGCUUGCACUUCAUGCACUUUCUUCAGUUCCAGCUCCUCCAAUCUUCUUGUCACAACUGCCAAUUUUGCUUUCAUAUCAUCAUCUUCUUUCAAGGUAUACAUCCCAGCCUUAGCAUUAAAAACACUCAGUUGAGACUUCAUCUUCCCCACUUCUCCUUUGGUUGGUUCAUCCCAUCCCCUUGAAACAUCAGCUACAUAGCUCAAGAAAUCCAUAGCUUCCUCCGGAUUUUUGCUCAUGAAAUCUCCUCCACACAUUGUCUCGAGGAGUUGCUUCAUUGAGGAAGACAUUCCAUCAUAAAAAUAGCUCACCAAUAGCCAAGUAUCAAAGCCAUGGUGAGGGCAAGCAUUUAUAGCUUCCAUGUAUCUUUCCCAACACUCAUAGAAUUUCUCAUUCUCUUUAGCUGAGAAAUUUGAAAUUUGCCUUUUCAAGCCAUUUGUUCUAUGAGUGGGAAAAAAUUUCUUAAGGAAUUCAGCUUGUAAGUCAGUCCAAGAACGGAUACUCCUUGGCCUUAAAGAAUUAAGCCAAAUUUUGGCCUUAUCCUUUAAAGUAAAAGGAAAUAACUUAAGCCUCAUCAAAUCAAUUGAACCUCCUCCCUCUUGGAAUGUAUUACAAACAUCUUCAAAUUCCUUGAUGUGUGCAUAGGGAUUUUCACUUUCCAUCCCAUGGAAAGUUGGUAGAAGUGGAACAAGAUACGGUCUGAUCACUAGCUGCUCUGUAGGGGGCACUAUACAUGAUGGUGCACUCAUACGAGGUGGAUGCAUGCGGUCCCUCAUUGAUCUGAAUUCAUUGAGAUUGUCUUGACGACCUUGGUGACUAUGCUGAUCUUCAGGUGUAGCUUCCAUGAUAUUCAAGCUCAAUUCCAAUUCUUUGUUAUGAGGUGUAUCACACUUAACAAGCCUUCCUCCAUUGUCUCGCAUCCACUUUGGCAUACACAACUAGUAUCUAUCUGCAACUUAAAUGAAAAUAAAGGACAACAAAAGGAAACAGGGCUACAACAACAAAAUUAAACUAAGCUAAAUUUUUAAAAGAUAAACUUGGAUUAUGAAUAAAUAAAGAAAGAAUGAGAAUUAGUAAAAUGAAAGAAACGUUACCAAACUUGUGAUGAAAAUCACAAGUGCUCUGAAAUGGUAUCACUAUAAACUUGACACCUUCCCCGGCAACGGCGCCAUUUGAUUCAUGCCCAAUUGGUGUCUCACCUGAUUUGUGUCCAACUGGUGCUCCUUGAUUGAGGGAGUAAUCAACAAAAUUUAUAACCUAUUACACCAUUUACUAGGGUAGCAAAGACAAAGCUACUAUAGCAUAGUGGCUCUAGGAUCGUUCGCUGGGAAGGGUUUCCAAAUUACAAAUGAUACCAAUUCAAAGUGAAUUGGUAUUGUUUCAUUUCAAGGUUAGCUCAAGAAAUAAAAUACAAACUUUGAUUGGCAAAGAUUUAGAUUUAAAAUGACUACCAAGCAAGUGAUGGAAAUUACUUAGGAAGAAAACAUUCCUUGGAGGGUCAGGUUCACUGGGGAGGUUCCUCAUGCAAAAGACAUAGCUCAGGUCAGUUAGUUCAUUUCCUCGCGUGAGAGAAUCAACAUAUAGUCAAUUCUCUAACCGGUGUUGUACAGAUACAUCCUUUAAUUAGAUUUCAACUUUAAUUCUCUCACUGAUGCAACUUGCAAUGGUUCAAGCCUCUCACUAAGCCUUAACCAUUCAAGGUGAUCUUUAACCUUGGACUUCCCUUCUCAAGCUGGCAAGAGAUAACUAAUGGAUGUCUCCUUGGAGUCCAAAAGCUUACCAAGUGUUGGCAAUUCCAAAAAAUCCUACCUUAAAGUCACCUCCCAUAGGCUCGCAAGGGGUAAACUAGUGCAUCUCCUUGGUUGGAGAUCACUUGCCUUACCAAGUGUUGGCCCAGGUGACUCUAAGGUGUUUUAAGUUAACUAAGAACAUAGAAAUCACUAAAGGAUUUCACUUCCUCUUCAUUGAUGGCUGAAACCACAAAGCUUUGCAUUCUUGCACUUGGAACCUUCCCCGGCAACCUUAGCUCCAAGGAACUAGAGGUUUAGUUACUCAUUCUCUGGGGAAAAUUCCUCAGAGAGUGCAUAACUUAGUAAGAAAUAAACAAUACAAAGUGAGAAGGUAAGGCAAAAAAAAGGGCCUGAACUUUACUUGCUUUUCAAAACUUUACAAAGGUUCUCCUCCCGUUCGAACAGGCUCUCGAAGAGUAUAUAUAUGAACAUAAUACAAAACUAAUUAUUACAUAGAUAUUUUCUCUUUUUACUAACUUAAAAGCUAAGGAAUCUUGUAAUUGGUGGCUUACAAGGAGUAUUUUGGGAUUUAGACAAAAAAAAUCUGAUGGAAAAUAUCUCCCAAUGUCGGUAGCAAAUAUCGGGAAGCACUACGGACCAUUUCGCAAGAGAAAAUGAUGUCUGCGAGAUUUCGCAGACACACAAAAGGGCUGCGAAAUCACUUCGCAGCAAAAGGUUAUUCUCGCAGGGCUGCGAAGUUGGCUUCCAUCUUGAGGUUCUCAGCUUCCAGCUUGUGGCAUAUAUCGGUCAACUUCAGGAGGAAAUACACCACACUGUACAAAAAGGUUGUGAAAUCACUUCGCAACAAAAGGGUGAUUUCGCAACACUUUGCAAAAUGCUUCCUUCAGCUUGGAGUGAUUGGCUUGCAAUGGCUGUAAAUUCUUCGUUUCAACUCCGAAUUGCACACCGUUUGAAGCAUUGGAUUUUUGACUUCCUGAGCUUUGAAAUGGUAUAUAGAAUGUAUCAAUUGGACUUCAUAAAGUGCUCCAAAAGUGGCUGCCACGACUGUCAUCAAGAAUAUGCUUCAUGGCAGAUUCUCUUUACUUCUUCUCCUUGCACUCCGGAUUUACUCUUGGCAAAUGACUUUCAAGCUUUGCCCAAGAUUCCUCAUAACUCUCCUCAAUCUUGGAUUGCUUUGGUGAUCAAAUUACUAACAAAAACACCAAAACUUACACAAAGUGAUUAAAAUUGCUUUCAAGGGUCCUUAACAUGCAAAUUGAGUUAAAAGGCCAAAACUACUACUCAAAAGUGUUUAAAAGGGUUUAAUACAAGCUACCAAAGAGCACUUUUUGAGUAGUAAUCACCAUACACAAAGGAAUAGGGUGUGGCUGAUUACUAACAAAAAGUGCUAUUUUGUAGACCUAAUUAUAAUGGUUUUAAGCACCUUUGAGUAGUAAUCAUAUUCAUUUAACCCAAUUAAUUCAUUAAGGUCCUUAGUAAUUGGUUUUAACCAUUUUGUGGCAAGUUUACAUGUUUUUAUCAGCUUGUGAAUCAAUUCAAGCAUGCCAAAUGAUGGAGGAGCUACUUGGACAAGUUAAAGCAAGCUUUUAGCUACACCAAAGCAAGCCAACAAAAGGAGAAAAGCAAAGAGAAGCAAAGAAAAGCAAAAAGAAGCAAAGAGGAAAACAGAGGGCAGCAGCUACAGUCUUAUUUGGCACUUUUGGAGCACUUUCCGAAGUCCAUUUUCUACAUGCUAUAUACCAUUUCAAAGCUCAGGAAGUCAAGAAUCCAACGCUUCAAACCGUGUACGAUUUGGAGCUGAAAUGAGGAAGAUAUGGCCUUCGGAAGACAACUGCUCCAGGGGUGUGCGAAAUUUUCGCACACCCCCUUGCAUGGUGCGAAUUUUCCCCUGUUUCUGCCGACUCCACACGAGAUCUUUUCUUUUGGAUAUUUUUGUAUAAACUUCCAUUAUUCUCCUUGUAAUCCACCACUCAUGUAAUUUCUUAGCUAGGAAGGUUGGAAAAACUUCUCUAUAUAUAUUCCCUUGCAUCCAUUGUAAUAGAUAUCGAUCAAUAUAUAGAAUAUACAGAGCCUUGCUCUGUUUUUCUCUCUUCUCCUGUUCUUCCCCAUUUCUAUUUUCUUAGUAGCCAAACAGCCUCUGAGGGCUUUUCCUCAAAGGAUGAUUGGCUAAAACUUUUAGUUUCUCAAAGUAUGGAUGUUAUGUGAUGGCUUGGAUGCAAUCCCAUGGAAAUUUCUCGCACCCGGAAGGUAAGGUAGACGUUUUUCAUUAAAGGUUCAUUAAUGCAAAGUUUGGUUUUAUUUCCUUUGGACAACUUCCAACGGCCAAUACUUGAUAAGCUUUUGGAUUUCUAUCCAUUAGUUAUCUCCUACGAGCUAUUGGAAUGUGAGGUUUUCAAUUCCAAGUUUUGCAUUAAUCCGUUAGAACCAAUUUCAAUGGCCAUUGAAAGGUGAGUUUAUCACCUGGAAUGACUUUGAGUUGCCAAUAUUUGGUAAGCUUUUGGCUUUAGACCAUUAGUUAUCUCUUACGAGCCAUUCAAAGGAAGUCUAAGGUGAAUAACCAUUGAUGAAAUUCACUACCAUCUGUUUUGCCAUUUUAAAGGAUUAAAACUUGAUUUGCUAAAUCCAUACCGGUUUGGGAAGCAAGCAUCACCAUAGUUGCAACCCCAACGCGAGGAGCCUAUCCUGAGAUUUCCAAUUUGCAUAAGAGCCAGAGCAUAGCUAUCCUAUCUUUGAGAAACUUGUUUUUACACCCUUUCACUUUAGUCUUUAAUGUUAGCUUAGAUUAGUUUAAAUCUUUCAAAAACAUUUACAUCUUCUUUUAAAGCUAACAUCCAUAGGAAAAUCACCUAUUUUCCUAAUUUGAAUAUCACUUGUGUUUGCGAAAACCCUUCCCAGUGAACGAUCCUAGAACCACUAUGCUAUAGUAGCUUGACUACUUUAGUAAUAGUAUUCAAGGUAUAAAUUUUGUUGAUACACCUUUAAAGCUAAGCUACCAUGAGUCGAAUCAGUGGCUCCUGUAGAAGCACAAAAAUAAGUGUAAUAAGCCCACAAUGAAAAAUAGAGCUUCUCUGACCAAUCCUAAGAAGUCUCAACCAUCCUCCAUAAGAUUCUCUUAAUAUUCUUAUUUGCAACCUCUACCGCUCCAUUAGUCUAUGGCCUAUAUGCGGACGACUUAAGAUGUUGGAUACCAUAUCUUUAUGAUAAGGUGUCAACCUUUGCCUUGAAAUGCACUAUUCUAUCCAAAAUCAACUCAUGAGGGACUCCAUAAUGAUAGAUAACGUGUGAUCUAAUGAAACUAGCGACCUUAGAUGAUGUCAAUCUCACAUAUGAGGUAGCCUCCACCCAUUUAGUGAAGUAAUCAAUGGCAACCAAGAUAAACUCAUGACCAUUGGAAGACUUUGGCCAAAUCUUCUCAAUGAUGUCUAUACCCUAUACUAAGAAUGGCUAUGGUGAAGUUUGUGCAUGUAACUCGGAAGGUGGCACAUGAAUGAGGUUCCCAUGCAUCUGGCACUCUGGACAUCUCUGAACAAUCUGGAAAUAGUCUUUCUCCAUGGUCAAUCAAAAAUAGCAAGUCCUCAUGAUCUUACGAGCUAACAUAUGUCAUUCCAUAUAUGGUUCACAGACUCCCGCAUGAACCUCUUUCAUCACUCAAUCGACAGAGGUGCAAUCCAAGCACAAUAGUAACAUCCCAUUAGCUUAUCAUCUGUACAAUGUCUCCUCACAAAUCACAAACUAGGUGGCUAACUGUCUCAAUGCUCUCUUAUCUCUAGCCGUGGUGACCUCAGGAUAUGUACCAAAUCUUAGAAACUGGCAUAUGUCAUGAUACAAAUGCAAAGCAUAAUCUAACUCUGCCUCGUCAAUCAAGCAACAAUAGGCAGGAACAGAUCUUGACUCAAAUAGUAAAGGAAGAACAAUGGUAUCAACAGGAAUAUCAAUCAUGGAAGCUUGAGUAGCUAAGGCAUCAACAAACUGGUUAUUCUCUCUAGGUAGAUGUGUAUAUCUCAAAUCAUCAAAUUUCCCAACCAGUAGCUCCAAGUAUGUAUGGUAAAGCUUAAGCUUCACAUCUCUAGUCUUCUAGUCGCCCUGAAUCUACCUCAAUACCAAAUUGGAGUCACCAAACACCUUCAUCUAUCUAAUCCCGAGCUCAAGGGUUGUCUCUAAUCCCAAGAUACAAGCCUCAUACUCAACGAUAUUGUUCUUGGUAGGUUGUUGAUCGAAGAAUGCCAAACGAAUAGAUUUAGGAAUGUGGUCGCCAUGAGGGGAUAUCAACAUAACACCUAUCUCGUAUCCAAAAUGGUUGGUUGCGCCAACCUAACAAACUAGUCACAGUAGUGAUAUCCUCAUAUGGGAAGUCAUCAUCAAUAGUUCUACCAUUAGAAAUUGGUAAUGAGGCUAAGUGAUUCACAAUAAUGCUUCAUCUAAUAGACUUCUAAGUAACAUAAUGAAUAUCGAAAUUAGUCAAGAGUACCAACCAUCUUGAGUCAACCAAUCAAAGCAGGCCUAUCAAACAAAUAUCUUAGGGAAUCUAGACAGGAUAUCAAGUGCACUGAAUACUCUAUCAUGUAAUGUCUCAGUCUUCGAGUAGCCCAAACUAGUGCCAAACAAAAGCGCUCAAUCAUGACAUAUCCCAUCUCAUAAUCUAGCAUCCUCUUACUUAAAUAAUAAAUAGCUUGCUUCUUUUUCGAAUCAUCGAGCAGAGCUAACAUGCAUCCUAAGGCUAUGUCCGAGACUGAUAAGUAUAGGAGUAAGGGAUAGCCUAGUGUAGGAGACACCAAAACUAGAGGUGACAAUAAAUACUCCCUGAUCCUCUCAAAUGUGCGCUGGCACUGAUCAUCCCAAACAAUAGGCUGAAUCUUCCUCAAGAGUCUAAAAAUGGGCUCACAAAUGUCUGUCAAUCUGGCAAUGAAUCUACUGAUGUACUACAAUAUACCCAAGAAACCCCUAAUAUCUUUCUCAAUCCUUGGCAUAAGCAUGUUAAGGAUGAGUUUGAUCUUAUUUGGAUCCACUUCUAUGCCUCUCUUAUUGACCAUGUAUCCUAAUAGCUUCCCAGAAGUUACUCCAAAAGUGCUCGUCUUGGGAUUCGGUCUCAUUGAACUGUUUAAUCAUCUCAAAGAAUCUCUUAAAAGAUGCCAGUUAAUCUGCUCUAUCUUGGGAUUUCACUAUCAUGUCGUUUACAUAAACCUCGACAUCUUGAUGCAUCAUGUCAUGUAAAAGGGUGGUCACUCUCCCAACUAGGCCAAUAGUACCCUCAAAUAAAUCAUCAAUAACCAUAGCAUCCUUUGAAAGCUUCGGAGUAGGAGUAGUCUAGAUCUCCUCAGCAACCUUGAUAGAAGACACCCUGAAGAGAUCAACUGGUGAAAAAAGCUCAGGUCAAAUUAUUCCAUCAAUCUGACUCAUACCCAUCGCGAGCAUCUCAUCAAUGUACUCGUCGUGUGGAACAACUCCAUCUACUUUGUCCCCAUACUCAACGACCUCUUCCAUGAAAUAGAGUGUCAAGAGGGUCAUAUGAUCUAGAGAUGUCAGGACGGCCAAUGCAGACGUGGAAAUGCCAGGAGCUCCAUCACUUAACUGAAGCUGAUGUACAAUAUGUUGAACCUCAGCUUCUUGAACAACAUUGAGUCCACUAACAAUCCCCUCUGAAUGUGUCUAUAGCUCUAGUGGCCUCACAUAGUCUGCCAAACUCAUGUUAUAUAGCGAACAGGAUAGUCAAAUGGUGUGUGAGACAAUCGGGCCCUCAUCCUUUCCUUGUGUAGUCACACCAUGUAUCGAUAAUCAACCUCAGUGGGAAUGAACCCAAGUCCAAAUGGUACAUCAUGAUCAACGACAUCUAUAAACUCACUAGGCCCAUACUAACAUCACCCUAACCCCAUCAUGUCAAGUACCAUUGUACUGUUGUGCUAAUCAAAUGACAUAGCCACGAAGUCUAUACAAAAAUCCUCAAUCUUAAGAGUUGCACCUCAUCAAAUGUGAACCUAGUAAAAAAUAGGUCAUCCUUACUAUGGCUGAUCUGAAGCACUGGCUCGAAGAGGCAAACAUAUCUCCAAUGGAGUGUACUGUGAUGACCUUUCCAUCAUGAAUGAACUUCCCAUUUUGAUGAAGGAAAGAAGAAAUGGCUCCAGCCUUAUGAAUCCAAGGUUGACCUAGUAGUUGGUUAAAGGAUGUGAGAAUCCUCAUAACCUAGAACAUAGUAGGUAAUGUGGUCGAACCUAUCAAUAACUCAAUCUCCAAAGUGCCUAUAACCUUUCUCUUAGUGUUAUCGUACUCUCUGACCUUCUGAGUAGAGGGAACAAAGUCUGAAAGUGCAUAACCGAUGGCAAUAGAAGUAGCUAAGGGGUAGAUGUUCAGGGUUGAGCCAUUGUCUAAAAGAACAAAUGGGACUCAGUAGCCUGAACAACCAAUCGAGAUGUACAGCGGACAUGUAUGGUUUGAACUCUUGAGUGGCAAGUCAUCAUCUGAAAACACAAUGCAAGUGGCUCUACCAGCUAUCAUCAUGUGAAUCAACCCCUCGGGAGUAGUGGUAGUCUUGACCCUGAUCUGACUCCAAGAUUGAAUCAAAGCAUCUCUAUGGGUGCUAGAAGAUGCCAAUAGGCUCCAAAUAGAUAUACAAGCCUGAGUGCUCUACAAUUGUCUCAUAAUUUCAUCGUCCUCACUCCUAACCUCCUCAUCAGAGGUUGUACUCUCCAAAGAUCUAGCAGCUAUGAGGGGUUGUUAUCAUACUACCCUACUCUCGCGAAUAACGUACUCUACAUUUGGAGUAUGAACCUCAACAAUAGCUGAGAUAAAAACAAAUGGAGUUUGAACAUUGUAACAUGGGAAAAUUAAUGGCUCAAUAGUCUUCGACUGUACUGAUGUAACAUUGGGGACCAAUCUAAAUACUAUGGGCAUUCAUUGGCCCAAAGUCACUCCAUCUACCUCAUUAAUCCCAUCCACUACUAUGGGCUCCAACUCUAACUUGUCACAACUUAGCAUGUGAAUAUGAUCAUCAAACUCAACAAGGUCAAUGAAAUGUAUGCCAUCGACCGGAGGAGCAACUAUGUGGGUAGUAUGGGUUGGUAAUGGGUUCUUGGUUACACUCGGCUAACCCAAGUGAACCAAACCAUGAUCAAUCAAGGCCUAGAUGGAUGUCUCAAAGCAGUACACUGGUCAGUCCCAUGCUCUGGCCCUUGAUGACAUACACAAUGUAAAUCCAUCAUGAAUUGUGGCAGGAUAGGUUGAGACAAUGACUUAGGAGCAAAAGCACUCAAAAGAGCGUCACUCCUAAAUUGAAAUGGCAACUAUUAAUUAGUUAGUCCGUAGCAAUCACUAGCAAUAGGAAAAUGUACAAAAUUAGUUAUAUAUAUUUCUUUAUGGAAAUAUUAAUGUAUACGACAACCCUAUAACUAGCUUCACAACCCAUUAUUGUCAGUUUCUGAAGUUGAGUUGCAAAAAGUGGAUAUUUUUCAUUCUAUUAAGAGAUAUAUCUAGUACUUUGUAUACUAGUGCUUUUAUAUUCAUUUGUACAACAAACUAACUAACUAACCUCCUACCUGAAGACGUUUUUAACUGAAUUUGGUUUGUUGCAGCUAAUCUUGGUUUGUUGAAGCUGAUACUAGGCAGUUAGCUUCUUAUGGCUUGGGUCUUCUUCUUAUUGGUCAGCUAGGUGUGGUCUAUCAGUUAUAUAUAAAGGAAUAUCAAUGGUUAUAACCCAAACGUAAAACUUAGUAGUACUAUAUACUGAUUGUGUAGUUUAUUGUGACGAUAGAAUGGUGAGUAUUCCUCUAAUGACAUUAGUGCAACUAAAUUUUAAAUGUUUGGAGGAAUACUAGAAUCCUUACAAGUGGGAAUAUAUUAAUGGCUUAUGCAUGAAGGAUCAAUUUUUUUUUUUUUUUUUUAUGCAUGGUAACAUUAUCUAGCUUCAGCAGUACUACAAAUGCAAGCUCGCCUUAUUUUGAUGUGAUGAAUUAUGAAGCUGUUGGUAACGGAAAAACCGAUGAUUCAGGGGUAACUAUCCCUUUCUCUUCAUGCAGGUAUUGAGAAUUCAACUAGAAGACGAUGGUAAUUGAUUCCUUUAAUUAGAAAUAUCAUCAUAUUUUUAUGCCCAUUGGUACUACAUGCACAUAAAUUGUAUUAUAAAAUGAAUAGAAAAGAUAUCUUUUAUGUGUGAUGCAUGUACAGGCAUUUCUGAAGGCGUGGAAUGAAACCUGCAAAGUUCAACAACAGCGUGCUAUCCUUAAUAUACCAACAAAGACAUUCUUAUUGAAUCCUAUCCAAUUUUUGGGUCCAUGUGUGCCCAUAAGUAUCAAUGUUCAGGUGAUUAAUUUGUUGAAACUAUGGAGGACUAAGCAAUCUUUUAUUCAAAUUAAUAUAACCUUCAACAAAAUUCAAAUGGACUUGAAGUUUAAUAUUUGAAGAUAUAUAGUCUACUGGAUGUAAAAGAUGCUUGAAGUCAUAAAAAUCAUUUGAAACCAAUGAGUUAGUAUACAAAAGUGAAACUGAGAUAAACAAAAGUUAUGGCAUAAGGUUUUCAGAGCAUACCUUGCAUCGAUUUGUAAAAUUAUUUGCAUCACUUUAAUUUUCUUAAACAAAUCUUUACUUUAUAAACAUGUUUAACUAUAUUUAAUUUCAAUAUUUUUACUCAUACAUAUGGUAAAUUCCUCAAUCAUUUUGAACAUUUUUUUAAUGAUAAUGUAUCAUAAUCAUAAAAUAUUAUUAGUUGCCCUUGUACAUACACAAAUUAAACAAAUAACCUUAGUAGAGAAACAACUUGAAAAGUAACUCUUAAAGAGGUAUAUGUACCUAAAAAGUAAAGAGAUCUCUAUCAAUCAUGUAAAUAUUGACAUAAAGAUAUUAUCAAAUAAUGUAGUCAUAGACAAUAUAUCUUCUUUGUAGAUGAAAGGAAUGGUGAAGAUUUCAAAUCAUGAAUUGUGCAAGUACACUAAUAUAGAAAUUGUUAGCAAAAUAUAGAAAGAAGCAAUUAAGGCAAAAACUAAAUUUUUCAAUAAAAGUAUCACUACCUAAAGUUUGAUUCUUAAAAAUCUAAGCUUAAUUGGAUACAAAUGCACUUGAAGUUUAAUAUCUAAAGAUAUAAAGUCUUUUGGAUAUAAAUGAUACUUGAAGUCAUAAAAACCAUUUGAUACCAAUGAGUUAUCAUACAAAAGUGAAAUUGAGACAAACAAAAGUUAUAGCAUAAGGUUUUUUUAGCAUACCUCACAUCAAUUCUAAUAAUGAUUCAAUCAUAUAAUUGAUAAUUCUCAAAGGAUUUGAUAUAUAUGCUUUAUGAUAUCGUGACAACAUAUUUUCAUAAAUAUGUUAAAAUCCUUGAAGUAUUUAAAAAUGCUUGAAGCAACCAAUUCCUUGAAGAGUUAAAAUGUUUACAGCAAAUAAUUAUUUGAAUUUAAAAUACAUGAUGCAACCAAUUCCUUGAAGGAUUAAAAUGAUUGAAGCAAUAUUGAUUGAAAAAUCAGAUAUCACAUUCUAGAUCAAGUCAUGAUGAUCAUCUACUUAAUCGAAUUAUGUUAUUGUAUAGAUUAAAUGGGAGGUUUUUGAUUGUUGCGAUCUCAUUGGAACUCCUUAAGAGUUUAUAAGAAUAAUUCAUUAUCAAACGAAAUAAUUUAGAAUGAAUGAUCUUGAAAAACCAAAAUUUUGUGUUGACCUAUGGAUUGAGUGUUUUUAAGUGGAUUGUUAGUCUAUCAAUUGACAUAUAUGAUGAAAAUCUUGAAGUUCUUUCAUAUGGAUAAAUCAUACACAUUUAACUCCCUUAUGGUUUUUUGUUUACUUGAAGUAAGAAAAGAUAAGUUUAAUCUAAAAGAAGAAAUAAAGAACCACUUGAUCUAAAAAUACCAUAUCUUAUUGCAAUUACAACAUGCAUCAUAUUACUAUAUUUGUGUGUGUGUGUGUGUAUAUAUAACUAAAGGAUUAACAAAUAUUUAGAAUUGGCAUUGAUAUAAUAGAAUACAAGUCAUGGAUUGACAUUGAUAUAAUUUGCCCACAUCACUUGAACAAUUUGAUUUGUAAAGGUGCUAUACCAGUUGCAAUCUCAUGAUAAUCGAUUGAGUGACUUGUGUUAUCUAUUGUCUCUUCUUCACCUUAGAAUGAAAGGUCUUCUACCUCAAAAUCCCUUAACAAUUGAUUAUUUCAUGUUAUAGUCGAAUCCAAUUAUGAAGGAUACAACAUGUCAUAACAAUUAAUGAUUAUCUACUUGGCUUAUAGCAAAUUAUCAUCCUUAAGAUUGGAAACCGUGUUUUUAAAACAUCAAAGCACACUUCAAAAAUAUUUUGAAAGGAUGAAUGUCUAUAAUUUAAAAGUUCUUUAUACCUUUUAGAUUGAUUGUGUCUACCCUAAUAUUCUUGUAAAUGAUAUCAUUCGCUUCAAUAUGGUGAUAGAAAUGCAAAUGUACAAAGAUAAAAUUGACCAAAUAAUAUUUUUCUUCACUUGGCUAGGAAAAAUGGACUUUGGGUCUAGUUAGUGCAUCCAAAAAAGUAGGCACAUCAUUCAUAUUUCCUUUCCAACUAGCAUAAAAAAAUGUGAAUAUUAUUUCAAAAUCACAUGUGCACAUAGCAUUUUGUGUUAUAACUGUUUUUUGACCCCUAAAACUAUUUUGUUUAUUAAUAGGAAAGUUGGAACCCAUGCACUAAUAUGGGUGUCAUAAAUUGCACUAAUGUAGUCUUACAACAGAAGGAUAUUUAUUAUUAUUAGGGAAAGAAAAGAAUUAAAAGGAAAGUUUUUAUUUAUUGUUUCAAUCUAAUGGGAACUCCUUAAGAUUUCAAAAGAAUGGUUAAUUAUUUAACAAAAGAAUUUUGAAUGAAAGAUCUUUGAAAAAUCAAAAUUUGGUCUUGACUUUCAAAUCGAGUGUUUUUAAGUGACUUGUUAGCCUACUAGUUGAUGUAUAUGGUGAAAGCUUUGAAGUGCUUUCAUAUGGAUGAAUCACACCUGUCUAACUCCUCUAUGGUUGUUCAUUCCCUUAAAGUGAACAAAGAUAGGUUUCAUCUCAAAGAAGAAAUAAGGAAUUAUUUGGUCCAAAAAUAUUAUAUAUGAGUGUGAGUAAUGGAAAUAUAUCUUAAAAAUCAUACAUAAUUAAAUAUAAAAUGUUGUAUCAAAUUGCAAGCAAGAUAUAGUUUUUCACCAAUAUAAAGAUAAUGGAAUAAGAUCAAACAUUUAUUGAACAACCGACAUGAUUGAUAUCUUCUAGAAUAACAUAGUAGAAGAUAGACAUAAAAGGCAAUUUUCUGGACGCCUCCUACGUACACAAUUAAACUUAACAUAGUAGAAGAUAUCUUCUAGAUAUAUAUCAGUAGUAUUUUAAAUAGCCAGUGAUAGGAUCAGCAAAGAGUUAAGACUAGCACUUAUUACACCCUCGGUCUUCUCAAUAAGACUGGUAGCUGUAAUUUGAUCUUCUGAAAAGUUGUGUAUAAUAACAAUAAAAUAUUACAAAAAUAAAUAACUUAAUAUUUAAUAUUAUUAUAUACUAUUUAAUUUUAAAUUCUAUUUAAAAUUAAGUAAAAAAUAAAUAAAUAAACUCCACCUCAAAUAAUAUUUAAAGUUUCAAAAAAUGGAAAUGAAGGAUAUUUUCUCAAAGUGGGAAGACUCUUUUUCUUCCCAAUAUCAUAUUUUUAAAUAUUUGCAAAGGUCAAUGUAAAAAAAAAAAUCGAAAAUUUAUUAUAUAAAUGUAUUGUACAUUAAUAGUUAAUUUUUUGAAUUUAUUGUUUAGUUUAAAUUUCGUUUCUUUUUAUUCUAUAAAACUUUGAACUUUCACAAUAUUUCCUCUAAUCAAAAUUAAUUUUUCCUCUUUGUAGGCUUCGAAAAUUAAUUGUCAAGCUUAAGAACGUUGGAGGUCUUGAACAUCAGUAGUAAUGAGUUUGACAACAAUAUAAUAGGAUCGUUGAAGGCGAUAACAUCCCUAUUUUAGCAAUCAACUAGUUUACCAUACUUUGAAAAGCAUUCAAAUGAUUUAUCAUUGGAGUUCUUUCCUUUAACUUCAUGUUUAUUAACUUCAACAAAAAUAUUUUAAUCAUAGCACUUUUUUUUAAAAAAAUAAAAUAAAAUAUUAACUCGUAUUUCAUGAGAUCAUAUGAAUUUAUUUUAUUUGCUACAUGAUUACAUGAGGGUUUAUCAAUCCAUUGCCUAAUAUAUGUUAUUGCCUUUUUGUUCAUCUUCUUCCCCUUCAAGUUAAAAUAUUCAUUGGCUUAGCUUCUUUACCCUUAAGAGUAUCUAAUAAAUCUUUGAUGAUGACAAAAUCUUCCAUUGUGGACUUCCAUAUAUCCAACCUAAUUUUCCAUCCUUUUCAAAACCAAUUACUCCUGUAACCAAGCUCUAAUACCACUUAUGAGAGGUAGAUGAUAAUUGAAGAACAACUUGGUCAAGUGGGAAUAGCUAACAAAUGAGAAUGAUGAAUAUUUCACAUGCAUAGAUUCAAAAUUCUUCCAAAAUUAUAACCUAGCGAGAAAGUAUAACCAUAAUAAUAAUAAUAUAUAUAAGUAAGAUGAUAUCGGUUAUAACGUGGAGAAACCCUCCUAAAGGAGAUCAAAAUCCAUAGAAGAUUUCUUUCAUUUCAAUAAAAAUAUGAAUACAACUCCUCAUGAGUUUCUUCUCUUUGAAAACAAUGAAAAUAUAUAUCAGUACCUAGGAAGUUCAUCAUCUUAAAAAUAUAAAAAAUAGGAAGAGGCAAUUUUUUAAAAAAGGUUAAAGGAAAGAACCUUCAUAUUCAUCCUUGAGCCCUAGAAUAGUGUUAAAAAAAAUAUAUAAAUAAAAAUAAAAAUAAAAAAAGUAAGAAAAAAACAACUAUUAAUUUUUUCUCUUUUUCUCUCUUCCAUGAUCCGUUACUUCCAAUUAUUUCACCAUCCCCAAAACAAAUCCAGAUGUUGCCCAUAUUUAAGCUUAGAAACACCAAAAAAAAAAAAAAAGGAGAUACCUAAAUAAAACUGUUAGGCACUUGAGGAAGAUAAAGACUUUAAACGAUUUACAUCUGUAGAUCAAGUAAACUUAAAAAAUCAUUGUAACUAGGAAUACGUAAUUGAUAAUAUUCUAAAUUUCUAUAACUUGGUAACCCACUUGUUGGUUAGUGUUUUUUAUAUUAUGGGGGUCCAAAAUUUAGUUUAUUUCUUAAAUAACUUUGACAACUUUUUGAAAAUAAUUUAGAUAACAAUCGGAAUCCUGAAUACAUUAAUUAUAUUUGCCUACUGGGCCUUUAGGUCAUAUGAUUGUGGGUGGCAAGGGCUUAACUAUUUGUUUCUUUCAGGUUAUGAAAGUUUGUCGACAUUGGGAAAGCUAGAAACCUUGAACCUUGGCUAUAACAGUUUCAACCAGACAAUCAUACGACAACUGAGCACAUUGACAUCUCUUAAAAAUCUUAUUCUAGAUAAUAAUAUCAAUUUUGAAGGAUCUUUUCCAGCUCAAGGUAUGUCUUCUUUUCUUUUUUUUUUUCUUUUUUUUUUUACCUUAUUUUUUUAAAUCCUAAAAAGUUGGUCAUUGGAUUUCUUUCUUUUCUCUUUUUUCUUUGUUAAUUAUUUUGCAGAAUUAUCCGCUUUGAAAAACUUGGUGACGCUAGAUUUGAGUUGGGAUAAACUUAAUACCUUGAAAAUUGAAGGUAGGUGUACCAAUCGAAUUUUUUCUUACAUAGGGUAUGGAAAUUUACUUGGAUUAAUUUUCUCAAUCCCCUAAUACUGCAACUGAUCACUUUUUUGUUUUCUUUUCCCUUCUGAAGACAUGUCUGGAUAUAUGCUGCUUGGACAUUCAACAUAAAAUACUAAACCUUAAGUUCAUCCAAAUAAUGAUUACGAUUAAGUUUUGGGUUUUCAGACUUUUUCCCCCGUUGUUAGUCAUCUCUGAAUAUUGACUAAAUAAAAAAUCAUUAAAAUACUUACUAGGAAUGCUUUCCUUGAACAUAUAUAAUAGGAAGAUCUAUGGGAAAAUGACCUAUUUUGUAGGCACAAUGGCCAUGAAGUCUCAAAUUAUCUUACUAAGAGUGCGUUUAAUAGUGAUUUUAAAAGGUGUUUUUAAUCUUUCUAAUACUUGAAUGAUAAAAAUUUUUAAAUGCUAGAAAUGUUAGAAACGGUUUCUAGAAUCAUUGUCAAACAAACUCUAAGCCUACUAGUGCCAAAAGGGGAUAAGUGUCAUUGAUAUUGGUUCACAUGUAUGUGAUGGAUUACCUUUAGAUUUUCAGUACUUAAAUGUUUUUUCUUUUGUAAUAUAAUGAUGAGAUACAUAUCAAAAAAGAGAAAAGAUGAAAAAGGAAAGAAAAAAUACAUUAUAUAUGUCAAGGGUUAUCCCAUGAUUAAUAAAAUUAUUCAGGGAAGACAAUCACACUAAUAAAUUAGGCAGUUACUAAAUUCUUAAUAAAUUUUAUUAAUAUAUUUAAAGGAUUAGGUAGAUUUACAUGGGCUUGUCGAAUUCAUUUUUUUAAUAAGACUGUAAUUCUAAUCAUUUCCUAGGAAUAUUACCCAUUUCUUUUAAUUAAAUAUAAACUAAGACAACUAUUAAAGUUCACUAAAACAAACUAUUAAAGUCAUUAAUUUCUAAUGAAAUAAAAAAACAUAUUCCAUCUAUAAGAUGAAAUGUUAAAAUUACUAAUUGAAAGUCUUUGUGUUGAAUUUUUGCUCUUGUUUUUUUUAUUUCAUUAGUCUUCAAAGGGAAUUCUCUGUAUUCCCUUAUCAACAAGACUAGUCCCUAAGGUUAUGUUUAGCUUGGCUUGAUAGGAUAAAUGGGAGAAAAGAAUUUAUAAUUCUUGACAUAUAUACAUUCCAUCUUAUUCUAUUCCCCUUUAUCUUAUUCUAUUGUCAAUUAAAUAUGAGAUAAGAAAUGAGGUAAGGUAUUCUUAUAUUCUAUUGUCAACUAAAUACUAAAUACCUAAUUAAGAUUAGGUUUGAUUGAUUAGAUAGGACAUAAUAACAUGAGAUAUAUAUAUAUAUAUAUAUAUAAUAGAUGCUGUACAUGUUUAGUUUGUAGAAAGAGUGACAAAUAAGAUGAAAAAUAUAUUGCAUUUCGGUAUUUACUACUAAAAAAAAAAUUAUGAAACCCAUCUUUAUGUCUCGUAUUAUUUGGAAAUCAUUUUACAAUUUAUAAUUUAGUAACUUUUAUUUCCUUGUUAAUAAUAUUUAUAAUUAAAAAUAUUUAAAAUAUUAUAUUAUGUUGUUUAAAUCUAUAAAAAUAUUUUGUUUAUAUCAAUAUUCUUGUAUAAUAGUAUUAAUUUAGGUUGUAUUAUAACCAUACUUUUUCAAAAUAUUUGUACUAGAAAUUUUAUUUUUUAACCAAUUUUUUUCUAUUUUGCAAAAUGAGUAAUUGAGAAAAACUGAAAAAUAAAUAGUAAAGAAAAUGAAUAAUAAAAAUAAAUUUAAGAUUUUUAUGAUAUUUGUAUUCCAUAUUUCAAUUUAGUAUCAUUAUAUGAAAAAGUUAAAUUAUUCCAUCAAUUAUUUUUUCCAUUCUCAAUUUAAUAUGAGAUAUCAUAAAUUAACUAAAUAUGAAACAAAAUAUAAUAUCACACAUUUUUUUUAAUUUCAUACUAUAUCCAGCCAAUUAAACAUGGUGUCGUCUGUGAAAAUAAAUUAAUAUAGUAAAUAACAAAAAGUUGCUCAAAUAUGUUAGCAAGGCCUGUCAAAGACAUAAACUUGGUUUUGAGCAUCUUAAGUUUUGACACACAAUGAAAGCCAAUUUCAAUGUAGAUACCUUGACACUUAAAUAAUCUUUUGAUGACCACUUCCAGCUUAAUCCAGACCUAAAGCCUCUAAGCAAAGCUCCUGCGCUCAGGCCUCAGCCUAAGCCCAUUAAACUAUUUUGGGUAACUUUUAGAUAGCUUAAUGAAGUUGUAAUAAGAUAAAUAACAGAGUGAUUUGCCUAUGUUAUGUGGCACUUUGUGAGUAUGCUUCAAAUAUAUGUACAUUAACACCAACAAAAAAAGCAGGAGGCAUUGUUCUUAUGCUAUUUUCAUGCAUUAUGGCUUCAAAUAUACUUCAGGUGGUAAAGGACUGGUGAAGUUGAACAAGCUGGAGCAUCUAGAUCUAAGCUCCAACAAUUUAACCGACACGCAUAUCUUAGAGUUUUUGGCUACCCUGCCAGCCCUCAAAUCUCUAUCCCUGGCCGACAACUACAUGGAACAACCACUUUCCGACCAAGGUAUGUGAAAAUAGAAAACAAUGGAUUGGUAAACAUUCAUAGUAUAAUGCAAGAUGGUUUGGGUUCAUACAAAUUCAUUUGAAUCAAUUAGGCUUUGUUUGGAUAAUUGCAUAAGGUUAUACUUUUUAACUUGAAGCAUCCAUUCAAUAAGUAAAAUGAGAACAAAGCUAGGAAACAAUGGAGGAAUGGCUAUACUAACUUGUUUUUUUUUUUUUUUUUAUCUCUAAUUUGCAUCCUUCUUUCCUUUUCCAUUGUUUUAUCCUUCCCCUCACCAUUGCGGGGAUGCAACCAUGACCUUGAAAGAAAGGAUAAAAGCAUUAAACUGUCGUGUUUUCUUUCGGAAGCUAGAUUUGGAAGCUUUCAGAAAUUUGGAGAUCUUAGAUUUGAGGCUGAAUGGUUUGACUGGGAGUGUUCCUUCAUCUAUACGGCCUCAUCUUCUCUCAAGGUUUUAUCAUUAUCUAAUAAUCGGCUCAACAGCUCCUUAUCCAUUCAAGGUAGAUGUUUAUAUGUGCUAUACUUUUUUGUAGGCUUAUGUGAACUGAAGAAGCUUGAAGAGUUAGAUCUCAGUCGAAACUCCUUUGAAGGAAUACUUCCACCAUGUUUGAACAAUUUGACAUCUCUGAGAUUAUUGGAUCUCUCUCAAAACCUACUCACAGGAAGCAUCUCUUCUUCUCUGAUCGCUGGCCUCUCAUCCCUUGUAUAUAUCGAUUUGAGUCAUAAUUAUUUUGAAGGUUCAUUCUCAUUCAGCUCAUUUGCUAAUCACUCUAAGCUAGAGGUGGUUGAAUUUACAAAUGACAACAACAAAUUUGAGAUUGAAACUGAACAUUCAACUUGGGUUCCUAUGUUUCAAUUGAAGGUUCUGAUAAUAUCAAACUGUAACCUUAAUAAGCUCACUGGUGGUAUUCCUAAGUUCCUUCAGUACCAAUACAGUCUGACAGUAGUCGAUCUCUCUCUCAAUAACUUGUCUGGAAGCUUCCCCUAUUGGUUGGUUGAGAACAAUAGACUUAAAGUUUCUAAACCUAAGGCAUAACUCUUUCAUGGGUCAAAUUCACCUGACAUGUUGCCCCCAUAUCUAUUUGGAUUGGAUGGAUAUCUCAGAUAAUCUGUUCAAUGGGCAGCUUCAAGAAAAUAUAGCGCAGAUGAUUCCUCAGUUAAGCCAUCUAAAUCUAUCAAAGAAUGGCUUUGAAGGUAAUAUCCUAUCAUUGAUAGUUCAAAUGAGUAACUUAAAGGAAUUGGAUGUGUCUGGUAAUGAUUUCUCAGGAGAAGUACCAAAGCAAUUUUUUGGUGGUUGUCAUAAUCUGAAGGUUUUGAAAUUGUCGAAUAAUGGAUUUCGGGGCCAAAUAUUUUCAGAAUACUUUAACUUGACAGGAUUAGAGUAUUUGCAUUUGGACAAUAAUGAGUUUUCAGGGACUCUAUCAGAUGUAAUCACCAGAAGCCCUUUAAGUUUGCUGGACAUCUGCAACAACUACAUGUCUGGUGAGAUGCCAAACUGGAUACGUAACAUGACUUUGAGCCCUUUAAAGGUCAGUUACCAUGUGAAGUAGUUGCACUCAAGUUUUUUGACAUAUCUCAUAAUGCUCUUUCAGGUUCUCUUCCUUCUUGUGAGAACCCACAGUUUUUAGAGCAUAUACAUUUGCAAGGAAACAGGUUUACAGGAACAAUACUGGAAGAUUUUCUCAACUCCUUAUGUCUAUUGACCUUGGACAUUAGAGAUAACAGCUUGAAUUGAAGCAUUCCCAAGUCAAUUGUGGCACUUUCCAACCUAAGAAUUCUUCUGCUUGGAGGAAACCAUUUAAGUGGCCUGAUUCCAAAUCACCUAUGCCAAUUGACCAAAAUAAGUUUGAUGGAUCUAUCGAACAACUCUUUUUCUGGGUCAUUCCCUAGGUGUUUGGGGCAUUUCCAAUUUGGGGAGACAACCACCAGUGAUAAUGUGUUUGCGCCAUCAACUCAGUUUGGUUUCGGGAAUGGAAUUCAUAUAUAUGCAGGUUACCUAGACAGAUAUUUCUACAUCAAUGGUGAUAUAUAUGAUGAACAAGAUGAAGUUGAGUUUCUACAUCAAGGUCUGGCUCCUAUAAAGGUGACAUUCUUAACUUCAUGUCUGGAUUGGAUUUGUCAUGCAACAACUUAACCGGUGAAAUCCCUCGUGAACUGGGAAACCUAAGUUCGCUUCAUGCACUAAACUUGUCUCACAAUGAGUUGCAUGGCAUCAUCCCGAAAGGGUUUUCAAACCUCUCUCAAAUAGAGAGCUUAGAUCUUUCUUACAAUAGAUUGAGUGGUGAAAUUCCUUCAGAAUUGACCCUACUAAAUUUUUAAGCAGUGUUCACUGUAGUUCACAAUAACUUCUCUGGUAGAGUCCCAGAUCUGAAACAACAAUUUGGAACAUUCGAUGAGACUAGCUAUGAUGGCUAUCCUUUUCUUUGUGGGCCACUUUUGAAGAAAAAAUGCAGCAUUAAUCCUGAGUUACCAUAUUCACCUGUGGCACUUUCAGACAUGAAAGAAGUAAAAUGGUAUGAUAUUGAUCGGGUUGUCUUCUUUGCAAGUUUUGCUGCAGCAUAUAUUACGAUCUUGCUGGCAUUUGCUACUGCUCUUAUGUUAACCCCCAUUGGCGUUGGAGGUGGUUUAAUUUUAUCGAGGACUGUAUAUAUUUAUGCUACUAUUUUCCCUUUGAUGCCUUCAACAAGAUAUUAGCUUAUUUACAUAAGUAGUCAUACUUGUUUCUAUUACCCAUGAACAAUCGGUAGUGGAUUCAUACUUGAGACAUCGCGUUUUCUCUCAAAUAUAUAUUGUAUCGCUCAUUGCACCUUUUAUUAUAUAUCUUUCAUGUCUCAUGCUUGGCAUUCAAAAUUUUUAUAUAACCAUAAAAAUUCAGUAUUUAAUCUAUAAUAUGUGUAGUUCAUUCUACAUUGGAAUUAGAGCAUUUUAGUAUAUUCAUGUGAUUUUAUUUUAUUUUAUUAUUUAUUAUUAUUCUUUUUUUCCCUUUUUUUUUUUUUUUGGAUUUCAUGUCAAAUUCUUCUAUAUAUAUAUAUAUAUAUAUAAAUUUUUUUUUCCCAAAAGUUUGCUUGUUUUCAUGCAUUUUUGAAAUCUAUAUCAAAUGUACUUCAUUGUGUGUGUGCUUUAUAUAUUAUUGAAAAUGAGGAAGGAAAGGGGAAUACAACUCAUGUAUGGUAGCUAGCUCAAUUUCCCCCACUAUUUCUAUUAUCCUUGCAACCCAAAAAGAAAGAGCUGAACGGUGUAACCAUUGAUGUUUUCAAGCAAGCCAAAGUAAACACUAUUUUACUUAGGGGUUUAGUAAAUCAACUUAAUGACUUUAUAUGAUUUAAUAACUUACUUUAAGUCCUUAAGUAGAUUAAGCAUAUUUGAUAAAAUAACUUAAUGUAUUACAACUUAUUUUUAAUUUUAGGUAAUUCAAAAUAGUCAACUUAUUCUCAAUCUCAAAUCACUUUUCCUUAUUUAUCCAUACUAGUGAGAGUAUAUUUUAGAAUUAUGAUUUUACAUUCAUAACUUAUUUUUUAUAAUAAAUAGUUUUUGGUUAUCUUAUGUGUGAGUAUUUUAGAUAGGUUGGCUAUUCCAAACAAAAAUUCCCUAAUAUCUCCUAACUUAAGUCUUCCAAAUCCUUCCUCAAACUACUUUCCUGAUGAAGAUUAAGAUGUUGAAAAAUAUUUAGAGGGUAGGGUAUAUAGUUGAGGUCGUAGAUUGAUGAAACUGGAUCAAGUUACUAUUUUUCUUGGAAAUGUUUUUGAGAAGCUUAGGAAGGCUUGGGUAGUAGCCUUUUUGUUAAGUUUUUUUGUGCCUUGUUUCAAGAUCUAUCCAAAUUUUUUUUGGAUUGAUCAAUUUCCAACCAUUGCAUUAAGGGUUUUCCUUCCUAUUUAAACCUAAAAUUUUCAUUCUAAAGGCUAUGGAGAACACUAACAACUAACCCUCUCACUCCCUUUCAGCUCUUUCUUCAAUCCAUAGUAGGUGUGUUUGGUUGCCAAGAAAAUCCUUCUCACUUUGAUUUCCAAAUUAGUUUUUUGAUUAAUUUUUCUAUGAAAUGGGCCUUACUUAUUUCUUUCAUUCAUCUUUGGUUUUCUCAUUGGUUUGAAUUUAGUUGAAAACUUGUUUUCUUCUUAUGUAGAUUCAAGAAUAGGUCUUGAUUGAGCUUGGUGUGGACUCCAAGUGUGCUUCAAAAGAAGGUGUGCAACUGAAGUUGGAAGGUGCUAGUCAAGUAAUCUGAGAAGGAUUGGUAUACUUGAGCUAAGUAAAACCUUGUACUUAGAUGGUUUUUAUUCAUUAUGGAUGCUCUUAGUCACUUGUAAGCCUAUGUUUUUUUUUUCUUUUUUCUAUUCAGAGGUUUUCCAUGUCAAAGCGUGGUGUAAUUUCCUUACUCUCUCUAUCUCUUCAUUAGUUAAAUUUUUUUUAAUGAUUAUCUUGGCUAAAGAAAUUGCCUUGUUUCGAUGAGCAGAUUAGUAAAUAAUUUGAGCUAAAAUUUGAUUGCACAAUCCUUGAAACUGUUUAAUUUCUUCCAACUUGUUUUUUGUUCAAAGUAAAGGUUUAUUUAUUUAUUUAUUUGUGUUUAAAUUAGUUGAAAGUUGAUGAAAAUUUUGAUUGGAAAGUGUUGUUACAUUUGCAUGUGAAUUGUAUUAGUUUACUUAUUGGAGACAUGAAUCAAUUCUUGCAUGUGAGUUGGCUUGUUUGUUCAUCAAUAAUUGAAGGAAAAAAAAGUAUAAAAACAUGUUUCAUAUUCACAUGGAGUUCACUCCUAGAACUAUAGUAAUCCCUAGCUCCUCCUGUGAAUCCCACAUCUCUCUUAUCCAUGAUUACAAUGAGGGAGCAAAUCAAAACAAACGAAACUCACAUUGGGUUUAGGGAUCAUUCAACAUCACGAGUCUACAAGCUCCAUGCCUACCUAUAGUCUAGUAGUGAGUAACAUAAUAUCAGUUCAAUUAGUGAAGUUCCUCAAACUUAAUCAAUAUCAACAUGUCGUGAUGAGCCAAAAAAUGUGAUUGCCUUGUGCAAGCUGCAAUCAAACUAAAGAAAAUUUUAAGGAGAGAAAAUCAUUAUUACAGAUUCUUUUCAAAUUGUUAAAAAUGCAUAUUCACCCACCCUAGGUGUAAUCCAUCAUUGAGAUUCUUUCAUAUUUAUAUCUAUAAUAUUUUAAAUAUGGAUUUUUUAUAAAUAAUUUUAAAUUAAUGAAAAUAAAAAAGAGUUAAAAUAAUUAAGGAUAAAUUUUAGUUAAAAUUAAUGAGGACCAAUGUAUCAAUUUGAUUAUUAGAAUACAUUUUAAGUUAAUUUUAUCGAACAACCUUAAUACUCAAAGUAAAAGAUAAGUAAUAGGUAUUGUUAACAACUUAAGAACUAUUUAACUUAAAGACAAUUUAAGUUAUUAAGUAAUAAACAUUAAGUUUUACUAAACACACAUUUGACAUCAGAAAACAAAUUCCCUCACAUUUGACAACUUAAGUUAUUAAGUAAUAAACAUUAAGUUUUUACAAUUAAGAGAAGGAAGAAUGUACACAAGAAGGCUUUAAGGCUCAACAAGUGAGUGCAAUAAUAAAAUAAAAAUCCCCCAUGAAGUAUAAAGAUCCUAGCAGCCCAAUUAUUUUAGUUUCUAUAAGAAAUGAUAGCACUAGGAAGACUUAACUUAGGAUAAGUGUAAAUUUGAUUCUCUUUUCAUUUUAUCAAAUAUUAGGAUUAGGUGAGUUAAACCCUACUUCAACUACCUUGUGUUUAGUUGAUAAAUCUAUCGAAGUGCCCAAGGGAGUGGUUGAAGAUGUCCUAAUCUAUAUGGAUAUUAUACUAUUGGAUAAAGAAUGAAAUGAUGAAGCUAAUCCUAUCCCUAUCAUCCUUGGUAGGCCUUUCGUAGCAACUUCUAAUGCAUGAAUAAUGAGAGGAAUGACCAUAUGCAAUUCUCCUUUAAUAUGACAUUAGAGCUAAUCAUUUUCAAUUUUUGAAAAAUCUAAGUGAGUAAGGUGAACAAUCUAAUGAAGAAGUAGAGUGUCUGGACAACAUGGCUAAAACUAAAAUUGAAAUUCUAAAGGAUGAGGGAGAAAAUGUGAAGUUUAAAGUAACCACAAACUUGGUUGCUUUGUAAGGACCAUCUUACUAGCCUAAGUUUGAUACUUUGGAGGAGGUGAAAGAAAAGCAAAAAUCUAAAAUCGAGACUAAAAAGCCAAAGACAUAAUUAAAGUGGUUACCAGUUAAGUGUUUUCUUAAAAGAAAGUCAGGAAAAAGACAUGGCAGUAUCUUUUGCCUUGACUGAACGAUUAUGAUCAUAGGGUAUAAAUAAAUUUUGCAAUAAAAGAUGGUGUCAAGUCCCUAAAGUGCAUGGUCUUUAAUUUUAGUAACCUAGGAUUACUAGUUAUCGUCUCCAUAGGGAUUCUAGUUGGAAGUGAUUUUCAAAGGAAGGGAUGCUUAGGAUUGUAGACCCUCAUUUUUCACGUGCAUCCCUACUCAAUGGCAAGGCUCCUUUUCUUAAUGAAAAAUACUGAUUUUCAUAAAAUUGGAGUUGUUACUUAUUUUCGUUUUUAUUUUUUAAAGAAAAAAUAAAAUAAGAAACAAAAACUCUAAGAGUGACUCCUUAUUUUUUGGAAAAGCAUGUUUUUGAAAAUCCGAGUAUAAGUCUAGGGGUCAGGUUACCUAUUGGGAAGGUACCAUAAAGGUACCACCCCUCUAAGCCCUAAAAUCAGGUCUCUAUUAACUAGGUUGAAAUUAAUAUGAUAAUUAAUCAAUAAAUCAUAGACACCAAAGCAAUUAAGGUGAUUAUGUCUAAAGCCUAACAAGAUGCUAUUCACACCAAAAUAAACAUACUAAGGAAAUCAAGUACAUAGGAAAAGAAUAUAGGUGUACCUUAGUUGCAACCCAAAGUGCUUUCAUGAAAACACUAAAGUUGGUUUAGAUAAUAUAACGUAUAGCAUACAUUUCAUCCCAUUCAAGAAAUCACGCAAUAAUCAAAGCAUAACAAAGUGAUAUCAUACAUGAGGGUGUUCACACACAAAGCUUGCAUGUUAAUAAAGUUAAAGAGAUAAAAGGUGCAAGGGACGUACCUUGAUAGCAUUUAUAGCUUACAAUACGCUUGUAUAAAGCAAGAGAGGGUUAGAAUAAUUGUGAUAACAACUAUAAUAUUGAUCCUUAAUAUAGAUGACAUAUGUACAACUUAAAUGAAAUGGCAAUAACUCAAUAAGAUUGAAUAACAAGAAUGUCUAAAUUCAAAGAUGCAUGCAGUCACAUAAAAAGUUCUCACGAACCAUCACAAGUUAGUUUGAGGUUUAAAGAAACAUUGAAUAUCACUUAUGACACAUAAAACUCAUUGUUAAGGCUAGCUUAGUACACAAGAGAAAUAGAGAGAACAAAAUUAGUGACUUAGUCCAAGUAUGCAACAAAGGAUCAAAAUAGUUAAAUUCAUUAGAAAAAAUCUAAAUAAAUACCUAGAAGCAUUAUUUCAUCAUAAUAAAAAUUAGGUAACAUACUCAUUAUGUCAAUAUCACAACAUAAAAUCCAAAAUCAAGUGAUAAGAUUCCAACUAUCUCUAGAUUAAACAGAAAAUUAAACACUACACAAGAUUACCAACAUUCAGUUGGAACAGGAAGCCUCAUAAAAUAAAUCCUAAAAAAUAUCUAGAAGGGGAAUUUUAUUACAAAAAUAAAAAAUAAAAAAUUAGGGAACCUCUCCUACAUUUUGAAUAAUUUAUUAAAGCCCUAUUCAAUCCCAGUUUACAAAACUCUCCAAAUGGAUUAAAACAUGAUAGAAUUCUAAGGCAUGCACAAACUAAUUUUUUUAACCAACCUAGAGGUAUGAUAAAAUCCUACAAAAAAUCAUACAACAUGGUCAAAGUUCUAUUUUACAUGAAAAAUAAUGGUAAGGCAAGUAUGCACACAAAUCAUUUUUAAAAUAAAACAAGCAAGCCCUUUGUUCAAAACCAAAUUAGUGCAAUAGGUACAACAAGGGAAAAAUAUUUCUCUUAAUUGUUUAGUCAGUUUUUAGUAUUUUAUGUGUUAAAAUCAACUUCAAAAGUCUAUGAAAAGGUGAAUCUCAAUAAUGGACUACACCUAGAGAGGGGGUGAAUAGGUGAUGUAGAACAAUUUAAAAAUUCUCCCAACAAAGACUACCUAACCUUAGACUUUCUCAAUGUUAAGAAACUUCUCUUCCAACAAUUAUUCAACAAAGCAUAACAUCCAUAAGAAAGAAUGUAAGUACCAAGACUCUCCCAACAAUUUAUAAAUGCAAUACACAUGCAAAUGCUUCAAAAAUCCUCAAAAAUAAAUCAAAAUAACAAAUAUCUCCUCAACUCAUAUCAAUUUACUUCAUGUUAUCAUUAACCAAAAUGAGCAAAAAAAUUAUUAAGGAUAUUCCAUGGAUCAUCACACUUAUAUCACCUCAUAUUUCUUCCAUUCAACAUGUUUGCCCAAGUAAUCAAUGAUAUCAAAAACAAAAAUUAAAUCAGAGUGUAGAGUGAGAAAAAGAGACAAUUAACACUGGAUUUUAACAUGGAAAACCUCCAAAGAGAUAAAAAUCCACGGGCCUACCAUCGAUUGAAAAACUCCACUAUGAAGAAUAAAAACCUUGUAUUCGGUUUUACCUAGCUCAAGUCAAUCAAUCCUUCCCGGACCACUUGACUAGUACCUUCACGUUCAGCUUCUCACCUUCAUCUUCCGGAGCACACUUGGAGUCCGCACCAAGCUCAAUCUCGGCCUCUUCUUGAAUCCACACAAGAAGAAAAUGGGUUUUUACACAAACCUAAAUAGAAUGAGAGAUUGAGAUAUGAAUGAAGGAAUUAAUCAACCCAUUUAUUGCUCAAGAAAAUCCAUUAAAAACUAGUUUGGAAAACAUUAAGAAAAGUGAAUUUUCUUUGCAAUAAAAAACCCCCAAAUUAGGAAAAGAGGUGAGAAAAUGAAGAACACAUGGAGUGGUUGCAACUCUCUCCACGUUUUGUAGUCUUUGUCCAAAAAUGAGAGAAGAUUGCUUUUUAAAGUGUAAAAAGAAGCCCUUAAUCUAAUGGCUGAGAUUUGAUUUGGUUGGAUUGAUUUACCCCUGAACCUGGAUCGAUCCAAAAAUAGAGGAAUAAAAACCUUGCACCAAAAACCAUUUCUCCCAGAUUUUUAACACAUUUAAAGAUUAAAAACAGGGUUGAUUCACAUUCAAUCGCCACACACUCAACUACAUACCUCGACCUCUUAGCAAAGUCUUAAUCUUCAAAGUCAAGUAGUCCGAAGAUGAAUUGGAAAGCUGAGUUAGGGGACACUUAAGAAUUUUGUUUGGAAUUGCCAACCUAGCUAAACACUCAUAGUCUAGAAUCAAGGAAAGAUAUUUACAAAAACUUUAUGAAGUCACCAAAUAAUUCAAAAACACAAACAUUCUAAGUGUCUAGAACUAGGUGAAAACCGAUAAGAGAGACUAGAAACAAAUUGUGAUGGAGACUGAAGUCAUCAAACCUAUUGUGGGAGUCUAGCUAAUAAGUUAAUAAAAUACAAGUUAAGGUUGGAGCCUUGUAAACCUCAUUUGUGCUUUGUGUAUUGUUGCCAUCUUGUAGGGGAAGGUAUAAGUUGGCUUAGAGGGCUUCUAAGUGUUACAUAGACGUGAACACUUGUGUGAAAAUUUUUCACCAGAAACAAUAACCUUAAUGAUGGUGUGUUGCCCAUAAUCCAUGGGUCCACAUUGUCCUAAGUAGUUAUGACUUAGUGUCAGGUGUUGCACAAAUGAGCCUUGACUUGAAUAAUUGUGUAAUGUAUUCUUCUUGAUUUAAUGGUAAGUUGGGGUCAAACUUUUAUAGGCUUAUCUACUUAUGACCCUUCAAGAUGAAGUUUGUUCAAUAGUGGUAAUGUUGUAGAAAGCUUUUGGAGUUAGUUCUUAGAUAUAAUUCUUUAAUUUGCAUAAGAGUAUCUAGAACACUCCAUGUACACUAUAAAUAUUAGUGUAUAAUUUGAUUAAGCUUCUAAAGAGUGUCUAGAGUCCACAAGGUUCUAGAACAUUCUUUAGGUGUUGAUAAAUAAGUCAUCAUUUAGAUUUGAAAACCCAUAUUUGGCCAUGGAAGCAUUGUUAAGCUUUCAUUAUGCAAUAAAGCCUCCAUUCAUUGAAACUCUUAAAGUUUUCCUUUCAUUUAGUUAUCUCUAAUUUCAACUUGCUUAGCAUUUCUUAUCCUCUAAAUUGAGAAACCCACAGAUUUGCAGUGUAAAGCAUCUUGAGUCCUUUAAGUGCCACAUAGGUGCUUAAGAAAACAUAAGACUAUGACAAGAGGCGUUGAACCCAAUUCACAUUUUGGGCUUGUAAUAAAGAAAGGAAAGAAGCAUUGGAAGGUCAAGGAGGGAGGAAACUACCAUUAAUAAACUCAUUAGGUGAGAAUUGCCCAUCUGACAUGUGAGGGAAAAAUUAAGGCACUACAAGAAAAAGAGUCAUUAUUGACAUAUAUUAUCUUUACUUAAAGUAGUAUAUGUCAAUAUUUCUUAUUUAAAUGGGCAACUAUGACAUAUAAAACUUAGUUAAAAGAAAUAAUGACAUAUAUGAAUUCCAGUUAUUAUUCCAUGACUUAUAACGAUGCAACCUUGACAGAGAAUUUAUAAGUCAAUAUAAAAUUAAUAUAUUUGUAUGUCAAGGUAGCUAAAUAAAGGCAAUAAUGACAUAUAUGGAAUUUGCUAAAAUUUUCUUUAAUUUAUAGUAAUACAAUGUUGAUAGAAAAAUUAUAAGUCAAUAUAUAUAGUUAAAAUAUUUGUAUGUCAAGGUUGGUAAAAGCUAUCUUGACAAAUAAUUUAUAAGUCAAUGUAAUUUCAUUUAUAAAUCUAUUAAGGUUAUAUUAGUAAAUAUUGAAAAUCUCACUUCUCAUUUUUUUUUUCUUUUAAUUCUAUCUAGACCCAUUCCCAUCUAGAAGCAACUUGAAAGAAAAUCCUAAGAGGCCACCAUUAAAAAUUUUGUGAAAAGUUAAAAUAUUUUUCAUGAAAAUUUAUUGGAUUAGAUAUUUAUUCUCCUUGCAAAUAUAUAUCCUUUAUAAGGUUUAAAUUUUUGUUUUUUUUUUGUUUUUUUUUUUUUUUUUUUGCAUUUUUUAUGACAUUUAUUAAAUGAUGUAACAUGACUUCCUUUUAUUUGGUUUAUUAUUGCAACCAUAAUAAUUAUGAAAAAAAUUCAUUAUAGUAUUUUAGGAAAAUUUGGAACUUAAAAAAAAGUGGUCCUUAAUUAUUUUAGGAAACUAUUGUACUGUUUAGAAGUACCAUUAUAUAAUUCAUUUGGACAACAAGAGAAGACAUAAAAAUUGUAUAUCAAAUUUCAUUAAUUAUAAUUUUAAGAUAAUGAAAUUGUUUUAUAUUUAUGCAUAAAAAGUUGGAAAUAAAAUAUGUAAUAUUUUUAAUUCUCUCUUAUCUAAGUCCUAAGGAUGCUUUGAUCUCAUAAUAUGAUAUAGACCACUGGCAUGAGGUUGUCCAUAAUCUAACCUUAAAUAUGAAUGAAAAUUUCUUUGAUCUUGAGCUCGGGUUGUGCAAGGAAUGCUUACUCAAGGUUCAAGAACAUUAAUCAAAGGAACAUGAAAUUAAAGCCAAGUGAAAGGCCCAUGAAAUCUCCGUCUUUGAUCUUGCAGCAAUUCAGCUGCGCACUCUCUGUUUUUGCUCCUCAUGGCAUGUUCUGCUGGUACACACCCCAUUGGUCCAGUGCCCGUCACAAAAACCCUUCGUGCUCCAAGCUUAUAUAGCCUUUGCAACCAUAAGUUUAGACCAUACAUAUAAGUCACUAAAAUAUAUAACAUUAAUACAUUGUAUUUUGUUAGAAAAUGGGACAACCCAACGCACAAAAUAGUAAUAGUGCUUAUUUAUAAAGUUUACAUGCAUUGGAAAAGGCUCUAAUGUAACAAGUGUCUCUACCUACCAAAACAAGUCUCUUGUGAUAGACUAUCAUAUAUGCAAUACCAUAAUGCAUUUGCCCUCAACUCAUCCCCAAUUCCUCAUUAGAUUCAAUAGUGAAUAUUUUAUGCAGAUUAGGCCAAAAUGUAACACAUGCUGGGGAGAAUUACCAUUAGAUUUUUUCGGCACUUGGAGAUGAGAUAGCAAACAUAAUUGGGAAGAGUAAAUUGGCGAGAUCUUGUAGAGUUGGGCACCAAGUAGUAGUUGUUGACAAAGUCGUUUCUGCCUAGAGUGAUGAGGACGAGUGCUUUAAACAAAAGGAAACAAGACAUGUUGGCCACAUAUUAUUAAAGAACACCUGGGAGAAGUGGAAUGUACAAGUUGCACCAUGUAUGGAAGGCUAAUAAAAAGUUAUUUCUAAAUCGUAAUUAUUUUUUUAGAUUUUAAACAAAAGGAAACAAUACAUGUUGACCACAGAUUAUUGAAGAACACAUGGGAGAAGUGGAAUAUAAGGAUGCAGCACAUACCAAAGGCUACUGCCUGAAAAUGAUGACAGACCAAGCUUGAAAAAGAAAGUGAAGCACAGGGUUGUCUCUGAAGAAAUUAUUAGUUGGAAAAACGAACUCAAAAUCUCGUUAGUAAUAGGAUAUCACCCUUGAGAUUGUGGACCAAAAGCGAGAUGGAUGGACUCUCCCUAUGUCCUCAUCUUCCCUUUUCCGGUUCAAGGUGGCCACCUCAACGCCAUGCUUAAACUCACCCAAAUACUGCGUGUUGAGCCUCCAGCUCAAAUACCAUUGCCACAGUUUUUUUAAUCCAUACAACUUACAAGAAAAACAGAAGCAUUCCAAAUUCUAGUAAAUGACAUGCAAAAAAUAAGUAAAGAAAACAACAUAAAAUCACAAACGCAUAAACAAAAUGAUUCAAAUGGUUCACCCAAUAAAGCUGUAUUGAUAGGCAAGGGCAGUGAACAAACUUCACCAAUUAUAUAAAAAAAAUUUCCCAACCAUAAAAAAAAUUAUGUCUAAUAUAAUAACUUAAUAUUAUAAAUUAAAAUAAAAUUAAUUUUGAUAAAUCAAAUUAAUGACUUAAAGCUUAAACAUAAUUUAACUUAAUAUUAAGUUUUAACAAAUAAAGUUUUAAUUAAAAAAAAAAAGUUUCAUUUGAAAUGAUUUUACUAUAUCUUGGGUUUUUUUUUUGGAAAUUUUCAUUAGGAUUGCAAUAUGAGUAGGCCCAAGCCAUCCAAUCUAGAGCCCAGGUUGACCUAGAAAAAAUUUAAAGAGCCUCGUCAUUGUCAUUCUACUGUAUAUCAUCCUAAUCCUUGACUGACUUAGAUUUAGAAAAAGGAAUGAGAAAAUCAAAACCACACACAAAAACAAAAGGGAAGAAAGACUAUGCAUUGAGCGAGUGGGAGGAGAUGUAUUCUAUCGUGGGAAAAGAAUCCGAGUCCACGUCUCUCAAAGUCCACUCUCCACAGCGUGGUCUCUGGUGUAAGAAAAGGGAGACGAGGACCAAAGAAAAAGCCGAAGGAAAAUUGCAGCUGGGUUUGAUGCCAACCCAACAAGUCACGGACUCGGCCCACACCUAAUCCCACAGUCCUCACUCCUCACCCCCGAAACGGCUGAUUCCACCGCUAUUCUCGCCGUCUAACUUCCUCGCAAUUUCUACAUCCUCUAUCAUACAAAUAUGCUCAUCUUAUAAAAGAAGUAUGCACCAUACUGUGAUAUUUCACGUCACAUUUUGAUGAUUAUAUUCCAAGGGCAAUACACAUACUACUGCAUAAACAAAGGGGCAAAUUUCAAGGAACAAUUUUUAGUUUCACAACAAACAUUUUCUUGACCAUACAAAAAAUAAGGGGAAAUUAUUGAAAGCUAAAAUGGUACUGGUAGAAGAGAGGAAACCAUGGUUUUAAAAACCGGACCGGACCGGCCGGUCCGACCGGUUCAACCGUCGACCGGAGAACUUUCCGGUUCGGUCCGUUUCAAUGAACCGUUUGUGGUCGAACCGGCAUUGAACCAGUCAAACCGACGGUUGAACCGUCGAACCGGACAAACCGUCCGGUUUUUUGCAAACCGGUUACACCUUAGAAAAAAUUUUUUGCUUAAGGUAAAAGGCCCAUUCCAGGCCCAAUCUAAGGUCUUCCUUUUUCCAGGUUCCUAGACCUUAUCCAAAGAUAAAAUUAAAACUCCAUAUGGGCCAUGCCCCACAGAAGCCCAAAUUGCUGCCACUUUUUAUUGUAAAAUAAUACUUCUACUUGGGCCAUGCUUCUGGGCCAUGCUAGGCCCAGCUUGCUGGCUUGUUGGGAUAGAAGGCAAGUGGGAAGCUAUUUAUAGUGCAUAUGGAGCACAUAAAAUGCACAUGCUUCCGAUGUGGGAUUGGGAAUGAGACUCUAAGAGGAAAACAUUUCCUCUUGAGGGUUGAACGCACGGAAUUUGAUUUUAUUUCAAAUUUUUAUCCUAUAAAAUCUCUAAAAAAAAUGUAAAUAUUUAAAUUCAUGUUUAUUUUUAUAAUAAUAAUUAUAAAAAAUAAUAUAAAUUAAUUAAUAUAAUAAUUUUAAAACAAUAAAAUACAAAGACAAAAAGAUAAAAUUAAAUAUUAUAAUUUUUUUUAUCUUAAAUAUAUAUUCUUUCUUAAAUAUUACAUAUUUCUAUUUAAUCAAAUUUAAAAUAUUAAACUUUAUCAUUUAAUUUAAUUUAAUAUACCAAAUAUAAAAAUCAAACAUUAUUAAAAAUUUUAAUUUUAUAUAUUUUUAAUUUUAUAUAAUAUAUAAAUUAUAUAUUUAAUUAUUUAUUACAUCACCGGUUAAAUAGCGGUUCGACCGCCGGUCCGAUCAGUGAACCGUGAACCGGUAACUUUUCCGGUUCGAUCACCAGUCCGGUUUUUAAAACAUUGGAAGAAACAAAGAGAUGUAAGCAGGGCAACUCUCUUUUGUUAACAUCUCUAACAUUAUUACAAGCGCUUUUCCAAAAGGCCAAUCCCCACCCCCCACCAACCACUAAUCGUACCUAAAUCAUCAUCAUUCCUAAUGAUAACCCUUAUAGACUCUCUACUUUUCCCUCCCAGACAACUUUUAUUCCUUUCCUUUUUCCAAAUUCUCACCCUUGAAAUCCUGAAAAACCAAAGAAGAAAAAUCUCAGCAAUAUUUUGCUUUUGAUCAUUGUCUAUCCUUUUUUUCCUUUUCCUUUUUUCUAUGUGACUUGAGCAUUUCAUCAUAAGAUUAGAGGGGCUUCAUCAAGUGUCAGUGAGUCCAUCCCCGAGGAACAUCCAUCUCCUGGUGCUUCAUUGCAGGAGGCGCCGGCCAGUGCUGCUUCUGCGGUGGAUACAGACUGUUCCUUCGCCCUGGUGCCGCAUCUACAGUGAUUAUCAACAAGAUGUUUAUUGAAAAAAAAGAUCAAUUAUCAAAGGGAAGUUUGUAUAGUACCAUGUUGCAGAGAGAAACGCCCCAGUGAUGGUGAUACAACACCCAUUUCAUCAAAGUUGAGUUUCAGGGCCUGGGCUACUCUGGCUGGUAUAAGGGCAGUGGAGCAUCCUGAUUAAACCACAGGACACAACAAUUAGAACAACUCCCAAGUGCCCAUUAGAAAAAGGAAAAAUGAGAACAUGGGAAAGCAAACGGCAAAGAUGCAAGAAGAAAAUCUGUGAAAAGACCCGGCAAGUGGUCCCAAAAGAACUAUUCCGGUUCACAUUGUCAGGUUAUAUCCAAGAAAUAAAAAAAAUAGAAACCAGAAGAUUAAUCAGAAUCUUUGAAAUCAAACCAUGCCAUGAAAAGAAUCAAAAUUCAAAGCAAGUUGUGGAUAUUUAAUGCAGUGGAGGUGUAUUUUNNNNNNNNNNNNNNNNNNNNNNNNNNNNNNNNNNNNNNNNNNNNNNNNNNNNNNNNNNNNNNNNNNNNNNNNNNNNNNNNNNNNNNNNNNNNNNNNNNNNUACUUUUCCUCCCAGACAACUUUUAUUCCUUUCCUUUUUCCAAAUUCUCACCCUUGAAAUCCUGAAAAACCAAAGAAGAAAAAUCUCAGCAAUAUUUUGCUUUUGAUCAUUGUCUAUCAUUUUUUUCCUUUUCCUUUUUUCUAUGUGACUUGAGCAUUUCAUCAUAAGAUUAGAGGGGCUUCAUCAAGUGUCAGUGAGUCCAUCCCCGAGGAACAUCCAUCUCCUGGUGCUUCAUUGCAGGAGGCGCCGGCCAGUGCUGCUUCUGCGGUGGAUACAGGCUGUUCCUUCGCCCUGGUGCCGCAUCUACAGUGAUUAUCAACAAGAUGUUUAUUGAAAAAAAAGAUCAAUUAUCAAAGGGAAGUUUGUAUAGUACCAUGUUGCAGAGAGAAACGGCCACCCAGUGAUGGUGAUACAACACCCAUUUCAUCAAAGUUGAGUUUCAGGGCCUGGGCUACUCUGGCUGGUAUAAGGGCAGUGGAGCAUCCUGAUUAAACCACAGGACACAACAAUUAGAACAACUCCCAAGUGCCCAUUAGAAAAAGGAAAAAUGAGAACAUGGGAAAGCAAACGGCAAAGAUGCAAGAAGAAAAUCUGUGAAAAGACCCGGCAAGUGGUCCCAAAAGAACUAUUCCGGUUCACAUUGUCAGGUUAUAUCCAAGAAAUAAAAAAAAUAGAAACCAGAAGAUUAAUCAGAAUCUUUGAAAUCAAACCAUGCCAUGAAAAGAAUCAAAAUUCAAAGCAAGUUGUGGAUAUUUAAUGCAGUGGAGGUGUAUUUUUAAAUGAAUAGUAACAGAUCAGACAGAGAGAGAAGACAAUAAGCAGGUUAAGAAAAGGCUCAAACGACCCAAAUGGGCGAAAAUGGUACCCUGUUUCUUGCGUGAAUCUAAAGGGUUGCCGGUUCCACGAGGGAAGAAAACACCGGUGCCACAAGACCCACUUCUGGAAUCAGACCCAGGAAGGAAAAUGGCCCUCAGACCAUAAAGCUUGAAACAAAAACUGUUUUAAUUCAAUUGAUUUACCCCAAAGUCCACAAAAAUUAAUAUCUAAAACAAGAGCUGAACACUUGUUGCAUGUCGGAUUCCCCACGGUGAGUUCCGAUGGAGUUGACAACCGAGUUCUACAUGAUGAGCUAAAAAAACGUUUGGGUCGAGCCAUCCCCUCCACCUCUUCACGAAUCAUUUGCUGCAUAUUGAAACUGCUAUGGUGUUUAGUUUGAAGGAAAGAAGAAGACGACAUCACAGUGAGAGUAGGUGCUGCUGAUCUAAAUGUGCAUGCGUGGAGGGAUAAAGAGGGAGAAUUAAUGGACGGGAAGCAUGGAUAUCAUUAUGACAAAUGGGUUUUGGGCAGCCCAAAGCAUGGGCUGUGUCAGAAGAAAGAGGCGUGAUGUCUGAUGAAGGUGGUAGGGAUAGGCUUUUUUUGAUUGCCUAAAGAAUAGGUUGUUGCAGGGUAUGGCAUGGUCUGAAGCACUUGUCUUGAGCAACUAAAAAUAAGCUUUAAAGAGAGUGGUAUGGCAGAUACGUUUUAAGCCAUCUGAAAUAUGAGCAGUAACAAGUAGCAACAAAGCACAAUUGAUGGGUGAGAGAAAUGGGAAGCUANNNNNNNNNNNNNNNNNNNNNNNNNNNNNNNNNNNNNNNNNNNNNNNNNNNNNNNNNNNNNNNNNNNNNNNNNNNNNNNNNNNNNNNNNNNNNNNNNNNNNNNNNNNNNNNNNNNNNNNNNNNNNNNNNNNNNNNNNNNNNNNNNNNNNNNNNNNNNNNNNNNNNNNNNNNNNNNNNNNNNNNNNNNNNNNNNNNNNNNNNNNNNNNNNNNNNNNNNNNNNNNNNNNNNNNNNNNNNNNNNNNNNNNNNNNNNNNNNNNNNNNNNNNNNNNNNNNNNNNNNNNNNNNNNNNNNNNNNNNNNNNNNNNNNNNNNNNNNNNNNNNNNNNNNNNNNNNNNNNNNNNNNNNNNNNNNNNNNNNNNNNNNNNNNNNNNNNNNNNNNNNNNNNNNNNNNNNNNNNNNNNNNNNNNNNNNNNNNNNNNNNNNNNNNNNNNNNNNNNNNNNNNNNNNNNNNNNNNNNNNNNNNNNNNNNNNNNNNNNNNNNNNNNNNNNNNNNNNNNNCUCGGACAAAGUGGUCUUGACACUAGAAAACGCAAUUAGAGGACGUGACUGGGUAGUGGAGAGUGGCCAUUCAUACACACCAUCCUUAGUUCGACCCUGCAAAAGAAUUGCCCCCGUGUGCAGAUCCUUCACAUGAAAAGAAGAGGGUAAGAACUCAAUGGAAGUAUUGUUAGACUUGCAAAAUUGAGAAAUAGAAAUAAGAUUACGUUUCAUGGUAGGAACACAUAAAACAUUAGAUAGAGUAAAGGAAUGAGAGGGAGUGGUAAGAGAGGUGGAACCAGUGUGAGAUAUGGGGAGACCAGAGCCAUCGCCGAUCAUAAUUUCAUUUGUGCCAUCAAAAGGACUGUGGAGAGCAAGAUUGUGUAGGUCAGUGGUGACAUGAUGUGAGGCUCCACUAUCAAGUAGCCAUGUGGUGUUGGGGGGAAUGGUGGUUGUAACAUUUGCUUGAGCUUGCCAGGGAGCUGGUGGUCGAGAUUGUGAUGAAUUGCCGGGACGAGAAGGUGGCUGCACCUACGGAAACUGUUGUCGGAAAAGAGGACAGCGGGAGACUACAUGACCUUGAGUACUGCACCAUUGGCAGUGACCAAGGAAUGGACGAGCAGGAGAACGGUUGUCGCGGGUGUUGGUGGGAGAAUUUCUUAUGAUACCUUGAGUGGGUGCGGAUGUGGACCCAAGGAGCCGAGGAGUGCGAUUGGUGACAGACCAUGGAGUGAAGCGAACAUUGGUGGCAUGAGCAGAUGCCGGUAGGGGUGAGGGGCUUAUCUUGUUGUGGAGAGACAAUUCUUUGUUGAUGAGUUUUUCAUGGAGUUCAUCAAAAGAGAUGGUGGAAUCACGACCGUUGACAGCAUCAAUGAUGGACUGAUAAUUUUCAUCAAGGCCUUCAAGUACUUUUUCAAUCAGAUCUUCUUGGUUAAGAGGCUUACCAAGAGCAGCAAGUUCAUCGGCCCGGGUUUUAAUGGACUGCAUGUAGUCUGUAAUGGACUGAGAACCUUUGGUGAUGUUUUUAAGAUGGUCUUUGAGUUGCUUGAUAUGGCCACGAGAUGGGCGAGCAUAGGUGUUGGCCAAUAUUUGCCAGGCUUCAUAAGAGGUUUUUGAUUGGGUGAUGAGAGGAACUAGAGUAGAUGAGAGAGUGCCGACAAGGGCUCCAAAUAAUAGUUUGUCUUGACGUAGCCAUGUUUGGUAUGCAGGGUUAGUAGAGACAACAUUAUUGGUGGUGAUGGUGGUUGGAGGAGCAGGGUGGGAUCCAUCAAUGAAUUUUUGUAGAUCAUAGCCGAUGAGAAUGGCUUCCAUUUGGGUUUUCCAAGAAAGAUAGUUGGUGGGUGUGAGUUUAAUGGAGUUAUGGAUAGUAAUCAUGGUUAGUGGUUUUGUGGGUUUUUGGGCAUUAGGAAUGAUGAGUUGAGAAUUCUCAGUGGCCAUUGGAAUGAGGUGGAUGAAAGGCUUGCUGAAGAUUGAAGAACGUGGCUGGGAAAAAAAAAUUAAAGAACAAACCUUUGCUCUGAUACCAUAAAGGAUUUUUGGAAGAGAGAAAUUGAAGAAUUAUUACUUGUGAUUCUCAUUGAUAUGGUUAGUAUAUUUACAGAUUGCAUGAGCACGAAAAUAGGAAACUGAUUACAAAGAAAUAGGAAACAAAAUAAAUUGAGUAACUAUACAAAUAAAUGGUAUAACUACAAAUAUUCCAAAAUAUUCAAAACUUGGAAAUCCCUUGAUUUUCUCAACUUGAUUGUAUAUCCUUAUCAUAUUCAUGCUAUAAAAAGCAUUGAACAAUUGGAGGUAAUCUUCAAUCCCCCGAGCCCCGUCUUACAGAGGAUUCAUUCCUUGUCAUUACAUUUCUUCAGUGGGAGGAUUGAGGAAGGUACUUUAAGGCAACUGCUCUCGGGUUGUCAUCAUGAUCUUUGUAGACUGUAUCUCGCUGCAGGCAUCACCAGGUUACCAGAGCACAAUGCUUUCCCUUAAGGCCUCACCAAGCUAUUUUGUGGGGCUCUAAUCUUGAGGAAGACCCAAUGGUAACGUUGGAGAAGCUACCUCACUUAAAAUUUCUCUCACUAUCGAAAACAUUCAUUGGCAUGAAAACGGUUUGCUCAAAAAAUGGCUUUCCACAGCUCAAAUAUUUGUCUCUUUCUCUCUUCCCCAAUGUGGAGAAGUGGAGAGUGAAUGAAGGAACCACGCAUAGUCUCUGCAAUUUGAGGAUCAUGAAGUGUCAACAACUGAAGGAAGAUCCUGAUGGAUUGAGGUUCAUUGCCACACUCCAGAAAAUGGAGGUAAGUGGGAUGCCAGAGACAAUCCUAGUCGACAGACUCAGAGGAGGAGAGGAUUUUCCUAAAGUUCAGCACAUUCCUUCCAUUGAAUUCAUGGAGUAAGUGUUGGAAAAUUGGUGAAUGAAAAGAAUAUGAAUUGUGUGUUAAUGGUGUAAUGAGAAACAAAUGUGGGACAAGUAUCCCACAUUGAAAACUCAUUAAAAGUUUUCACUUUAAAGACUAGUUUAUAAAGGAAUGAAACUAGUAUCCCACAUUGGACACUUAUAGAAAGUUUCAAUAGCUUAUAAGAGCUAUACCUGCACCUAAGGUUGGGCCCUGAAGGGCACCAAAGUUUUUAGAGGGGUAAGGACCUAGGUCCGAUAACACAUGCCCUCGAGCCUAUUCUUUUUGCACUAAAAAGUCCAACAACUUCAUUUUUGGAAGCUUGAAACUCAAAUAAGAACAGGCUGCACAGUGGCAUUUCUGAUAGAGCAAAUGGAGCUCAGACCGGUCGACCGUUUCUUGGACAAAAUUAGAAUCGAUUGGCCAGUGUCACUACUGGUCGAGCAAAUGGGUGCCCGACCGGUCGACCGGUCCUGUAACAUUCACAAUUUUUCAGUUUUCUGGUUUAGUUUCAAAUGUUAUAACAGUCAAAAUUUCAAAUUUUUUAGUGUUAGAAAAUCAAAAAACAUAUGUAAUGAAGGAGACACAACCUUUGGAGGGGACAUAACACUUGGUUUGUAAGGAUAUAAAUAGGAGAUUGUCCUCUUUAUAUCAGUUUUUUUAGAGUUGUAUCCUGAAAGACAGACACCAUUUACUGUUGCAAUUAUCAAGAACAGUGUGUCAAAAUUCUGUCUUUAAGACAUUGCAAUUUGCAAAUCUCUAAACAAACGAAUCUCUUUUUAUUUCCAUUCGAAUUUUUCUUGUUUCCUCUUUUGAAUUACUGCAGAUUUGUUCCAUCAUCACCCAACAGUAAGAAUCAUGAAUAUUUGACAAAUUUUUAAUAAAAAUAAAAUUGUAAAAUAAAUUUUAGUUAUCUAUUAUAUUAUAGGGUAUUUGAAGAAAGUAGUAUCUCUAUGAAGAAUAUUAAUAUUUUGCAUCCAGAUUGAAGUGCUUCCAUUUCUAACUUCUUAUCUUGCUUUCCUUUACGGGUCGUCCAUCAUCAUAUAUUUAAUAUUUUUUUCACAACGAUGCCUAGAAGGUAUACCCUUGUGGUCUAAAUUAAUAUAUCAAUAUAAGAAAAUGUUAAGGUAUUGGGCCGGUACUUCAUAAAAGAAAAUCUAGAUUGCUGAAUAAUGACAUAAGUUAUAAGAAUAUGAGCAAUGAGACAAAAAAAUAUGUAUGUUGUACCACCUUAUUAGUAUAACCUUUUUAAUUGAUAUCGAAAAAGUACACUUCUGUAUUAUAGUCAGAACAUCAACAUAUGAUUCGGUAUUAUGAUUGGUUUGAUGAACUGACAUGAUUGAGAAGAAGUGAUGUACAAAAUGGCACAAAAAAAUGUGAGAGAUUUUGAUCAUUAAACUUCAAUUCACCAAUUCUCAUCCUUAGAGGCGACAUGGACUAAUAACGAGAAAAAGCGGGGGGAAACAAUGGUAUAACAAUCCAUUUAAGUUUUGAGAAAUUGUGAAGGGAAAUGAAGAAUUAGUAUCCUUCACUUACCAAAGUUGAAUCGAAUGAAUAAGAUUCUAACUUCUUGUUUCUUUUCCUUCUGUUCCCACCAUUUCUUAGCCACCAAACAAACAUAGGGGAAAAUAAAGAAUGACAAAAUGAACUAUUUUAAUGAUCAUCUUUGUAGUUCUGGGAAUUUUGGGGCAGUGUAAUUAGGUAUGAUAGCUACUAUCUACGAAGAGGGAAUGAGCAUUAUAUGAAAGAAGAAAAGGAAGGAUUAGGGAAUGAAUAAACCCUAGCAUGACGAGAAGGGGUCAAAGUAAAGUCAAUUGGACCACAACCAUGUGGGCUCUCUUGGCAUGAUUUUAUUUGGAGGCGCUUUGAUCAUUUUCCCACCCUCAAGAUACCGAUAUGGCAAGAUUGUGGCAUACUAAAAUCUUGGAAAAUAAAGUAUAAAAAUAAUGCUUAAUUAUCAUCAAUAUUUAUAUUUAUAUCACCUAAAAUUAGGUUCAUCUUGUAAAACAUUUUACACUCACAAACCCCAAUGACAAAUUUAAUUUAUUUUCUAUUACAUAUAUAAUAUAAUAAAACUAUAUGUAAAAGUACAAUCACCUGGUAAAACAUUUUAUACUUCAAGAAGCUCUUAAACAAAUUUUAUUCCUUAUAAUAUCAAAUAAAUAUAAAUAUUAUUAUAAUAAAAAUGAAUCUAUUACUAAUUAUUUAUUAUAAAAGAUAAUUAAUUAAUUUAUUUAUCAUCAAAGUUAUAUAAAUAUGAAUAUGAUUUACUAUUAAUUCAUUUAUUAUCAACAAUACAUGACAUGAAUUUAUUAAUAUCAAGAUAAACCUUUUUUUUGUCAAAUUUUUUCUUUAUAAAAUAUUAAAAAAAAUAUUUUGCAUAUAAAUUUAUUAUUAAUUUAUCUGUUAUCAAAGAUACACGAAUGUGAAUUUGUUAUUAAUUUAUUAAUCUCUAUUCUUUCAAACAUAUAUUAAUAUUAUGUAAUCAAAUGUAAAUAAACGAAAAGUCAUAAGAAAUAUUAAACCCGAAAAGCACUUCUAAGAAAUUUUCUUUUCUUUUAUAUCAAACAAGUAUUGAAAAUUUUGUUUAUUUGAAGAACACUCUUGAUAGCUUUGAUUCUCGCUUACUCGCCUCUGCCUGGUGAUGAAGUGAAAUUUUUUUAUUUUUUUUAUUUUUUUGAAUCAAUAAGUAAACCUAGACAUAAUUUUUAGCAAGAAACAAUCAAUUCAUUGAUAUGAAUUACAAAAAACAUUGAAGGAUGAGUGAUCUUUCGAACGGUCGAGAAUCUUGCUAAAAGAAUAAGUGCAGCUAUGGAAUAAUGCUCCAGUGCAACACAAAGGAGCAUUCCAACUCCAUAGCCAAGCUUAAAACCAUCUUCUUAUUAAAGCAAUGCAAGAAACCACCGAAAAAUCUGACUACUCGUGUACAUUGGAGCAUUUAUGAACUCAUAGAGCACCCCUCUCUCUCUCCUGCUUAAACACACAACAGAAAACUAUUAUGUGUUACAGAGCAGUCCCGGUCUUGUGCAUCUUGUCAUCCUGUGAGGAUGGAGAAGGCAACCGACGAGAUGUGACCACUGCAUGAUAAGAAGAGGCGAGUUGGGCUACAGCUGGAACUGCAAAAUGCUUUAUAAAAACAAUAUGAAAAAUAUAUGCAACAAAUUAGGACGACAAUUCCCAUUUUCUACUAGUUUUUCAAAUUUAGGAAACCUUUUGAAAGAAUUACAACAUUAACCUCAAAAGAAACAAUAGAAAAUUCUCCACAUAAUAAAAAAUAUCAAAUCAACAAAGUUCAAACCAAGAAAAGUCAAAUGAAAUAAAAUUUAAUCAAAUUUUAUUUUCUUCCCCGGGAGAGGUGGAGGAAAAGGUAGAGAAAACAUCAAAAUAAAUAAUUAAAGGUGAAACAAGUGGUGACAAAAGUUAAAAAAUAAAAAAUCGUGACAUGUGAACUAAAACAAAUAAAAGAAAAAAAUAAGGAUAUAAGUGUGGUAGGAGAAACAUCAACGUCAACAAACAAAUUGAUAGACAAAAUAAUUCAAAACAUUGAAAAUAGUGAAAAAGUUAAGAUAGGUAAAAUAUCAAAAUUUGAAAAGGAAGAAACAAACAAAAUAGAAAACAAUAACUCAACAUAAAUAAAUAAAAAUAAAAAUAAAACAAUAAAUGUAAUUUCUUCAAAAGUGGAUAAACAAAUUUUUUUGAUGUCAUAGACAAAAUAAAUGUCAGGAGACAGAAAGAAAAUAUUACAAAACUUAAAAAAUUUAAUUCUCACAGAAACCCCAAAUAAAACUCAAUAAAUUUGACCUACACAAUACUGUAUGGAUGAAAUUUUUAAUAGAUUCAAAAAGACUCAAAACAUCAUAACUAUUCAAGAUUUGAAAGAUGAAAUACAAGAAAUAAAAAAGAAAAUAAAUCAACUAAAACAAUAAAAUGAACAAAUAAAACAAGAAAAUGAACAAGUAAGAAAUUUAAUACAAUAUAAACAAGAAAAUUUUGCUGAAACAUCUGAUAAUCAAAAUCUAGGAACAAUAAUCCCCAAUAAACAAACUCUCAUAGAAACAUUUAUAAAUACAAUAUUUAAAAUAGAUUUUCAAAUAUGGUAUACAAAUAUAAGAGUAAUAGUUGAAGACUUUGAAGUAAAAAUGGAAACAUUAGUAGAUUCAAGAGCUAAUAUGAAUUGUAUACAAGAAGGAUUAAUCCUUACUAAAUAUUAUGAAAAAGCAGGAUAAGAACCUUUCGAUACAAAUAAAGAUAAAUUAGACAUAGAAUACAAACUUCAAAAUGUUCAUAUAUGUCAAAAUAAUUAUUGUUUUAUAACUCAAUUUAUGCUCGUAUAAAAUAUGAUUGAAUCUUUAAUUUUAGGAAUCUCUUUUAUUACACUACUUGUGGACCCGCAUUUUUCACAUGCGCCCUCACUCAAUCGACGAGACUCACUUUUAUUGGUGAAAAAUUAGUUUUGGAAAAGUCGGAGUCGCCACUUAUUUUAUUUUAUUUUUAAAAGGGAAAAUAAAACAAUAAAGAAAACCCUAAAGAAGUGACUCCAUAGUUUUUGGAAAAAUGUGUCUUUGAAAAACCUAAGUCUAGGUCCAGGGAUUAGGUUACCUAUUGGGAAGGUACCUCUAAAAGGUAGCACCACUCUAAGCCCUACAAAGGUCUCUACUGAUUAAGUUGAGGGAAAUGAGACAAUUAAUUGGUUGAUUAAGGGUACCUAGGUAGACUAAGGUAAUUUCAGAAUUAACAUAUCAAGCCAAAAAAUCCCAUCAUGAUCAUAAAAGAGAGUCAAAGUGUGUAUUUGAACUGUUUUUCAAGCGCUAUCAUAAAACAUCAAAGCUAGUAUAGAAAUAUAGUACAUAACAUUUGUUUUAUCCAAGCAAAUCAAGCACACAUCUAAACACCCAAGAAUCACAUCAAGUAUGGAUAUAGUCAUCAAUAGCAUACGUGUUCAUAGAACUCUCAAAAGUAAGAGUGGAGGAGCAUACCUUUUUCAAGAUUUUUCUGUGUGAUGAGACUAUAAGGCUUCUCAAUGGAUGGUGCAGAUGCAAGACUUCUUAAUUGAUGGCGCGGCUGCAAGACUCCUCAAUGGAUGGUGUGGAUGAAGCGGUUGCAAGACUCCUUAAUGGAUGGUGCGGAUGGAGCGUCUACAAGGCUUAAGGAUGAAUGGCGGCUAUGUGCUCCUACCUUGGCAACCGAAUGGAGUCCCCUGCUGCCCUCCAAAAUCUGUGCGUUCCUGCUCUCUAUGGAGCCGUGUGGAUGGAAGACUUGAUGGGUGGUUUACUUGAAGAUUUCCUCAAGGAUACAGGCCGUGUCUUGAAUGGUAAGUGAUCAAAUCCUGGCCUCGCAUCAGGAAAGUCGCUUGGGCUGUAACAAGUUGUUUCGUUGUCCAACAAAUUCGGUUUAGAAAUAGAAUCUUCAUGAAGGUCUUGAUUGGGUACAAAAGCAUCUUCGAAAUGCCUUUUUCUGAUCUCCAGAAAUGAAUCAACCAAUGUCUUCGCAAAUUUGAGGUCAUUAAUAUGGUAAGGAUACACCUCUACCUGUCGAUCUUCAUUUGUCUGAAUUAGCUUCUGUAGUUCGUUUAUUAGAGUAACGGUAGCCUCAGGAUCAUAAAAGGGCUUCCCUGGUGCAUCUAAAGCAGAGAUACCUUUCUGCUCAUUAUGUACAUGAAUAUUUCAUUUUAGUAAAUGAGAAGGUAUGGUAGUCUUGGCUCCAAAAUUCACCAUAUCCAAUGUUCCCACACUCACAACUGAAGGAAUCUUCUUCUCUAUCAUGGCGUCAAAGCGGGAACACUCACAAGGCAUGACACCUCCAACUACAUAAUCCGCAACCUCUGUUGUUGUGAUGUCCAAAACACCCUGUAUAAAUCCCCCUCUGACAAGAUCCUCCAUAGCCCUUCCACCUGGUCCAGUGGCAUGAAAAACCAGAGUCUCAUAUCCGUCUUUAACCAAUCUUUCUUUGACAGCAUUUACACAUGGAGUUGUAACUCCAAACAUGGUUGCGCCAACAGUAAACUUUUCAUUACUACUUAAAGAAUCUCUGGACGCUUGGAGCCUUCCAAUCACCAUUCCAGCAAAAGCAGCACCAGCAUUUGAUAAAACAACCCUACUUACAUUGUUAAUCCCACAUACAUCCACUACUGAUGGAAAUAAUAUUAAAUCUGAGGUGCCAACAUAAGGUUCAGUUUGACCACUAGCUACAGUUGAUACAAUAAUCUUAGGCAUUCCAAUGGGAACAGAUUUAAAAGCUGAUCAUAUAAUAGAUGUGCCUCCACUUCCUCCAAUACCAAUUGCUCCAGCAAGAACAUGAUCCUCAUGAGCUUCCUUAAGGUAAUGUUCAAGUGCUUUACUCAUUAUGCCAACAGCUUUGCCUCUGUCCUCUGGCAGUGGGCCAGGUGUUUGUUCCAUAGACCCAAAAUAGCAAGAGAGGAUAUCCUUUCUGGGUAUAAAUAUAAAAUCCCCCACUGUCCAUCUUGUUUUGGUGGUUAGAUACAUCAAAAACUGUCACUUGUACCUUGGUAGUAGAAUAAGUGUUAGAGAUAUUGUUCAAAUUGGAUCGAACAGACUCGGCCAAGAAUCGGAUCUCCUCCAGCUACGUGUCGGCAGUUCCAAUGUGGAAAACUCGGGGAGCGCCAUCAUUGUGGAUUCAAAUUCACCAAAUCCCAAGUUUCUGGGAGUCCCACCAUUUGGGUGUUGGGAUUACCAGCUAAAACUCUUUGUCUACAAUACAAAGAAACGUUUUUGAUAUCAAGGCUGGAAUCAUUCUAAAUAGAAAAAUUGAGUUCUUAUCACAUGGGUGUUAGGCAAAGAGAGAUUUCCCAACAAUCAAACAGGUCUGGAACAAACAAACAGAAAGAUAAAAAGCAUCAAAUAGACACCGUACCACAAAGACGGUGGUUUCAGAAUGAAUCAAUGAGGGGAAAAUUGGUACUUGGAUCUUUCAAUACACAGCAUGAAUUGCAUUAGAAUGGAGUUGAAUGAGAAAAUGACUGAUCAAAGAGAGAUGGUGUGGUCAGGGAAAGAAAGGGAGAGGGAUGGCGGGCAGAUGCAGGUGGCCGAUGAUUCAUGCCCAAUUGGUGUCUCAGCUGAUUCGUGUCCAGCUGGUGCUCCUUGAUUGAGGGAGUAAUCAACAAAAUUUAUAACCUAUUACACCAUAUACUAGGGUAGCAAAGACAAAGCUACUAUAGCAUAGUGGCUCUAGGAUCGUUCACUGGGAUGGGUUUUCACUUUGCAAAUGAUAUUAAUUCAAAGCUGAAUUGGUGCCUUUUCAUUUCAAGGUUAGCUUUAAAAGAAAGCAUAAAGAUGAGUUGGAAAAGGUUUGGUUUUAAACUAACCACAAAUAGUAACUGAUUUUACUUACAAAGAAAAGUGUUUCUUGGAGUUCAGAUCACUAGGCUCAGGUUCCUCAUACAAAAAGGAGAGUUCCGGUCACUUGUUUCUUUUCCUCGCAUUAGAGAAUUAACAUAUAGUUAAUUCUCUAACCGGUGUUGUACAGAUGUUUCCCAUUAAUGGGUUCAAACACUAAAUCCCUCUCACUGAUGCACCUUGCAAUGGCUCAUACCUCUCACCUAGCACUUGCCAUUCAAGGUGAUCUUUAACCUUGGAUUACCCGUCAAAAGCUCGCAAGAGAUAACUAAUGGAUGUCUCCUUGGAGUCCAAAAGCUUACCAAGUGUUGGCUAUUCUAGAAAAUCCUACCUUCAAGUCACCUCCCAGAGGCUCGCAAGGGGUAAACUAGUGCAUCUCCAUGGACGGAGAUCACUUGCCUUACCAAGUAUUGGCCCAGGUGAUUUAAAGGUGUUUUAAGUUAACUAAAAAGAUAAAAACCAUUAACGGGUUACACUUUCUCUUUAUUAAAAACUAAAACAACAAAACUUCCAAAUUAUACAUGUGGAAACUUACCCAGCUUUCCUUACUCCAAGAGACAAAAAGCUUACCCUCUCAUCCUCUGAGGAAAAAUCCUCGGAGUUUGGUUGGCUAGAAAGAAAACUAACGAGAAAACAAGAAUAUAUAUGAAAAACAGAGCAAGUGCUCUGUUCGUUGAUUCUAUAUAUGAUAUAUCUAUAUAUUGAUCGAUCUAUAUCUCUCUCUGAGAGUCCCCUUUUUAGUGUUUACAAGAGAGUUUAUAUAGGAAGGUAAUUUACCCUUCCUUGGAUACUUCCUAGCUAAGGAAUUACAUGAGUGGCUGAAUACAAGGAGAAAAUGGAAAUUUAUACAAAAAUAUCUGAAGAAAAAUAUCCAAAAGAGUCGGUGGAAAAUAUCGGGAAGCUCCAGGAACCAUUUCGCAAGAGAAAAUGGUGUCUGCGAGAUUUCGCAAACACUCAAGAGGGCUGCGAAAUAUUUUCGCAUCAACAAGCUGAACUCGCACCGCUGUGAAGUUGGCUUUCAUCUUGUGGUGUUUGUCUUCCAUCGCGGCGUGAAACUUCAAGGGAAAUCCAAAGCACUGUACAAAAAGGCUGCGAAAUUCUCGCAACAAAAGGCUAAUUCCGCAACACUUUAGAGUGAUUGACUUGCAGUGGCUGUAACUUCUUCGUUUCAACUCUGAAUCGCGCACCGCUUGAAGCAUUGGAUUCUUGACUUCAUGAGCUUUGAAAUGGUAUAUAGAAUGUAGAAAAUGAACUUCGGGAAGUGCUCCAAAAGUGCAAAAGAAGACUGCAGAUGGCUUUCCUCUGUUUUCUUCACUCUGUUUUUCCUUUCUCCUUGCUCUUUCCUUGCAUACUUUGAACGACUAAGGCAAAGGACUAUGAGGAUCCAAAGCUUGGUUCUUCAUGAAUUUGAGCUCUUCAUUGCUUUGCCAUGGAUUCCAAAUAACUCUCCUCAAUCUUGGAUUGUUUUGGUGAUCAAAUUACUAACAAAAACACCAAAACUUACACAAUUUGAUUAGAAAUGAUUGCAAGGGUCCUUAACAUGUUAAUUGGGUUAAAAGGCAAUAAUUACUACUCAAAAGUGUUUAAAAGAGUUAAUUACAAGCUAUCAAAUAGCACUUUUUGAGUAGUAAUCAUCUAGGACACCUUCUUGCAUAUCCUUGAGUCCUAGUUGUCUUCCUAUGUUCCUAACUUUAAUCAAGUUGAUGUCUUUUUGUUUUGGUUCAAUCCUUUCUUCAUUUUUCAUAAAUUUUCAACAUUUGUUGAGUUCAUGAGAGUGACAUGCUUACACUUUUGUUUAAGAGUUAAAUUGACUCUUAAUGAUCUUAAAAGCUUCAAGAUGUUUUUAUCUCCAUGGCUUGAUUGAUAAACAUGAUAUUGAAUCUUUGCUAUUUUGAUUUGAUUAGAUAAACCUCAAAGGGUUAGCUUCAUUUCUUUUAAGUGAGUAACAGCUCAUGGUUGAACCUUGUGAUUACAUAAAUUGUGAGUAAUGUUCUUUAUAGUCUAAAUGCAAACUUAUGUUUUUCUAAUGAGCAUUAAAAAGUGAGUAAAGUCAUCCAAAAUAUCCUUGAGUGUUUAAGAUUAUUCUUCCUUGAUUGUUUGCCCUCUCUUUGAAAUUUAAAAAAAAAAAAAAAGGAAAAGGAAGAAAAGAAAAAUAUUAAGUUUCCCAUAAUGGUUAUGGCUCCUUGGCAAUGUUUCAAGAGUUAAAAAGCCUCCAUUGCAAGAGUGGGACAUCCCUUAUGUUAUUAUGUUGUAAAGGCCACCUUAGUGAUCCUCAAAUUAAAAAAAAAAAAAAAAAUGAUCCUAAGAGUGAAGCUCAUGUUUGUGAAAUCAUUUCAAUGCUCAAUGUGAAAAACAAAUGUUGUAUGAAUUUUUUUUGGGAUGUGAAUAAGCCGUGUUAAACAGAAAUCCGGCCAAGAGAAGUGCAAAUUGACUUCUUGGAAUAUUAUCUUGAAUUUCUCUAGGAAGGAAGUGUGUCUUGAAAAUGAUUUUUUGCUUUAUGGGUGGAUAUAGGUUUAUAAGUGGAAAGAAAUUAACAUACUCACUAUUUUAUGGUGUCAUGAGUAAGUCUUCUUUAAGCUUAAACAUACUUGUUAGAAUGUUGAUAAUCAUUUGUUUUUUACCUAUUCAUUUAAUAAAUUUGAAAGGUUCUUCAAUCUUUAUGUUUAUUAAUUUUGUCUAAAGUUAAGCUCUUGGUAGCAUUCUUGUUCAAUAUGAAUCAAGUCUAACUCAUUGAUUGAAAGAUAAGUAUGUCAUCCUAUUGAAUCUUAGCUAUGGUGAAUCAAAUUUUCAAUGUUUGGAAAGCUUGUUGGUUUUCUUGUGUUUUUAUUGUAAAUUUUUUUCCUAAGUCAUUUUUCAGUAGGGUGUCGAUCGAUCUACUGAAUUUGUGGAUCAAUCCACUGUGGGCACAGUCUUGUGACCGAGAGCCCUUGAACGAUGUGUGGAUCGAUCCACCAAGAUCGAUACCACUUGACUCCAACACUUAGAAAUUUUUUUGUGAAAAGUUUCCUGCAGUUGCACAAUUUUGUUCCUUCACCGAGAGCUCUUGAAUGAUGUGUGGAUCGAUCCACCAAGAUCGAUACCACUUAUGCAUUUGUGUCAAAUUCCAUUUUUGCCCUCAUCUGGUUCAACUCCUUUGGUUUAAUGAAUCAGGGGUAUUUUCAUAAUUUUUUAUAUAAUUAAAAAAAACCUCAAAAUCCCUAAACAUUUUUUCUUUGUUUUGUGUGAAAAUUUUCAAUUAUGUCCCCAACUGGUUAUACUCAUGGGUUAAAUGGAUGAGGGGCAUUUUGGUAAUUUGAAAUGUCAAAAACCCCAAAUCUUGUUACUCUUCUCAUUUAUUUCCAAGCCCUAGGGCUUUCAUUCCAGAGAAGAACCCUUCGUCUUACCUAUCACUAUCAUUUGGUUCGAUCCGGCCAUUGUCACUGGAAAUCUUCGCCGUGCACAGCUCUCAUUCUCAUUUCUGUCUGCUGCCAGUGUUUCGGUGUACAAUCAGCUCGUCUCGUCUUUUUUUUUUUUUUCUUGUUCUCUGUUUGUCAUCGGCCUGCAUUUCCAUUUCCAUUAGUCGACAUUCGUUCCAGCUUUUCUCGUGGGAUCACUGAUCUGGUAUCUUCCUCGUCAUAGGAUUGCUGAUCUGGUAGCCCCUAGUCUUCUGUGUACAGGUUGGUUUUUCUUCCAUUGGUGUUGUUGGUUAGUUUUUGUGUGAGAUUUUCUCGCACUAGGCUAUUUGAGUGGAUUAUUUGGGAAAUAUGCCUCCAAAAGGUCGUAAAAGCAAAGACCCUGUUAAAGGGUCAUCCUCUAGAACCUCAAAAGGUGCUCGAGAUGAAAAUUUACCCAUCAUUCCUUCUAUCCAGCCUCUCAGUAUCCCCAAGGCUCCUGUAAAAACUUCCAUGGAUGGAAUUCCUUUCAAUGCUUUCUUAGCAAAGUUCUGUAGAGACCAGUACAUCAAGGUUUAUCGUCAGAGGUCUCUUGUUCUUGAGAGACAACUUCAUUUAGAAUCUUUUCUCGACACACCAAUUCCAGACUUAUUUGUAGAACUACGAUGGCUUCCUCUAGCAAACUUCACGGGUCUGCUUGUGCUUCUAUUGUCUGAAUGUUUUAUUCGAACAUUAUUGAACAUGACUUGGAUGAGUCCUACCUCCAGUCAAGUCUUUUUGGAAUUGUUGUUAAAGUCACCCCUAAGAUAAUUGCUGAAGUCUUAGGCAUCCCGUUGGUUCAAGCACCCUCUGUGAGUGAUUUGGAAAUCACCUCUGACCUGUUGGAUAGAGUGUCUAUUGAUUUAUGGGGAGAGGUCCGAGGUCAGCUAGGCUCAGUGGUACACACUGGUAGCCUAUCUCGUCCUGCUUGGGUGUUAGCUACUUUUCUAUCAUUCUCAGUUUAUCCCUCCUCUCAUCGGGCAAACAUUUGUAAGAAUGGUUGCAUUAUCUUGUCUCGAAUCCUUCAUCAGGAACCCAUCAACCUAGCAUCUUGCAUCUUAGAUGAGAUGAUUUUUCAAGGAGAUUCUACAGUGUCUAAGAAGAAGGUUCUUCCCUAUGGCAUUUUAAUCACACAAAUCUGCCAAAGGGUUGGAGUUGUAUUUCCUGUAAAUUCUUCUUUUCUUAUGCCAAUGGGUCCCAUUGAUACCUCUUUUUGGAAUCGACGUCAAGCACAAAUUAAGGGUGCCCUUGGUUCUAAGAAGAAGGUGUGCCAUAGUAGAGCCAAGAGAAAAUUUGGUGAAAGUGACGUAGAUUCAGAUGUAGAUUCCAGUGUCCUAGCUCAACUUUGUGCUAGGUUUGAUGCUUUGGAUGAGAAAAUUUUUGCUCAAUCCACCUUAUUGUCUGAGCAGAUUUCUCAACUCCAAUCUCAUAUGGAGAGAGGCUUCUCACUAAUUGAUGGACAAAUGCUUUGCAACAUGGAUCAGCUGCACGCUCUUGAAGAUUUUGUCCAUAAGCAUCUCUCUUAGCCAAGUAGCAGCUAGUUUUUUUUUUUUUUUUUACAGCUCUUUGUCUUGUGUACUUUGCUUAUCAUGUUCAUUUUGAUCGACUUAUGUACAUGGCUUAUUUUGGACAACUCUUUGUCUCGUUCUGGGACAAAAAGGGGGAGACAUUUUACACUUAACAUGUAGUUGUGAUCAUGACAUUGUGUUUUGUGCUUUGGAUAUUUGAUAUGUUGAUCAUGAUCAUUUUGUUUUGUAUUUGUGGAUAUUGGACAUGGUUAUUUUGACUCAUGAAUGCAUAUUGACUAUCUUUAGGCAAAUGAUCUUUGUGGAUAUAUGUGGAUAUCUAUGUGUUAAUUUAUUCAAAUCUUGUGGAAGUGCCUUGGAAUAUGUACAGGUGCUACUAAUGCUUUUCUUGAGAUUUAUUUGCAGGUAUUGUAGUACCUAGGUUGUGGUUUUGAGUGAGUGAGGGGCCUUGUAUGAGAGUUGGGUGGGGCUUGCUUACUUACUUGUACUCAUUCGUGUUGUAAAGAGUUUUGUCCCAGAAUUGCCAAAGGGGGAGAUUGUGAGUGUUUAGCUAGGUUGGCAAUUCCGAACAAAAUUCCUAAGUGUCCCCUAACUCGGCUUUGCUAUUCCUAUUCGGACUACUUGACUUUGAAGACUAAGACUUUACUAAGAGGCCGAGGUAUGUAGCCGAGUGUGGAGUGACUGGAUGUGAAUCAACCCGGUUUUUAAUCUUUAAAUGUGUUAGAAAGUUGGGAAAAAUGGUUUUUGGUGCAAGGCUUUCAUUCCUCUGUUUCUGGAUCGAUCCAGGUGUAGGGUGGAUCGAUCUAACUAAUGUUUUUUUUAUCAAAUCUCAGCCAUUAGAUUAAGGGCUUCUUUUUACACUUUAAAAACCAAUCUUCUCUCAUUUUCUGGUUAGAGAGACUGCAGAAAACGUGGGAAGAGCAGCCACACUCCGAGUGUUCUUCAUUUUCUCAUUUUUGUUUUCCUAAUUUGGGGUUUUUGAUUGCAAAGAAAAUCCACUUCUCUUAAUGUUUUCCAAACUAGUUUUUAAUGGAUUUUCUUGAGCAAUAAAUGGGUUGAUUCAUUCCUUCAUUUACAUCUCAAUCUAUCAUUCUAUUUGGGUUUGGGUACAUACCCAUUUUUCUUCUUGUGUGGAUUCAAGAAGAGGCCGGGAUUGAGCUUGGUGCGGACUCUAAGUGUGCUCCGAAAGAAGAAGAGAGAAGCUGAAAAUGAAGGUACUAGUCAAGUAGUCUAAGAAGGAUUCGUUGGCUUGAGCUAGGUAAAACCUUGUACUUAGUUUUUAUUCUUCAUAGUGAAGUUUUUCAAUCGAUGAUAGGCUCGUGGUUUUUGAUCUCUUUGGAGGUUUUCCACAUUAAAAUCCGGUGUUCAUUGUCUCUUUCUCUCACUCUAUAUUUUGAUUUAUUUUUUAGGAGUGUUGAAGUAUUUGCAUGUGUUUUACAUUGAUAAAUUGUUGGGAGAGUGUUGAUGCAUACAUUCUUGCUUGUGGAUGUUAUGAUUUGUUGAAAAGUUGUUGGAAGAAAAGUUUCUUGACAUUAAGAUAGUCUAAGGUUAGGUAAUAUUUGUUGGGAGAAUUUCAAAAUUGUUAUAAAACACCUAUUCACCCCCCCUCUAGGUGUAUUCCAUUAUUGAGAUUCACAUUUUCACUUUCCUUUCCAUAAAUAAUCUGUGAAUCUUCCCAAAACAGGCUUUCAACCUGCCUUUUUCUCUCAAGUGGCGAUUCCCUUUGGAUGAGUUUUCCUGGGACGUGAAUAUUUACACUCCAUCUGCAGCUGUAGACUUUUCUUUGUCAAUAAUUUCGGUGAUCCUCUUUCCAAAUUGUCGACUUCCUCAUGCAAGAAAUAAAAUAAAGAUAAAAUAAAAUAAAAAUAAAAUAAAGAUUAAAAUCAAUGAAUAUCAUGAAAUUGAAAAUCAAAAGGAAUUUAAAUCAAGUAGCUAAAAAAAUAAAAUAAAAAAUAAAAAACCAACCACAUGCAAGUCAUACAAGCCAUGCAACCAUAACAAAAAUACUAGCCAUGCAACCAUGCAAAAGUACGAGCCAUGUGACUAUGCAAAAAUACGAGCCACGCAACCAUGCAAAUCAUGUAAAAACGCCUAAAGGUGACCUAAGCAAGACCAGGUAAACCUAAGUGGGUUAAGGCAUGCCAAAAUGGGCCUAGGUGGGCCUAGGCGAGCCUAAGUGGGCCCAGUGAACCUAGAUGGGUUCGAGGUGUCUAAAUGGGCCUAAGGUGGUGCCUAAUGGGUCGAGUAUACCUAUACGGGCCUAGGGUGAGACUAGGUGGGCCUACAUAAGUCUAACCUAAAGUGCACCUAAGUGAAGCCUAAUCUAAACUUGAAAGGCAAUCAAGGUCAUAAUGUGGAUCCAGAUAAACCCCCAUAACCAAAGUCUCCAAAGUUUUUAGAAAGAUAAGCUACAUGAGUAGUAAUGGGCCACCAGGGAAUUAUUGUAAAGUACCAAACGAACUCAUAAUAGGACAUGUGCUAGAAUGACAAAAUGGAGGGUCUACACUACUUUACCCAUUUCAAGUAAGUGAUGAAGGUGUCAAAAUUACAAUAUUAGGAAAUACUAUAUUUUUCCCUUUUAUAUAUCCAUUAACUAAAAAAAAAGAUACAUCAAGUUCAAAGUGAUUCAAUAAAUAAAAAUUAUUUUGACAUAUAUGAACAUUUUGAAGUUUGUAUUCUAUAUCUAAUUUACCUUUAUUUGCAGGAAAAAGUUCUUGUCUUGUUUUUUCAUACUAUUGAGUAGGGAUUAAUCCUUCAUGUAUACAAUUCAUAUCAGGUCCGGCUUGAAUCUACUAAUGCUACUAUUUCUACUUCAAAGUCUUCAACUAUUACUCUUACAUUUGUAUACUAUCUUUGAAAAUCUAUUUUAGAUAUUGUAUUUAUAAAUGCUCCUAUGAGAGUUUGUUUAUUGAGAAUUAUUAUUCGUGGAAUUUGAUUAUCAAAUGUUUCAAGAAAAUUUUCUUGUUUGGAUUGUAUUAAAUUUCUUAUUUGUUCAUUUUCUUUUUUUAUUUGUUCAUUUUCUUGUUUUAGUUGAUUUAUUUACUUUUUUGUUUCUUGUAAACAUCUUUCAAAUAUUCAAUAGUUAUGGGCUUUUGAGCCUUUUGAAUCUAUUAAAAAUUUCAUCCAUAGAGUAUUGUGUAGUCUAAUUUCUUGAGUUUUAUUUGGGGUUUCGAUGAGAAUUAAAUUUUUUUAAGUUUUGUAAAUAUUUUAUUUUUGUCUCCUCAUCAUCUAUUUUGUCUAUAACAUCAAAAAAUAUUUGUUUAUCCACUUUUGAAGAAAUAUUGUUUUAUUUUUAUUUUUAUUUAUUUAUGUUGAGUUGUUGUUUUCUAUUUUGUUUGUUUCUUCCUUGUCGACUUUAGAUAUUUUACCUAUCUCAACUUUUUCACUCUUUUCAAUGUCUUGAAUUAUUUUGUUUAUUGAUUUGUUUGUUGAUGUUGAUGUUUCUCCUACCACAUUUAUAUCCCUAUAUUUUUCUUUUGUUUGUUUUAGUUCACAUGUCACAUCUUUUUUACUUUUGUCACCACUUGUUUCACCUUUAAUUAUUUCUUUUGCUGUUUUCUCUACCUUUUCCUCCAUCUCUUCCACUCUAGAAGAAAAUAAAAUUUGAUUAAAUUUUAUUUCACUUGACUCUUCUUGAUUUAAACUUUGUAGAUCUAACAUUUUUUAUUACAUGGAGAAUUUUCUAUUGCUUCUUUUGAGGUUAAUGUUGCAAUUCUUUUAAAAGGUUUCCUAAAUUUGAAAAACCAAUGGAAAAAGGGAAUUGUCAUCUUAAUUUGUUACAUAUAUUUUUCAUAUUGUUUUUGUAAAGCAUUUCUAACUUGAUGGGGAAGCUGUUUAAAAUAAUUUCUUCUAAUAGUAUUAUAAGGAGAAAACUUAUCUAAUUUAAUUCAUUCUAUAUCUAGAACAAAAUGAGGAGUUUUUCUUUUAAUGUAUCUUUUCCUAAUGUUAUUUAUAUUUAAAGGAGGGCUAUUAGAAUGAGUAAAAAGUGUUGAUUCAUAUUCUUCUUCAAAAAUAGGAAUUUUUGAAACAUAGUUUGACAAUUUUGACAAAAUUUUCAAUUAAUUUUCAAUUUGAAUCAUUUCUUCAUCUAAUUUUAAAUUAUUAAACUUUAUGUGAUGAGAUGAUGAAUCUAAAAUUUUAUCAACUAAUUAUAUGAUUCAGCUAAUGAAUCUUUAGUAUUUACAGAUUUGUCUAACAUGGAUGAGUUAUUGUUUAAUUUUGCAAAUCUAUUUAACUCAUAUGAAGAAUUGGCUAAAGUGUAUGCACUAUCUAAAUUGUAUGUAGAAUUAUAUGAUGCAAAACUAUCUAUCAAGAUCUAGAUGAACUAGCUCUACUUAAUUCCUUCAUAAUACUACUCAUUGUCACAUAAAAUAAUCAUAAUCUUAUCCUUAAUCAAUUCAAAUAAUUUUCUAAAUAGAGACCACUACAAGCGGAUCCCAUGAGACUUAUGCUCCUUCUGCCUUUAAACACCGCUAUCUAGGCUAACCAAGCGAUUCAUAGAAAAUUCAAUUUGAACUAACUGGGGACUAAAUUAAUGAUUACAGAUGGUUCCAAAUCGUAAUAUCACUUAGUUCUUAAGUAAAGACUACCUUUGAUACCAUUCACACCCAAAACAUAGAACAUUUCAUAAAUCAAAAGAUAAAUUCUAUCUAUGAAUAAAAAUAGUUCAUAAAUCAAAAGAUUAAUUUUGUCUAUGAAUCCAAACAUAAAUUCUAUAAAAAUAGAAAUUGAACACAAGAACACAAAAAUUGAAUCUAAAAUAAAACUUUGUGUUGAACUAAAAUUUCUUAUAAAUUUAUAUUCAUUAAAUACCCACUAAAGUGAUGCGUGUACAGAAUUAUCAGAUGAAGAUACAGAACUAUCAUUAAACCUAAGAGAUUUGGACGAACUAGAUCUACUUAAUCUCCUUAUAAUAUUAUUGAUUGUCACAGAAAAUAAUCACAAUCUUAUCCUUAAUCAAUUCAAAUAAUUUUCUAAACAGGGACCAUCACAAGCGGAUCAACACAGGACUUAUGCUCCUUUUGCCCUUAAACACUGCUAUCUAAGCUGACCAAACCAUUCACAGAAAAUUCAAUUUGAACUAAUUCAAGAUUAAAUCAGUGAUUAAAAAUUAUUCCAAAUUGUAAUAUCACUUAGUUCUUAAGUAUAAUGUGGCUCUAAUACCAUUUACACCCAGGACAUAAAAACAGUUCAUAAAUCAAAAGAUAGAUUUUGUUUAUAAAAACAGUUCAUAAAUCAAAAGACAAAUUAUGUCUAUGAAUUAAAACAAGAAUUCUGUCUAUAAAAGCAUAAAAUUGAACACAGAAAAUUGGUUCUAAACUAAAACUUUGUAUUGAAAAUUAUACCUUGAUUACAAAGUUGAAACUUGAUACAAGCUCGUUGACAACAGAGGGAUUUGAUUACAAAUGAAAGGUUUUUAAAAGGAAAUGGAUUGCAAAAUCUAAGAGAAAAUUUUGGAGAACACUCUUGAUAGCUCUAAUUCUCAUUUGCUCGCCUCUACCUUGUGAUGAACUUGAUGUCUUCUAUUUAUAGAGAAAUUUGUCAGACUUGAAGCUUGUUGAAAUCCAUGGAAAAAUUAAUUGGAGUAGACAACUAGCUUGCCACUUUCUUGUUUUAGAUGGAGGAAAAUUCUUCUUGUAAGAGAUUCUUCAGGUGAGUAAGCCACGUUUCUUUAUUUUAUUUAUUUACUUUUUUAAAAAAAUAAAUGAGAAGACAAAAUUUACCAUUGAGGAGACAAAUUUUACUAUUAAAGACUAUUUGAAUCAUGCAAUUUUUUUUAUUAAUGAAAAGUCAUAACAAAUCUUAAACCUGAAAAGCACUUAUAAGAAAUUUUCUUUUAUAUAUAUAUAUAUAUAUAUAUAUAUCAAACAAGUAUUAAUAUUAUUUAAUGAAUAUAAAUUUAUUAUUAAUUUAUCAAUCUAUUUUAUAUCAAAUAAAUAUUAAUAUUAUGUAAAAAAAAAAAUGAGUCAUUGAUUUAAAAUAGAACCUAUAUUUUUAAAUACAUGAAUACAAAAUUAUUAAUAAAAUACAAGAUAACAAAUAUUAAUAUUUUGUAAUCAAGUAAGAAAAUACAAAGAAUUACUUAUUAUCAAAGAUACAUGCAUAUAUUUAUAUAUUUACAAAAUUUCUUUAUUCUUAAAAAAAAAUACUUUGAGAUUUCAUUCUAAUUAAUUUAUUCAAUAAAAAUUAAAAUAUAGCAAAUUGAUUUAGUUGAGAGGAAUCAUCAUUCUAGUAAGGAUAGUAAGUGGAUAUCAGUUUAAUCUAGGACUAUAGCAUGGGAUAACAGUCAAGCAUAUACUCAAAUAUCUUAGGAGAAUGAGGGUUUAUAUGUUUGUGUUCCAUAGCAAUGAGUUGGCACCUACUGGGUAUAGAUAUUUAAACUUUCGAUUUGAUAAAGACUCUCAUAGGUUUAGUCAAAGUUUGUGUUCACUCUAGGUGGUAUUGUUGUUAAUUAGAGAAAUGUGAAAUAAUAUUGCAUUACUUACUCUACCAUGAAUAUUGAUUAUGUCACAACUUCUAAAGUUACAAAGAAAGUCAUUUGGCUUAAGAAGUUCCUAAUGGGACUUGAGGGAGUUCUCUUGGUUGUACUACCCAUACUACUAUUUUGUGAUAAUAGUAAGAUAGUGACACAAUUUUAAAAACUAAGAAAUUAUAGAAAAAAUAAUACAUUGAAAGGAAGUACCACUUAAUUUAUGAGAUAAACCAUAGGAAUGAUGUACUUCUGGAGAAGAUACCUUCUAUGGAGAACUUGGCGAAUCUAGCUUUUACCAAAAUUUUAUCGAGUAGUCUUUGAUGGUUAUAAGGAUAAUAUAGGUGUUAGAUACAUUUCUCAAUAUGCUUUGAGGGCUAGUAAGAGAUUGUUAGGAUAGAACCCUUAAAAACAUGACAUGAUGCAGUAACAAAUGUUUUUUAUUGUUAUUUAUAAUAUGAUUAUUGUUCUCUUUUAUCUAUCUUAUUUGUGCAUUAUACUAUUAGAGCAUUCAAGCCUAACAUCUUUCAUUGUACAUGACUUAAAUGUAUUAGGAGUAGCACAAAAUAUCUAAGUUCUAAAUUUCUUGUAAGUACAUGAAUUGUUCACAACUAAUUUAUGAACUUAGACAAUUCAUUUGAAGUUGAAGUGCACUAUCUUCUAAUUAAAAAAAUAAAUCAUUUUAAUCAUAGAGAUAAGGUUCUCAUGAUGAGUGUCCAAUAUAUGGUUAUACAUUAGAUGGUUAUACGUACAUUAGAUAAGACUUACGUGAGUCAUGAUAUUGGCUCAUGUGACGUCUUUCUUUCUUUCUUCCUAAGGAUAAUUUCUACCAUCACUAGAUUUGGGUGAUGAUAUAGUGGAAGGGCCUCAUCAAACCUCGUAAUAUAAGGAACAUAAUGAGUUGAAGAAUUCGAAUAUCUUGUAUUGCUGGAAGGAGCUGAGCCUUGAUGCUGUGGAUCCUUCUCAGAAAUAGCAAACUUUUAUGCCUGUUCUCAUGCUCCAGAGACGGCUUCCCUAAAAAGUGCUUUUCUAGGACAACGUUUUCGAGCCUUUACAAUCUCUCUCUCUACAGCAGCAUGUUCUGCCCUAAGUUUAGCUUCCACAGAAGCAAUUUCAGGUAAUGAUUUAGCUCCUAGAGAAGCUUUCCACAAUCAUCACUUGUUGUCAGGCUCCAACAAUUGCUCUUUUUGUAACAUAUUCAGGUGGGCAACUAUGUAUAAAACUAACAGUCUUCAUCAUCUCCAUCUUUCCCCUUCAAGAAUGCUCAAAUCUGAAUUAGCACAAUCUACUGCAACAAUAGUCCAGGGGUUUUCUCUAUUCUUCUUUUAAAGGUUUUUGUGGAGAAGCAAAGGGUAUACAUGAAGCAUGCUUCUUUGAANNNNNNNNNNNNNNNNNNNNNNNNNNNNNNNNNNNNNNNNNNNNNNNNNNNNNNNNNNNNNNNNNNNNNNNNNNNNNNNNNNNNNNNNNNNNNNNNNNNNUUAUAUUUCUUGACGACAUUUGGACUAAACAUGUUUGGGAAAGCCUAAUUGUAGACCCUCAUUUUUGGUCUAGAGGAGGGGAUAUUCUGCAGAGGAUUCCUUUUUUGGGUUAGUUAGGGAGAGAGAAUGUAGGCGAUGGAGAGGGUGACAUGUGGAGAGGUUUUUGGAAGAUCGUUUCUUUAGAGAGAGAGGGGGUGAGGUGCAGAAGAAGGGGAGGACAUCAGUGAGUAUGGAAAGGGUGAUUUUUGCUGAGGCCAGGGAAGAGAUAAGAAGGGGAGAUUCUCAUUUUUGGGGGGACUGUGUGAAGAAGGGAGUGUUGCGAGCAGAGCAGAGGGGGGGCUGAUCUUUUUUUUCUGGAUUCUUGGAGAGGUGAGCGAGAACAAAACAUUGAAGAGAGGAGAAGAAAACGAGCUUGGGGAAGAAAAACAGAGAGCUCUAUAGAGCAGAGGAAGAAGCCGGAGCAGAGAGUAAGGAAUGGGGGAUUCAUUAGCUUGCAUCUUCUGGGAGGUAAGUUCUUCACUGUAAAAUAUCUGCUCCCUUCUACAUUUCUUUUAUUUGCUACUGUCGAGGCUUGUUGGAUGCUUUGGUAUGGCCAUCAAAGGCCUAUAUUGCCUGUGGUUGAUUUUGGGUAUGGAUAUCAGGUCAUACAUUUGAGCCUUUUCGCUGAUCUUUGGUUUGUUUGGGCUGGGUUAUAGUGUGUUCAUGUUUCAUUUUCGUUUGGUUUUGUUGAGAUUGGUUUGAACUCUGUUUUAAGCCUCAUGAUAAAAUCUGGAAAUCCUUCCCACCCAUCCUUCAUGCAAGUCUGUUGCCUAUCUGUUUAUGGAACAUGGCUUGCUCAUUACUCUGCAUUUUUCUCGUUUUCUCCUUGUUUGCGUUUACUCUGUUUUUGUUUCAACUCUUGUCUGGUCUUCCCUAUGUCCUGUGUCUUUGGUUCUUCACACCACGUAUGCAGAUUUCUCAUGCUCGACUAGAAUCAUAAGGGCAAGCAAGACACCACAGCACCAUUGCCUGAUCCAGUGAGCAUUUUUGUACCCCUGAAGAAGGGUUUUGUCGGCAUUGCCAUUGGUUUUCUUAUGGGUAUAAUUUCUGAGUUUUGGUUGCUGCUGUUUCAUUGUUCAUGGAGAUGCUGAGCUCUUCUUCUACCCAGAAGAGGUGACAGCCAUCCUGGUGUGUUAAUGUUACUUUAUGUCUGUUGAUGGUUCAUUCAUCUAUGCUACUGGAACUGAAUGGGGUGAUCACCAAAACGGAUUAUAGUUUAGGAAAUCGAAUGGGGAACUUCUUCCUGGUAAUACCCUUCGAGUUGAGCAAGCUACAAACGCAUAUUGCCAGAAUGAUGAGUAUUCCUUUUCAUUUCGGGAAGAUGAAACUUCUGAGGACUCACUUCAAGCCCUAAUUGCAAGGUUCAUAAACUUAUGAAAGGGGUUUUGAAGCUGGAACUAGAAAAGCUCCAGGCCGGCCAUGCUGAUUCAGAAAAUGCUUCAGAAUAUGGUAACGUGGCCAAUGAUAUCAUUGCCUUACGGACAGCAUUGCUGAUUCCAUUUUUUCAAAAUGUCACGGUAAUGGCUCUAAUGAGCCUCGGAAUAGCAUUUCCAAGUGGAAUCUCUUGGAUGGAAAAGAAGUUCCAAGAAAUGGAUCAAAAGCAUUUGAAUUUUCAGAUUUCGAUGUUGAUAAUUUCUAACCUUUCGACCACUACGGACAACUUUUUGACUGAGUGGCAAUUAAUCCCAGCUUAUCAUUGUCAGCUUGCAGUCCACCACUUGAAGGAAAAGGAGUCUUGCUCAACUCCAUGCAUAAAGCCUUAGGACCAGCUCACCAUCUCCCCAACCUUCAUACCCACCAAACUCAUCACCAUACCCACCAUCUUCAACUUAUCUCUAACACCAUACCCACCACUAUCAGCUUAUCCCAUACAAACUCACCUCCAGUCCAUAGCGUCAUCAUUCAUAUUCAUUCCCGUAUCCUCGCAAGAGCAGCAGGAACAUCAUCUGCCACCUCAUGGACUCAACAAAAACCCUCAAAUAAAUGCCAAUGGAUUGACCAAUCAAAUGUGGAAGCCAAAGCCACCUCCUCCCAUGUCCACCUAUCACUCCGAAAUAUGGCGAUUUGUGUGAUGGUGGGAACACUUUGGGACCAGUUCCACACUUCCCCACCCCAGCUGAUUUGGAGCACACAAGACUUGCCCUCCCACUCCUCAACAUGGUGCAGGAAGGUUUGGACCAACACCAGAUGUUUGUGCAGAAUUCUUUUCAACUGGUAUACUUCGCGUGGACAUAGGCAUCAAUGAGAAGGUUCUUUCAUCCGAGUUUAAGAACAUGAAGACAGAAAUAGUGGCUCCCAUGGUUUUCCUAGAGCGCAUCAGAGAUGACUUCGUGUUGAUAUGGGGAUAAGAAAGCUGCAACAGCUCCAACAAACAACUUUAACAGGGAUUCUAGUUCAGAAUUGAAGAAACACACGCAGUGCAGUUGUUCCAAACAGCUGAAGAUGAGUCUCAUUCCCUAACCACUCCAUGCUUUCUGUGCCCCAACUAUUCAAUGAUAAGCAACAAAUGGUACCCACCCGAUAUGAAUGAAGCUUCAAAUUUCUGUACUGCGACGCGCUGAGAAUAAUUCAUUGCUUUCCUCAUCUGAAUAUGGAAAAACCAAACGAACCCAGGGAAAGCUUUGAGCCAUCAAGCGGAAAUAGACAGAUGUCGAAAAGCAUGCGCCAAAGCUUAAGAAAAAAAAAAAACGGGUACAUGAAGUGUAAUAAAAUUCUGGUUUGCUUCCACGGGGAAUGCUUCCUAUGGGUUGUGUCAACGAGAAAAAGAUGAAUGGAAAAUUAUUCGGCAGGGAUUUCGGAAUUUUGUCGGUUAACCUAUGGAGAUCGGCCGAUGUGUGGAUGUGGAGUUCAUUUGGUGAAAUAUUUGGUUCUGCCACUCUCUCAGUUAAAGAAGACUUUCAGGGGUGGCCCCAAAUGGAGCUGAAACGGACCACAUUUCCCCAUUGAAGCUUCUCAGACAGCAUACUUGGGCAAAGAUUAUAAGAUGAAUGAGGCAAAUGUAUACUCGGGAAGGCACCCACAUUGACAAUAGCAACAGCUUCAGCACAAGCAAUCCACUCUCGGUUACACUCUUGAAUGGCCACCCUAUGCAUGCAACCGCCAAGCACUCAACCUGCCUGAAGCUCCUUUCCAACCCGGGCCCAUGCGCAUGUUAUUCCAUUUUGCAUGGCCCCUUCCAGUGCACCAUUUGGACCCGCAGUAGUCACCUCUGUUCUCUCUGUUGUUGGCACCCCAUAUUUGACUACCAGUGCAAACGAUCCCUUGCAUGGCAUCUCUCGUGGGUCAUUCUUAAAACCUACGUGUCUCACCCCCUAUAUUUUCAUGUAUGCCUCAUGCAUGUCUUCAAAAUCUGAUUUUCAAAAAUCCUGUUUUCAAAUAAUUUUAAUCCCACAACUUCUCAUUUUUCCUUAGAGUUUUAGGUCACCAAAAAUGCAAUUUUAAUAAAAGUCAAAUUUUAAUAAAUUUUACUGCCAUUUUUCUCUUUGGUAAAUAUUUUUUACAAACUUCCUUGAUUUUUAAUAAUUUUUGGAUUUUCAUGUGUUUUUUAAAGCAUGAAUAAAAUUCUAUAAUUCCAAAUAAUGGAACUUAUGAGAUUAAUUUUGGCAAAGCUUUGGUGGGGCUCAAUAUAUGUUUGAUUGACUUGCUCUACUGACAUGCAUAUUAUUCUAUACUUGUCCAUUAAUCUUGUUUCUAUGAUAGCGCGUUAUUGAUUCAUUGCUAAGAUAUGCAUCUUAUUUCCUCUUUUUUGUUUGCUCACUUUCAGUUGUGCAAUUUGACCAUAUUACUUUUUUUUUUUUUUUUUUUUACCAUUUUCAUUAGUAGAGACCCAUUUUUUUUAAGGGCUUAGAGAGGUAUUACGACUUAUCACCGUACCUUCCUCAUAAGUAACUUAAUACUCGAACCUAAUUCGGUUUUUUUCGCAAACCUGUUGCUCUUUUAUGAGUCACAUUUAGGUUUUUCUUUCUUAUUUUUUUUUCCUUUUAAAAAUAAAAUAAAAGUAAGUGGUGACUCUAAAAAUAAAUUUUCAAAAAAAAAAAUCAAAAUCAAAAUUUUCAAAUAAAAAGCAAAUCUUACCAUCGAGUGGAAAAACAUGCGGAGAAAUACGGGAUGCACACUAAUAUGCCAACAUUUGAAGGUGGUGCCAAAAUAUUGCUCUCACUACUUGAAAUGAAAUGAAGUGAAAGGAAUGAUGGACACAAAAAUUUUGUCGAGGGGAAAGAAAGCAAUUAUAAAUCAUAAAAUAUAUAGAUAAGUACAAUCAAUAAAAAUAAUUAUUGUUAUUAAAUUAUAAAUCAUAAAAUAUAUAGAUAAGUACAAUCAAUAAAAAUAAUUAUUGUUAUUAAUCAGGAAAGGAAAAAAAAUAUUAUAAGUCAAAUUUAAAAAUAAAAUAUUAAAAAUAUUGGUUAAAAAGUUUGAGAUUUUAUUCAAAAUUAUUAAAAUAUUAAUGUUAUGUUUGAUUUCUAUAAAGUAAUAAGAAAAAAAUACUAAGCAAAAUUAUUUUUUUUUAUAUUUGGUUUUAACAUAUAAAAAAAAAAGGAAAAAAAUCAAAUAUAAUUAAAAUCAAUUAAAAAUUUAUAUAUUUUUAAAUUAUUUAAUCUUUAUAUAAAAGAGGAUGAGUGAAAUGAGUUUGAAGUUAUUGAUUUUAAAAAUAUUUUUUAUUUUAUUUUAUUUUUACUUUUUCUUUCCUUUCACUUUUCCUCUUCAUUUCUUUUCCUCAUGUUUCCCUCAUAUUUUCCAAGAAACAAACAUAACCUAAAGGAAUUUUAAAAAAUAACCAUUUAAUAAUUUUAAUGAAUACUACUACCAAAAAUUUAGAAAAACUCAAUAAUUUCAUUUUUUUUUUUUUACAAAUAACUAAAUGAAAAUCAUUUUGGUAUAAUUUUUUUUAUUUAAGAGUGUUAUAAUAUUAUAAUAUAAGCGUUUCACAUCAUUUAAUGAUUAGAAAUUUGAUAGAAUUCCAAAUAUUCUCAAAUGAAACAUAAAUGAAAAUAAAAAUUUAAUUAUUAUUGUCAACGACUCCAAGUGAAUCACUAAAUAAAUUAAACUCUGCUAAUAGUUCAACAAUGUAUAUAUUUAUAUUAAUUAUAAGUGAAUCUAAAAAUCUAAAUAUUUAAAAAUCCUCAAAAUCAACCAAAAACCCAAUAUUAAAAUAAUAUUACAUAAAUAUUAAAUUAAAAAUUAAAAAAAUAAUAAUUUAUUAAAAUAUGUUUUAUGAUGUAUAAUAGAAUUUAAAUAAAAAUUAAUUUUGUAAAUUUUAAAUAAAAUGAUUUACUUCAAUCACUUCCUUUGUGAUUUGAUUAAAUACACCUAACUCAAAUUUUGAAAUUUCAUCAAAUAUAAUUCUUAUUUUGAGUUAGAGAAGAGGAAAGUGAAAAUAACUGUUAGUGAUUUGAGGCUAAUCCAAACUAUGGUAAUCACCCUAGAGGAGGGGGUAAAUAGGGUGAUGGUCUCUUUUUCACAAAUUUAAACUCUACAAAAAUAAGAAACAAUUAUAUGCAAGUAUAUAAUAAACAAAAUAAAGACAAUUACAUAUAAUUUAAGAAAGUUAGGGAAGAGAGAGUGCAAACACGAGAGUUUAUAGUGGUUCGGUACUUCCUUGCCUACGUCCACUCUCCUCAACCUCCUAACCGAGUGAGGGUUCUACUAUUUUGAAGUUUCAACCAAGCUUCCAAUCUCUUUACAAUUGGAUUAUGGUCUCAAUUCACCCUCUUGGACUUUUGGCUCCAAGUACCCUUUACACUUCUCAAGAGUUAUCCCACUCUUGAACAACCUCUCAAGUAAUACCCCUCACUUGAGAAAAUUCCUCUCAAAGAUAUACAAAGAUUGAUCUCACAAAAAUCCUAGUAAUUGAACUUUAGGCUCAAAGAUACAAGAAAAAUUAGGAUUGAAUGGUGCACUAAAGAUAUGCAAGUUAUGAAACAAUGGUGCACUCAAAAACACUCUUCCAAGACUCAAAUAUAUUCAAGAAUGAUUUGGGAAGGUUAAGCUUAUGAAACAAUGAAGAUUGAAGCCUUUUUAUAGAAGAAAAAAGCCAAACUAGCCGUUGGGGGUUCCACCAGUCGAGUUAGGGGUCAACCGGUUGACUAGCCAUUAGGGAAAGUGACCGUUGGGCUUCAACCGGACCUCGACCGGACCUCAACCGGACUUCGACCAGACCUCAACCGGUUGAGGUUCAACCUUGACCGGGAAGAGAAGGCCACUGGGAGAGAGAAACUUUUUGGCCUCCCUCAACUGAUCCUCGACCGGACGAGCACAACCGGUCGAUCGGUUGAAUCGGUUAAGCCAUUUUUUGGCUCAACACCCAACUUUUUUCAACUUAAAACCUUUUAACACAAGUUUGAAAAUCAUUUAACGCAAGGUUUUAGUUGAAAAUAUGAAAUCAUCAAAUUCUUAAGAUAUUUAAAACAAUAUUACUCUUGGAUGAUUUUGGUGCAUAAAUAAAUAAUGAAAUGCAUGAAAGUCCUAGUGUACCAACAACCUUACAAAGAGAUCUUAUGAAACUUUGGUCUUGAAAAACUUUUCUCUUUGAGGUGAUCUUCUUCUUUAUGAUUUCUCCUUUGGCUUGAUUUGUCUUUGUGAUUGCCACUUUGGAAAUCGUCUUGCCUAAUCACACUUGAAAUAUGAUAAUUAGUUCUAAACCUUGUUUUAUUAUCAUCAAAAUCAAGAUUAACCAAACCUUGGUUUCACAAUAACAAAUAAAUUAUUUGAAAAAUUUUCAAAAUAAGGAACAUUACAGUGUGUUUGUUUUUUUACUUAAUUUUAAAUAGAACCUUAAUGCUUAAUAAUAUUAAAUAUUAAGUUGUUUGUUUUUGUAAUAUUUUAUUUCUAUUAAGUAUUAAAAAGUAAAUAAAACUAAUAUGUUAUUUUUUCAAUUUAGAAAAAACUACAUAUUAUGGUUUUUUUUCUAUUUAAUAAAAAAAUUAUAAUAAGUCAAAAUAGAAAAACAAACACCACUUUUAAUCAAAAUUUUAGAAGAUACGGGGAAAAUUAACCUUUUAAAUAAAAUAAAAUAAAUAAAAAAAAAGUGAAUAAUAGCACAAUAAAAAAAUAGAAAUUAAAAUUAAAAGUGCAAUUUUGUUUCUAUAAUAAUAUAUUUUUAACGUUUAAAAAAAUAAUCUAACCAUAUUUAGAGUCCACUUAACAGUAUUUAAAAUCAAAUUAGGUAUUUGAUAAAAUUUAUUAAAUACUUUUAAAAAAUUUUAAAUUAUUUAUAAUCUUAAAAAGUCAUUUAUAAUAUUUUCUAAAAAAAUACUCAUAAUUCUUAAAAAAAAAAAAAAAAAAAAACACAUUUCCACACUCUCAAUAAAAUUCCCAUUUCUUUCUGAAUUGACCUUACUUUAAUUUCUUUGCCUUAAUCGUGAAGUGGUAUUAAAUUUGUUAGUCCUUGAAAUUGGAUUAGAUUCCAUUCUCAAGUUGAAUUGAACCCACUACAAGUGUGGCGCAAAUGUCCUAUGACAGCUUUUGCCACAUGGAGGGCCCUCGAAUAAAAGAGAAUCUUCAUCCUUCACUGUCAUAGUCAUGUGAUGGAUAUAUUUUUUAAAUAUUAUUUUUGAAAAAUAUAAUAAAAUUUUGUAAAAAAUAAAAAAUAAUAUAUUAAAAGAGAUGAAACAAUAGGGUAUUCAUAAAUUUAAUCACCCUGCUUUUUUCUUUUUUUUUUCAUUUCAAAUAUUUAUAUAUAAUUUUAAAAGAAAGAAUUAUUUUUAUAAAAAAAUAUUGAUAUUCUUAUUAAAAUAAGGUUAAAAAAAUGAAAAAUUAAUAUUUAUAUAUAAGUUUUUAAUGAUUUUUAUAAUCAAAUGACUCAAAAAUAAAUAAUAUAUAUAUAUAUUAUCCCUAUGCUACGUGUGUUUUGUUAUAUAACUUUUCUUUUUAAAAUAUAUGGGUUUACUUUUUACCCUAACUCAAUUUUUUUUUUUAUGUUAGAAUUAAUAUUUUCAAAAAACAAAUUCCUUGAAAUGCAUUUUACCUUUCAAUUUUUUGUUUAUUUUAUAUUUUAGUUCUUCAAAAUCUACUUUGCACUUUAUUUUUCUUCAUAUUUAGAAUUGAAAAAACCAAAUUUGAGUUGAUAAAUUUAAAGUGAAAAUUUUCAAACGUCUUCCCAACUUAUGAAUAAUGGCAACGAACUAUUUGUCGUCAUUCUAAAAAUCAUUCAACCUUUUUACUUUAUUAUAUUUAUCAUUAUCCCAAUCAAUGAUAGGAAAAUAAUAAGAUGAAAUAAUUUAUUUCGAAUUGGUUUAAGGUCAUAAAUUUGAAAAAUUUUAGAUCGAGUAAAAAAUUCUAAAAAUUCAUUUGAACGGGUUAUUUUCCAUUGUGUUUCUUGUUGAGGGAUAAAUGAUUCCUUAUUAUGUUUUUUAUAAACAUGAUGAUAGAUUAACACUAUUGAUCCAUCAAUUUUGAAUAAAAGUGGAAUGAUUUUAAAAUAAAUAUCAAUUUGAUUUUUGGUUUUAAAAAAAUAGAUAAAAAUAUUUUUUAAUUUUUUCAAAAGGCUUUUAAGGAUUUGAAAUCCAUGAUUUAUAAAAAUAAUAAUGCCUAAAAACGUACAAAAGAGAAAAAUAAAAAUAAAAAAACAAAAGUUAAGGGCCAAUAAGAGGAAAAGACGAGAAAGGGAUAUAAUUGGAAUUUUGAAAGGAUCAACUUUUUCAAUUAUUACUUGAGAACUUGACAAAAGUUUGUAAAGGAAAUUAUGGCUCUGGCCCACACUUUUUUAUUACUCCCCCUUGUAUAGUCACGAGCCAUACCGCACAGUACAUUAGACAUGGAUGGAAAGAUAAACGGACUAGCAAGAUAAAAACAUCCAUUAAAUAGUCACAAACCUCAAAAUAUUAGUAGUUGAAUUUUAUUGAAAUAUAAAAAUAUUAAAUAAGAAGUAUCGGUAGUAUAAAAAUUAAUUACAACUUAAAAAAAUGAUAAAAUAAAUAAUAAUAUACAUAUUAACAUUAUUUUAAUUAAUAUUUAUGAUAUUGAAUAAUAAUUUAUCUCGUUUGAUAUUAUAUUUAAUACUAAAAUAUCGAUCCAUUUGGUUUAAAUAAAUUGAUAAUUAAAAUUAAUUAAUUUAUUCAAAUUUUAUUUUAAUAUUUAAUAGACGUCCAAACUCCAAUGUUUCUUAAAUGUAGCAUAUCAAAAUAUUAGAAAUAAUAAGGGCAACUAAUGGGGCGGCAAAAAAUGCAAUUUUUUUUGACCGGAGAUCACGAUAAGGUGUCCAACUAUGGGGUUCACCGUAUAUAAAUUUGGUGUCUUGAAACAUUGAAAUUUGGCGGAAAUAUUGAGCAAAAAGGACACAGGAAAGCAAUGAGGUAGAUGGCGACGUGGGCGUAGACCUGGGUCUUGCGUUGACGAAGAAGAAGUGCAAGCUUACAUAUAGGGCGGGGUAUGAUAGGGCAAAGACGCUGAAAAAUCGAAGGAAGGAGGCGGAGAGAUAUAGCCAUAGCUGUCCUGCUUUGCUGUUUAGGGAAACAACUGAAGCUGUCGCACCAGUUGUUUCCUUCGCAAUCUCUUCUUGAGACGCUAAUCGUAAGCCCCUCUAAGGCUCUCUCGUUUCUCUGUUCCAACGUUUCCUGUUUGUUUGAUUUACAAAUUAAAAAGAAAACCUCUUCGGAGGAGCUUUACUUUAUUUGGAAUCAUCGAUUAAUUUUUUAAGUCAAAUCUGGAAAACGGUGAAGAAUUGGCAGUUAAGAUUAAGAAUUUUCGGAUAAUUGUGUUGUGAUUAAUCAGAUCGAACAAUUUAGGGCUUGUGAUUACUGGAAUUAUUAAGUACUUUGUAGAAUUUUGGUUUUCUUGCAGAGUCGAGGAUAAUUUAUAUGUUGAUAUAUUGAUCGCUGCUGUGAUUUCAAGCUUGUAAUCUUCCGAUAAAUCUUAGAUUUUUCAUAAGGCAGUACCCAUAUGCAGUUUUCCCCCUUUUCCUUUUUCCCUUUUCUCUUGGGCAUUUUUGUUACACUGGACUUUUCUCAUCCAUUCCCAUCUCGGACAGCUCAAGUAAGAUCAGAAGGAAAUAAAAAAAUGAUUAUAAUAGAAAUGAAAAAUAGUGGAAUUUCAAUUGAUUUCUAAGAGGAGAUAUUUUGAUUCGUGCAAGAAAUGAUAUCCAACAUGUUAAAAUUAUUAUUUUAUCCAUUCAUUUCUAUUUCUAUCAGGUGUAAAAUCUUUUUAUGGUUAAUUUUUUAUUUGUUGAGUAAAUAUUAUUUUUCUUUGCCGACCUGUGUUAUGAUGCUUUAUAAUACUUAUUUUUAUGUUAAAGAAUAAACAAUAUAUUUUUUUAGAACCCGUUUGAUAGUGAUUCUAGAAAGCGCUUUUAAUAUUUUUUAUACUUAAAAGUAAAGGUAUUUGAUAAGUUGUUUUCUAGAAACACUUUUUAAAGAAUAAAAAACCAAAAUUUCGUGUGAAUAAGAUGUUUUUAAAAAUAUUUUUUAUUUAUUUUGAUUUUGUUCAAAAAUUGUAAAUUUAAUUUAAUUCAAAUCUUAUUAAAAAUAAUUAUAAAUAAAUUUAAAAAUAUGAAUAACACUGUUAUAAUAAAUAAGAAUAAUUUAAUUAUAAAUAAUAUUUUAUUUAAAAUGAAUUUGAAAAUAAAUCAAAUUAAAUUUUAAAGUGUAACUGAACCAAAUUUUUCAUUACAUACAUGUACACAUUUAAUGCUCAAUUAUGAACAAAGCAUUCUAAAACUUUUAAUUUAGUCGAUAAUUAAUCAAUCAGGUUUUUGAAUUCCAAAUUAUUCUUAAAAGUUAGAAAAUUCAUUAAAGAAUUUAAAGUAUUGAUGAUGUCUCAUUUAAUUUAGAAUUUAUUUACCCAGUGAAGAACUUUACGAAAUGCAAUUGUGUGUAUAAGAUAAGCAAUAAAGUGAUUCAUAAUGUAUUAGUUCUGAUAUAUUUUUUUUAGUGAUCAUAUCUAUUUUUUGAAAUUUAAAUUAUUUUAAAAAAUUAAAAACUUAUUUAUAAAUUCAAUACAAAGCCUCGUUUGAUUUGACAUUUAUUUCUUUAAUGAGAAAAUUUAUAAAAAAAUAUAGUUAUAUGUAUAAGAUAAACGCUAAAGUUAUUCUAAACCAAUUUUAUACAUCAAGUUCUAAUAUUAAUUGGAUUAUUAUUUGAGCUUCAACAUAUGUUUUAAAAUUAUUAGACUUGUUAAUGAAUCCUACACAUUCAAUCUUGCUUGAUUUGAAGUCUAUUUGUCUAGUGAAUUUUUUUUGAAAAAUAUGGUUUUAUGUAGAAGAGAAACAAUAGUCAUUCUAAACCGAUUUUAAUUCAUAAAUUUUUUGUAUUUAUUGGGUUACUAUUUGAAACAAGAUUGAAGUUUAUUUGUAAAGUGAAAAAAAAAUCUGAAAAAUAUGGUUAUAUGUAGAAGAGAAACAAUAGUAAUUCUAAACCAAUUUUAGUUCACAAUUUUUUUUUGUAUUUAUUGAGUUACUAAUUGAGUUUCAAAUUAUUUUUUAAAAUUACUAGACUUGUUAAUGAAUCCAACGUAUUAAGUUUUGCUUAAUUGGGAGUUUAUUUACGUAGUGAAAAAAUUUGUAAAAUUAUGAUUAUAUGUGAAAAAAAAACUAGCAAAUUCAUUGAAAAUGAAUUUUGGUUUAUGACUUUCUAUUGUUAAUUUGAUUGGUUUUGAGUUUGAUGACUUUUUAAUACUUAUUGAAUUAGUUUUUGAGCUUUAAAUUAUUGCUAAAAAUAAUUUUUUUGUAUCAAGUGUUGCUUGAUUUAAAAUCUAUUUGCUUAAUAAAACAAUUUAGAGAAGUUCAAAGAAAUUUAAAUAAGCGCAUGUGUUUUAAAGGAAUUUCAUGUUUGAAUAUUUUUAGUAUUAGUAUUAGGUGGUGGAGAAAGAGAAUGAAAGAGGCAACAUAGUGUUAUACUUCAUUUGCUUUUUAUAGUUUUUAUUUAUUUUUAUUUCUUUAUAUUUUCCUUUUUGUUUUUAGAAACCGGUGAAAACAAUCUCUACUUGUUCUCUAUUUCAAUUUGUUUUUAAAAAAUGUUUCUUGAGAAUAAGGACCAAACAAUACUAUAAAUUUUUAAAAACAAUUUUUUGUUUUUAAAAACAUAACAUUAUUUUUGAAUCCCAUUACCAAACACACUCUUAUUAUUAUUAUUUUUUUUUUAAAAACUCUCAAAAGAUGUUUUUUAAAAUAAACAAUGUGUAUGGAUGUUAUUACCAAUUUAUUUCUUUUUCCAUUCUCAUUCUCAUUUACCUAACAUUGAAAUGGAAAUACAUAAUCAUUUGAAUCUUAUAUUUCUAUGUGUAUUCACACACAAGAAUUGGAAUCACUAAAUAAGAUAUAGGAAUGAAAUAAAAUAUUCAUUCUCAUUCUUCAUUCCCCAUUUUUAUGUACCAAACAUGACCUUAUGCCAUGUUUACUAACUUCAAAAGGAAUGGGAAUGGGGGAAAGGAAUGAAUGAAAGGAAAGACUAUGUUUAGUUUUUGGAAACUUUGGAGAAACUGUGAGGUAAAGAAAAUAAAGAGGAAAAGUAGGAAGGAAAGAAAAUGGAGAGGAAAAGUAGAAAGAAAUAAAAAAUGAAGCAAAAUAAAAGAAUAGAUUUAAAGUCAAUAAAUUAUUUGUAUAUACAUCUUCAAAUUUAUUUAACUUGUUUUAAUUCUUAUAUAUAAACAAUAAAUAAUUUGAAAAUAUAUAAGUUUCUAAUUAAUUUUCUUUUGUAUUUUCCAUAAAAACCAAAUAUGAAAAAAAUCAUUUUCUUUAACAUUUUUUUUCCCCUUUUCUUAGCACUUUCUUGGAAUCAUAGCCAAAGAGAAUUAGAAUCAUGAAUUCCAUUGAAGCAUUUACUUGAAGUGAAGGAAAUGGAAUCAAAAAACAGAAUCAGAAUCAGAAAAACUGAAUCAGAACUAGAAUGCAAUUAAUUGCUUCUGAAGUGUUUAAUGUGGAGGAAAUAGAAUGAAAUUGGUUCUUUGAACGUUGGGUUGAACUUUUAGCCAUGCUGAAUUGGUUCUUUGAGGAUACAGAGACCAUAAGUACUCCUAAUUUUAUCAAAAACAAAAAGGAAAAAGAAAUUACAGUCCUUAUUACACAAUCAAAUUGAAGCAAUUUGGAGAGGCAAAACAAAAAAUUCAACCAUUUUUUGUUUUGUUUUCUUUUUAAGCAUGCUUUUUCACAAGGGUCGUUCUGUUCCACCCAUUCUCAUUUCAAAUAUUGAGGUUCUUGUUGGGAACAUUUUUGAAAGCAGUUAUUAAAAAAUAAUUUAAAAUUUUUUUUUUUAGGAAUAAUUCUUGAAAAUAGUUCCUUCUUUUUUUCCACUUAAAGCUAAUAACACAGCUUCUCCUUGACUUUCUUUUUGUUGCAGUGAAUUAAAAAUGGCCGAGUCAGUUGUUGGCUUUGCUGUGGAAAGACUUGCCUACUUACUAAUUCACAAGGCAAGUUUCUUAUUGGAGGUGAAGGAUCAAGUUGAGCAGAUGCAAACUGAGCUGAGAAGGAUGCAAUGUUUCUUAGAAGAUGCUGAUGCAAAACAAGAAGAAGACAAGAAAGUCCGCAACUGGAUUGCAGAGAUAAGAGAAGUUGCUUAUGAUGCCGAGGAUGUUGUAGAAAAUUUUAUUCUUCAUGUUGAAAAGGAAGAAAAAUCCGAGGGAUGGUGAGGCAGAUGGACUUUUCUGUUGGAUCCAGAUCAGAAAUCCAAAAGAAGANNNNNNNNNNNNNNNNNNNNNNNNNNNNNNNNNNNNNNNNNNNNNNNNNNNNNNNNNNNNNNNNNNNNNNNNNNNNNNNNNNNNNNNNNNNNNNNNNNNNNNNNNNNNNNNNNNNNNNNNNNNNNNNNNNNNNNNNNNNNNNNNNNNNNNNNNNNNNNNNNNNNNNNNNNNNNNNNNNNNNNNNNNNNNNNNNNNNNNNNNNNNNNNNNNNNNNNNNNNNNNNNNNNNNNNNNNNNNNNNNNNNNNNNNNNNNNAACCUCUGAGGAUGUUUUCUCAGAGGAUGAGAGGCUAAACUUUUAGUUUCUUGGAGUGAUGGAAGCUAGGUGAAAAGUCCAGAUGCAAGGUGGAAAACGAUCGUGCCUUAAAUACAGGUAGUUGAAGUUCAUAAAUGGCUUUUAAAUCCAAAGUUUUGCUUUAAAUCCCUUAGAAUCACUUUGAAUGGCCAAUACAUGGUAAGCUUCAGGUCUCUGUGGAUGCUUAUUGCUAGAUCCAUAUCAGUCCAUUAGUUAUCAUGUACGAGCCAUUGGAAAGUGGUUCAAGGUGAAGACCCAUAGUGUCUAAAGCCAUUAAUGGACCUUGACUACCAUUUCUAUUGAUUUUUAUGGAUUAAAUCUUCAUUGUUAAACCUAUACCGGUUUGGGAAAUAACUAUAGGUUAAAUCCCCAAUGCGAGGAGAAAAAUCCGGAAUUUUCCACUUUGCAUUCUAAACUUGAUCCUAGCAAUCCUGAGCUCCGGGAGACUUUCUUUCUUCCAUUUUUAAUUAGUUUAUGUUAAUUUAGUUUCAAACACUUUCAAAACAAAUUUUAUUUUCUUUUAAACUCUAAGUUUUUGAUAAAGGAAAUCAUUAAAUUCAAUUCCUAAUCAUAUCACUGGUAGAAUGAAAACCCAUCCUAGAGUUUGACCCUAGAGCCACUAUACUAUAGUAGCUUUGCUACACUAGUAUGAGGUCAUAGGUUUUAUAAAUGUUUUUGAUUAAAUGACCCGACUGGAUUUACAUGCGCGAAUCAGAAGGGUAUUUUACAAAUGAGGUAUGAAGAGCUUGCCAGUAGUCUCUAUGAAUUCCAAAAAAAAAACAGAAAUCCCUAGUGAUUCUCGAUGACAUUUGGACUAAGCAAGCAUGGGACAGUCUGAAACCUGCCUUUCCAAUUGGAAAUGGCGGGAGCAAAAUAAUCAUCACUACACGCAAUAAAGAUGUAGCUAUCCAUGUAGAUACACAAGGCUUGGUCCAUGAACCUCAGUGUCUAAAUCUAGAUCAGAGUUGGGAGCUGUUAAAAAAGAAAGCAAUGUUUCCAGAAAGAGGUCCAGGUAGUUUCUCAUUCCAUUCCUACUGCUAUAUUGUUAUUUGGGUUAAACUUCAGUGGGUUAAAAUCCAUGUUAACCCUAAUAAUAGUUGCUCUAUUAAUUUUUUUUUUGUUUUAUUUUUUUGCACAUAUAUUGCUAUUUAAGUUUUAAGCUAUAGUGGGUUUGGAUCUGAUCCAUGGAUGUUUUGUUGUUUAUUGUAUCAAAACAAAAUUUAUAAUCUAAUUCAACUAUCUAAAGGUAACUUUUGUCCAAUAAAAAAUGGCUUUUAAUGGAAAUUACGGUAGUAUAUCGGUUUAGGUAUCAUCCAUGAGGAUGAUGAAUGUGUUAGGCAAUCAAGAGGAAAAAUGGUGAGAAUUGAGAUGAUGAUGAUGAUGAAAAUGAGAUAGUGAAGAAUUAACAAUGAAAUUUGAGAAAAUUUGAUUGUAAAUGAAAACAUAAAAUUGACCAAAAUUAGAGAAAAUUCCAUCAAUAAAAAAGUUCUCAGAUUACGAAUUGAUUAGAAAUCAAUUUCUAUGGUAAAAAGGUCAUCAAGAUCUAUUUUUGAUCAAGUUAGAUUGAAGAUCUUAAAAUCUCACCUAAACCAAUAUUUGAUUUAGCUUUAAAUCUAGAUCCAUUGAAAUCUCAAAUUAGGAAUUCUAAUUUCACUAAUUAAUUAUUCACAAGUAAGCUUAAUUUAUCUUAAAUCAUCUUCCAAUGAUUCACACAAUGCAACUAUUCAAUCUCAUUAAAUUUAGAUUUUAGAAUUUGAUGAAUUUACCUAAUUUGCACUCAUUCAAGACAAUUUGAAGAGAAAAACUCCCAAAUUUCAGUCAAUGAAUAAACUCAAUCAAAAUUACCUUUUAAUCUUAGCUUCAAGUGACUAAUCCACCAUAGAUUUUGACUCUAGAUCCUUCUUUUUCCAAGAAAAAUGAAAUCUAGCUACUCAUGCUUGGAGAUUUGGUCUCAUAAGGCAUGUUUGGCUAGUGAGAAAAUGAAAUAAAAUAAAACUUCUAUUAAGAGAGAUAAAGAGAAAAAUCUGUAAAAUAGUUUCAAAUCCAAAAGUGCAACAAGUAAAAGUCCCAAAUGAGAGUUUUAAACUUCUAUUUAUAGGAAGAUUACAUUAAUGGAGACUUGGCAUCAUCUUAGAGGUCUUUCGGAAUCUUCCAAAUUCAAAAAAAUUUGAGAUUUGUGCCAAAAUCACAAUUUUGCACGAGAACUGGCAAUUUUGCAUGAGAACUAAUAGUUUUGCACAAGCAUGCGAAACGGAAGUUAGUCACAUGUUCAUGCGAAAUUAGUUCACAUAUACUCCUUAACUCCCUACAACCAUUAUGCUCCUCUCUAUCCCAAUUCACACGAUUGUGCCAAAUUUCACAUGUACGUGUGAAAUUCUCACCUCUCUCUUUUUCAAUGCUUUUCAAUCUUCUUUCUUCCAUGAUCAAUUAAAUGCAUCAUUUACACCUUAAAAUCAAUUCACAACUCAAAAUAUGGUUAGUAACCAUUGCAAGAGAAACAAUAUGUUAAUCGAGUAUUUUAAGUAGAAUUACUAUUCAAAAGAUGUGAAAUUCAUGAGAAUUAUUAUUUAAAAUAUGUUUUUUUUUAAGUAAUAAUUAGGAUCCAUCUUUAACUCUAAUAUCAAUAGCAUCAUUUCAUUUUUAGGGUAGCUAUCAUGCUUUGACUUCAGUUAGCUAGUCUCUUCCUACAGCAUUGCAAAUUAUCUACCAAAAAUACACUAUAGCAGAACUGAAGAAGCAAAUCCUUCAGGGUGCAUGAUAGAUAAGAGGUAGAGGGCAGUAGGGGACUGUCUGAAUGGACUACCUUGCCUUUCUUUUCAAGGUGGCAUGCCACUUUUGAAUAUCUGGUGUGAGCAAAAUGCCAAAAGGAAAAAAAAAAAUCAUCAUUAUAGGAUUGUGCAUGAAAUUCUAUAUCUAAUUGUUGGAGGGCUAUAUGUUUGGUAACAAAGCUUAGUCAUGCAUUUAGGAAUGAAAUGGAGCAUAUCAUUAUGGUGCUGUUUGGAUACCUUUCUGUUUCCCGGUUUUUAUUUGUUUAAAAAUUAUUUUAGAAACAUGUUUCCUUCUUGUAUUUUUUCAUGCUUUUAUAUAUAAUAAUAAUAUUUCAUUAAUAUGAGUAAACUGAAAAAAUCUGGUUGAUAUUCAUGAACAGUUUUUUCCUUUUAAUUUAAUUUUUAAGAGAAUGAACUUUAAGAAAAUGGCUACCUCUUUUUUUUUUUUUUUUUGGAUAUUUCUACUUAGGAGGUCAAUGUUUGAAGCUAGAUGAUCAUUUUGUGUAUUUCCUUUUAUUUUAUGAUCAGUGAAUAGUAAAUAGAUUUCUGUUUUUUUCCUGUUGAAAUAGGUAAGAAAAUGUUUGUGUUCUUUGCUUCUAAAAAUAACAAAAUAUAUAUAUAUAUAUAUAUAUAUAUAUUCAAAUUAUACCCCAACUCAAUUUAAUAUUUCUCAUGUUUGGUUGGUUGAAUGUAUUAUAGGAUAGAUAAGAGAUAGGAUGAUACAUGUUAUGUCAUCUUUGAAUGGUGAUGAAAUAGGAUAAGUUAUCUUAUCAUUAUCAUAUCUCAUGUUUAAUAAGAAAAGAAUUAAAAAAAUGUGAAUAUUGGACCUAUAUUAUUUAACAUAAUAUUUUUUGAUUAGUAAAAGCAAUUGUAUUAAGAAAGCCUAAAGUACACUUGAAAGUAUACAUGAUGUAUACAAGGCAACAAAGCCAAAAGGAAAAGGAAGAGCAAAAAAUCACCCCCUUACUUAUAUCCCAACGAAUCAAUGAAAUCGAAAAUGGACCAAGAUUUACAACCUACAUGCAACCUAACCCAAUCUAAAAACAUGUACUAAAAAGACUGUAAAAUAGCUUGAUCUGCUAGUUUGGUAUCUUCCAAGACUCUUUUGUUUCUUUCCUUCCAUAAGGUCCAAAAUAAACAUAUAGGGGCUACAUUUCAUGCCUUUUUUCUUUUCUUUCCAACAAAGGAGCCGUUCUAACUAAGUAUGGUUUCCUUGAUAGAAUUGGGCAUAACCCACUGAACACCAAAAAGAGCAAAAAUAAGGUGCUAAAUCAUAGUUGCCUUAAGACAGUGAAUAAGCACAUGAUUUGCUAAUUCUUCUUCCGCUUUACAUAAAAAGCAGCUGCUUGGUAAAAUCCAAACCCUCAUUUUUAAUUGAUCCAUAGUUAGAAUUCUCCUUUAAAUAGCUUCCUAAGCAAAAAAGCUAACCCUCUUCGGAACCAAAGGGUUCCAAACUAUGCUUGAAGGGAACUCUCUACCGUUGCAAGGAACUAGGGAUGAGUAAAAGGACUUAACUGUAAAGAGGUUUUUCUUUAAAACUCGUCAAGACAUGACAUCCUCAUUGUCCCUUCUAAGCGAUUGUCCGUGUAACCUUCUGAAAAAAGCUUCCACCUCUUCCAGUUCCUAAUCAUUGUUAAGUCUUGUGAAUACAUGGUUCUAGUGACCCACUUCCCCAGAUUGAUCCCACAAUUGAGCUACCCAAGCAUCUUUGGAGGAGACAAGAGAGUACAAGUUUGGAAAAGACUCUUCCAAGGAAUCCUCUUCGCACCACCUAUCCUUUUAGAACCACACUCUUCUACCAUUCCCCACCUUAAAAGCCACCCUUUUGCUAAACUCCAUCCAUCCACCCAUUGCUAAUCGCCUUCCAAAGCCCAACUCCGCAACCUUCCCUUGAAGCACCAGAACACCAAUCUCCCAUUUCUUCUCCAUAUUUCCCUACAAUCACUUGUUUCCAUGAAGGCUCAUUCUCAGAUGCAAAUUUCCAACGCCUUUUUCCAAGAAGAGCCUUAUUCAACAUAGAUAGAUUUUUGAUACCUAAGCCCCCAUCCUUUUUUUCCACAUAGAAAAUAAACCAAUUCACUAAAUGUGACCUACUUUGGGAGACUCCUCUCCCCCAAAGGAAAUCUUUUUGAAUUUUCUCUAACCUUAAGCACACCUUGUGACGAAUGACAACCAACGACAUAAAGUAGAUUGGGAGGUUAGAGAGAGUGCUCUUUACCAAAGUCAACCUCCCUCCUUUGGACAAGUACCGUCCUUUCCAUAAAGUGACCGUUUUCGAAAUCUCUCCUCCACUGCAUCCCCAACACAUGGGGAUUUGAAAGUGGCUUCCAAAAGAAUGUCCAAAUAACAAGAGGGAAGAGAGCUCACCUUGUAGCCUAACACCCUAGCCAACUCCUCAAAAUUAGGAACCACCCCUAUUGGAAUCAACUUGCUUUUGUGAAGAUUGAUUUUUAAUCCGAACAUCGCUUCAAACCACGUGAAAGCCCAACUCAAGACCUCCACAUGUUCCUUGCUUAAAUCACAAAAAAGUAGGGUAUUAUCAACAAAUAAAAGAUGAGACACUGCCAUCACUUCCUCUCCAACUAGCCAUGAACUCAAGAUAGCCUCCUUGUAAAGCCCUCUUCAAUAUACAAGACAUCGCCUCCAUUGCCAAAAUGAAGAGGAAAGGAGAAAGAGGAUUUGCCUGUUUUAGGCUUCUAGAACUUUGGAAAAAGCUUAGUGGGGAACCAUUAAACAAGAUUGAGAAAUGAGUUGAAGAAAUAUGCCACCUCAUCCAACUAACCCACUUAGCCCCAAACCCCAUCUUUUCCAUGAUAUUUAACAUAAGAUUUAAUAUGUAUAAAAUGCUUUUAUAUAUUUAAUAAUAUUUUUAAAUAUUUUAAUCAUGAAUGUUAAUAACAAACAAAUAAAAAAUAAAAAUAAAAUACUAAAUUAGCAAUUGUAAUAAGGUUAAACAUGAGAAAGAUUUCAUAAUUUUUUUUAAUAACAAAUAUUAGGAUUCAAUAUAUUUUUUAUUGUAAAAAAUCGAACAUUGAAACGUGACAUUUAUGUUUUUAAUUUCAUUAUUUUCUACAAACCAAACAUAAGCAUAUUAUGACACAUUCCAUUGGAUAUAAUAUCUUAGAAUAUCAUUUUCGUUGGAUAUAAUAUCAAUGGAUUUCAUAUCCUAUUGAAAAUGAUAUCGUAUAUGCAUCGUUUGUUCUUUCUUAUCCAUCAAUCAAGAAUAGGCUAAGGGGUGCCAAAGGUAUAAGGAACUUCUUAGGAUAUUAGUGGUAGGAUUAUCAUUAAUGAUAUUUGCCAUAAUUUUUCAUCUAAUGAUACAAAAAAAUCCAAUUCUAAUUAUGGUUAGUUUCUUAUAGAACUUGGUUUACAAGAGUAAAGAACAAGUUUCCUAUAGGACUUGGUUUACAUUACUCAAGAAUUGAGAAAUCUCUAGCAUGCAGCCUUCUCAUUCACUUAAUCAUUAUAGUCUUAUAACCUAUUCCACAAAUUUUGGGAAAUGAAAUAUUGGUCAUUGUUUAGAUACUCAACAUUUUGGGAAAUUGGCUUUUUUGUUUCCUUUUCCAAUUUUAUUUUUAGAACUCAAUCAAGCUUCUUUGAUUUAAGUCUAAAUUUUGCUAUUGAAAUAAAAUUUGGGAUACUCAUUAUCAAUGAUGUUCCUAGAUCCUAAAUUUCCAAAUCAAAGCAUUUUGCAUUGUGGAUCCAUUAUAUUUAAUGUAUUAUAGUUAUAACAUGCAAACUAUACUAGUUUUGGCAUUGACUUGCAGUAUGGUUAAUUUCAAUGCCAUUUUUCGUUGAAAAAGUUUAUUUAUUUUAUCUUCUUUUUUAUUUUUAUUUUUAAUUUUUUUUAAUGUAGGCAUUAAGAACUUGUUCAUCCGAAUAUUGAACUAUAUUUCACCACAUGGAGUUUCACUAAUCACAAUUUGUUAUUUUAGUUUCCUUGAUUAAAAAAAAUUUAAUUACUUUAUUGUUAGCUCCAAAAGUAGAACUUGUUAGAAAUUAUUAAUAUAUUUAGUUACUAUAUUGGAAUGACUUUUUUUUCAUUAUAAAGUAAAGGUAAAUUAGUCUUUAUUUUUUUUAUUAUGCCUAUUUAAAUUCUAAUGGUGUUGUACCUAUUUUCAGAGAUUUCAUGAUAAAAAUCCUAGAUUUCUUUCUUUUCUCCCCUUUCCCUUGAUUUUUUGGAUUCACAUUGUAUCAGAGCAAAAUGAUUUUUUNNNNNNNNNNNNNNNNNNNNNNNNNNNNNNNNNNNNNNNNNNNNNNNNNNNNNNNNNNNNNNNNNNNNNNNNNNNNNNNNNNNNNNNNNNNNNNNNNNNNAUACUAAAUGAUACUGCUAGAAUAUUUCUUUUACCCGAAGUACAAAUGAUGAAAUUUUAGAUGAGCAGUGCAAAGGUAGAAUAAAACUAUGAAACCUAUGAACUUAGAAGGAAACAUUUUUAAAAGUGAACUUAUUGGGUAAAUUUGUUGUGUAACUUAUUUGUUCUCACAAGUCUAGGUAGGGCUUACAAGCUCAUAAGUACAUUACACUUAUUUUCAAGCUAAUGGUAUUCAAACAACUUGAUUCAGGAAGUCUGAAAAUUGUUGUUCAUUGUUGGAAAGUGUUCCAAAUUCCUAAUUAGUGUAGAUUCCUUUUUGUAAAGAAAUAUUAUAUAGAAUAUUUCCUAAGUUGAUAUAUUAUUGUAAUAUUAGGUUUUCUUAUAUAAUAAUGAAGGUUGUUGGAAAUAUCUCUAUAUAUAUUAUAGGUUAUAAGGAGAAAAAAUCAUGAGAUGAAGAUGAGCUUGUAGAUAUUAUACGAGGUGGAUAGAGAUGUGAGGAAGAACAGGAGAUACUCGGUAGAGUGAGGGAGCUCAUGGUAGGGUACGAAUAUAAGGAGUGGGGAAAUAUGGGAUGUUUUGAUAACCCAAUAGUUGUAUUUGGCUUUUUCCUCUGUAAUAUUCUCUAUUGUAUGGUCGAAUGAUUCUCUCUCAUCCGAUAAUGUAGGCAUAGUUGGUCGAACCACGUUAAAACCCCAAACACAUUUGUAUUGAUUAUUUUAUCUUUGUGUUGAUUAUUUUAUCUUUGUGUUCUUAAACUAAUAUGUUUGCAUUAACUUUCCUGGCGCAACAUUUAUUUUAUUUGAAACAUUCCUUAUUUGAACCUGUUCUUAGAAAUUGGUUACAUCUACUUCUCAAUUAUGUGAUUUGAAUUGAUUGGCUAACUUUUAAUUAUGUAUUAAUUUGGUCUUUUGUUGUUCUUUAGACUUUGCAUGGGAGAAUUUGGGGAAGCAAAUGGUUGGUAUAUGCGGGGGAUUGCCACUAGCCAUUAUUACUCUUCGAGGACUUUUGCCGAAAAAAAUAAGAUUGAAAGAGUGGGAAAUGAUGUGUAGAAAUAUCAAUUUAUAUCUACGAAGUGGUAAAGGACAUGGUGAAGAAAAUGGAUUAAUAUCGGAGGUGUUAGCUUUAAGCUAUUAUGAUUUGCCAUAUCAAUUAAAACCAUGCUUUCUUUAUCUAGGUCUUUUCCCAAAGGAUACUGAAGUAUCCACCAAGAAAUUGAUACAAAUGUGGGUGGCUGAAGGAAUAGUUACAUCUAUGAAUGAAGAAAAGGCAGAGGAUAUUGCAGAGCGUUACUUGGGUGAACUGAUUGAUAGGUGUAUGGUUGAAGUAGGGGCAAGGAGCCUAACUGGAAGAGUCAAAACUUGUCGACUCCAUGAUCUCAUGCGAGAUUUAUGCUUGUUAAAGGCGAAAGAGCAAUCCUUCCUUCAAGGUAUUCAUCUUGGGCAUGAGAAGGAGCCAAUAACAGUUUUUUCUUCUUCCAUGGUACCUGUAAUGCCAACGGGUAAACUUCGCAGAUUAUCCAUAUUUUUAGGUGAACAUGUUGAUGGAUUUGUCCCACCUAAAAAUGAAAAUUUUUCGCGCCUUCGAUCACUUUUAUUUUUCAAUGCAAAAGAUUGUAGGAUAAGAGAUUGGCAGUGGGCGAAACCCGUGCUUGAGGAAUUCAAAUUACUUAGAGUUUUACAUCUUGAAGGAUUUAAAACUGAAGGAGAGUUGCCUAAGACAAUAGGGAGUCUCAUCCACUUAAGAUACUUGAGUUUAAAGAAUAGUAGCAUACGAUCCUUGCCAUCAUCCAUAGGGAAUUUGGGAUGUUUGCAUACCCUUGAUUUAUCAUUUGCUUUAGAAGGAUAUGUGCCAAAAAUCCCAAAUGUGAUGUUGAAGAUGCUACAGUUGAGACAUCUAUAUCUUCCUUCAAAAUUUACAGUAACCGGUGCUACCAAGUUGCGAUUAUCUGAUUUGUGUCACCUAGAGACUUUGAGCUUGCUUGAUGCAAGAAAAUCUAAUGUAAAAGAGCUUGUCAAAUUAACUAGUCUCCGCAAAUUAGAGAUUGUUUCAUUGGAAAGCUUUGAAGAGUUGGAGGUGAUUUUCAAUUCUCCAAGUCCCAUCUUGAACAGCCUUCGGUCCUUGUCUGUGGAGAUCUUGGAUGAUAGAGUUGAAGAAGGAAAUUUGACACAAUUUCUGCAGGCUUGUCACAAUGACUUUUAUAGAUUGUCUAUAGAUGGUGCACUAAGCAAGUUACCAGAUCCCAGCAAAUUUAAGCCAAACCUAUCCAAGUUAAGAUUAUCCAGAUCUAAACUUUUGAAUGAUCCAAUGGCAACAUUGGGGAAGCUACCUCACCUAAAAGUUCUUGAACUAUGGGAUGCAUAUGAUGGAAAGAAAAUGGUUUGCAGCUGUGAAGACUUUCCUCAACUUAA
RNAcentral lists this long non-coding RNA (190362 nucleotides) under Vitis vinifera (wine grape). Its description in RNAcentral is "long non-coding RNA (VVIN_LNC002900)". The record is from RNAcentral. Lineage: Eukaryota; Viridiplantae; Streptophyta; Magnoliopsida; Vitales; Vitaceae.